GCACGGGCGCGUGCGGCCGGAUCGAGGCGGCAGCGCCGGGGACUGUGAGGCUGCUCGACUCGUCGAACGUCGACGUCGACGACUCGGGCGGCCCGGAUGAGCCGGAGCUGGACGGCUGGUUAACGGUGCUGCGGCCGCAGCCGCUCUUGCUGGGCGUGGGGCUCCGGGGCGCGCCCGAGCCGGCGGAUUUCGCUGGUGACCGCGCUCCCUCGACGCGCUUCUUGAGGUACGAGUUCCAGUAGUUCUUCACCUCGUUGUCCGUCCGGCCCGGCAGGUGCUGCGCUAUCUGAGACCACCUGCGCCAGAGAAAAUUUUCACCAUGUCAGACAAGCAAAUCAUUGUGCAGUCACUCCAAUAAACAAAGCUAUGAUUGUCACAGACUUGUAGCAAUAGUACAAGUCUUCUCCGUUCGGAUUGUCAAUGUCAAAGCAUCUGUUAGACUAUCAUUGGCCUCAACAGUUGACUAGUCUUACAAGCGUGUUCACAAAUGAUUGUACUACAGAUAUCUUUACUAUGUCAUCGCAAAAAAAAAAAAAAAAANNNNNNNNNNNNNNNNNNNNNNNNNNNNNNNNNNNNNNNNNNNNNNNNNNNNNNNNNNNNNNNNNNNNNNNNNNNNNNNNNNNNNNNNNNNNNNNNNNNNNNNNNNNNNNNNNNNNNNNNNNNNNNNNNNNNNNNNNNNNNNNNNNNNNNNNNNNNNNNNNNNNNNNNNNNNNNNNNNNNNNNNNNNNNNNNNNNNNNNNNNNNNNNNNNNNNNNNNNNNNNNNNNNNNNNNNNNNNNNNNNNNNNNNNNNNNNNNNNNNNNNNNNNNNNNNNNNNNNNNNNNNNNNNNNNNNNNNNNNNNNNNNNNAAAAAAAAAAAAAAAAAAGAUAUCUUCACUAUGAAAAUUAAGAACCUCACUAAAUAUGACAUUGCUUGCACCGGCAGGCAACUGCAAAGACCCUUUAGAAAAGGAAGCAUUAGAUUAGACACAAGUUUAGCUGUUCUUUCUUCCUUUUUUUGUCCAAAAAGAGGUUAUCCGUGACCAAGCAACCUUUCCAGCCAGUAGCUAGGUUUGUGAAAGUGAGGCUCUUGUUCACUAUCGCCAAACGGACAAACGAGUGCCUCGAUAUUGAACGCAGGUGUUUUUUUUUUUUUUUUNNNNNNNNNNNNNNNNNNNNNNNNNNNNNNNNNNNNNNNNNNNNNNNNNNNNNNNNNNNNNNNNNNNNNNNNNNNNNNNNNNNNNNNNNNNNNNNNNNNNGCAUCACAAUGCAAUCAUAUAGUGACAUGAUAUGGCCAUUAUCAUCUUUGCUCUUUCGAUCUCCAUCAUCUUCAGGCAUCGCAUGAUCAUCAUCGUCACCCGCGUGACACCAUGAUCUCCAUCAUCAUGAUCUCCAUCAUCGUGUCUCCGUGAAGUCGUCACGCCAACUACUACUAUCACUACUACUAUAGCUAACCGUUAGCAAUGAAGUAAAAGUAGUAAGCACAUGGCGUUGCAUCUCAUACAAUAAAUUUAAGACAACUCCUAUGGCUCCUGCCGGUUGUCACACUCAUCGACAUGCAAGUCGUGAAACCUAUUACAAUAACAUGAUCAUCUCAUACAUCAUACAUGCAACAUCACAACUUUGGCCAUAUCACAUCACAUCACAUGUCAAACCCUGCAAAAACAAGUUAGACGUCCUCUAAUUGUUGUUGCAAGUUUUACGUGGCUGAUUUGGGUUUCUAGCAAGAACGCCUUCUUACCUACGUGACAGCCACAACGAUGAUAUGCCAAAGCUAUUUACCCUUCAUAAGGACCCUUUUCAUCAAAUCCAAUCCGACUAGAGUAGGAGAGACAGACACCCGCUAGCCACCUUUAUGCACUGUGUGCAUGUCUGUCGGUGGAACCAGUCUCACGUAAGCGUACGUGUAAAGUCGGUCCGGGCCGCUUCAUCCCACAAUACCGCUGGAAAAGAAUAAGACUAGUAACGGAAAGCAAAUUGACAAAGCAUCGCCCACAACUUUUGUGUUCUACUCGUGCAUAGAAUCUACGCAUAGAAAACCUGGCUCGGAUGCCACUGUCGGGUCACGUAGAAUAAAUUCAAAAUUUUCCNUAGGGCAUAUUUCCAACAAAUUUAGCGUCGAGUGUGUAUGCUCAAGAUCUUUAACAAAAAUAGAUUGACAGAGAUAUGGAGGUAACUUAUAGACAUGACCACUUGAGGGCACAUCGUAGCUAAAAAACCUAUGGUAAUAGCUUGUUUCUUGUUAACUUGAAACAGAGAACAUGAAGCAUCUUAUGAUAUAUGCAGAUGACAAAGUGAGAGUAAACAACAAUGUGAAACAAAUGGUAGCAACAAACGACAUGUGAAGUAAUCCAAGCAGCCAAAGACCGAUACAUUCAUCACCUUUUUAUUCCUAGUGCACCCUUUGAAAUUGGAGAACAUAAUCUUCAUGAUAGGAAUAUUCAGAGACGAUUGAAAAUAGGGAAUAUGCACCUACACACAUCAUAAGGUUGUUCCCAGAUGUGGAUGCGAGCAGGCAUCCAUGGUCGAUAAUGAUUGCGGUACAUAAGGGGGUUUUAAGCACAGUUUUCACCACAAUUGAAGGGUAAUGGAGGCGGAGAUAACGAGGGCUCACCAAUGGAGUGGUGCGUGCUCCCGUUUCAUGCGCAUUUGUGGCAUGGUGGUGGAAGGGAUUGCAGCAAAAAAAUGGCAGCGGGAAGAUGAAACACCUUGAGUUAAUGCACAACAGCGGAAGAGCUAGCGAUGGUGGCUGGCAUGGGAAUCGUCGGGCGUAACAGAUCGUCGUCGUCGUUGAUGGUGGAAGGGUUAGUAGUGACAAGCGAUGGCUAGAUGGAGGGAAGCAUGGGUGCUGGAGGCUGCAUGUAGAACAUCAUGGACGGCAUCCGUUGUCAAGAGAUCACCGGGGAAGAUGACGGAAGGGCCCUAGGUGAGCGGUGGCGGCUGGCCGAGCGACAUGCAGGCGAUGCGAAAGAUGAGGAUGUUUUUUUUUCUAUAUCCUAUACCAUGGGCUUCAAACCUUUUUUUUUUUGCGUGGAAUGGACUUGAAACCUGCAAACAAUUCGGCUGCAAACACCCUUCGCAUAUAGGCGAGGGAACACGAAUCGAGCGACCGAGGCAGGAAGGAGAGCGGGUCGCUGCGAGGGGGAAAUAUGGGUGACGUGGCUUCACCACAUGCCAGGAAAGGAAUUGAUGAUGUGGCUUUACCGCUGAGGUGGACCGAGGUGGAUGGCUACAUGCAGAUUGCUAUGUGGACAACUUGCACGUAAAGAGAAUUGGGACCAACUUCUUAUGUAUUAUAGAUUCUAAUCCCUUAUGGGCCAUACUUGAUUAGAUUACGCCAACCUUUUUCCUGUAAUACUAGCUAAGGGCCAUAUGUAGCCAUGAUCUCACAAAACCAUAUCUUCCAACGAUAUCUUUUUGAUUUGAUAAUUCCGCAGCACAGAAUAGUGGUCAUGUCACAUGUGCACUGCCUCUAAUUUUCUUUGGGUCCUGUGGAUCAUGGGGCAUGCAUAACCUGUUUUGUUUACUUUUUCUCAUGAUUACUGUUCACCACAAGGACGCUGAGCUAGUCCAUACUUUUAUGUCGUCGGUUACACAUAUAUGUAGACCAGGACGAGCAGUAAAAUAUCACUGAAAAAUCGAUCCAUUGUCCUUGCAUUAUGUAAACAGAACAGUAAUGGUGUUCCCUGCCAAUUCAGUGCAAAUCGAAUCGUCAAAUCCCAAAUCAUUCACGCGCUCAUUUAUUUCCUAAUAAUAAUAAGAAGAAAUCUCAUCCAGCGAGUGUACCACCUAUAACAUUCUCAAGAAAACUGGGCGUUCUGGAACGAAGAUCUUCAACUUUAGAUUACUGAACAUACUCGUUGCGUUCUAAAAUAUAAGAUGUAUUAAUUUCCCCCAAAAGUCAUAUGUUUCUAUUGCCAAGUAUAUAGAACAUAUAUUAAUAUCUACAAAAUAAUAAUAAUAAUGAAAAUAUAUUUCAGUGAUACUGUUUGGAUAUUGUAAAUGUUAGAUUCUCUAUAAAUUUGGUCAAACAUGAAGAAUUUUGACUUUUCAAAAGCCUUAAUACACUUAUAUUUUGAAACAGAGAAAAUAAUUAUCACCUGUAGUAUCUUCGAGACGGAUAACUUCAAAUUUGACUUCUCAAAAACUUAAAUUAUUUUUGUGUUUUUGAUGUUCAUCCGCGCAUUACGAGAGCCAUUUCGACCCCCCCCCUCCCCCCUCCCAAGACCCCCCNCCCCCCCCCUCCCCCGUCCCAAGUCCCUCACUUACUGAACUGGGUCACUUUGGACCGUAGAUGGUUUUUUUAAUGGUUUUGAGGAUGACUUUGUUGGGUAGGCAAGAUAUGGUAAUUUUGAUGAUUAGCAGGUGAUGUGGCUGGGAACAUGAAUAGUUUCAUAACUUAGUAUAUACUUAUAAAUUUUUGAUUGAAUUGUUUAAUUUGAAUUGCUAUCAAUUUUGUUUUUGUUUUUCGAAAGGGGAGGGGGGUGAAACCCGGCCUCUGCAUCCAAGAAUGCACACAUUCAUUUUGAUUAAUUUAUUUAAUAAAGUCUGACAAAAUAAACACAUGAAUUCAGCCACAGGCACCUAUUUAACUAUCUCUGUCGGUUAUAACGACUAGCUUGAUGAAAUGCAUGGCCUCGUGUCAUAGUACCAUCGAAUCCGAUGGCCUCACCAGACUGUUUGCCGGCAAAUCAAGAGUACCAACCGGUCUGAACAGAUCACCCAACGGCGAAUCAAGUGCCGCGGACGAAUGGCUAUCAAAAUAGAACGUGAUAAACACCAUUUUUAGGAUUAGGACACAACUCUCAUCUCGAAUUAAACAUCCAUCGCCAUGCCCGAUCAUUUCAGGUUAAAAUAAUGACUGAGGUUAAGUUUGUACUCCGUCUCCAAAGUGCUCAACUGUAGGAAAUAUUAUAGUCCUUUCGAUUGUUCCUCAGUAGAAAAAGAAAGACUACAAAAUCGAAUUGUAGUAGUCCCGAUCAUUUCAAGGAAGCAAAUGGGGAGCUGCCUUAGAGAAGCAACCAAGGAAGGGGGCUGCCGAUAUUUCAUUCGACGACCAAAUGACGGAGCCAUUGUUAAUCUCGUGGUUGGUACAAUGAACUGUAGAGAAAUAGGGUGCCUCUAGCAAUUGGGACACGAAGCUAGUUAUCAUUUUCCUUGGAACUGGCAACUUGCAUAUUUAAAACUUGUAUUAAAAUAAAGUCUUGGACUUCUAUGAUGAUCAACAGAUAACGACAUGACAUAUAUAGAUUUAGGACUAUAUUAAACACGUACCAGUUUCUUUUCUUCAGAAUGAGACUUGUCGUGAAAGGGAAAACAAAGCUGCACUUGUCAAGGACAGAACGCCGUCGGUCUAAAUUCUAUCAUAUCUCGGGACAAUUUGGACAAAGUGUUUGGCAGGACAUUUUGCGAAGCAACGAUACUGUCGGUAGGUCCUUUCUAAGGCAGUAUCGUUCGACGGUCGCACAACGCCUCUGCUCGGCAACGGACGAGAUUAAUCCAAUUGAUUUGGUGAAUGGUGAUGUACUGAUGUUGAUGUUGAUGUCGUAUAGCGCAGUCAAAACAUAGGUCGUUUCUUGUUCAAGACCUGUGCAAGUCAUCAACCAUAAACACGCUCUCUGACUGCCUUAGCAUUCUGUCUACUGCGCUCUACCCGAUUUCCAAAAUACUCUGGCUGCCUUAGCAUUAGGACGAGUAUAAAAAGCGUUAGCUUUGUAGGGCAGUGAAUAUGGCUGUCUUUCUAUUUGUAUCGAAACUCAAGCGUAACACGAUAUGUUUGUUGAUGACUGCACUGUAACGACUAGCGUUACGAUAAGGUCAAUAAUGACAAAAUGGAUAAUGACUGGGAACUCAAGUUCUCAUUGGUUAGUGCAUACAAUCAUGAUGGGCUAAUUUGGCCCUUUGUACGUCUACGAACACGCUAUUCGUCCAUGCACAUAAUUAUCUCCCUUGAAUUGUUCGGACACAUGUAUAUAACUAUCAAAUAUGCUCGUGCGUUGCAACGAAAAAAGAACAAUUAAGUUAUGCAGAUGUGGUAGAUAUAAAAAAAUAUCUAAAUCAAAUGCUAUGAUAAGAUAAUGAUUUUCAAGAUGUCAUUUCACAAACUAUGUUUUAGUGAUGUCAUGAUGAAAGGGACUUUUAAAAAGUCAUUUCAAAAACUAGAAAUGUGAUGGUCUCAUCACGACUUGAUUUGCUAACGUGCCACAACAACAACAAAAUUACUGACCAAACUACUUUGAUGGACCCUUGCCUGAGCUAGACUAAUCCAUGAUGUGUCAUGCCUUGACCUAGCGUAACGGUGUUUUUCACAACCAGUAGAACUGUGGUACCAGAAUAUCCGUGUAUGGAGGUAAACUAGACAUUUAGUCAUUUUCAUAUAGCUUACAAAAACUAACCCAUAGGAACCUCUCGCAAUAAUUUUGGGGCUCAACAUUCUAUAGAACACGGAAACCUUUUUUUACUGGAUGUGCGAGGGACUAAAUAAAAUCAUAAAACAACUUCUAUAGAUCCUCUAAUAAAACCUCUACCUAAGCGAUGGUCCGUUUUGUUCGUUACUUACGAAUUGGUUUUAACUUUUGUGAACAUUCUCUGAUAUUUCAUGGACAUUCUUUUCAAAUUCUUGAAUAACUUUUGAAUACAUGAUCAUAUUUUAAAAAUCAUGAACAUUUUUUAUUUCAUGAUUCCUUUUAAAAUAUGUGCACAGUUUUUUGAAAUCACGAACAUUUUAUGAUUUCCUGAAUGUUUUUUGAAAUCACAAAUAUUUUAUGAUUUAUCUAUAUAUUUUUUUCAGUACUCGCAACUUUUUGAAAUUUGGAUGUCUGGAAAUACCAGAUUAAUUUGAGAAACAAAACCAAAAAAAAAAAGAGAGAGGAAAAAAAAAAGCGGCGUCACAAACAGCUUAUGGGCCGGCUCAUUACCAGGUGCAGGGAUUGUUAUUCUUUAAUAUGUUUUCAAUACAUGAUCAUAUUUUAGAAAUCAUGAACAUUUUUUAUUUCAUGAUUUCUUUUAUAAUAUGCGCACAGCUUUUUGAAAUUACAAAUAUUGUAUGAUUUCCCGAAUGUUUUUGAAUUCACAAAUAUUUUAUGAUUUAUCUAUAUGUUUUAUCAGUAGUCGCAACUUUUUUGAAAUUUGGAUUUUCUGGAAAUCCCAUAUUAAUUUGAAAAAAACAAAAACAGAAAUGAGAAAGGAAAAAAAAACAAGAGGCGUCAGGAACAGCUUAUGGGUCGGCUCAUUACCACACGCAGGGUUUGCUAUAUAUAAGAGAAAAGGAGAGAAAAAAAGAAAAUCCCAGAUUAAUUUGAAAAGAAAAACAAAAAUGAGAAAGGAAAAAAACAAAAGGUGUCACUAACAGCUUUUGGGUCAGCUCAUUACCACGUGCAGGGCUGCUAUAUCAUCAUGAGAUCGAUGAAAUUAUCAAAGACGUCUCGUAGUCAAUGAAAACCACUCUUACCACUUAACGUGCAUCCUCGAAAAUUUUAAAAUAAAUACGGGCAACAAAAUUUAAACACUGGUGGGCUGGAAUACCACGUUGACGAACCACAGAUUGAUUCACGCCUUACUACUAUGACAUCCAACCCAUAAUAGGCGCCCGUACCUUGUUCCUUUUUCAUGUCUAUCAGUUUUUUUUUUUUCUAAACAUGGCUAGCCUCUCUUUGCUCGUGGGAAUGAGCAGCUCCACUCGUUCAUUUCACUCACAUUCUUCCUAAUUCCUAUUGGCUCUACCCUGUAAGAAACCUGUCCUUAAUUAAUCGUUUACUCGGUGCUACUACUAUCAUACGUAGCGUUUUCCACCGUUCCUGCUUAUAUUAGUCGACCGUGGAACAGGAGCUAGGUAGUCAAUUGAUGUUCGUUAUCUUGGUGAUUUUCAUACUGGCCUCUGUCAACCUACUAUCAGUAGGAUGUUCUUUUCACUAUUCAUUUAUCGUAUGUGGAUUAACAGGGACAGACCAACGUUACAAUAUUCACGCGGUCCAUUCGGCGUCCAACACUGUCCAUGUAUCCCUUUUGCAGAGAUUCCAGUACUAUUCUAAAACCAAACAAGCAAAUGGCGAGGAGGCGACGGUAAACUAUACUCGAGGUUUCUCUCUCCGCACACAGAUAGUUAAAUAUCAAGAAGCAAGGUGUAUACUUCCACUUCAAAUUAUUGUUUUCAAAAAAGGAUGUUUUAUUACUUAAUUUAAGUAUUGGAAAAGGGUCCGUGCGUUGCAACGGGGAAAAAGAAUACCACACACUCUUAAUUUACCAAAAGUAGUCUAUAAUUUAAGUAUUUAUAGCUACGACCCAAACGAAGACGAUCUUAGCCUACAAAAAUGCAGUUUAAGAUUUUACUGGUCUUCUAUUUAAAUACGGCUUGCAUGUAGAUUUAAUAUGUAGAAAGAAACGGUCAAGUGAUCUUUAAUUUCGUCUCUAAUCCUAAUUUUGCUGAGAUGUUCAUCCACAAUCCAAAUCAGUACUGGUAUGAAAGAAAGAUGGGUAAAACACUAUUGAUUAAGAUUGCAUCCUAGAUAAUUUUUAAAAUGGUUAAUGGGUAAAAUAACAUCAUAUUCAGAUUCUACAUAUUUUUCUAAUCAAAAUUCAUAUAUAACAUGUUAGAUUUGAACUUGCGGUUUAGAAGAUAGGAGUAUUUAAAAAAUAUAUUUAAUAUGUAUAUUCAGAUUGUACAUAUUUUUCCAAUUAAAAUCCAUAUAUAACAUGUUAAAUUUAGAGUUGCGGUUUAGAAGAUAUGAUUAUUUAAAAAUAUAUUUAAUAUGUAUUACGGGUAUAAUGUCAAAAACAUCAAGGUUUUUUUAUAAAAUAGCAUGACGGACUAAGAAUACCUAUUUUUUUAUUAGUAGGUAUAGAUUACAUAUAGUCUCUACAUAACUAAGAUGCACACAGCAAAAAAAUAAGUUCUCACAUAAAGGAUAAAUAAAAGGCAAAAUACAAAGAAUCAUGUGGACUCCCUAUAACGCCUACAACGUAGGGGCCAAUACUAAGAUCAUGUUGUCACUCAUGUUAUGAAAAGUAUCUUCCGUCGUAACCUUCUAUCGUGUAAAUAGGUCUAUAUUCUUCAUUCGUUGUAGAGAUGACUAUAAACGAAGAGUCACGGUACAUCUAUAGAUAACCAACAUAAAAAAAAUUACAUUUAUCAUUAAAAACCUUACCGUUUCUACAUAGCCAAAGCAUCAAAUAACGACAAGCACUCUGACCCUGAUAAGAGUUCUAGACCUAUGACCUAUCCAUGCAACCAGUUGCCAAAUACAUUAACAACACUACGAGGACGAUACAAGCGAGAAGCUAGUAGGAUGACUCAUCACAUAGAGUGAGCCAAUUUGCAUUGGAAAAAUAAAUGUUUUAUUCUCUCAUCGUGGUGACAAAAUACACGCUGCAGAUUUCCAUGCCAAUUCCUCUUAAUAAGGUUAUCUUUAAUAGGAAUGACUCCGCGACGAAGAUACCAUGCAAAGAUUUUAUUCUUAAGAGGUAUCUUCAUUUUUCAGAUCUUCUUAUUAUUAUCAACUAGCACAUCAGACUAGAUUAACGCUCUAUACAUGGACUCUACUAAAAAAAGUCCAUUCCCAUGGAGGUUCCAUCAGAAUACAUCGGACCCAUGUGCAAUUGCACCAUGGACAAGCACUGGAGCAGAAUGUUCCAUGAUUAGAGUCUGGGUGCAAAUAUAUCCCCUCUGAACGUCGCAUUUGGUGGAAAUGAUUCCAAUACCGUAGCGAUAGUAUCACCCUUAUGAUGCACAAUGUUGUAUAGAGUUGGGUAUUGUUCCCGGAGUGUGGCGUUUCCUAGCCACUUAUCCUCCCAGAAUCUAAUUUCCGAGUCACCUUAAUUGAGAAGGAUCCAUAGCAGAAGAAAUAUUUCUUCGUAUCCAUUAACCGCGCCCAAAAGUGGGAAUCCCCAGGCUUCCAAUACUUAGGAUAAUGCCUUUGAGCCCACAUAUUUUCUCAGGGGGAGGGUUUGCCAUAGACUGUCUUCUGUUAGUAAUUUAAAUAACCAUUUGCCGAGGAGGGCCCAAUUCUUAACAUCAAGGUCAUGAAUGCCCAUCCCACCUUGGUCUUUGGGUCGGCAAACCACAUUCCAUUUAGCUAGUCAAUAUUUCUUUCUCUCGCUAUCUCCUUGUCAAAAGAAUCUUGAUCAGAAAUAAUCCAAUCUAUGUAAAACUCCUUUCAGCAAUUGCAAGAAGGAAAUCAUAUAUAGUACCAUAUUACUUAGUACUAAAUUUAUGAGGAUCAAUCUUCAGCCGAGAGACAAGAGUUUACCUUUCCAACUGCUAAGUCUUUUUUGCAGUCUCUUCUCGACUUGUUUCCAUUCUGCAUUUGUGAACCUCCGAUAAUGUAUUGUUAUCCCCAAAUAAGUGAUCGGAAACUCGCCCAACCCACAUCCGAAUGGGUCUGUGUACAGGUGAGCCUUGUCUUGAGCCUCGCCAAAGAAAAACAAUUCACUUUUAUGGAAAUUGAUUUUAAGACCUGACAGUUGCUCGAAUGCUGCUAAAUUAAUUUCAGAUUUUUUCCUUUCUCAAGGUCAUGAUUGAUACGUCUCCGUCGUAUCUAUUUUUCCGAACUCUUGUGCCCUUGUUUUGGACUCUAAUUUGCAUGAUUUGAAUGGAACUAACCUGGACUGAUGCUGUUUUCAGCAGAAUUGCCAUGGUGUUGUUUUUGUACGGAAAUAAAACUUCUCGGAAUGUCCUGAAAAUUUACGGAGAUUUUUUCUGGAAUAAAAGAAAAAUACCUGCGCAAAGAUCCAUGUGAGGGGGCGUGCCAGUGGGCCACAAGCCCACACGCCGCGGCCAGCCCCUAUGGCCGCGCCGUGCAGGCUUGUGGGGCCCACGUGGCACCACCGCCCCCAAUCUCAGCUCUAUAUCUUCCGUUUUGCGUGGAAAAAAAAUCAGAGAGAAGGUUUCAUCGCGUUUUGCGAUACGGAGGCGCGGCCACAUCCUGUUCUUCAUCUGGAGGGCAGAUUUGGAGUCCGUUUCGGGCUCCGGAGUGAGGAAAUCGUCGCCAUCGUCAUCAUCAACCUUUCUCCAUCGAAAAUUCCAUGAUGCUCUUCAUCGUUCGUGAGUAAUCUCAUCGUAGGCUUGCUGGACGGUGAUGAGUUGGAUGAGAUCUAUCAUGUAAUCGAGUUAGUUUUUGACGGGGAUUGAUCCCUAGUAUCCACUAUGUUCUAGAUUGAUGUUGCUACUACUUGGCUAUGCUUAAUGCUUGUCACUAGGGCCCGAGUGCCAUGAUUUUAGAUCUGAACCUAUUAUGUUGUCGCGAAUAUAUGUGUGUUUUAGAUCCUAUCUUGCAAGUUGUAGUCACCUACUAUGUGUUAUGACCCGGCAACCCCGGAGUGACAAUAGCCGGAACCACUCCCGGAGAUGACCAUAGUAUGAGGAGUUCAUGUAUUCACCGCGUGUUAAUGCGUUGGUCCGGUUCUUUAUUAAAAGGAGAACCUUAAUAUCCCUUAGUUUCCAUUAGGACCCCGCUGCCACGGGAGGGAUGGACAAUAGAUGUCAUGCAAGUUCUUUUCCCUAAGCACGUAUGACUACAUACGAAAUACAUGCCUACAUUAGAUUGAUGAACGGGAGCUAGUUACAUAUCUCUCCAUGUUAUAGCUGUUACAAGAUGAAUCACAUCCGUCACACUCAUCCAUCACCGAUCCACUGCCUACGAGUCUUUUACUACUGGUCCUCGCUAUGUUACUUUGCCUAGGCUUGUCCCUUGCUACAAAAGGGAUUGGGCCACUUUGCUGCUGCCGUCACUACUGUUGUUACUUGUCGCUUUGCUGCUUCUGUCACUACUGCUGUUACUUGUUACUUUGCUGCUGCUGCUACUACUGUUCCUUGCUACUCCACUGUUACUUGUUGCAAUACUUUGUUGGCGCUGACAUCCCGUCAACAAGGCUUUUUCUGGCGCCGUUGCCGGGGAUUGUCAAAGCUUUUUCUGGUGUCGUUGCUAUCAUACUACCUUGCUACUCAUACUUUGCUUGCAGACACUAAUCUUUCAGGUGUGGUUGAAUUGACAACUCAGCUGCUAAUACUUGAGAAUAUUCUUUAGCUUCCCCUUGUGAGCGAAUCAAUAAAUUUGGGUUGAAUACUCUACCCUCGAAAACUGUUGCGAUCCAUACGCUUGUGGGACAUCAAGGCUUUUUCUGGCGCCGUUGCCGGGGAAGCACAACUAUAUUCUCUGAGUCACUUGGGAUUGAUGUCUGCUGAUCACUAUGAGGAAUCUGAAAGAUCCAAGAACUAAAAUCUUGCCUUCCACUAGGAGGAGAGGUAAGGAACUGCUAUCUAGCUCUGCACUUGAUUCACCUUCAGUUUUUAGUAAGUUUGCGACAUCGCCUCCUGCUAGAAAUCCUGAUAUGUCGCUUGUGCUUGAUGAUGCUACUUCUGCUGUCCAUGAUGCCAUGCUAGAUACUAUGCCUGAUGAUGCUAUGCUUGAUACUAUGCCUGAUGAUGCUAUGCUUGAUACUAUGCUUGAUGAUGAUAUGCCUGAUACUGCUUUGCCACUUGGUGCCCUUGAUGCACAUAUUGCUAGAGUUGCUGCUAGAUGUGAUGAUACUUCUGAGACUGCUGAUACUAUUGAAGUAGAACCUGCUACUAUGCCUGAAUUGCCUGUUAUGCCUGAUACGCGCUAUGUUAUGGAGGGAGAGAUAGCUGAGGAUUUUCUUGCGUGUAAGGAUAGCUAUGAUGUUGAGAAACUUCUGCGUAAGUGGAAACAAAAAUCUCUGAACGCUAGGAUGAAAUACGACCUGAAGUUUGCCACUUCGCCAAUCUUUGUGACCGAUAAGGAUUAUGAAUUCUCUGUCGACCCUGAGUUAAUCACUCUGGUCGAAUCUGAUCCCUUUCACGGUUAUGAGUCUGAAAUGGUUGUAGCCCAUCUUACCAAACUGCACGAUAUAGCCACCCUAUUCACUAGUGAGGAAAAGAUCCGCCACUACUAUAUGCUCAAGUUGUUUCCUUUCUCGCUAAAGGAUGAUGCUAAGACCUGGUUCACUUCUCUUGCUCCUGGUUGUGUGUGUAGCCCCCAGGAUAUGGUCUACUACUUCUCUGAAAAAUAUUUUCCUGCCCAUAAGAAGCAAGCUGCCUUGUAGGAAAUAUACAACUUUGCUCAAGCUGAAAAGGAGAGUCUCCCACAAGCUUGGGGGAGGCUUAUCCAGCUACUGAAUGCUUUGCCUGAUCACCCUCUUGAGAAGAAUGAAAUACUUGAUAUCUUAUAUAAUGGACUUACCGAUGCUUCCAAAGACCACCUAGAUAGUUGUGCCGGUAGUGUUUUUAGGGAACGAACUGUAGAACAAGCUGAGAUUCUGUUGAACAACAUCUUGUGCAAUGAGAAUGCUUGGACUAUUCCCGAACCACCUCCUAAGCCAACUCCGGAGAAAAGAGGUAUUCUAUUCCUCAGUCCUGAAGAUAUGCAAGAAGCCAAGAAAUCUAUGCGAGAGAAAGGCAUUAAAUCUGAAGAUGUCAAAAAUCUACCACCUAUCGAAGAGAUCCAUGGUCUCGAUAACCCGAUACAGGUAGUAGAAGUAAAUUCUCUGUGUAGGUUUGAUGAGAGUGGUAAUCCUUUUGAUAAACCUGCUAGCUUAUGCAUGGAUGAAUUUGAUAACUUCGUUGCCAAACAACAGAGUUUCAACGAUUAUGUUAGCAGACAAUUGGAACAGAAUGCUCGUAUGCUUAGUCAUUUAAGUGCUUGUGUGGACAGAAACGUCAAUGAUCUUAAACUUCUGAGUAAACAUGCUUCUAUGGUUACUACUCAGGUAGAACAAGUACUUAAAGCUCAGAAUGACUUGCUCAAUGAGUUGAAUGACAAUUCCGUCAGAGUCGUUACUAGAGGCGAUAGAAUGACCCAGGAACCUCUGUAUCCUGAGGGUCAUCCGAAGAGAAUUGAACAAGAUUCUCAAGGAGUUAGCACUGAUGCACCUAGUCAUCCUAGAAAGAAGAAGAAAGAUGAUAGGAACCUGCACGCUAGCAACCCUGUUACCGCUACCCCUGAGAGUCCAAACGAUGCCUCUGUCUCUGAUGCUGAAACACAAUCUGGUGAUGAACAUGAGCCUAAUGAUAAUAUCAAUAGUGAUGUUCAUGAUGAUGCUCAACCUAGCAAUGAUAAGGAUGUGGAGAUUGAACCUAGUGUUGAUCUUGAUAACCCACAGCCUAAGAAUAGAAGAUACGAUAAGAAUGACUUCGCUGCUAGGAAGCACGGUAAAGAAAGGAACCGUGGGUUCAGAAACCUAUGCACUUUCCUCCCAAACCAUCCAAGAAAAAGGAUGAUGAGGAUUUUGAGCGCUUCGUUGAAAUGAUCAGACCUGUCUUUCUGCAGAUGCGUUUGACUGAUAUGCUCAAAAUGUCUCCUUAUGCUAAGUACAUGAAAGAUAUUGUGACUAAUAAGAGGAGGAUACCUGAUCUUGAGAUCUCCGCCAUGCUUGCCAACUACACUUUCAAGGGUGGAACUCCUAAGAAACUAGGUGAUCCUGGUGUGCCCACUAUACCUUGGUCCAUUAAAGGCAACUACGUUAGAACUGCUUUAUGCGACCUUGGAGCCGGUGUUAGUGUUAUGCCUCUCUCUCUUUAUCGUAGGCUUGAAUUGGAUAAGUUCACACCCACUGAAAUCUCUCUGCAAAUGGCCGACAAAUCAACUGCUUUCCCUAUAUGCAUUUGCAAGGAUGUGCCUGUUGUGGUUGCUAACACCACUAUCUUAACAGACUUUGUUAUCUUGGAUAUUCCCAAGGACGAUGCCAUGGCUGUCAUCCUCGGAAGACCCUUUUUAAACACCACAGGGGCUGUUAUAGAUUGCAACAAAGGCAAUGUCACUUUCCAUGUCAACGGUAAUGAGCAUACGGUGCACUUUCUGAAGAAACAAUAUCGAGUACAUUGCAUCAAUGCUAUGAAAAAACUUCAUCGAUUCUUAUUGGGAGCUUUGAAUGCCCUAUUCCUCGUGUCAAGAUGAAGUAUGAUUUGCUUGUUGGGGAGAUACACAUCCCCAUUGAGGUGACCUAGUGACUAUUCGAAAAUUCUCCGUUCUCUUUUGCAAUUUGAAAAGGUUUGUCGAGAGACUUGAUCAACCUCAUUGACAGAUUUUCUUUCGAUGACCAUGAGAUGGAUGAAUCGAGGAGUCACAAACCUCUGUUCCAAGCUUUCACCUUCGGUUGCUUAGAAGAAAAACGUAGGUUUAGUUUAGUUUUCCCUGUUUUCUGUUUUUGCGUCCGGUAGAAAAGUACCCCGAAAAUCAAAGUUCUCCGAACGCUGUGAAAAUCAAUUAUGAUUUUUUCUGGAAUAUUUGAAAAAUACUGGGACAAAGAGUCUGUGUGGGGGGCACACAAGUGGGCCACAAGCCCUAGGGGCGCGGGCACCCCCCUGGCCGUGCCACCCAGGCUUGUGGGGCCCACAGGCACCCCUCCACUCAUUCCUGCUACCAUCCAGUUCUCCUACCUCUAGAAAAAAUCGUUUCACAGCUCAAACCCCUGUUCUUUCUCCUCUUGCUGGGAUUUUCGAUCUCUUUGCUCAAAUCACCGUUCUCCGAACUGUUUUGGGGAAAUUACUCCUUCGUAAAUGACUCCUCCAUUGGUCCAAUUAGUUUUUGCUCUAGUGCCUUAUACUCCGCGAAUUUUUGCUGCCUUGGUGACCAUGAUCUUGAGCUUUGCAUGCUGAUUCCAGCUGGUCCCAAGUAGUUUUGAUGCGUAAUAUGGUCUCUAGGCACUUGUGGGAGUAAUUGCUACUGGUUUAGUUGAACCUUGUUCACCUUUCCUUUGAGUCACUGAAAAUUUCAGAAAAGUAAGAUGUUCAGGAGAAAAUUUCAUGGUGGUUCCUCAAGCAAGAGAGGUCCUCGUCUGGCAAUUUGGGAGCCUGAUCCUUACCAACCUAGAGACGCGCCAGUACAACCAUGUGAAUGGCCUUCUGAUGAAUUUAUGAUGGAGGCAUGCUUCAAAGAUGAGUUUGAUGCACUUGUUCACAACGUCGGACUCGAAGAAUUCAUCUCCGAUAAAUGUGAACAGUAUGUUGCUCUCACUGCCUCUUUUGUUCAUAGAUUCAAAUUUUCAGCUCGCCGCGAGCAAUCAGUACUGUUUGAUCUCUAUGAUAAAUCGUAUACCAUGGAUUUAGAGGAUUUCAGUAGAAUUUGCAAAAUACCUAUUUGGGGUAACCUCAAUGAUCCUCCUAAAUCUUCGGUUAGAGAUUUUUGCGCUGGUAUUACGGUUGGAGAAACUAGAGACAUUACGCAAGCUACCAUGGGGAGUAUUCAUUUUCCUGCCUUGCAUUACUUUGCCCUCUUCAUAGGCAGAUGCAUUAAUGGCAAGAUUUAGCAUUGUCACCUCUGCGCACCCGACCUUAGUAUCCUUAAGAGCGCAGUGACGGGUGACAAAAGUUUCAACAUGGGAGCUAUUAUAGCAAGGAGGCUGAAUAAGAAUGCUAUUGAAGGGGAUUUCUUUGGUGGGAUCUAUGCCACUCGCAUAACAAAUUUUCUUGGAGUACACAUCCGCGAAGGAGAUCCAUCGCUCCAUACAACUUUCCUUGACCGUGUCGCUUUGACACGCUACCGGUUCCUCGAGAGGGAUGAUGAAUCCCUCCUAUACCGUCUGAUAUUUAACCGGCAGUGUGUUUUCCAUAUUACCCUUCCUGCUCCUACUCUCUUUGACUUUCAGGUAAAACGGAGAUAUUACAUAACCAGAGGAGAGGCAGAGGAGUAUGAGAGGGAGGCAAAGGUUGCUCGUCUCCGUGAGGCAGCUAUUCAGGCAGUGGCUGCAGCGCUCCUGUAUAACCCCCAUUAUGAUUUUGGGUUUUGCCAGGACCAUCCUUGGGAGUAGACCAAGUUAGGCCAAAAGCCUAAGCUUGGGGAAGUAUGUGUUCUCACCGACUUUACAUUCUUGCUUAUGCUUUCAUUUUGUUAGCCGGUGUUCACACUUUGCCACUAAUAUCAUCAUGCUAGUUUUAUUUUCUUUUUCUCGUUUUCUUUUCGUGUGUCUGUCUAGUUUGAGAAAAAACCAAAAAGAUUUUCUUUUUCUUCUUUUGCUUGUUGGGAGCUUUCCCGUGUAGAUAGUUUUCUUUUUCUUUGGGUCAAGGUAGAAGAUAUUGGUUACACUGCUUAGUGGCUCUUGCAUGCAUACAUGUUUAGCUUUCAAAGAGCCAUAUUACUUUGUCUUCUCCUUUGUGUUUGCCUGCAGAUUCUAGCUUUUGUCCACUGCACGAGCACUCUUAUUAUUGUUCACAUCGUUCGGUCGUGCAAGUGAAAGGCAAUAAUGACGAUAUAUGAUGAAGUGACUGAGCCUGGAAAAGCUGGUAUGAACUCGAUAUAUUUUGUUUUUGUAAAUAUGACUAGCUCAUCAUGCCUGAUUCAGCUUUGUUGUAAGAGAAACAUGUUUGCAAUGACAACUUAGAGAUCAUAGUUGCUUAUGCCAUGCUUACUUAGGUAGGAGCUUAUAAUGGUUUGCCUUGGUUGCCAAUAUGAAUGUUGAGAUGACUAUGAUGUAGUAUGAUAGGACGGUAUCCUCCUUUGAAUGUUUCAAGUGGCUUGACUUGGCGCAUGUUCACGCAUGUAGUUGAAACAAAAUCAACAUAGCCUCUAUGAUGUUCAUGUUCAUGGUGAUUUAUGUCUUACUCAUGCUUGCACUCAAUGUUAGUUACUCUCAAUGCAUUUUGAUGACCGUUGUUGCUCUCUAGUUGGUUGCUUCCCGGUCUUUUGCUAGCCUUCACUUGUACUAAGCGGGAAUACUGCUUGUGCAUCCACCUCUAUAAACCCAAAAGUUGUGCCAUAUGAGUCCACCAUACCUACCUAUGUGCGGUAUCUACCUGCCGUUCCAAGUAAAUUUGCAUGUGUCACUCUCUAAAUCUUCAAGAAAUAAUCUGUUUUGCAUGCCCGAACCGCUCAUGUGGUGACAGGGGGCUAUUGGUAUCUUCCAUGCUAGGCGUGUUAUCCUCGAUAUGUGUUUAUUCACUAUCAUUCACGAGAAAGGGGACGGUAAUUGGAAUUCCCAGUUCCAUACUCAAAUCGAAAAGAUAAUUGCAAACAAAACUCCCCCAGGAUUGAUGUUGGUAUGGACGGUACCCGAGGAUUCGACUAGCCGUGGAGUGUGAUUGAUUGGUGGUGGGGGAGUCAAAACUUUACUUUUUUGUUUGGGAACCACCUAUAGCAUGUGUAGCGUGGAAGAUGUUGAGAACUCUUAGUCAUUGCGUUGACAAUGAAAGCAUGCCACCCAAAAUUAUUAUCUUUGUUUUCAAAGCUUGAGCUCUGGCACUUCUGCAAAUCAAUGUUUCCCUCUACGAAGGGCCUGUCUAUUUAUGUUCCUGUUGAGUCAUCCUACUCUUACAAAAGCACCAAUUAGAGAGCACCUCUGUCAUUUUUAUGCUUUGCUUUUAACUGUGUUGAGUAUGACUAUGACUGGAUCUUCAUUGCCUUGAAUUACAAUGUUUAGUCAGCCCUUGGUCUUUAAAGGUGCUCUGCAUUUAUGUUUUGCGGUCUCAGAAAGAGCUAGCGAGAUACCAUCUAUUCAUACUGCUUCAUGUUGUUUUGAUCGAAGUGUUGACAUUUGAGGCUUAUUAUUAUUUGCUCGCUAGUUGAUUAUGCCAUUGAUAUGAGUUUACCGUGAGACCUAGAUGUCAUUUGCUUAUGUGGUUUGCUUGUGAUGUUGCUGAAAUUCUGGUUAUGAGUUAGACAUAGUUGCAACAACAAGAUCAAACAGAAUUCGUCAAAGUUUUUCUUUUGUCUCUCUUAAUUUGUCAACUGAGUUGCUUGAGGACAAGCAAGGCUUUAAGCUUGGGGGACUUGAUACGUCUCCGUCGUAUCUACUUUUCUGAACUCUUUUGCCCUUGUUUUGGACUCUAAUUUGCAUGAUUUGAAUGGAACUAACCCGGACUGACGUUGUUUUCAGAAGAAUUUCCAUGGUGUUGUUUUUGUGAAGAAAUAAAAGUUCUCGGAAUGUGCUGAAUAUUUACGGAGUUUUUUUUUGGAAUAAAAGAAAAGUACCUGCGCAAAGAUCCAUGUGAGGGGGCGUGCCAGUGGGCCACAAGCCCACAGGCCGCGACCACCCCCUAUGGCCGCGCCGUGCAGGCUUGUGGGGCCCACGUGGCACCACCGCCCCCAAUCUCAGCUCUAUAUCUUCCGUUUCGCAUGGAAAAAAAAUCAGAGAGAAGGCUUCAUCGCAUUUUGCGAUACGGAGGCGCCGCCACAUCCUGUUCUUCAUCUGGAGGGCAGAUCUGGAGUCCGUUUCGGGCUCCGGAGAGGGGAAAUCGUCGCCAUCGUCAUCAUCAACCUUUCUCCAUCGACAAUUCCAUGAUGCUCUUCAUCAUUCGUGAGUAAUCUCAUCGUAGGCUUGCUGGACGGUGAUGAGUUGGAUGAGAUCCAUGUAAUCGAGUUAGUUUUUGACGAGGAUUGAUCCCUAGUAUCCACUAUGUUCUAGAUUGAUGUUGCUACUACUUGGCUAUGCUUAAUGCCUGUCACUAGGGCCCGAGUGCCAUGAUUUCAGAUCUGAACCUAUUAUGUUGUCGCCAAUAUAUGUGUGUUUUAGAUCCUAUCUUGCAAGUUGUAGUCACCUACUAUGUGUUAUGACCCGGCAACCCCGGAGUGACAAUAGCCGGAACCACUCCCGGAGAUGACCAUAGCAUGAGGAGUUCAUGUAUUCACCACGUGUUAAUGCAUUGGUCCGGUUCUUUAUUAAAAGGAGAACCUUAAUAUCCCUUAGUUUCCAUUAGGACCCCGCUGCCAUGGGAGGGAUGGACAAUAGAUGUCAUGCAAGUUCUUUUCCCUAAGCACGUAUGACUACAUACGGAAUACAUGCCUAUAUUAGAUUGAUGAACGGGAGCUAGUUACAUAUCUCUCUAUGUUAUAGCUCUUACAUGAUGAAUCACAUCCAUCACACUCAUCGAUCACCGAUCCACUGCCUACGAGUCUUUUACUACUGGUCCUACGUUACUUUGCCUAGGCUUGUCCCUUGCUACAAAAGGGAUUGGGCCACUUUGCUGGUGCUGUCACUACUGCUGUUACUUGUCGCUUUGCUGCUGCUCUCACUACUGCUGUUACUUGUUACUUUGCUGCUGCUGCUACUACUGUUCCUUGCUACUCCGAUGUUACUUGUUGCAAGACUUUGUUGGCGCUAACAUCCCGUCAACAAGGCUUUUUCUAGCGCCGUUGCCGGGGACUGUCAAAGCUUUUUCUGGUGCCGUUGCUAUCAUACUACCUUGCUACUGAUACUUUGCUUGCAGACACUAAUCUUUCAGGUGUGGUUGAAUUGACAACUCAGCUGCUAAUACUUGAGAAUAUUCUUUAGCUUCCCCUUGUGAGCGAAUUAAUAAAUUUGGGUUGAAUACUCUACCCUCAAAAACUGCUACGAUCCCAUACGCUUGUGGGACAUCAAUGAUCCAUUAAGAGAAUUGUAUCGUUGGUGUAUUGAAGUAUAGAGAGACCAUCAUCAAUUAGAUGAUUUACUACCCCAUCAAUUUCGCCAUCAACCUUCACACGCUCAAUCAUGACCGCUAGCAUAUCUGCCACUAUGUUAAAUAGCAUGGACGAUAUCGAGUCACCUUGUCGCAACCCCUUCUUUGUUUGUAAAUAUUGGCCAAUGUCAUCAUUGACCUUAAUGGGAACACUACCUCCAAUAACGAAGCUAUGGAUCAUAGCGCGCCACUCUACAGAAAAUACUUUCAUUCUCAGAGUUUGUUGAAGGAAUGGCCAUAUGAGUUUGUCAUAAGCUUUUUCAAAGUAUAUUUUGAGCCACCCCAUUCAACUUUUUCCGAUGUAAUUCAUGCACAACUUCAAUAAGGACAACAACUCCAUCUAGGAUGUGUCUACCUUGCAUAAAAGUUGUCUGUAAAGGACGAACCACAUGUUUAGCAACGAAAUUUAGCCUAAUAGUCACAACCUUCAUGAAUAUUUUAAAAGUAACAUUAAGGAGGCAAACAUGUCUAUAUUGUUGUAUCCUUUCAGCCUCAUUAACUUAGGUAAUAAAUUAAUCUCAUCGAAGUUUAAGCGAAACAAAUCUAGUUGGCCAACAUGUAGCUUGCUAAACAGAAGUAGAAGGUCCGAUUUGAUGACCUCCCAGCAGUUUUGAUAGAACUCUGCGGGAAAACCAUCUUGGCCUUGGGCUUUGUUGUGCUCCAUUAGGAAAACUACCUUGCUAACUUCCUCUUCAGAGUAUGGGGAUGUUAGUAGGCUGUUUUCCUUGUGAGAUACCUAUGGGAUUUCAUCUGUUCAGGACUCAUCCAGCGAGAAGUUUCCUUCCUCUGGGGCUCCGAACAGAUUUUUAUAAUAAUUAGUGGUGUAAUUUUUAAGUUGUUCCUGGCCCUCAAUCGUACCCUCAUCCUAUUGCAGGGAAUGGAUAAGUUUCUUUCGGUGUCUGCCAUUGGCGACUUCAUGGAAAUAUCUAGUAUUCGAAUCACCUUUCAGGAUAAAUUGAGAGUUAGAAUGUUGGUAUCAUCUGAGUUCCUCUUCACGCAGCAUGCUAGAUAUAUGUGCAUUCUAUUGACUCUUCCGCCAAAGCUUCUAAUUAUUGUUGUGAUGUACCUUUCGUGCUUGACUGUUUUUUAUGAAUCUUCCAAAAAAUCAUUUUCUUUCUAUGUGGACAUCAUCCUUAGGUUUCCUUGUCGUUUUAAGUUUCCAUCCCUCACAAACUCAUAAUGGUCCACAUGACGGGAACUAUUUUUGUGUAAUACAUGAGUCGUACACACGCGGGCGAGGAGAAAUAGAACUCCUGACCCACCUUGUUGCUCUCACAUGCAACACAGGGAGUCUCAACCUUCGGCCACCGCAAACCCCACACAUCCACCCUCGCCCUCACCGUUGCCAAAGGAUGCGAUCGGGCCAAGCCCAUGCUGCGGAUGACGACCGCAGGACGAGCUCUCUUUCAUGGUGCGACAUUUUACUGGUGCCCCUGCCGCUCCCUAUGCGGCGCCAAAUCCACGCAUCCUUGUGUGGUGAAGCGCCCCACAUUCGGGUGCAUGUUGAGUGGCCCAUGGCUCAUCGUCUGUCCUCCCUCUUGCAGGCUAGAUGGGCGUCCUCGUGUUGAGGUGAAAGUGCCUGCCGAUCCCCCCGAUAUGAUCUGGGUGAAUUGGUGCUCGGCCCAUGGCUACAAUCGAGUGACGAAGGGGUUGAUCGGGGCGGCGUGGGGGCUUAAUUUCGUGAUAAUAAAGGUGGAAGUCCUCAUUCUUCUCUCGCAUCACGGCAACAUCCUGCAUGAUCGGUCCUUCCUCACUGGACAUCCAUGUGUUCCAAAACUGCUAUCGGAGAUCUUGCCCAAGAUAUUCGAAUCAGAGAGAAUUCAGUCGUGUACGUCUAUUUCAACCUAUGAGGUUUCAUGAGGGCGUGACACGAAGCUCUCUUGUUUGAUGAAACCAUGGGACAUGUUGCCUCUCGAUUUCUAUGACGUAGACAACUAUGGAGAAGGUUUUUGUGGGUAAGAUCGAAGGAUCAGUUAGACAGACGAGGCCUUCAAGGCGAUGGUGUCAGCAAGUGAUUCGGUAACUCCCAGGAGGACCAGUGUCAAGUGGGGGUGGCAGCAUUGGAGGAAUUCUUUUGGUGGUGUUCUUCGGGUGUCGAGUCGGGAUUUUCAGGGUGGAAACCAAAGGUCCACCCUUCAUUGGUUGUCCAUGGCAAUUGUCUUGCUGGAACAAUUGUUUUGAGAUAUCAGACUUCUCCAGGGUUUAAACCUAAGAUCUUGCAUCUAGAGUUUUCCACGCACUCCCUUACAAUACUAUUCCUCCGCUGUAGAUAACCCUUUCCUUCCUUCGCCAAUGUAUGAGUGUGAGGAUGCUACAAUAAUCUGGAUGAAAUUGUAGUUUUCCUUACUAUAGGGAUUUUAUUAGUAGGGGUUUGUGGUUGUGGCAUCAAUCGAGAAUUUUUUUCUCAAGCUUCCCCAUCUCAACUAUAUGGGUUGUUGUGGUGUAGAUGGUUCAUUGGUGUAGAUUUUUGUGUAUAAUUUUGGACGAUAAAGUUAGGGUUUUCCUAGUUUGUUAGUGUGUGCCAACGGUGACUUUCCCUUGUAGUUUGGUCCACCAACUAAUUUCCUCCAUGCUGAUGCGAGAUCUAGUGUUGGCAUGAGAACUCUGACUUCUUUGGAGGCUUGGACCUUGGAUCAGUGGGUCUUCGGGCGACGGUGACUUGGAUGGUUUCUUCACUAGGGCAGUGGUUCUACAUGAUCGUGGCUUUGAUGACUUCCUGUAUGUGAUCAACAACAACUUGUUGGCCAUGAUGAUGGAAAGGCAACAAUGGCGGUACAAUAUACAUGCUUAGGAGGAAGAACACAUCCGGCCUCACAGAGACCUUAGUAUAUCUACUUUAUUUUCCAGGAGUGUAUUCACUACUCACUAGUAGAAAAAGAGCUUUUAGCCCUGGUUCGGUUGGGCCAUUAGUCCUGGUUCUUGAACCGAGACUAAUGCUAGCCACGGUUCGGCCUCAAACCGGGGCUAAUGGCCUUCCACGUGGCGGGGCUGGGAGCGAGGGGGGAGGGUAUUAGUCCCGGUUCGUAUUACGAACCGGGGCUAUUUCUUUGCUGUUUUUUGAGCAAUUUUUGGAUUUAGGAUUUUGCACUAAAUUGGACGGGGCUAUUUUGUUGCCCCCUAUUUUCUCAUCUAUUUGUUUUGGGCAUUUUUUAAUUCUUGUUUUGCAUUAAAUUUGAUGGUACAUACACAACAAUAAAGGAACAACUAUAUUGCACAUCGUCACGAAUAUAUUACACCAUCUCAUCUGUCGUGCUUUGUCGAACAUAUUUACAAAAUGUACACACGAGUUACAUGCACAUAUAUGCAUCUUUUUUACACUAUAUCAUUUCAUAUCAUUUGCGCCGAAUGGCAAUAGUAUUCUCCCUUGACAUCUAGGACAUCUGCAUCUAAGAAUCUCACAAUUUCCUCUUGAAUUACUCGUACACGUUCCUGUGGUAGAAGACCGUCCUGCAGCCGUUCGAUCUAAUUUAAAGAAGGGGUCAAUAUAUAUAUCAAUGUAAACAAACACAAUUCAUGGUAAUAAAAUAAAGCUGUGAGUAUUGUUUAUCGUACUUCGAUUUUUUUUGAUGUCUCGGGGUUUGCCCUUCUGAUGGGUCGUCUGACGAAUGAACUCACAAACAUAGUAUCCACAUAAAUUGUUCCCGUGUUCCUGCCUCAAGCACUUCACGAGAACAGAGUUCAAUCAAAAACAUAAUCAAGAAUUAUAAUGAUAUUGAAACUAGAAUAAAGAGAUGCGCGGAUCUAGCUAGUAGUUACUUGCAUCUAUUUGUUUAAAUGUAAGCUCUGACUUCCAAUCACCCCGAGCCUUGGCGGUGAACCGUUUUCAAGCCCUGCCAAGAAAAGGAAAUGAAUAAAGGAUUUCUAUAUUAAUUCCUUGCUAUCAGGAAAUGAACGAGAAGUUGCCGAUAUAGUGCCAUAAUGAUUGAAAUUACCUCUGGAGGCAUUCCUGCAUGUUCGUCAAUUCAGCGAGGGGUGUGCGUUUUGGGUCCAUGACUAUUACUUGUCCCUUGUAAGGUACAAUGAUUAAUAAAAUAAAGUGGAACCUGCGCGCGCAUAACGAGUCAAUUAUACGUACACUUAUAAUAACAUCGAGUAAGCGAAAAUAGAAUGUGUGUAUAGUAACACUCACUUGAAGUUGUAAGGACAUAAUAUUUCCCUUUUGGUACUGCAAAACCUUAACCCUUGUACCAAGUUAUUCUAUGUCUCGUGGGGAUUCGUUUCGACACUUUGAUGAUGAUUGUAAUAUGGGUCAAUGAACCCAAUGUCAUAGAUUUGUCCUCUUUUUCAUUCAAGAAUCUUCAUUCUGCAAAAUUAAUAUAGUGAUGAGUAAGAUUAUACAUGCAAGAACGAGUUGAGUAAGACUUAAUGACAUAAAUUAAUAAUAUUUACAAACAAUAGGCACUGAUGAUAGAUUUGUCGAGGGCGUCUUGUUUGUAUAACUGAAAUAAUUCGCCGAAUUCAAUCAUGUGCACGCCUCGUCCAAUCCCAAAAUGCUCGUCUUCAUAUGCAACGUAGAUCCAAUUUUGUUGUUUAGUACAUGCUUGCAUGUAAAAGUCAUGCAAUCUUCGCAUUUUGGUUGGUAGCUCGUUGACUAACUCAUAUUUGACGAGAGGAGACCCGUACCGGUACACGUAUGUUACGUCAGCGAAUUCCUGCAAAUGGUCUAAGUACUCUGAAAUAGACAUGCCUUGAGCCUUGGCCGCUUCUCCGUAUAUUGCAACAAACUCCGGAUCGAUAGCAGCUGUUUCGUCAUUUCUCUGCUCGACCGCAGCUCCACUCGAGCACACCUUUGUAUCGGAAUACACUCUGAGCGGGGGGCACGAUUGGUUUUUCUAUUCUCCAAGCCGGGCAACUGAUUUCCCGCUGGACGUACUACUCUUCAACCGCUGCUUUUUUGCCUGAGUCGACUUGAGAAUAGAGCGUUCAUAGUCUGCUGGCAACAGUGGCGGGGGAUCUGUAAGGUUUUUCAGCAUUUUCAUGCACGCGGGGUGAUCUUCUGGGGUGUUCGGGAACUCUGGCUCUUUCGGCUUCUUCUUGUUAGCCACUUCAGCCUUCCACUAUUGAUGUUGGGCGUCUGCCCUCUUAAUAUUGUCCUCUCCACUAUAGUCCCAAGGUCUCUUCUCCAUAUCCUUAUGAGGUACUUUUGGGAGGGGCGACAACUUACGUUUCGGUGAUCGGAACUUUCUACCGCCACUAUUAGCGGUGGUACGUUUCCGCUUUUUGCUCUGAUCCUCAGUGGACGAAGAUGGCUGACGGGGCGGUGGAGACGACCGACGGGGCAGUGGAGACGGCUGACGGGGCGGUGGAGACGGCUGAUGCAACGGUGGAGACGGUUGAUGCGGUGGUAGAGACGGCUGCGCUGGAGACUGGUGAGGCGGCGAAGACGACGAUUGCGCUGGAGACUCGUGAGGUGGAGGCGAAGAAGGAUUGCUGCUAUGAGGAGUCGGUGGCCUUGGCGUCCAAUUUGGAAGCAAGAUGUCCUCCUUUGGCCAUACAACGGUUUGUUUCUUGACUUCUCCAAGUUGAGUCAAAUCCCUAUCUUCACCUGCAGGGUGGUCAAGCUUCAGCUCCUCAUAAUAUUUCAUCACUUCAUCCACCGCGACGACAGCGUGCCCUUCUAGAACCGGAGAGCAAUGCCAAGUUGGAUUAUGUCCAAUUGGUAUGUGGCCAUGCCGACCGCCACCGUCAACCUUAAGUUAGCAAGUUUCACCUUUAGCUCACAAGGUGUGCUCUCUGUGAUAUCAUCCACUGGAUAGCGACGAGGAGGAUCCGUCGUCAGUGCAUCAUCACCAUCAUCCUAGAGCUGCGUGGAAGCGACACUGCUUUUCCGAUUCGAUGCAGCUUCUAUCAUGAGCGCUGAGAUUGGUCGCUACCUUGUUGUUUGUCGAUUUGAUCCUGCUACAACUGCUUUACUUCUUAUUCUAGAUUAUGCAACUGGUUAGGCUUCUUCUGGUGAUCUGCCUCACCGUUGAAAUCCUUGCCUUUCUUUCUUACGGGAUAAUUGGUCGGAAGAAAUCGACGACACCCCAGGUAGACAACAUUCUUAUAUUUUUCCAAAUAUAUACCUUUAAUCUUAUUUAAACAGUGCGUGCAUGCAUUGUAUCCCUUGUUUGACUGUCCUAAAAUGUUACUAAGAGCAGGCCAAUUAUUGAUGGUUACGAACAACAAUGCUCGUAGGUUCAAUUCCUGACGUUUUUGCUCAUCCCAGAAACGUACACCUGGUUUGGCCCACAACUACAAAAGUUCAUCAACUAAUGGCCUUGGGUACACAUCAAUAUCGUUGCCGGGUUGCUUCGGUCCUUGGAUGAGCACUGGCAUCAUAAUGAACUUCUGCUUCAUGCACAACCAAGGAGGAAGGUUGUAGAUACAUAGAGUCACGGGCGAGAUGCUAUGACUGCAGCUCUGCUCCCCAAAAGGAUUCAUGUCGUCUGUACUUAGACCAAGCCAUAAGUUCCUUGGGUCAUCUGCAAAGUCUAGCCACUCCCUCUCAAUUUUCCCCCACUACGACCCAUCUGCGAGGUGUCUCAACUUUUACCCGUCUUUCUUACGCUCGUCUUUGUGCCGUCGCAUCAACUUGGCAUGCUCAUUGUUUCUGAACAUCCGUUUCAAUCGUGGUAUUAUAGGAGCAUACCACAUAACCUUAGCAGUUACCUUCUUCCUGGGGGGCUCGUCAUUGCCCUCAACAUCACCAAGGUCAUCCUGUCUGAUCUUGUACUGACAUGCAGUGCAUACCGGGCAUUUAUCCAUAUUCUCGUACUUCUCACCAUGGUAUAGGAUGCAGUCAUUAAUGCAUGCAUGUAUCUUCCGCACAUCUAAUCCAAGAGGACAGAUAGCCUUCUUUGCUUCGUACGUAGUCUCGGGCAAUUCGUUAUCCUUUGGAAGCUUAGACUUCAAUAUUUUCAGUAACUUCUCAAAUCCCUUGUCAGAUAAACCAGUUUCUUCCUUCCAUUUCAACAGUUCUAGUGUGGUACCGAGUUUUGUGCUACCAUCUUUGCAAUUUGGUUACAACAACUUUUUAUGAUCCUUUAGUAUGACCUCCAAUUUCAGCUUCUCCUUUUCUGUAUCUCUUUCUCUCUUUGCAUCAGAAAUGACCCGACCAAGACCAUCAACGGGCUCAUCUGAUGCCGGUUGUUCUUCACCUCCUUCUUCUUCAUUGUCUUCCAUUGUAGUAUCACCGUAUUCUUAAGUGAACAUAGGAUAGUUGUCAUCAUCAUCUUCUUCUUCAUUGUUUUCCAUCCUAACCCCUCUUUCUCCGUGCAUGGUCCAACAAUAAUAUGUGGGCAUGAAACCUCUCUGAAGCAAGUGGAGAUGGAUGUUUUUCGAGCUAGAGUACUCCUUCACGUUUUGACAACCAACACAUGGACAAGGCAUAAAAUUAUCCACUUUGUUUACCUCAGCCACAUCGAUAAAUUUAUGCAGGCCUGCAAAAAAUUUGGAACCGCGUCGUUCGCCAUACAUCCAUCGCUUCCGUGCAUCGAUAUGGCAUCAUACAUGAAUAGUGAAAUGACCACCCUACAUUGACACAUGCAAUAUUUUUGUAUCAAUUACAGAUGAAAAGGAUAAGGUUGCUAACCUCGGCCGAGGAUACCAUUUUGUGUGAACUUAGGUGUGACUCGGGCAUUAGUCCCGGUUCGUAAUGUACUCUGAAGUUCGUCGGUCAUCGUACAUCCAUUGGCGGUUCAUCUCUAUUAUGAAAUUAAGUAUAUCAAAAAACCAUUACAGAACAUCAUGAAUAGAGAAAUGACCAAAUUAAUACAAGUUCAUCAUCACAUUAAAAUCAAAGCACAGUAGUGAUCAAAUGUUAUUAUUGCAAAAGAUAAAUACAUAAAGUUCUCUCAUAAAACAACAUACAACUAUGUAAAACAUUUAAAUGCAACAACAAAUGCGAUCAAAAUCGCAACUAAGGUAACAAUUGACCCAACAACAUAAUGAUACCAAGCCUCUUUAUCAAUGGCAUAUUUUCUAAUAUUCCUAAUCUUCAAGCGCAUUGCAUCCAUCGUCAACCGCAUCGCAUCGAUCUUCAUCUUGCGAUCAUCGAUGACAUAGGCGACAUGCAACUCUAGUUCCAUAUUCUUCUCCUCAAUUAUUUUUAAUUUUUCCUUCAAGUAUUUGUUUUCUUUUUCAACCAAAUUUAACUUCUCGACAAGAAUUUUUAUGUGGGUUGGACUUUCCGGUUCACAUACCUCUUAGUUAAAAAUAUAUAUGUCACGUUGGUCGUCAUAAUUAUCAUAAACACUAAAUAAAACAAAUAGUUAUAAAAGAUAAUAUAUACCACAUCCGAAUCAUAGACAGGACGAGGGCCGACGGAGGCGGAUACCACAACCAUCGCACUAUAUAAUAACAAAAAAUAUUGAAAGGAAGUAAUUUAUACAAGCAUGUAUCUAAAUCAUACAAGUAAGAUUUUUUUUCUUUUAAAAAGAAGAUAAGAACUAGAGGCUCACCACGGUGGUGCUCGCGACGAGAUCGGCGCGGGCGAUCGACAACAGUGAGGAUGGACAUGGGACGGCACCCUACACAUGUGCAGACUCUAAGAAGUUAAUUUGAGCAUUUGAAAUGAGCUAAACUAGCAGUGACAGAUGAAAGGAUGAAGUAGCUAACAUUUUAAAACACUUGCGCGGUUGGUGCACGGCCAAACCUAGACAAAUAUUGAGGAAAAUGAAGCUUGGAGGUCAAGCUUGGAGAGGAAAAAUCUUAAGUAGUGUGGCUCGGGCAUUUCACCGAACACCUCGUGUGCAUGAACUAGAGUGACAAGAGCAUGGCAUGGUCACACUUCAACAGCCAAAAAACAAAGGAGAGGCUGGGCUGGGCGAGGGUUUAUAUAGGCAACACUUUAGUCCCGGUUUUUGUCUAAAACCAGGACUAAUAGCCUACCCUUUAGUCCCGGUGCUUGCUACAAACCGGGACUAAUGCUCUAUGGCACGCCACAUGGCGGUCACUGGAUCGUUAGUCCCGGUUUUUGCCACGAACCGGGACUAAUGAGGUGAAUCGAACCGGGACCAAUGCCCUGGCAAACUGAACCGGGACCAAUGCCUGGCAUUGGUCCCGGUUUUUAUUUGAACUGGGGUAAUGUGUAUUUGUGCUCUGGCCGAAAGACCCAUUUCUACAAGUGACUAGUUUGAUUAAUAGUCUUGAGGCCAUUUUUCGCAAGAAAACUUUGUGCAACUCUAACGCGUCAUAGUUCAUGACAGCGGCCAUAGUUCAAACACACACAUUUAACAAUGGCAGGCAUACAUGCUAGCCUACAAAAACAAUGCCAUAGUUCAUGAUCGCACACUUCCUAGUGCUCGGCCACUUGCUAGCACACAACAAGUUCCACCGUUCGUGCAUCUUGGCCAUGCCGACAUAGAGAAACAAUGGCGGUCUCGGUCAUAGAUCCAUCAUCUAGCUGGAGCAUCACCUUUUUCUUCUUCUUGAAACAAACCCUUCUCCUUCAGUGACACUUUAUUCAAGUUCACCAUCACGAUCUUCACCUUCCUGGCCAUGAAAGUGAGCGUCUCCUCCUUUGAUUUGGUCGUUGCAUUGGUUGCCUCAAUCUCGAGCUUCUUUCGUUUGGAUGUUCUCCUCGAUCUGAAGCUUCUUCUCUUGUAUCUUGGUAUAGGUCUUUAUUAGUUCCUAUUUCUCUUGGCGCUUCCUAUCUUUCCUUGUUUCCAUUUAGAUCACCAUGCCUUACAAAAUUUCUUGCAAGGUGAAUGCCGUUGCAUCAUUCUUCUCAUCCAGCUUGGAGUUGGCCUUCCCCCUCGGUCGCUUUUUUCCUUCGCCAUGCACUUCGACGACCAUCGAACCUCCAUUCUUCUUAAGGGCGACAUAUUGCUGCUUGAACUUUUCAGUUUUACUAAUGAUCGUCUAGGUUAGGGUGAAUGGCUUGUCUCAUGUUGGGCCUUCAAUGCUUCCAAAGCUUGGUAUGCCUACAAAUGAAAAUGAAGGCUACAAUGUACAUUCAUAUGCAAUGGACAUGCAAAGCAUCAAUCUAUCGAAACAAAAAUGAAGAGAAAGGAAUUGUAUACCAUGUCUUCCAUGCCAAGGCCACUCACGGGAUGACAUUUGAUGCUCUUAAGGGUGGCACAAAACUUGUUGCAUCCUUACUUGAAACCCCAUCUCUUUUGAGAUGGACACCCGCCCACGUUUGCUCUCAAACUUGUAGGGCGGAAACUUCCUAUGUUCAUGGAAGUAUGUACGAACGCCCCCCCCCCCCAAAUGUCGAUCCUUUUUGCUCGGCAUCGAUCUUCGGAUCUUGUCCAAUUUCCUUCCAACCUUCGCAAAUGAGCGUGCCCUCAUCCUUUGUGUAUGCCUUGGUCUGAAUGCUUUGACGCCUUUUCUUUUGUGCAUUAGCUUAUUGAGUGAGCUCGUAGGCAAACAAUGGCUCCUUGAGGACAGGGUGGACGGCCAUGCCGCCCGUGGCGUCGGGUUCUGGCGCAUUAGCCAUGGCGAGUGAGUGGGAGGGUGAGAGAGAUGGAGGGUCUUGGAAGGGAGGGGAGAAAUAUGGUGGAUGUGCCACCGACAAGCGUGUUAGGGGGAGGACAAAGGUGGACGUCGCGCGUGUCCACGUCGAAGCAAACUCAGACCAAACUUGAGUUAGAAUUGGAUCAUGGGCAGACAAAAAAACAAACGGGGCAUACGUUUGCAUCGUCACGUUGGGUCGUUAUUUCUAACCCAAAUGGACGUGCGUGGAUGAAAUGCGUUGGUGCGUUGAAAUGGCCCUAAUUUUAAUGAUAUUUGGCCAAUAAUCAAGCCAAGGUGGCAACGUGCAAUUUUAUACCAAGUACAUUUGCCUAGGAAAAUACUUUACCGGUGUGUGCAAAGACGAAUAGGGGAAGUGGGGUGAGUGAAAAAUUGUUGAUGAUGGUUGUUUGUUUCAUAGGAGUAGGGGGAGGGGGAGGGAGAUGAACGUGUUUGGGUGGAGAAAAUGAUAGAACGACACGAUUGAAGUGCAUAAUAGCAAUACACUUAAAAGAGAAGCUCGUCUAGAUGGAGUGGUGGACAACACAAUGGUUGUUGUCGCCGGCUCGGAUUCGAGUCUUCUCAUCUCAUAUAAAAAUAAGAUAGGGAAAGUCUCCUCUCUGUUCUAAUUCUUUUCUUGAAAUACACCAAAAACUAGUUUGUAUUUGCACAAAACUGGACCAUGAUUUACCGUUGUCAUGGACAAAAAUCAUGGUAUCGAAAUUUGAAGAUAAAGUGGUCAAUAGAAUUAUGUUCUAUAAAAAAACAUGGAAAUCACAUUAUGGCAACAAUGGAGAAAGAAUGAUACACUUAUCUAUAUUUAAAGUAAGAUAAACUUAGAAAAUCUUUCUUUUACAACUGUAAGGUACACUCAUUUAGAAAAAGCUCACUUCACGGGCAUUUUCUUACAACAGUAAGAUACACUUGGAAAAUCUUUUUUUAACAACAGUAAGAUACACACACCUAGAAAAAUGUGAACAAUUUUUGAAAUUCUGAACAAUUUUUGAAAUGCUAACAAAAUUUGAAAAAUCCAAACAUAUUUUAAGAUAUGAACAUUUUUAAAUACCAUUUUUCAAGCAAACAAUUUUUGAAAAAAGUACAAAUUGUAAAAACAUUAACAAUUUUUGAAGUCCCAAACAUUUUUUGUAAAACUGAACAAAUAUUCAUGUCUCUGAAACAAAUUUUAAAAAAUAUGAGCAAUUUUCUCAAUUACUAACAAGUUUUAGAAAGUCAAGAACAUUUUUUGGGAUUUGCGAACAAACUUCGGAAUCAGGAACAUCCUUCUAAAUUCUAAACAGAAAAUUCAAAAUGAUGGUCAUUUUUUGAAAAUUUGAAUUUUGAAAUAAAUAUUUUUUAAAAGAAAGGAUAAAAGGGAAGAAAAAUAAAAACACAAAAAUUAAACAAAAAAAUAAAGCAAAAAAGCCACGAAAGUAAAUUUUAAAAAACCCUCCGAGAAAGUUCCCAAAAACCUCCUAGAAAACUGCUUAGCGCUGUAUAUGGACCGGCCUACUCACUCGCUCGCUUGUAUGUCCUGUUCAAGGUGUCGACAGUUUGACACAAUGUCUUGCUUGACGCGACACAGCAGCACGUCUCACCUCAAACAGCUACCAGAUUGCCCCAGCCGAGCGUGGACCAUCGGCUUUGUUUAUUUUUUUCUUUACUUUUACUUAUAUGUCGAAAUAUUAUAAAUAUACCUAUUUUGAAAAUAAAUUUACAUGCAAAUUUUCAAAAACUUUAAUCACCCAUUUCAAAAUUAUUAAACGUAUAUAGAAAAAUAUUUCGAAUGUAUAUGAAAACUGUACCGUAUGUAUGAAAAAUAAUUAGACAUAAAAUCAUAUAUAUGAAGAGGAACAAUCUUGUAUUCAAAAAAUGCUAAAAGUGUACUAAACAUAAUUUCAUGGCGUAGAAAAAAUGUACAAUGUGUAUAAAAGAUAAACAUCAAAAAGUAUAUGUUUAAGAAAUAUAAUGUAUUUAAAAAUGUUAAUUGUGUAUAUAAAAAAGUUUCUCUUGUUUCAGAAAAAUGUAUAAUGUGUACGAAAACAUAAGACAUCAAAAAUAUUUGUUUUCAGAACUGUUAAUCAUGUACUAAAAAGUAGAUAUGUUAAAAAUAUAAUGAAUUAAAACUGACAAUAGAAAUAAAAUAGAAGGACAAAGAAAAAACAGUGAAGACCUAGAAAAAAAAUCGGUGAAAAAACAAUAAAAUAUAAUGAAAACAAUAAAACCAUUGCAAACCAAGAAAGAAACAAAGGAACUCAAAACAAAUAUAGAAAACUGAAAACAAAAACAAGAAAACAAGUGAGGAAACAAAUAAAACCAAAAAGAAAGCAAAUACAAAAAAACGGGGCAAAACUAAAAGACGAGCCAAAACCAGUACAUUAUCUGAACAAAACCACAAGUGUCUUAAUCGAAACCCAACGAAUGAAAAAAGAAACUUGAAAAAUUGGCCGGCCCAAUAUCUAUACGUGUGGGGUAGUUCAUUAGGAGAGACGGACGACAUACUCAGCUAUACGCCAGAUAUAGGGUUUGCGGUAUACACACAUCUACCAAGAUAGGAGUAAGGAAAAGGGGAAAUGCGGUGUACAUCCACCUCAUAUGGGAUUUGUUUUAAAUAAUUAAUGGAAAAUUCAAAAAGGUUUGCAAGUUUUUUACAAUAAACUUAACAGUUUUUUGUACCAGUAUAUAAAUUUCCACGAGUAGGAAACUAGUGUUCAUUUCAGGGAAAAAACUAAAUUAUAGGCCACUGUUCACACUAUUUUGAUUCGCGCAAAAAAAAAGUUCACACUAUUCUGACCGAUCUUUUGUUUUUUUUAAAUGAAGUCAACGAUAUUUUUCUUUUUUUGGAUUUUUUUAACAAUGUAUUGGAAGGUCAAGUUUAUUUCAAAAAACAAAAUCGAAAAUUAUUAAUUAUUUAUUUCAUUAUUAAUAUUUUCUUAAUGUAAAAAAAUCAAAAUAAAUUUAAAAAUAUUUUCAAUCAUUUUUACCCGUAGACCAAAAGUUCCUCUCCUUAACCUUAAAAAAGGGCAGUACAAGGCCUUGCUAUUUCUAGAAAAAGGUAGUACGAUACGAUGCAGUAUAAGUUCUUUGUAGCGUACGAGGCAGGAUAAUCAACGUGAUGCAAGAGCGAGACGUUAUUGUCACCACCACCACCAUCACUAUCCUCUCCUCCUAAAUCAAGCUUUUUGGCAUGCAUGCUUGGACGAGGUCUGAGCGGCGCGGAGGCUGCCCGGCCCCUAUGUUCGCUCCGGAGCUCUCGUUCCAUGCCCCGUAGCCAUCGCUCCGGCGCUUCUUCCAUAGCUAUUUUACCUAUCGCCCCGUCGGAGAAGAAGCGAUUGGAAAUAACGAGAGGCUACGCGCGCGCGCAGUGCUUCGUACGUACGUGCCAGCAGGCCGGCGCCGCCGUCGUCGUCGUACGUCACCGACAACAUGUCUUUCACCGGCACGCAGGACAAGUGCUCGGCGUGCGAAAAGACGGUCCACUUCAUCGACCUCCUCACGGCCGACGGCGUCAUCUACCACAAGACCUGCUUCAAAUGCAGCCACUGCAAAGGGAUCCUCUCGGUACGUACGUUCUUGCAUGUUCUGGUUCAAUCAAUCCUCCAAGUCCAUGCAUUGGCAUUGAUGCAUGCACGUCCUUGAACGAGCUGUGAGAGCGUGUAUAAUAUAAUAGCGUUGUAAACUGCAUGCGUUCGUGCAUGGCCUCUAGAUGUGCAGCUAUUCUUCCAUGGACGGUGUCCUCUACUGCAAGACGCACUUCGAGCAGCUCUUCAAGGAGACAGGGAGCUUCUCAAAGAAGUUCACACCGGGUAAUGUACAAUAUGCAACCUACUACAUAUGGUUAAAGUAAUUAAGGUAUAGUAUAUCCUGAGAUUUUUGUUCUGUGUGACGCAGGUAACAAAUCUGGCGACAAGAGUGAACUGGUACGUACGUACAGCCCAGUCCCACAAACCUAGUAUUUUUCUUUCCUAAUGCAAGCUGUGCUGACUGGAUAAAUGUCUUUGCAAUGCUACAGACAAGGGCCCCAAGCAAGCUAUCCGCUGCCUUCUCCGGUACUCAGGAUAAGUGUGCAGCCUGCACGAAAACAGUGUAUCCACUCGAAAAGGUACAGAAACGCCGCACUCCAUUCAUCCUCAUCAAAGCAAUCGAUGCUAAAUGAUCAAACGACAUAAAACAUUUAUUUUCCUUGUGCUCUUAAGAAAUCAAAUGAAAUCACGCUGCUCAACUUAAUGACUGAUCGUGCUAUAUUCAGAUGACUCUGGAGGGCGAUGCAUACCACAAGAGCUGCUUCAAGUGCUCCCACGGGGGCUGCAUCCUAACCACCUCCUCCUAUGCCGCCCUCAACGGCGUCUUGUACUGCAAGAUCCAUUUCGGGCAACUGUUCAUGGAGAGAGGAAGCUACAGCCACAUGAAGAAGAAGAGCCCCUCGCAGGAGGUGUUGCCCGAUUUGGUGGCGGCGGCCGAAGGGCAACCGGAGGCAGAGGCGGCACCGCCGCAAGAUGGGGAAUAGAGAGGAAAAUUAGGAAAACACGGAACUUAUAUACACAUCACAGCCUGUAACUCAUGUUGUUACCUUUUCUACAUUGCUGCUUUAUUCCCCCCUAUUUUUUGGUUCCUCUGUGAGCUUGGUUUGUCAAGCUGUAAGUACUGUACUAAUACCUUCCUUUCUAUAUGAGACUCGUGACAACCGUGGCAAUUAACAAGUAAGACUCAUGGGAAAAACUGUAUUAAUUUUCUAAGCAAAAAUAGCUACUCCCAAGUUGGUAAAUUGUGCCUGGUCUCUGAUGGUUGGCUUGAUUAGUCAGAAUUCAAAGGACAAAAUUGGUUAGCCAUUAUGAGCCUAUGUUUGUGUUUGUUAAGGGUGUCUUCAACGGGCAACCCGCAAAUUUUCUUUCGCAUCUAUAUAUAUCAUAUAGUAAAUUCAAAUUCAAAUAUACUUCCAUCCGAUCCACACAGAACGCCGCGCGCCGGAUGGCAUGCAUCAACAUCUUGACAUCCUCCGCAAUGGCCGCAAUGUUCGCCCUCUUUUUCUCGAGCGUGGCCUUCCACUCUCCGAUCAUGGUCCUCCUCUUUUCGAGAGUGAGCUUCUUGUCCAUCACCUCCAUCAACUGUUUGAACCUCUGUGACUUCUUCUCCUCCUUGAUCUCCGAGCGCCUCACGCAUGACUCCUCCUUCUUCGUCAAGAUGUCCUCGAACUUCUCCAUCAUCUUGGCUGCCAUACUGUCUCGCUUCCCCCUCUCCUCCUCCCACUUAUCCCCACCCCCAGAGGUUUCCUCUAAACUUCUUCGGCGGUUGUUGGGUUGGGUCAGUAGGGUCACCAUUUUUUUUCUUGUUGGCUUAGACGACGGUCUUAGCAAUGAAAAGGUUCCACCUUGGUUUCCUAUUCAACUUCAACCAACAAUGCAUGACAGUGAAGGACCUCUUCUCCAAAUUCUUGUACACCACACAAGGAGAAGUAGGCUAGAAAGUGAAACAAUGUUAACAAUGCAUAUCCGUUUAGUGAGCAACAAAACAAUACAUGUCCAGCUGGUGAUCAACAAAACUAAAGCAUAUCCGGCUAGCGAUCAACUUACUUGCUCGGUGAUUUGUGCACUGCUAGGCCACCGUGCGAUGAGCUGCUUCAAGUGGCCGCAAUACUUGGACAUGGCCUCUUGGAUGGUGUCCAUCGAUGGUUGAGGGACUUCCAUUCGCGGUUGCGGAUAACCGCGUCGGUGUACGACGCGAAAUACUCUUGUUCAUGGAACCAUAUUAGAACAUUCCUCCAAAAGGUUGUGCCCUUUUGCUCAAUGCCAUGGAACGGAUCGAGGCUAGUGGCCAACCAUGUCUCGCACAUUAGCUCGUCCUCCCGCAUGUUGAAGCUUUCUCCUCUUUCCUUCUUCUUUAGAUCGUUGGUUGUAUCAUCUGGAUCAUCAUCAUCGUCGCCCUCCUCCUCCUCCUCGUUCCCAUCGGCCUGCUACUCUCCGGAGUCCCAAUGUUGUUGUUGCUCUGUGCCAUCGCCGGUCUGGGUGUACGUCUGUUGCAUGGCCCUCUGGGUGUAGGACUGUUGCUGGUAGUUGUCGGACUCGGUGGGAUCCAAGUCUUCCACCUGUCCAUCCUCAUAUCCCCCUCGCCCCUCGCCUCCAUCAUGGAUGAUGACGAGCAUCCCCGUGUCCGCGUCAUACGCCAGGUGCCCCGCUCUAGGCAUUGCAACAAAAAGCGUGUGGGCACCCAUCUGCUCCCCAGCAGCUGCGGCAACGAAACUCAUAGAAGAGGCACCACGUUUACGUCGAGGAUGUAAGGCACCAUACUAGGUGGGGUGUUGUGCUGCUUGGCGACGUAGUAGUACGGAGGCUUGUAAGACUCUGGCCAAGACAUCGUCUGUUGUGCGCCCGCCCCUCUUGUGGCGUCUGCCAUGGCCGCGUCGACCACUAAGAGAUCCACACCCAUCGCCACCAAUAGGCCCACCGGCAGCCAACUACUUCUUGAGCUUCUCCUCCUUUGCGGCCUUCGCCUUGACGUGGCAAUCCCGACGCACCGCAGAGUUGAUCUUUCGGCAAGCACGAUGCACGGAUUCUCCGGCACCUCCACCGGUGCUAACUCCGGUAAGUUCUUCGACGACUCCAUUCUUCUGCGAUAGAAGGAAGGAGAUGGUGGGAGAAAAGAGCGGGAAGUGGGCGCAGCGUGAUCGGGGGAUUAUGGUGCAGAAGUUGUGCCUUGCUACAAAAGCGCGGGCCCCUCCUUCCUUUUGGGUGGGCCAGGGGUAGAUAGUGAAGUUUCUUGUGUUUGGACUCCCGCACCCCCCAUUUCUCUCUCCGGUUUGUGAGAAAAAUCGCAUCUGGACCGCUCCGUGGACCGAUACAAGACUGCAUUGGAUGGCUUUCGCGAUGCAGACCGUUGCGGGAGGUUUGCGGGUCUUCCAUGGAGAUGCCCGAACUUCAACAAAACCCUUACUAACAUGUACUAGUACUGAAUGAACCAUAUGAAUCACCGUCGAACACUUGGGGCUAUCAGAUGGCCCCUCUAGUUGGCUCUUCCCGGCGUCGAUGACCUUUUUGAUGCUAGCGGGCAUGGCCUGAUCCACUCCUCAUAUACGAGGGCUUGUCGAUGAUGUCCAGAUCAGACUUUGUACCUGUACAACUGUCCAGGCGUGAUGAUCUAGCUUACAAUAGCAACUCAUUAAUUCAAAGUGGGGGAUGUGGUACAGGUACAUGGUGAUUUUUUCAGAAAGGACGAUGUCAUUUGGCUUUAAAUUAGUGAAGCUCUUACAACUAACAGAACAACACAACACUACAACACAAACAAAAUCAUAAAGAACAAAAGAGCGACAAGAUACAAAUGUGUUAGGUAGCAACAACAACAAAGCACCACUGACCACUUGCACCAUCGAGUGGAAACUUGGAGCAUCGCCUCGAGUCAGAGGAGCCCUCCGUCGUGAUCGAGCAGCCGGAACAAGGAACAAAGCCAACUCAAGAAGGAGACUAGCUGCCAAAGGAGGUCAUGCCAUGGCCAUCACCUCACCAAUGAGCGAACCAUCACCUCGCCAAUGAGAGAAAUAAUGUUGGCCAUCUUCAUCGCCGAAAGGAUCCCCCUACCCCCUCGUCAUGUAUCGAAGGGCACCGCACCAUGGGACAAUGAAGAUGCUCUCCCCAGAGCUAGACUAGAAACUAAUUUCAGGACAUGCAUGCCUCGUAACACCACCGCUCGGCAAAACUAGCAGACCUAGAGAGCACUAAUGCCAUGGUCCGAGUACCCUCAGCACGAAGGAGUUACCAUCCAACGACGCCAUCAACUACUAGUAAGUAGGGAGCUUGUUCAUAGACAGUUCAUCCAAGAAGGUAACGACGUCACCGUGUCACCAUCACCCGGACCGGUGAUAACCCAUAAGUAUAGGGGAUCGUUUGUAGCCCUUUUCGAUAAAUAAGAGUGUUGAACCCAACGAGGAGCUAAAGGUAGAACAAAUAUUCCCUCAAGUUCUAUUGACCACCGAUACAACUCUACGCACACUUAACGUUUGCUUUACCUAAAACAAGAAUAAAACUAGAAGUACUUAGUAGGUGUAAUAGAUAGGUUUGCAAGAUAACAAAGAACAAGUAAAUCAAAGUUAGAUGUUAUUUUGCAAGAAAAUAAAGAGAGUGGAAAUAAAAGUUAGGGUUUGUUUAGUAGAAAGCUUUUGUGUAAUGCAAGAAAAAGAUUGUCCAUAGGCAGUUGAAUAUAAUAAGAUAGAUACUUAGCAUGUGCAAUGAGGGAGAGGCACACGCUAACACACUUUCCAUACUUGGAUCAUAUGCACUUAUGAUUGGACCUCUAGCAAGCAUCCAUAACUACUAGAAAUCAUUAAGGUAAAGCCAACCAUAAUUUUAAACAUCAAGUCCUCUUUACUCCCGUACACGCACAACUCCCUUACUCGGGCGUAAAUUUCUAUCACUCUCACCACCUACUAUAAGCGAAUCAUGAACAUAUUGCAAACCCUCCAGCAUGUAUCCUUCACGUCUGUGCCCCACGGAAGGCACCUUGGGACAACACCCUAUCAACAGACAACUCAUAUCAGUAACAUCAUAUAACAAUUAACCCGUAGGACAAAAUGGAUCUACUCAAACAUCAUAGGAUAGCCACAUAUCAUUGGGAAAUAGUAUGCAGUGUUUAGCACCAUGUUUAAAUAGAGAGUUACAGUAGGAACAGAUGUGUUACACCACUGCAUAGAGGGGGAGAGAGUUGGUGUUGAUGGUGGCAAGAUUGUUUAUGUAGAUCGUCGUCACGCUCCUUGCACCGGCGGCACUCCAGCGCCAUCAAGAGAAAGGGGGGAGAGCCCCCUCCUUUUUCUUCUUCCUUGGCCUCCCCCUAGAUGGGUGGAGAGUUCCCCCUCUCGUGCAUGGCCUCCUUGGAGGCAGAGGGGCAGGAGCCCCUUCGAUAUUGGAUCUCCCUGUGUGUUCUCUUGUGUUUGGCGUUCCUAUUUUCUCGCCCUUCACGGUUUCUUAAAUUCUCGGAGAUCUGUAACUCCGAUCGGGCUGAAAUUUUUACAUAAUUUUUUCCCAUAAAUUAUCUUUCUUGUGCCCGAAUAAGAGCCCCAAUAGACUUAUGGUGUGGCCACUAGAUGGCAGGGCGUGCUAGGGGUAUGGGUCGCUCCCUACUGGGUAGUGUAGGUUCUGGGUCUCCAUUAACGUUGAUUCCACCUGCCAAAAAUCACAUAUAUUCCAAAAUAAUUCUCCGUAAAUUUUUAUCGCAUUUGGACUUCGUUUGAUAUGGAUAUUCUAUGAAAUAAAAAACAUGCAACAAACAGGAGCUAGCACGGAGCACUGGAUCAAUAUGUUAGUCCAAUAAAUCAUAUAAAAUGUUGCCAAAAUAUGUGAAAGUUGUAUAAUAUUGGCAUGGAACAAUAAAAAAUUAUAGAUAUGGUAGAGACGUAUCAACAUCCCCAAGCUUAAUUCCUGCUCCUCCUCGAGUAUGUAAAUGAUAAAAAAUAUAAAUUUUGAUCUCGAAUGCUACCUAGCAUAAUCUUAAUUAUAUAUCUAAUCAUGGCAUGAAUAUUAAGACAUGAGUGAUUCAAAGCAGUAGUUUAUAAUUUGACAAAAAUACAUCCAUACUUAGGUUUACAAGCAAACAAUUACAAGCAAAUAACGAUGCUACAGAAUACCAUCCCUACAAAAUCAUAUAGCUUGUCAUGCUUGGUCUUCCUAGCAUAAGGUAUAAAUCAUGAGCACCCCAGUUUCAAAUCAAGCAAUUGGAUCAUAAUUUUUAAUGCGCUUCAGCUAUUUAUUCCUCACUCAAUACAUGAGCAUGAACCAUGGAUAUAGCAUAAAGGUGGAAUAAUAUAUGGUGGUAGGUUUCAAAGGGGUGAAAGUGAAGAAGAAAGUCUCGCAUCAACUUGGCGUAUCAACAGGCCAUGGAGAUGCCCAUCAAUAGAUAUCAAUGCGAGGAGUAGGGAUUGUCAUGCAACAGAUGCACUAGAUCUAUAAGUGUAUGGAGAUCAAUAUGAAAACUAAGUGGGUGUGCACUAAACUCUAUAAUGAAAAAUUCCCACUAGUAUAUGGAAGUGACAACAUAGGAGACUCUCCAUAUGAAAAAUAUGGUGCUACUUUGAAGCAUAAGUGUGUAAUUAGCAUGCCCCUUUUGUCUUUUCUCUCAUUUUUUCAUUUUUUCUUGUUUUCCUUCACUUUUUUUAUGGUGGGCUCAUUUAGCCUCCCCCAUUUUUCAUUUUUCGUCCGGAGUCUCAUCCCGACUUGUGGGGAAAUCAUAGUCUCCUUCAUCCUUUCCUCAAUGGGACAAUGCUCUAAUAAUGAUGAUAAUCACACUUCUAUUUACUUACAACUCAGUAUUACAACUCGAUACCUAGAAAAAAAUAUGACUCUAUAUGAAUGCUUCUGGCAGUGUACCAUGAUGUGAAAUGAUCUAUCAUAGCACUAACAUAAAAAAUGGUCAAGCCAUGGAAAUAUCAUGCUAGUAAUCUUACGAUCAUGCAAAGCAAUAUGACAAUGAAUUCUUGAUACGUCUCCAACGUAUCUAUAAUUUUUGAUGGUUUCAUGCUAUUAUCUUGUCAAACUUUGGAUGUUUUGUAUACCUUUUAUAUCUUUUUUGGGACUAACUUAUUAACUGAGUGCCAAGUGUCAGUUCCUGUUUUUUCCGUGUUUUUGACCCUUUUCAGAGGAGGAUUUUAAACGGAGUCCAAACGGAACGAAACUUCCAAAAAGAUUUUUUCCGAAACAGAAGACGAUCGGGGAACUUGAGAACCAAGGCAGGGGGCCACCAAGGACCCCACAAGCCCCCUAGCCGCGGCCAGGGGGGGCGCGCCUCCCAGGCUUGUGGGCUCCCUGGGCCUCCUCUGCCCUAGGUCUUUCGCCUAUAAAUUCCCUAAAAUCCCUGAAAAAAUCAAGAGAUCAUCGAAAGUACUUUUCCGCCGCCGCAAGCUUCUGUCUCCGCAAGAUCCCAUCCGAGGCACGUUCUGGUGCCCUGCCAGAGGGGGGAUUCGGAUACGGAUGGCUUCUUCAUCAACACCAUGACCUCUCCGAUAAUGCGUGAGUAGUUCACCACAGACCUACGGGUCCAUAGCUAGUAGCUAGAUGGCUUCUUCUCUCUCUUGGAUCUUCAAUACAAAGUUCUCCAUGAUCUUCAUGGAGAUCUAUCCGAUGUAAUCUUCUUUUGCGGUGUGUUUGUCGAGAUCCGAUGAAUUGUGGAUUUAUGAUCAGAUUAUCUAUGAAUCUUAUUUGAGUUUCUUCUGAUCUCUCUUAUGCAUGAUUUCAUAUCCUUGUAAUUCUCUUCGAGUUGUGGGUUUUGUUUGCCUAGCUUGAUCUAUGAUUCCUGCAAUGGGAGAAGUGCUUGGUUUUGGAUUCAUACCGUGCGGUGACCUCACCCAGUGAUAGAAGCGGUAGCGAGGCACACAUCGUGUUGUUGCCAUCAAGGGUAAAAAGAUGGGGUUUUCAUCAUUGUUUUGAGUUUAUCCCUCUACAUCAUGUCAUCUUGCUUAAGGCGUUACUCUGUUCGUCAUGAACUCAAUACACUAGAUUCAUGCUGGAUAGCGGUCGACGUGUGUAGUAAUAGUAGUAGAUGCAGAAAGUAUCGGUCUACUUGUCUCGGACGUGAUGCCUAUAUGUAUGAUCAUUGCCUUAGAUAUUGUCAUGAAUUUGCGCGGAUCUAUCAAUUGCUCGACAGUAAUUUGUUCACCCACCGUAAUAUUUGUUAUUUUGAGAGAAGCCUCUAGUGAACACUAUGGCCCCCGGGUCUACUUCACACCAUAUUUUCAGCUUUACUUAUUUACUUCGUUGCACUUUUCGCCUUCAGAUCUCACUUUGCAAUCAAUCUUAAAGGGAUUGACAACCCCUUUAUAGCGUUGGGUGCAAGCUCUUUUGUGUUUGCGCAGGUACUCUAGACUUGACGAGAUUCUCCUACUGGAUUGAUACCUUGGUUCUCAAACUAAGGGAAAUACUUACUGCUCUUGUGCUGCAUCACAUUUUCCUCUUCAAGGGAAAAAACAAUGCAAGCCCAGUAUCUGUCAACGUGUCAAUUCCUGGUGCUGUUGUCUAUUGCCGUAGCAAUUCUCAAGUCAUCAAAACGGAAGCGAUGGAAGUUUCAUGGCAAUGUAUCUCAGAAUGGCUAUGAAAAUGACAUAAUAGGUAGGUAUGGUGGCUGUUUUGAGGAAGAUAUAAUAAGGAUUAUGUGUGAUAGAGAGUAUCAUAUCACGGGGUUUGGAUGCACAUGCGAAGUUUGCAUUGACUCUCGAGGUGAGAAAGGGCAAUGCAUGGCACCGUAGAGGAUUGAAAAUUGCGGAAAGGUAAGAGUGCGUAUAAUCCAUGGAUUCACAUUAGUCAUAAAGAACUCACAUACUUAUUGCAAGAUUUUAUUAGCUCUCUCUAAGCAAAGCUCUACCCGCAUGCCCGAUGGGGGAAGGUUGGGAGGAGUUAACAAUCACGCGACUCCGAUUAUAACAACACAAAGGAUUUCAAUCAAGGAUAAAUUAUGCUCCAACUUCAUCGCAUAACCACGAACUAUACAUGCAUGAUUAGGGAGUUACAAACCUUAACAUAAAUAUUCUUACUUAUCCAAAAUCAUCAACUAGUUCAUCCAUAUAUUAUUAUCUUAAUGUCGCAAAACUAUUGCAGGGAAUGAAACAUAUCAUACUCAAUGAUCUACAAGUUUUAUGUAGGAUUUUAUGACUAAACAUGUAAAUGACCAAUUCCUUUUGAAUCUCUAAAUAGGUAUAACUGAAUCAUGAGAGUUUAAUUAUUUCUACACAAUACCAUGCUCUAAUAAAUAUAAGUGAAGCAGAAGAGCAUUCUAUGAAUAACGGUUUCUAUAUGUAAAGAAACAGCAAUCCAAACUUCAAAUGAUAUAAGUGAAGCACAUGAAGCAUUCUAUAAAGCCAUACUCAAAAUAUAUAAGUGAAGUGCAACGAGAAUUAUAUAAGUAAACCAUCGACUAUCUCAUACCAGCAUGGUGCAUAAAAUAAAAGUGAAAACUAAAGGACGCUCCAAGAUUUACGCAUAUCACGUGAACGAAACGAAGACGAUAACAUGCCGAUACUUGUUGAAGAAAGAUGAGCUUAGACGCUUGAGUAUACUUGGAUAUUUACUUGGGGUGCCUUGGGAAUCCACAAUCUUGAAAUCUUGCCUCUCCUCCUUCUCCUCAUAUCGAUACCUCCUCGAUCUUCGAACACUUCAUCCACACAAAAUUUAACAGAGAACUCGUGAGAUCCGUUAGUAUAAUAAUGCGAAUUACUACCUUAAGUACUAUUGAAAACCCAUUCGUAUUUUGUUUUUUCAUUAUAGCUACUUUAAUAUAACUUCUCCAUGGCUUAUACCACCGGUACAAUCGAUAGUUUCAUCAAAACGAACAAAACAAUGCAUCAAAAACAGAAUCUGUAAAAAAAACAGGACAGUCUGUAGUAAUCUGAACAUUGAACAUACUUCUGUAACUUCAAAAAUUCCUAAAAAUUAGGAAGAAAUAAAAUAUUUUCAUAUAAUUACUGUGUAAACAUUUCUGAAACUUUUGAUGUUUCGGUAAAAAAUGUAAAUUCACGCACUACAACCAAAGUUUCUGUUUUUGCGCCGCACAUACCAACAAGCAAUCUCAUCAUCCUAAAGGAAAAUCUUGGCACAUUAUUUUUAUAAUACAAUGGAUUUGUACAAGCGGAUAAUUAUUUUUGUUAGAAACUCAUGAAAAAUUCUACAUUGUUUCCAUGAGCAUGAACACAAGUGUUCAAGGUCGUCCCUCACUUCUCCAAUGCAUAACCUUCCAAACGCUUCUCUUUUUGAAAAAAGUUUGAAGUUCCCUCUAUAUUUUUUUGUUUCUAAACUUUUUAAAAGCACUCAAUAGAAAUAAAUGACUCUCUAAAAUUUCCGGGUUGUCUCCGUGGCAGCGCUUUCUUUAAAUCCAUUAAGCUAGGCAUAAAGUGCUCAAGUAAUUGAUCCACCCGGAUCCCAAAGUAUAUCAAAGCCAAUUUUAAUUAACAAUGAGUUAUAAUUUAGUAGUGAGCCCAAAGCAACAUAUAUCAUGCAAUAGUGAAGUCUAACUCUCUUCCUAUGCAUCGGCAUGACAUAAAACAACAAUUCAUGCACAUAAAGUAAAGGCCAAUACAUAGCAUAAGCUGUUUCUUGCAAUUUUAUCGUGUCGAAAACAUAAAGAGGUGGAUAUGUAGUUCCUCUCUGAUAAUAAUUGCAAGUAUGAGCAGAAAUCACAUGCAUAUUAUAUCCAUCAAGAUCAUCAUGUGUAAUGGUAAAACGCAACCCAUCAAUAUAAUCCUUAAUAAGAGCAAACUUAUCCGAAAUAGUGUAAUUAGGAGAAUUCAAAAAGAUAAUAGGACUAUCAUGUGUGGGUAUAAUGGAAACUAUUGCAUUCUUAACAUAAGGAACUAUAGCAAGUUCAUCUUCACAAGCAUAAUUCAUAUUGGCAUCUUGUCCACAAGCAUAGCAAGCAUCAAUUUCAUCAAAAAGGGAUAUUUCAAAAGAAUCAACGGAAUUAUAACAUUCAUCCUUCGGUAAGCAUGAAGGGAAAUUAAACAAUGUAUGAGUUGAAGAGUUACUCUCAUUAGAAGGUGGGCAUGGGUAGCUAAUCCACUCUUCCUCUAUUUGUUCUUCACUCUGCUUAUCAUCUUUUUCAUCUAAUGAGCUCACAGUUUCAUUAAUUUCUUCUUCCAUAGAUUCCUGCAAAAUAUUAAUUUAUUCCAAGACAACAGAAAUUCUCUCAAUAAAUUCAUUAAUAUAGGCGUUGUAUUCAUAAUUAUCAUAGCAAUAUUUAAGUAUGGAAAAAUUUCAGAUUUGUAAAGAAUAGCAUCAUACUUUUCAAUCAAAGAAGCAAUUUCAUAAGCACCCUUAAAAGCAACGAAUUCGUCUAUUUGUUCCACACUAGAGUAAUCAUAGAAACCAUUAGCAUAAGAAGCCAAGGUUUCAUUAUCAUUAAAUUCACAUUGAAAGGGAAUGUGUGAAGUCUCCGUCUUAGAGCAACAAGUAUAAUCACACCUCAAGCAUAAAUUUCAAGCAUACCAACGCAACAUUUUAAUUUGAUCCCAUAAGUGUUUCCCUUUUUGAGUCAAGCGAUAAUCCCUAAAAUAAUCACAUUAAUACAACGCGUAUCCCAUCAUCAAGUUUAAUGGGGAAUUCUCAGGAUUAUCAAAGUAGUAUUUAAUGUUUUCCACAUAACCAUCAUCAUGGGUUUCAGGAGGUUCCACUUCUCCAGGAGUAGCAAGUACAACUAAUUGUUUUGGUGUUUUGUGUUCCAUAUCCAUAACUAAAGAUAUAAAACAACUAAUAACAGAAAAUAAAAAUUACUUAGUGAUAAACCAAACAAGCACACACCAGAAUAUUCACCCUACGCUAUUGCUCCCCCGCAACGACGCGAGAAAAGGUCUUGAUAACCCACAAACAUACGGGAUCGUUUGUAGCCCUUUUUGAUAAAUAAGAGUGUCAAACCCAGCGAGAAGAUAAAGGUAGAACAAAUAUUCCCUCAAGUUCUAUCGACCACCAAUACAACUCUACACACACUUAAUAUUUGCUUUACCUAAAACAAGAAUAAAACUAGAAGUACUUGGUAGAUGUAAUAGAUAGGUUUGCAAGAUAAUAAAGAACAAGUAAAUAAAAGUUAGGUGAUGUUUUGCAAGACAAUAAAGAGCAUGGAAAUAAAAGUUAGCGUUUGUUUAGUAAAAAUAUUUUUGUGUAACGCAAGAAAAAGAUUGUCCAUAGGCAAAUUGAAUAUAACAUGAUAGAUACUUAUCAUGCGUAAUGAGGGAGAGGCAUACUCUAACACACUAUUCGUACAUGGAUCAUAUGCACUUAUAAUUAGACCUCUAGCAAGCAUCUUCAACUACUAGAAAUCAUUAAGGUAAAUGCAACCAUAGCAUUAAGCAUCAAGUCCUCUUUGAUCCCAUACGUGCACAACUCCCUUACUCGGGUGUAAGUGUAUGUCACUCUCGCCACCCACUAUAAGAGAAUCAUGAACAUAUUGCAAAGCCUCAAGCAUGUAUCCUUUACGUGUGCGCCUCACAGAAGGCAUCUUAGGACAACAUCAUAUCAACACGCAACUCAUAUCAAUAACAUCAUAUCAUAAUUAACCCGUAGGACAAAACGGAUCUACUCAAACAUCAUAGAAUAGCCACAUAUCAUUGGAAAAUAGUAUGUAGUGUUGAGCAUCAUGUUUAAGUAAAGAGUUAGAGUAGGAAAAGAGGUGUUAAACCAAUGCAAAGAGGGGGAGAGAGUUGGUGUUGACGGCGACAAGAUUGUUGAUGUAGAUCGUCGUCACACUCCUUGCCUCGGCGACACUCCAGCGCCACUUGGAGAGAGAGAGAGGGAGAGAUCCCCUACCUCUUCUUCUUACUUGCCCCCCUAGAUGCGAGGAGAGUUCCCCCUCUAGUUCAGGGCCUACCUGGCGGGGAGGGGCAGGAGACCCUCCGAGAUUGGAUGUCCCUCUCUGUUCUCUAAUAUUUCGCGUUCCUGUUUUCUAGCCCUUCACCAUUUCUUAUAUUCUCGGAUAUCCCUAAUUCCAAUCAGGCUGAAAUUUUUACAAGAUUUUUUACCAUAAAUUAUCUUUCUUGUGCGUGAAGAAGAACUCUAACCGACUCACGAUGUGGCCACUAGAGGGAAGGGCAUGCAAGGGGGUAUGGGCCGCGCCCUGGUGGAUAGUGGAGACCGUGGGCCUCCAUUUACGUUGAUUACACCUCCCAAAAAUCACAUAUGUUCCAAAACAGUUCUCCGUAAAUUUUUAUAGUGUUUGGACUUAAUUUGAUAUGGAUAUUCUGCGAAAGAAAAAACAUGCAACAAACAGGAACCGACACUUGGCACUAAAUCAAUAUGUUAUUCCAAUAAAUCAUAUACAAUGUUGCCAAAAACAUGUGAAAGUUGUAUAUAUUUGCAUGGAACAAUUGAAAAUUAUAGAUACGACGGAGACGUAUCGACCGGCAUGCCGAACCAAGGGUUUUCACCCUAGUACAAGAUAGGGAAGGGCAACCCAUGAUGACUCCUCCAAGGAAGAAAGUGGCGCUUAGGAGCGUCGCCGACACCGGUAUCGACAUCAUCGGACGGAGCUUUCGCCCACGGACAAUGACAUCCACCAUCAAAAUCCACUAUCCAAAAAAGCAUAGCCAUCAUCUGGCGAGCAGAGGUUGCUUACUAUGACGAAGAAGAUGCCCAAAACAUGGUCGGCGACGCGUGAGCCAUCCUCCACGAAGGUACAUGUUGGUUUAAGUUUGUUGGUGCUCUGCAAGUACAUGGUCUCGAGCUCUGGAAUGAAAACUUGUGAAUUGGUUGAACAUGGAAAUGGUAGUGUUCCAAAACAUUCCAUUGUUGGAAGUAGUGUUGCGAGUUUGCUAGUGAUUCCUCUUUAGUGUGAAAACCUAAUAUCUAGUUCUCGUUAUAGCAGCGUCCGCGUGUAGUUCUAUUUUUGACUACAUCGUUAUUGAAGCACUUUCUCAUGGUCCGGAUGCCAUAUGUUGCACUUACAUAUAGAUUUGUAAGGAUAUGCUUAUGAAACUAUGUUGUCAUCGGUGUUUUGCUUCGAUGGGACUUUUGGAGGUCAUUUUUUUUUGUUCGUGUGUUUGUUGUGUGCAUUCUGACUAUGCAUAGACCGGGUGUGUGCUCAUUCUAUUUGUAUCCCCAUGAUGUGACAUUUUGAGUCAAUAAAAACACCAUUUAUUAAAAAAAUGGAACCCCAUUUAAACUUUAGGGAAACAUAUUUGAAACACAAAUAAACUUCAUUCAAACAUAAUGCGAUGGAGGUCGCAUUCACGCAAGACGUAGCAUAGAUAAGAAAAAUAGGGAAACAUGAUAUUUAACAUACACUGCACAUCCUAUAAUUCAUAUUUGUUGAAGUUCAUACAUCAGUUCCUUAUUUCCUCUUGUUUAUGGGUUCCUCUGCCGAGAUUGGUUUGUCCAGGUAUAAGUUAUGUACUAAUACCUUCCUUAAAUACGAGACUCCUCACAACUGUGGAAAUCAACUAGUAAAGCAGUAAGCCUAAUGCAUGCUAAGUAAUCUGUUUGGUAUUGUGCGCGUGGUCGGGUGGGUCCAUCUCUUGAAGCUAAUCGGCAAUGUAUGCCUCCAACCUAUACUUGUGUGUGAGAUCAUUUCCCCGCUUGACGCGGCGACGGACGAGAGGCACCCCUUGCCAUCCGAGUCAUGGCUCCAUCGAAGGCUUAAUGGCGCCUAUCUCGGGCUGACCUUUGUAGAACAAACUAAGUGUUACAGUGAGAGCAUAUUGUGUGGCUGAAAGCUGAAGAGACCAUUGACAAGUUCUUCCGUCUUCAUGCACCACAUCAUAAGAUGAAGAAUGUCAUCAACCAACAUACUAUUGGCUAGUGCAUUAUGGCCGAUGAGGCCAGCAUGACUGGGGUAGACUUUGGUCAGUUCUCUUCCUCAGGAUUGCGCACUGGGGGAGUGUGAAAUAAUACUUUACUAUCUUGACCAUCGGUUCUUUGAACUCGGGGAUCAAGACUGCUUGUUCAAUUAGAAGGAGAUCCAGGGUGUCGUUUAGCAACUACCCAUGAAUAAGGCAUCGUGCCCAAAAGGUUACAUGACUGAGUGUCACGUCCAAGAUGCGACCCUAUCCUCAAUUUGACACGAAGGCCUCGUCAGGGAUAGAAGCGCAUCUCGUCGUGUCGCAAGAAUGGAUAUCGUUACAAGUACAUGUACUGAAAAUAAGAUAUAUAUAUAUAUAUAGGCUUACACUCGCCACAAGCUACAUCAGAGUCACAUCAGUACAUUACAUAAUCAUCAAGAGUAAGAGCAGGGUCUGACUACGGACGAAAACAAACGAGAAAAGAAGAACGACGUCCAUCCUUGCUAUCCCAGGCUGCCGGCCUGGAACCCAUCCUAGAUCGACGAAGAAGAAGAAGAAGAAGUAACUCCAAAUGGACAAUCAACGCGCUCGCGUCAAGUAACCUUUACUUGUACCUGCAACUGGUGUUGUAGUAAUCUGUGAGCCAGAGGGGACUCAGCAAUCUCAUUUCCAAAGAUAUCAAGACUAGCAAAGCUUAAUGGGUGUGUUAUAGUUAAGUGGUGAGGUUGCAGCAGCGGCUAAGCAUAAAUUUGGGUGGCUAAACUUACGAGUACAAGAAAUAAGAGGGGGAAGAUCUACGCAUAACGGACGUGAACUACUGAUGAUCAAAUGAAUGAUCCUGAACACCUACCUACGUCAGACAUAACCCCACCGUGUCCUCGAUCGGAGAAGGAACUCACGAAAGAGAUAGUCACGGUUACGCACACAGUUGGCAUGUUUUAAUUAAGUUAACUUCAAGUUAUCUAGAACCGGUGUUAAACAAAGUUUCCACGUUGCCACAUAACCGCGGGCACGACUUUUCGAAAAGAUUUAACCCUGCAGGGGUGCUCCAACUAGUCCAUCACAAAUUACCACAAGCCGCAUAGAAAUCCUCAAUCACGAAGCUUGCGAUCUCGUCGGAUUCCCUAGUGGAAAACCUCAACUCUGAGAUUACCCAAAGCAUCACCGGAAUCCCGAUGCACAAGAUAUCUCGUCAAAGGUAAAACUAAUCCAGCAAGGCCGCCCGACGUGUCAACGAUCCCGAUAGGAUCCACGUAUCUCAUUUUCAAUACACGACGGAUGAGCGAUGGUUACCACGCCAAAUUCUGAGUUGCCCCGGGUAGCGUUAGUAAGCUGCUCUGUUUUGGACCAGCACCAUCAGCACUGGCCAUCCCUGUAUUAUGUGAAAUUACUCCUCGGGUUCAUGACGCCCUAUGCUUUCAGUAUUAACAAAAUUAUUAUGUUGGGCAAAUGUAGUACCAAUGUUGGGCCUUGCCAGACCAGCUUUAAUCUAAAACGAAUUAUCAAGGGGGUCCCCAUAACAACCCCGAUCGUGUUAGGAGCGCUCGUUUAUGGAACAUAACACCGGUAGCCGAAACUAAGGGGGCAAAGGUGGAACAAAACACCAGGCUAGAAAGGCCAAGCCUUCCACCUUUUACCAAGUAUAUAGGUGUAUUAAAUUAAAUAGCAUUUAAUAUGGUGAUAUGACAAGGGACCCAUGAUAUUACAUGGAAGCAACUGCACCUGCAACUAGCAACACUAACAACAUGGAUAAGCAAGCGGUAACAUAGCCAAUCAGUGGUUUGCUAGGUCGAACAGGUUGAAAGUUUCAUGGCAUUGAUGAGAGGCUGAUAUUUAACAUGUGGUAGGCAACGAGACAUAAUCGAUAGAAGCGAUAAAACUAGCAUGGCAAUGAUAGUAAUGGUAUCUCGGGAAAUGGUCAUCUUGCCUGAGAUCCCGCUGAGAAGAAGAAUGACUCCGAGAAGUCGACGAACCAACGUAGUUGAACGGGUCCUCACAUUCCGACACGCUUGCGGAAGUCUAUUGAGACGGAGGAAACCAGAAACAAGCAUCAACACAAAUAUUCACCACACGAUGCACAACAUGAUGCAUAACCUACUAUGAUGCAUGAACAGAUCAAUGAUGCAAGUGAUGGCAUGACAAUUCACCUCACACAAUCUCCACGAUUAAUUAUUUAAUUCACUCCCGUUUAUUUACACCGCAAUAUUUAAUUGUUGUUAACAUGGCAAGGGUGUAGCGAUGAUCCUACAUGUCCUAGUCGGUUAACACGUGGAGCAUAGAACGAGCUACGGCACAAGAACAUGAAACACAAGAUAACAUGCCAUGAAUACUUACAGCGUCACCACGGCAAGAAGAGAAGGAAACAAGUGUCGCCACGGCGCCCGAGAGGAUACCAUGGCGGCAAGACGGAAACGAUGCCACGGCAAUGCACCUAUCCCGAUAACUCGUCGAGAUAUCGUGCCAACAUACUGGGAACGCGUGCGGGAACGGUAAGUAAAGAUGGGGUGAUCCCGUAUAUCGGGUUCCCAUGAAUCGGGGCACGACGGAAAGAAGACAACNNNNNNNNNNNNNNNNNNNNNNNNNNNNNNNNNNNNNNNNNNNNNNNNNNNNNNNNNNNNNNNNNNNNNNNNNNNNNNNNNNNNNNNNNNNNNNNNNNNNNNNNNNNNNNNNNNNNNNNNNNNNNNNNNNNNNNNNNNNNNNNNNNNNNNNNNNNNNNNNNNNNNNNNNNNNNNNNNNNNNNNNNNNNNNNNNNNNNNNNNNNNNNNNNNNNNNNNNNNNNNNNNNNNNNNNNNNNNNNNNNNNNNNNNNNNNNNNNNNNNNNNNNNNNNNNCGACGGAAAGAAGACAACGUGCAACGGGCUAAUAUACGGCGCAUACAUACAUUCAACUCAUACAACAUGCAUUCGGUACACGACACGUCUCAUCGGUAUACCUUCGACGCGUGCGAAUCGGAGCGGUUCGGUUCGGUAAAGGGGAACAACGGUUGUCGUGGACGUCGUGGAAGUAGUUGUACUCGGGUCACGUCGAUGGUAGUCGUUCUCUUGUCGUCGGUGCACAGUCUUCGGCGUCGGUUACGGUCUUCACCUCGGUAGUCGAACACGGGUCUUCGGCGACGUCGAGGAAGUCGAACUCGUUACCGGGGUCGUCGAGGACGUCGUUGUACUCGCGAACUUGUCGACGGGCCAUGGUGGCGGGGAUGGUGCACAUGGCGACGACACGCUACACACGACAACAUCUAGCAGCAACGACGGAAUAGCAACAUAGCACGCUACGGCGACUAGCAACGCUAGCAACCUACAACGCCUAACAACCAGCAGCAAAAGCAUCAGUGCAAGCCUGCAACUAGCAAUAGCAAGCAGUACAAACGACAGCAACUAGCUAUAGCAGCAGGAACAGGAAAACGACAUCUACAACACAAGCAGCAACUAAGCAUCUAGCCUAGCAUGCACGGCAGCAGCAUCUCGCGGCAACAGCAGCUAGCAACUACAGCGGCUAAGCAAUUGCAAAAGGCACGACAAGGCAACACAUGCAAGCAUCGCGUGCAGGCAAGCACACAAGACAACCUCGCAUCGGGCAACCACUACCUAAGCAACUAUCGGCAGCCAACAAGAUCUACUAACUAGCAGCAUCUAAGCAUCUAACAACAGCAACAAAAAGCAUAGCAGCUACGCCACGCAAACUUUAGGCCAGCAAGCAACUUGCAACGGGCAACCAACAGCUACAGCGGCUAGCAGCAAAAUGCACAGCAACAGCAAAGCAACAAGUAUAGUGCAGCAGCAGCAACUCGACAGCAGCAACGGCGACAGCCACAGCAGCGGCACGCCGGCAUCUCCAAGCAGCACCGGUCAACAGCAACAGCGGUAUGGGCAGCAGCAUCGCGAUAGCGUGCACAACAACAGAUAACGGCGACGAGCAUCCGGCGUGGACCGACGAGGGGAUAGGGCGGCGCGGCGAGUUCCUUGCGGUAGGGGCUCGCGAGGGACAGCGACGCGGGGGGCCUUGGCGGCAAGCUCGGCUCGAAACAGAGCUAGGUCGACGCGCGGGGAAGAUGGCGCAGGCGGCGGGGCACGGGAGGCUAGGGAGGCCGGCGAGUGCGCGGGUGCGAGGCGCCCAGCCGCGGCGACCCAGAGGAGCGGUGCGGCGCGGCGGCUGGGAGCACGGUCAUGGCGAGGGGAUCGGGCGAGGGAGGCGCAUAGGAGGGGAUGACGGCGCUCGGGCAGGAGGGGGAACGAGAACGAGGAGCGCCUCCUCUCGCUAGGGCUAGGGCCAGCUGGAAUGCUUGGGCCUGGCGUGCCGGCUGGCUCCCUCCUCUAUUUGGGCCUUGCCUUUUUUUUUAAACAGAGAAACUCACACAAAUUAAAAAAAUGAAAGGAGUUAACAAAAAUAAAAGAAAUACCUUUGACUCCUUUAAAACAAACCCCAACUAUAAAAUAGAUUGGGCCCCUUUUAACAAAUAAAACUAAAAUCUUUUGAAGAAUAAAAUUAAACCCUUUUUACAAAAGAAUAAAAUUAAACCUUUUUUGCAAAAGAUUAAAAUCAAACCCCUUUGAAGAAUUAAAUAAAACCUCUUUAUUUAAAGAAUAAAAUAAAAGCCCUUUAAAAGAGAAAAGAAAAUGAGAGGGUUUUAAAAUAACACACAAGGAGAAAUAAAAUAAAAACCCAAGGGUUGCCCCCACAUUUAAUAAAAGGACUUUUAAAAGAAGACGCUUUUUUUAAAGGGGUUAAAACGGAAACUUAGCAAAACCACAAAAUGAAAUAAGAGGAGGGAGAGGGGGAACUACUAUCGCUCUACGACUCGGUGAUCACUCGAAGCACAACACUCAAUACACCACACGUGACAGACGAUGCAAGAUGCCAUGCAUGAUGCGACGAUGCAAACUAAAUGACGAUGCAACAAAUGAAACUAAUCACACGAUGGAAACGGAAAUAAAAGGGGGAAUCUUCUGGGGCGUCAGUCUCGGGCUGUCACAACUCUCCUACACUACAAGAGGAUCUCGCCCCGAGAUCCAAGAAUGAAAGGGGGUGAGGAUGAGAGAGACAGGAGGUAAAACUUAUUCGCUUCUUUGACAAACGAGUGAAACCAACGAUCCUUGAAAGUUACAAGGCGAUGAGGAAUGAUAUGAGAAAGAAGCAAUAAUUCACGGAAAAUUUCGGCAGCACUUCGGUAGGAAAAUGGGACAAAAAAUUCGAUAAGAAGAGAGAAUUUGACAAUAUACAUAACAAACAACUAAAUAGAACAAGGGAACACCAUGAACUUGAUAGAACAACAAGAUAGACCCAAAAGAGCAACAUCACAAAACCUCUGGAACAAGAGAAUAUGAACUAGCUCAAGCGGAAGAAUAGAAUGAAGAAAAGAAUGACAACUAUUAUCACAAUAGAAUUGAAGAGCCUGCGGACAGAGAAUUGACGUAGUAGUUGGAAAACCAACAACGAAGAACAGAUAGUAGUAGACUUAUGAAAAUCAUCUCAACAUUUAUGAGGUGACAACCAACCACUAAAAGAAACAAGGAUAGUUGAAAGCAAAGAUAUCAAAACUUCUUACACCAAGAGGGUGCAUUGAGAACUAGGAUAAAUGACAAGCACCAUGAUAGCAUAAUCCAUAGGAAAAGCUUUAGAUGAAGUCCAAACCAAGAUAGCUCAACGAAGAAAUCAUAGGUUGAAAAAUAUCUCAUGAUCAAAGAAUUCGUGGGUUUAAUUAUCUCAUUGUUGAAAGGAAAUCUCUUCGAGGGUCCUACACUCACAAGAAUGCUAUAAUACCACCUCAAAGGAUAAAGAAAGAACAAUUGCACAUAUAAAUGCAAGAGAAAGGAUAGUUGAGGUUCUCCAACAAGAAUCUUGAAGAACACUUUGAUAAAAAUCACACCCUUGAAGAAUCACCAUGACGAGCCUCCGUAUCAAAAGGAUGAUGCAAAGAUAAGAAGGAUGAAAGAAUAAGAUUGAAGCCUUGCAAGACUUUGAUGAAGCUUCACGAAGAGAAACUUGAGAAAACUUGGCGCUCCGGAAAGAAAAGAUAAGAACACUUUGAGAACAAGGAAUUGAUAUCAUGAGCCACUCUGGAAGAAGAAUUGAAAUCAUAAUGGAACAGGAAUAAGAAUUAUGUUAUGCUUAUCCUUCAUCAAUUUUAAUUCAUGACAAUCAACGGAUUAGCGUAGCACUUAUUUUUGAAAGAAUCUUGAAGAGGCAGAGAGAUAAGCACCAUUUGAGGCAAAAUUGAAGGAAGCACCGGUAAGAAUUCACAAUUAAAUGGGAACACCAUGAAUUAAUGGAGAUACAUGAGAAUGAAGAGAUCAUGAACCACCCGAGAGAAAACUAGAACAAGGCACCGAAUAACCGAGAGACGAACGAAGAAACAACAAUGGAGAAGAAUUAGAGAAUGAAAGCUACAAGCUGAGAACGAAGAAUCUUCUAAAAUGAUGGCCUUCGGAGGAACGAGAAUGAAAACAACUCAGAAAAGCACCAGAUAGCAAGAAAUGGAUUCUCAUGAUUGGAACAAAUAAGAUGACGACACCAAGCUGAAAUGAAAUCUUCAAGAGAACGGACCAAGAUUCGAGAAAACACUCCUUCAGACUACAAGCUGAGAAUGAUGACAAGAACAACACCAAGAAUUACUGAGACACUCCGGAAUAAAGAAGAAUGAAAGGUUGAGCCAAAUAUGAGAUUUAAUUCCAAUAGAUCUUGGAGAAGGGAUAUGACUGAUGAAAUUCAUACUUACGUCAUAGUUGAAAAGAAUUAGAUAUCUCCGGAAAAGAUUACAAGAGCUAAAAGAUCCUGGGAAAAACCUGUGGGUUAUGGGCCCACUCAAAGAAACCAUCGUUAGAAAAGAUUGCUUAGAAGAGAGAUAUUGCACCGGUACAAAUGAAGAGUAGAUGAGGUUGAAAACCUCGAAAUAAUGAAAGAUCUGAAAACAAGAAACUCUAAGACAUCGUCCACACACCGGAUAGAACAUAGAUGGAAGAAUAACAAGAGAGGCUGACAAGAAUCUUCAACACCGGAAAGAAUAACAAGGAUGAAUAGGAUAUAAUGAACACGGAUAGCUGAAUUGAAUUCACCGGAAAAGAUAACAAGAUGAAGAAAUGAUGAACUCGACUCAUGAGAAUAUUCACAAUGAAUUACCGGCUACAAAAAGGAAGAAGAGAUAGCGGAAGCAUCACUGUAUAAGAAGGCACUUGGAUGAAAUCCAAACACUGAAGAAAAGGGCGGGAGGGCGUGGAAAAACAAAGACAACUUGGGACAGAUGAGAUGAACUCCGGAAUAAAAGAGAGGAUGAUCUUGCAAAAUUAGAUAAGAUUGAAUUCAGUUAAAGAGAAGCAUACCGGUUGAAUGGAAUUGAUACGAUGACUCUGGUUGACAAGGAAUUGACAAGACAACUGAUUAAGCAAAAGGAUUAGCAUUCACAUGAAAAUAUGAGAAAACCUCUUGGAAAGGUAUGAAAUCACCACUUGACAUCGAAGCAAUACAAAUUUGUUGGAAGAUCGUCCUAUAAGUAACUACUUGAAUUCCUACCUAUGGAUUCCCGAAAUAUCUGGUCAUGCAAUGUGGUACACGGAUACAAGGAGUAAUAAUCACACAACUCCUAUACUAACCCGUCACUUGUAUCACAUCCGUCAACACACAACCAGAAUCUCGGACCUUCGUCUACAACAGACCCUCGUGAUGACAACGAUACAAAGUAAGGCAGUACUCCCGAACAAUCUGCACCAGUACUGGGGACGUCGGGGUUAUCUCGCCACUACUAGUAUUGAAGCAAUUACGAAUAUCCUUCGUUCUGAGAUAUUAAGAAAUCUGAAUCAUAACGAUGUUCUCAAGAAUCCCCUGGAGCUCAAUUUCCCUGAAACUCAAAGCAGAUAGGAGGCACCAAGAUAGAACUCCAUCACAUCGGCAUCAUAUAGAUUCCAAAAAUAUCCGCGUGAUCCUAAAAAAAAUUUGAGUGGGAAGAGAAGUAGAAUAAAUUAUUACGUCAAGAUUCCUCACCAGAGCAUAGAAGAGGAGAAAAAAGAAUCCUACUCUCCGAGAUAUAACUAGACUCAAAGUAUUUUUUCACUAGACUCGACUCGUCCAAGUUCGAUCAAUCAAGGGGGCUCCUAGGUCGGUACUACUCUGAUACCAACUUGUCACGCCCAAGAUGCGACCCUAUCCUCAAUUUGGCAUGAAGGCCUUGUCAGGGAUAGAAGCGCAUCUCCUCGUGUCGCAAGAAUGGAUAUCGUUACAAGUACAUGUACUGAAAAGAAGAUAUAUAUAUAUAUAUAUAUAUAGAAUUGGCUUACACUCGCCACAAGCUACAUCAGAGUCACAUCAGUACAUUACAUAAUCAUCAAGAGUAAGAGUAGGGUCCGACUACGGAAGAAUACAAACGAGAAAAGAAGAACGACGUCCAUCCUUGCUAUCCCAGGCUGCCGGCCUGGAACCCAUCCUAGAUCGGUGAAGAAGAAGAAGAAGAAGUAACUCCAAAUGAACAAUCAACGCGCUCGCGUCAAGUAACCUUUACUUGUACCUGCAACUUGUGUUGUAGUAAUCUGUGAGCCAGAGGGGACUCAACAAUCUCAUUAGACUAGCAAAGCUUAAUGGGUGCGGUAUGGUUAAGUGGUGAGGUUGCAGCAGCGGCUAAGCAUAAAUUUGGGUGGCUAAACUUACGAGUACAAGAAAUAAGAGGGGGAAGAUCUAUGCAUAACGGACGUGAACUACUGAUGAUCAAAUGAAUGAUCCUGAACACCUACGUACGUCAGACAUAACCCCACCGUGUCCUCGAUCGGAGAAGGAACUCACGAAAGAGACAGUCACGGUUACGCACACAGUUGGCAUGUUUUAAUUAAGUUAACUUCAAGUUAUCUAGAACCAGUGAUAAACAAAGUUUCCACGUUGCCACAUAACCGCAGGCACGGCUUUCCGAAAAGAUUUAACCCUGUAGGGGUGCUCCAACUAGUCCAUCACAAAUUACCACAAGCCACAUAGAAAUCCUCAAUCACGAAGCUCGUGAUCUCGUCGGAUUCCCUAGUGGAAAACCUCAACUCUGAGAUUACCCAAAGCAUCACCGGAAUCCCGAUGCACAAGAUAUCUCGUCAAAGGUAAAACUAAUCCAGCAAGGCCGCCCGGCGUGUCGACGAUCCCGAUAGGAGCCGCGUAUCUCGUUCUCAGGACAUGACGGAUGAGCGAUGGUUACCAUGCCAAACGCCGAGUUGCCCCGGGUAGCGUUAGUAAGCUGCUCUGUUUUGGACCAGCACCAUCAGCACUGGCCCUCCCUGUAUUAUGUGACAUUACUCCUCGGGUUCAUGACGCCCUAUGCUUUCAGUAUUAACAAAAUUAUUAUGUUGGGAAAAUGUAGUACCAAUGUUGGGCCUUGCCAGACCAGCUUUAAUCUAAAAUGAAUUAUCAAGGGGGUCCCCAUAAUAACCCCGAUCGUGUUAGGAGCGCUCGUUUAUGGAACAUAACACCGGUAUCCGAAACUAAGGAGGCAAAGGUGGAACAAAACACCAGGCUAGAAAGGCCGAGCCUUCCACCUUUUACCAAGUAUAUAGGUGUAUUAAAUUAAAUAGCAUUUAAUAUGGUGAUUGUUGGAAUUAUGCCCUAGAGGAAAUAAUAAAUGUAUAGUUNNNNNNNNNNNNNNNNNNNNNNNNNNNNNNNNNNNNNNNNNNNNNNNNNNNNNNNNNNNNNNNNNNNNNNNNNNNNNNNNNNNNNNNNNNNNNNNNNNNNCUUUAGUCCCGGGUCAUGGCGCCACCCGGGACUAAAGGGGUCUUUAGUCCCGGAUCGAGCCUCGAACCGGGACUAAAGAUCCACCUGUAUAAGCGGGAGUUAGAAAAUUUCGAACCCAAAUCGUCCAUUUUCUCUUCUCUUCCUCUCGUUCUCCUCCCCGGCGCGGCAAGCGACGAACUCGACGACGCCGUCAGGCUGCCCGCCGUCCUGCUCGCCGCCGCCUGCCGUCCUCCUCGCCGUCGCCGUCGUCCUGCUCGCCGCCGCCGUCCUCCUCGCCGCGCGCCGCCCUCCUCGCCGCGCGUCGCCGUCCUCCUCGCCGCGCCGUCGACACCCCCGGCCGGUAAGCCCCACGCCCCCUCCUCCCCAACACUCUGGCCAGCACAAGCAAAGAAUAAAAAGGAGAAGAAAGGAAGAAAAAGGAGAAGAAAGGAAGAAAAAGGAGAAGAAAAGAAGAAAAAGGAGAAGAAAAAGGAGAAGAAAAGAAGAAAAAGGAGAAGGAAGGAAGAAAAAGGAGAAGAAAGGAAGAAAAAGGAGAAGAAAGGAAGAAAAAGGAGAAGAAAUGAAGAAAAAGGAGAAGAANNNNNNNNNNNNNNNNNNNNNNNNNNNNNNNNNNNNNNNNNNNNNNNNNNNNNNNNNNNNNNNNNNNNNNNNNNNNNNNNNNNNNNNNNNNNNNNNNNNNAUUUAUAGGAGGAGGGGGGAGGGCUGCGCCACCCCUAGGGUUCCCUCCCUAGGGGUCGGCGGCCACCAGAUGGGAGAGGGGGCGGCGGCUAGGGUGGGAGGGGGUGUGGCGCACCACCUCGUGGGCCUAAGGCCACCUGCGCCUAGGGUUGCCCCCUCUCCCCACCACUUGCGCAUUGGGCUGGGUGUGGGAGGCGCACCAGCCCACCUAGGGGCUGGUUCCCUCCUGCACUUAGCCCAUCUAGCCUCUUGGGGUCGUUGCCCCCCUUCGGUGGUCCCGCUGGUCCCGGUACGUUACUGAUGACGCCCGAAACACUUCCGGUGUCCAAAACCAUCCGUCCUAUAUAUCAAUCUUUACCUCCGGACCAUUCCGGAGCUCCUCGUGACGUGCGGGAUCUCAUCCGAGACUCCGAACAACUUUCGGUANNNNNNNNNNNNNNNNNNNNNNNNNNNNNNNNNNNNNNNNNNNNNNNNNNNNNNNNNNNNNNNNNNNNNNNNNNNNNNNNNNNNNNNNNNNNNNNNNNNNNNNNNNNNNNNNNNNNNNNNNNNNNNNNNNNNNNNNNNNNNNNNNNNNNNNNNNNNNNNNNNNNNNNNNNNNNNNNNNNNNNNNNNNNNNNNNNNNNNNNNNNNNNNNNNNNNNNNNNNNNNNNNNNNNNNNNNNNNNNNNNNNNNNNNNNNNNNNNNNNNNNNNNNNNNNNNNNNNNNNNNNNNNNNNNNNNNNNNNNNNNNNNNNNNNNNNNNNNNNNNNNNNNNNNNNNNNNNNNNNNNNNNNNNNNNNNNNNNNNNNNNNNNNNNCCAUGGUGGCUCCCACUAUCUCCACGAUGAUCUCAUCGGAUGAACCACGAUGUCAAGGAUUCAAUCAAUCCCGUAUACGAUUCCCUUUGUCUGUUGGUAUAGAACUUGCCCGAGAUUCGAUCGUCGGUAUACCUAUACCUUGUUCAAUCUCGUUACUGGUAAGUCUCUUUACUCGUUCCGUAGCACGUCAUCGUGUGACUAACUCCUUAAUCACAUUGAGCUCAUGAUGAUGUUCUACCGAGUGGGCCCAGAGAUACCUCUCCGUCACACGGAGUGACAAAUCCCGAUCUCGAUUCGUACCAACCCAACAGACACUUUCGGAGGUACCCGUAGUGCACCUUUAUAGUCACCCAGUUACGUUNNNNNNNNNNNNNNNNNNNNNNNNNNNNNNNNNNNNNNNNNNNNNNNNNNNNNNNNNNNNNNNNNNNNNNNNNNNNNNNNNNNNNNNNNNNNNNNNNNNNNNNNNNNNNNNNNNNNNNNNNNNNNNNNNNNNNNNNNNNNNNNNNNNNNNNNNNNNNNNNNNNNNNNNNNNNNNNNNNNNNNNNNNNNNNNNNNNNNNNNNNNNNNNNNNNNNNNNNNNNNNNNNNNNNUAGAGCAUCUUUAUAGUCACCCAGUUACGUUGUGACGUUUGAUACACCCAAAGCAUUCCUACGGUAUCCGGGAGUUGCACAAUCUCACGGUCGAAGGAAAAGAUACUUGACAUUAGAAAAGCUUUAGCAUACGAACAAUACGAUCUAGUGCUAGGCNNNNNNNNNNNNNNNNNNNNNNNNNNNNNNNNNNNNNNNNNNNNNNNNNNNNNNNNNNNNNNNNNNNNNNNNNNNNNNNNNNNNNNNNNNNNNNNNNNNNCAGAGAGGAGGAGGGAGAGGAGCAGGGCUGCGCCGAGAGAGAGAUCAAACGGUGUGUCUCAAUGGCCAAAACCCCUCUCUAUUUAUAGGAGGAGGGGGAGGGCUGCGCCACCCCUAGGGUUCCCCCCCUAGGGGCCGGCGGCCACCAGAUGGGAGAGGGGGCGGCGGCUAGGGUGGGAGGGGGUGUGGCGCACCACCUCGUGGGCCUAAGGCCCACCUGCGCCUAGGGUUGCCCCCUCUCCCCACCACUUGCGCAUUGGGCUGGGUGUGGGAGGCGCACCAGCCCACCUAGGGGCUGGUUCCCUCCCGCACUUAGCCCAUCUAGCCUCUUGGGGUCGUUGCCCCCCUUCGGUGGUCCCCCGGGACCACCUCCGGUGGUCCCGCUGGUCCCGGUACGUUAUCGGUGACGCCCGAAACACUUCCAGUGUCCAAAACCAUCCGUCCUAUAUAUCAAUCUUUACCUCCGGACCAUUCCGGAGCUCCUCGUGACGUGCGGGAUCUCAUCCGGGAUUCCGAACAACUUUCGGUAACCUCGUACAACAAUUCCCUAUAACCCUAGCGUCAUCGAACCUUAAGUGUGUAGACCCUACGGGUUCGGGAGACAGGCAGACAUGACCGAGACACCUCUCUGGCCAAUAACCAUGAGCGGGGUCUGGAUACCCAUGGUGGCUCCCACUAGCUCCACGAUGAUCUCAUCGGAUGAACCACGAUGUCAAGGAUUCAAUCAAUCCCGUAUACGAUUCCCUUUGUGUGUCGGUAUAGAACUUGCCCGAGAUUCGAUCGUCGGUAUACCUAUACCUUGUUCAAUCUCGUUACCGGUAAGUCUCUUUACUCGUUCCGUAGCACGUCAUCGUGUGACCAACUCCUUAAUCACAUUGAGCUCAUGAUGAUGUUCUACCGAGUGGGCCCAGAGAUACCUCUCCGUCACACAGAGUGACAAAUCCCGAUCUCGAUUCGUACCAACCCAACAGACACUUUCGGAGGUACCCGUAGUGCACCUUUAUAGUCACCCAGUUACGUUNNNNNNNNNNNNNNNNNNNNNNNNNNNNNNNNNNNNNNNNNNNNNNNNNNNNNNNNNNNNNNNNNNNNNNNNNNNNNNNNNNNNNNNNNNNNNNNNNNNNUUAUCAUGUUUUACAUCUUAUUGCUUAAAACAACGGUAGCAUAAUAAGAUGAUCCCUCUUAAAAUUUCAAGAACGUAUUCCCCUAAGUGUGCACCGUUGCGAAGGUUCGUUGUCUCGAAGCACCACGUGAUGAUCGGGUGUGAUAGAUUCUAACGUUCGCAUACAACGGGUGUAAGCCAGAUUUACACACGCAAAACACCUAGGUUGACUUGACGAGCUUAGCAUGUACAUACAUGACCUCGAAUACAAGAGACCGAAAGGUCGAACAUGAGUCGUAUGGUUGAAUACGAUCAGCAUGGAGUUGCUCACCAUGGUGACUAGUCUGUCUCACGUGAUGAUCGGACACGGGUUAGUCAACAUGGAUCAUGUAUCACUUAGAUGACUAGAGGGAUGUCGAUUUAAGUGGGAGUUCAUACUUAAUUUGAUUAAAUGGACUUUAUUGUCAUGAACUUAGUCUAAAAGUUGUCUUUAUAAAUAUUGUAGAUGUCCAACGUCAACCUCAAUUUCAACGCAUUCCUAGAGAAAAACAAGCUGAAAGAUGAUGGUAGCAACUAUGCGGACUGGGUUCGCAACUUGAAGCUCAUCCUUGAAGCAGCUAAAAAGGCUUAUGUCCUUAAUGCGCCGCUAGGUGACCCUCCCGCUCCCGCAGCAGCCCAGGACAUUCUGAACGUCUGGCAAGCGCGGAGUGAUGACUACUCUCUGGUUACGUGUGGCAUGUUAUACAGUUUGGAAACGGGGCUCCAAAGGCGUUUUGAGCAACACGGGGCAUAUGAGAUGUUCCAGGAGCUGAAGCUAGUUUUUCAAGCUCAUGCCCGUGUCGAGAGAUAUGAAGUCUCCGACAAGUUCUUUAGCUGUAAGAUGGAGGAGAACAGUUCUGUCAGUGAGCACAUACUCAAGAUGUCUGGGUUACACGGUCGUCUGACUUCACUUGGAGUCGAACUUCCAGAUGAUGCUAUAAUUGACAGAAUCCUCCAGUCUCUCCCACCAAGCUACAAAGGCUUUGUGCUUAACUACAACAUGCAAGGUAUGGAGAAGACCAUUCCCGAGUUGUACUCGAUGCUCAAGUCUACAGAAGUAGAAAUCAAGAAAGAGCAUCAAGUGUUGAUGGUCAACAAGACCACUAGUUUCAAGAAAGGCAAGGGUAAGAAGAACUUCAAGAAAGAUGGCAAAGCUGUUACCUUGCCCGGUAAGCCAGAUGCCGGGAAGAAGAAAAAGAACGGACCCAAACCUGAGACUGAGUGCUUCUAUUGCAAGGGAAAGGGUCACUGGAAGCGGAACUGCCCCAAAUACUUAGCGGACAAGAAGGCCGGCGACGUUAAAGGUAUAUGUGAUAUACAUGUUAUUGAGGUGUACCUUACCAGCGCUCGUAGUAGCUCCUGGAUAUUUGAUACCGGUGUUGUUGCUCACAUUUGCAACUCAAAGCAGGAAUUGCGGAAUAAGCGGAGACUGGCCAAGGACGAGGUGACGAUGCGCGUCGGGAAUGGUUCAAAAGUCGAUGUGAUCGCCGUCGGCACGCUACCUCUACAUCUACCGUCGGGAUUAGUUUUAAACCUUAAUAAUUGUUAUUUAGUACUAGCUUUAAGCAUGAACAUUGUAUCAGGGUCUUGCUUAAUGCGAGACGGCUACUCAUUUAAGUCAGAGAAUAAUGGUUGUUCUAUUUAUAUGAGUGAUAUGUUUUAUGGUCAUGCUCCGCUGGUGAAUGGUUUAUUCUUGAUGAAUCUCGAUCAUGAUGUUACACAUAUUCAUAGUGUGAGUACCAAAAGAUGCAAAGUUGAUAAUGAUAGUCCCACAUACUUGUGGCACUGCCGCCUUGGUCAUAUCGGCGUUAAGCGCAUGAAGAAGCUCCAUACUGAUGGACUAUUAGAGUCUCUUGACUUUGAAUCAUUUGACACAUGCGAACCGUGCCUCAUGGGCAAGAUUACUAAGAAUCCAUUCUCGGGAAUAAUGGAGAGAGCAACCGACUUAUUGGAAAUAAUACAUACUGAUGUGUGUGGUCCAAUGAACGUUGAAGCUCGUGGUGGUUAUCGUUAUGUUCUCACCCUCACCGAUGAUUUGAGUAGGUAUGGGUAUAUCUAUUUGAUGAAGCACAAAUCUGAGACGUUUGAAAAGUUCAAGGAAUUUCAGAGUGAGGUUGAGAAUCAACGUGACAGAAAAAUUAAAUGACUACGAUCUGAUCGUGGAGGUGAAUAUUUGAGUCACGAGUUUGGCACACGCCUAAGGAAGUGUGGAAUCGUUUCACAACUGACGCCGCCAGGCACACCGCAGCGCAACGGAGUGUCUAAACGUCGUAGUCGCACUUUAUUAGAUAUGGUACGAUCUAUGAUGUCUCUCACCGACUUACCGCUAUCAUUUUGGGGAUACGCACUAGAAACUGCAGCAUUCACUUUAAAUAGGGCACCGUCUAAAUCCGUUGAGACGACACCGUAUGAACUAUGGUUUGGCAAGAAACCUAAGUUGUCGUUUCUUAAAGUUUGGGGCUACGAUGCUUAUGUGAAGAAACUUCAACCAGAAAAGCUCGAACCCAAAGCGGAGAAAUGCGUAUUCAUAGGAUACCCUAAGAAAACUAUUGGGUAUACCUUCUAUCUUAGAUCCGAAGGUAAAACCUUUGUUGCCAAGAACGGAUCCUUUCUAGAGAAAGAGUUUCUCUCGAAAGAAGUAAGUGGGAGGAAGGUAGAACUUGAUGAGGUAAUUACACCCCCUCUCGAACAGGAUAGUAGCGCAGCGCGGGAAGUUGUUCCUGUGGCGCCUACACCGACUGAAGAGGAAGUUAAUGAUGAUGAUCAUGAAGCUUCGGAUCAAGUUACUACUGAACCACGAAGGUCCACAAGGGCACGCUCCGCGCCAGAGUGGUACGGCAACCCUGUGAUGGAAAUCAUGUUGUUAGACAACGGUGAACCUUCGAACUAUGAAGAAGCGAUGGCGGGCCCGGAUUCCAACAAAUGGCUUGAGGCUAUGAAAUCCGAGAUAGGAUCCAUGUAUGAGAACAAAGUAUGGACUUUGGUGGACUUGCCCGAUGACCGGCGAGCCACAGAAAAUAAAUGGAUCUUCAAGAAGAAGACUGAUGCAAAUGGUAAUAUAACCGUUUACAAAGCUCGACUUGUCGCAAAGGGUUUUCGACAAAUUCAAGGAGUUGACUACGAAGAGACUUUCUCUCCCGUAGCGAAGCUGAAAUCAGUCCGAAUCAUGUUAGCAAUUGCCGCCUUUUAUGAUUAUGAAAUUUGGCAAAUGGACGUCAAAACAGCGUUCCUUAACGGGAACCUUAAAGAAGAGUUGUAUAUGAUGCAACCAGAAGGUUUUGUCGACCCUAAGGGUGCUAACAAAGUGUGCAAGCUCCAGCACUCCAUCUAUGGGCUGGUGCAAGCAUCUUGAAGUUGGAACAUUCGCUUUAAUGAGGUGAUUAAAGCGUUUGGGUUCAUACAGGUUUACGGAGAAGCCUGUCUGUACAAGAAAGUGAGUGGGAGCUCUGUAGCUUUCGUCAUACUGUAUGUGGAUGACAUAUUAUUGAUGGGGAAUAAUAUAGAGAUGUUGGAGAGCAUAAAAGCCUAUUUGAACAAGAGUUUUUCAAUGAAGGACCUUGGAGAAGCUGCAUACAUAUUAGGCAUCAAGAUCUAUAGAGAUAGAUCAAGACGCCUCAUAGGUCUUUCGCAAAGUACAUACCUUGACAAGAUAUUGAAGAAGUUCAAUAUGGAAAACUCGAAGAAAGGGUUCUUGCCAGUUUUGCAAGGUAUGAGAUUGAGUAAGACUCAGUCGCCGACCACGGCAGCAGAUAGAGAGAAGAUGAGUUCUGUCCCCUACGCUUCAGCCGUGGGCUCUCUAAUGUAUGUCAUGCUGUGUACCAGACCUGAUAUAAACCUUGCCAUAAGUUUGGUAGGGAGGUACCAAAGUGAUCCCGGCAUGGAACACUGGACAGCGGUCAAGAAUGUCCUUAAGUACCUGAAAAGGACUAAGGAAAUGUUUCUCGUUUAUGGAGGUGACGAAGAGCUCGUCGUAAAGGGUUACGUCGACGCUAGCUUCGACACAGAUCCGGAUGACUCAAAGUCACAAACCGGAUACGUAUAUGUGUUGAAUGGUGGGGCAGUGAGCUGGUGCAGCAGCAAGCAAGAAGUCGUGGCAGCAUCUACAUGUGAAGCGGAGUACAUAGCUGCUUCAGAAGCGGCUCAUGAAGGAAUUUGGAUGAAGGAGCUCAUCACCGACCUUGGAGUGGUUCCAAGUGCGUCGGGUCCUAUGACACUCUUCUGUGAUAACACUGGAGCCAUUGCCAUAGCCAAGGAGCCCAGGAUUCACCGGAAGACGAAGCACAUCAAACGCCGCUACAACUCCAUCCAGGACCAUGUCCAGAGUGGAGUGAUAGAUAUUUGUAAAGUACACACGGAUCUGAAUAUUGCAGACCCGUUGACUAAACCUCUUCCACGAGCAAAACAUGAUCAACACCAUAAUGCUAUGGGUGUUCGAUACAUCACAAUGUAACUAGAUUAUUGACUCUAGUGCAAGUGGGAGACUGUUCGAAAUAUGCCCUAGAGGCAAUAAUAAAAUGGUUAUUAUCAUAUUUCCUUGUUCAUGAUAAUCGUCUAUUGUUCAUGCUAUAAUUGUAUUAACAGGAAACAGUAAUACAUGUGUGGAUAAAUAGAUCACAAUGUGUCCCUAGCAAGCCUCUAGUUGGCUAGCUCGUUAGUCAAUAGAUGAUCAUGGUUUCCUGAUCAUGGACAUUGGAUGUCAUUGAUAACGGGAUCACAUCAUUGGGAGAAUGAUGUGAUGGACAAGACCCAAUCCUAAGCCUAGCACUAGAUCGUAUUGUUCGUAUGCUAAAGCUUUUCUAAUGUCAAGUAUCUUUUCCUUCGACCGUGAGAUUGUGCAACUCCCGGAUACCGUAGGAAUGCUUUGGGUGUAUCAAACGUCACAACGUAACUGGGUGACUAUAAAGGUGCACUACGGGUACCUCCGAAAGUGUCUGUUGGGUUGGUACGAAUCGAGAUCGGGAUUUGUCACUCCGUGUGACGGAGAGGUAUCUCUGGGCCCACUCGGUAGAACAUCAUCAUGAGCUCAAUGUGAUUAAGGAGUUAGUCACACGAUGACGUGCUACGGAACGAGUAAAGAGACUUACCAGUAACGAGAUUGAACAAGGUAUAGGUAUACCGACGAUCGAAUCUCGGGCAAGUUCUAUACCAACAGACAAAGGGAAUCGUAUACGGGAUUGAUUGAAUCCUUGACAUCGUGGUUCAUCCGAUGAGAUCAUCGUGGAGAUAGUGGGAGCCACCAUGGGUAUCCAGACCCCGCUCAUGGUUAUUGGCCAGAGAGGUGUCUCGGUCAUGUCUGCCUGUCUCCCGAACCCGUAGGGUCUACACACUUAAGGUUCGAUGACGCUAGGGUUAUAGGGAAUUGUUGUACGAGGUUACCGAAAGUUGUUCGGAGUCUCGGAUGAGAUCCCGCACGUCACGAGGAGCUCCGGAAUGGUCCGGAGGUAAAGAUUGAUAUAUAGGACGGAUGGUUUUGGACACCGGAAGUGUUUCGGGCGUCAUCAGUAACGUACCGGGACCAGCGGGACCACCGAAGGGGGGCAACGACCCCAAGAGGCUAGAUGGGCUAAGUGCAGGAGGGAACCAGCCCCUAGGUGGGCUGGUGCGCCUCCCACACCCAGCCCAAUGCGCAAGUGGUGGGGAGAGGGGGCAACCCUAGGCGCAGGUGGCCUUAGGCCCACGAGGUGGUGCGCCACACCCCCUCCCACCCUAGCCGCCGCCCCCUCUCCCAUCUGGUGGCCGCCGACCCCUAGGGAGGGAACCCUAGGGGUGGCGCAGCCCUCCCCCCUCCUCCUAUAAAUAGAGAGGGGUUUUGGCCAUUGAGACACACCGUUUGAUCUCUCUCUCGGCGCAGCCCUGCUCCUCUCCCUCCUCCUCUCUGCCGGCGCUUGGCGAAGCCCUGUCGGGAGACCUCGUCUCUCCAUCGACACCACGCCGUCGUGUUGCUGGAGUUCUUCUCCAGCCUCUCCCUCCUCCUUGCUGGAUCAAGGUGCGGGAGACGUCACCGGGCUGCACGUGUGUUGAACGCGGAGGUGCCGUAGUUCGGCACUAGAUCGGAAUCGCUGCGAGUACGACUCCAUCAACCGCGUUCUAGCAACGCUUCCGCUUAGCGAUCUUCAAAGGUAUGAAGAUGCUCUUACCCCUCUCUCGUUGCUGGUCUCUCCAUAGGAAGAUCUGAAUAUGCGUAGGAAAAUUUUGAAUUUAUGCUACGUUACCCGACAAAAUUAUCGCAGGAACAUCCUAGAAAGUGUAUUGAAUUCAUUGUCUUCUUUGUUGAAAGGUGUACUGAGGUCACUGUCUUUUUUGGUGCUUCUGUUGGAUAGCUUAUAAGCACUACAUGCUAGGUGGUAGAAGAACAACUCAAGCAAUUUCGAAGAGAUGUGUUACUUGGUGCAUUCUAACUCUAAACUUUUUUCUAAUUUUCCUUUUCUUACUGAAGACUACUUCCCACACAUGCAGCAAUGUGAAGGUAUAUUCAAAUGUAUGUUUCCGGGGUAAGUCAUAUACAUGUUUACUGCUAAUUAUUACGACGCCCUUCCUUUUUUGCUGAAAUUUCGCAAUAGUUCCUCUCUACUUCCCUCUGUGCAAAUGUUCCAUGUAGAUUUCACAUAAAGAUCAUGCACUAUGAAUGCGUAAAUAGAUUAUUAUAGAGUUUUACCUUUCGUAUGAUCGACUGCAGAUCAUAGAAACUGAGAACAGUGUUCCUAAAAUUAUGAGCAUUUUGGGCACUUUGAGAUCAGGAUUGAACUUAGUGAACAUUGCUCAUUUUAUUUUCUUGGUUACACUUAUGAGGUCCAUGGUGUCACAAAUCUACUCAAAUUUCACAAAGAUACAGGUGUAACAGCUAUUACUAUUGUGCAUUGAUCUAAUUUUCCGUGAUACAUCUGUGUUUGUCAGGAAAUGACAAUUUUAUCAUCCACUCAAUGCAGCUCAUGUUCUUCCAUCUCCUCUUCAGCAUCAGAUUUGCACACAUCUUAUACUGGACUAUUACUCAAGAUGCCCGAAGAUAUUAGUUUGUAAUAAAUCAGUGGUUCCAUGGGUAAAUGCCGACAUAAUCAUAUAAUUAAUUCCAUUAUUUUUCUGUUUUUCAGAAUUUGAUUGAUAUAAGUAGGAGGAUCAGUCAUACUGAUGUCUGUACCAAUAAACAUAACCAGAUAAUCCUCUAAUCUGAUUGUUGUUAUGUUGUCUGAAAUGUGAUUUAUAUGAAGGGGGUCAAUCAUACUGAGGUAUGUAACAUUACAAGUCAUGUAUCAUUCAGAAGUAUUGUUGUAAAAGAAGAAUCAUACAUUCAUAAUUUUGUUGAACCUUUUUGGAGAGUCAUUUUACCGAGUGAAGCAAUAAUUUUAGGCAAUAUUUUCCGCAGCACGGGGAAUUAUCUAGUUAUGUAUAACCUAGCUUCUUUUGUAAUCUCUAUAGAGAAAAACAAACAAAUAUAAUGAAUGGAGCAAGUUAGUUAAAGUUGAAAAGAAAAAUAAUUUUGGUGUUGGCAUGAGGAUUGAAGUGAUGAAGAUCCUACCAAUAACUUCUGAAAAAUUGGUCCUGAAAAAUGGUUACAAAUUCUCUAGCUCCAGAAUCAUGGGAAUAAACAUGGUGUUUUGACUUUUGAGUGUAGAUUUUGGGCACAUGGUCAAAGGAAAAAAACAAACCAACCAUGUAUAUCAUGCUAAUUAGGUACACUCCACAUGACGGGUUGGCUAGAGCGACAUGUCAUCGGCAUGUUCAGGAGGAUGAAAAUAUAGUCGACCCCAGAGACUCCUAUUUGUAACCAUUUAUUUUGUAGUAGUAGUAGAAGGAGAAUGGCGUUUUGGCUCACGGGAGGCAUGGAGGCCGAAAUAUUUGAAAAAUUCAAAUUUGAAAAUUUUAGUUUCAAAAAAUCUGAAAGAAAUAUAUAACUAAAUAAGGAUGUGAUUCGUGUGCGUGUAAAAUUUCAGGUCGAAAUACUUUGAAAUGCGAACUGUACAAAAGAGACAAAUUCAUGGUCCAAAAUGAUAAAUAGUAACAUCUGUUAAAAGGUUUCAGAUUUGUCUUUUUUGCACAGCCCUUAUUUCAACGUAUUUUGUUCUGAAAAUUUACACACUUGUGUAUUAUACCUUCAUCUAUCUAUGUAUUUUUUUUAGAAUUUUUUGAAAUAUUAAAUACGAAUUUUCACUGAAUUUGAAGUUUGAAUUUAAAGGCCUCCAGUGAGCUCGGGAGCCAAAAGCAAUAUUCGUAGUAGAAGCGUAUAUAUUGUUGGUUUCGUUAACAGAUUUAAUUGCUAUUUUGCUCGAAAAAAAUCUAAAAGAGAUGUGACUUCAACGUUCAUGCUUAUUUGAUUGAACUAAAGAGGGUUAGAGGGCACAGUAAGCCCAACGAUUUGCAUUCCUAGUACGGGCUCCAAAAUUCAAUAAUACACAUUAGACAGGGGAUGCCUUAAGUUUGUCAGAAAAAGAAUAUUUCUUCUUUACAAAAAUAAGUGACUCAACUUCAUAGAAGGGAGUAAUACGGUGAAACGAAUUUGCAGAGUUAUUUAAAUCUGCAGAAAUACUCCUUUAUGCAUAUUAUAUGUGUAAAUAAAACGUCGGCGUUUUCAAUAAAGGUCUACGUAAGGCAUGUCCAGUGACCUAGGUAAAGGGUGGAUAUAGCUUUUACACCAUAUACAAGAAAAGCUAAAAAAUAAAACAAAAAAAUGUAUAUAUAGAAUAGCACCGCUGGCUCACCUUGGUCCAAUGGGCUAGGUCCGCCACUCGGCAUGUCAUAUCGCCACCUACCACAUAGUUACAUAAUGCACAUAUAAUUCUCAUUCCAGAAACUAAGCAUUUUCCGUGGACCGCCAGCAAAUUGGAGUUAACUACCACCAAGUGGUUUACAAAACGCAGCCUCCGGUCGGAAGUUUCUUAGCUGUCCUUGUUAAUUAUUGAGCUCCAUCUCUCCCUUUGCUUGACUCCAUCAAAGUCUAUGCAGUUGUUAUUUGAUACUCCGUCCAGUAGAAAGGCUCGUCUUUUAUUGUGCACGUAGUAACAGUAUGUCACCUUCCCUACAAGGAGAACUAAAUCCGUCACAGUCGUACAUCAUGAGCCUGGCUCUGGCUGGGUUUGGAAUCUUCUAUCCGAGCAAACAAAACGGUGGUAUGCGCGCGAUCGCGAGAGGGGCGAGCAAAGGGUCACGUCAGCGCGCAGAAGCCAAAAACAAGCGCAGCCCAUCACCCCGUCUCCAUGCAUGCAUGCAUGAUCACGAUGCGUCUGUCCACGCGCGCCACGCACGACCUAUAUAUUCCCAAACGAUGAUGGUGACGACGCUUUGUUCAUCUAGCACAGCACGCAGUGGUAACUGGUAAGACCUACUCGCUCCGUAUUUAAAGUUCUCUCUAACCAAAAUUAUUUAGAUACAGAGAGAGAGUAUUUCAUGGGUUCAUACACGGUUACAUCACAUUGCAGUCCCCGUAACAGAGGGACAGGUCGCAACUUGCAAGAGAACGAAGGAACCUCGAGGAUUUAACAACGCGCACGCGGGAGGGCAGCGCCGGAAGCUGAGGCCCGCGGACGCCGAUGCACCCGUCAUUUGCCAUUGACCCCGCUCCGGCGCGUCGGCGCAGAUCGGGAUCGCCAUAUUUCCGCGGCCACGCGGCUGGCCUGAGAACCCCAGCGCACUGGCCAAACGAAGCACACCGGAUCGGCGUUCGACAUAGAAAAUGCACUAGCAUCCCAUAUCCCAGAGUUUGAUGGCAAAAAAAGAAUUAUAUCCCCAAGCUUAAAGUAAACGGGGUGGUCGAGCUAGCCAGCGGUGCAAGAGCGUUGAGCCUGAAACACGCGGAGAUCGAUCGGUCGGUCCGGUGGCCGGCUGAGGGGCGCGAGGCAGCGUGUGGGACGACGCAAGGGCAGGCCCUGGGUACUACUGAAAGUCAAUUAUAUCGACAAACAUGCAUGCUCCUCGUGCAAGGAUGCUAAUGACGAUCGUUUUUUGUCUCUUGUGUUGUAUAUUGCCGUUAGUUGAUGUUUAAGAAUCACAGGAUUAAAACGUAAGCUUUUCCUUGGUCCUUCUCGCACACGCGAGACCUGGCCGAUCAUUGCUUGUAAGACCAUUUAUAGCCGGAUUUGAUUAAACCAACUCCGGGCGCGUCUGCUGAAUCGCUUAUCUGUAUUUGGAUACCUCAUAUGGUAAAUCUUAGAUCUAUAUUCUUUUCGAAAAAACAUGGAAACGUACUACGUAGAUCAGAUAACUAAAAGGGCAGCGCUAGGCGUCAUCCGGCUGAUUUCACGAGAGGAUCAGCCGGGUCUGCCACCGUCCGAUGCGACAGGAUCUAACGUCUGGCAGCGUUUCUCUAAACGCGCGAGUUUAUUUUACUUGGGCCCUUCACAGCCGGCUAUGCAUGGGUGGGUACCUGCUGCUGCUUCCGUCGCUUUUAUUUUUCUAUAGUCUAGCUUACUCAAAGCUUCUAUGCUGACGUUUUUGAGCAAUUUUUCAGUCACGACAGAGCACACAUGUUUCCGUGGUGUUGCUUAAUACAUUUUGUGUACAGAUUGGAAUAUGAAUAAAAUAUCUCGGUUGUAUUUCCAUAAUAAAAUCUACCAGCCUUUGAGAUAAAACUUUUGAAGAACACAAGGUAGACUAUUUUAAUUUUUUAAAUAAAAUUAUAAUAUCAUUUCCUUGAACGGUAACACCAUUUUAGCAACAAAAUAAACGAAAAGUUGGAAGUCGGCCAACCGGUUUUGUAGUGGGAAAAGACAACAUCGGGCAACAAUAGUGUCCGACCUUGCAACAUUGUGUGUCUAGCUUCCAAUGACAUCGGUUGGCCUCGGGGAAAAAAUUCAGUCAACUUACAACGUCAUACUUUCGACUUGCCAUGUCAAGCGCUAGGUUUGUAGCAAUACCAAUCGGCCUUGUGGUGUCGCAAAGUUUUGCAACAUAGUGGUUAGGCUUUUUUCAUAGGAAAAAACAACAACAACGAGACUUGCAGCAUCGCAACAUAGGCCAACCUUGCUUUCCACGAUUUAAUAGCACGUUUCUCUAGCUUCUCAACAAAAAUAAAAUUGGUGUACAUAUUUAUAGCGUCGAGUACCUGUCAUGUACUAUCAUUGUUACUGUUUAGAGCAUGGCUCACAACAUCGGUGACGCUGCCGCAACACCUAUUCAUGGCACCGAGCCUGCCCACACACGUCAUGCCUCGCGACACUUGCCGGUACCAUGACGACGCUCUUCUGCACCACGGCGAUGCGCGUCGCAGCACCAUGGACGCUCCCACGACAUGUCGACGCUCUCAUAGCACGGUGACACGUCUCGUAACAUAAUUGCUCCUAUGACACGUACGAUGACGCUUUCGUAACACAACAAUGUGCCUCCCAACAUCGACUCACAACAUUGUUGAUGCCCCCGCAACAUCGCGUGUUGCGCUCGGAGUUGCAACACGAGCCAUGUUCUUUUGCCAUAUUUUACUUCAUUUGGAACAUGAGCCAUCGUAUGCCCGCGCAACAUGAUUCAUGUUGCGCUCAAUGGUUGCAACAUGAUUCAUGUUGCGCUAAUAAAAAUUUAUUGUAAGUUGCAAUAUGGUCCAUGUUGUGAAGCCCCUUUGCAACAAGGAUGUUGUUGCAAAGCCGCUUCGCAAUGUGGAAGACGUACGAAGCCACAACAUAGAUGAAAUUCUAAAGCUUGGGGAGGAUGGAGGAGGAGGGAGAGGUUGGGCAACAAGCUUGGGGAGAUAAAAUGACACCGACAGUCGGCGAUCCAUCACGGGGGCGACGGUUGGCAACACCUGAUGGUUAUUUUCAUCCAAUUAUCGUGGAUGGUGGCUAGCCCCUGCAAUGUUGCGUGUUCUUCUUGUGUCGUAUGUGACAAUUUUGUAGUAGCGACGCCCGAUCCUUAUAGAGACACGCGACCGAUUUGUAACGGCACCCAAUCCUUGUUGCAACACGUACCGAGUUGCAGCGACCCCCGGAUUGCAACAACAUGGCAACAUUUUUUUUGAAGCACUGGCGGACCCUUUUGAGCGAUCUCGUAAGAGCAUGGUUAAUGGUACAACCAGCUGCUGACUAUAUGAUGUUGACACGUCAUUUAUAACCAAGCUUAUAGCUGGCAAAUACAAUAAAUAGAUGCAAAUAAGUAUUAUUUUAUGGGAAAUGAUGCUAAUCAUCCGGCGGAUCGGACAUUUUCCAUCCGCCUCCUCGUGCGCACGACACGUGUCCCGUGCGCUGGGCCGCAAAUAUGAAGUCAAUGGCGGGCGGUGCGGGUGAGAAUCUAGAUUGCAACGUCAUUAUUUUUUUCCUGAAACAUUACAUGUGUUGCAAAACUUAUUUCCGCAACAACACAUGUGUUGCAAAAAAGAGAAAAUUGGGGAAAAAAUCUGCAAUAUGACUUUUUGUUGCAAAAAAAUUAUCUAUUGUUGCAGAAAAAAAAUCUACAACAAACACUUAGUUGCAAAAAUAUUUAUGCAACAAGACUUUUGUUGUAGAGAAAGAAUUCUACAUAUAUUUCCGCAACACGAUCUUUUGCCGUGGAAAAUAUUAUAUAACAAGGAAAACUCUUCCCAUCAGCUGGUCGAUUUCUACGAUCACAUAGUGCAAGUAGGGCGUAAUGACGAGUUUCUGCAACUUCGUCUUUGUUUCAAAAAAUUGGAACAAAAUCUUUUGUUGCAAAAAAUUUCUACAGCCUGACUUACGUUGCAAAAGUUUUUUUCAACAUGACCUUUGUUGCAAAAAAUUCUGCAACACGAUCCUUGUUGCAGAAAAUAUUUUAUAACAAAAUCUAUCGUAAAAAAAUAUACGGACGUUUUCGCAACAUGCUUUUUUGUUGCAAAAAAAUUGCAACAUAAUCUAUGUUGCAAAAGACUCGUCGGUCAUUUUUUAACUCAUCAGCCAGACGAGGUAGCAGUGUGCUUAUUUCCGCAACUGAAGCGUUGUUUCAGGAUUUUGUAUGGUGGACGGAUGCGACCGAACUGGUGAUCAAACGGUGAACGCGUAUGCAUCGGACGGUUAAAAAAGUGGUGGAUGGUUUCUACAAAUCCAUCGGCAGAUCUCACAAAGUUUCUAGAAACACGUGUUAUAACCGGCUGUUAAUUUGUAGCCCGUUUCUCCUCUUCUCUCUUUUCCAACUCAUUACAAAUAUAUUAUUUUAAUUCUUACAACCCGUCUACGUUAUGCUAUCGCACUUGCUCUGAGCUCACUAGCUAGUGCUUUCUGAAAACAAGAUAGGGUACUCCUUUAUGCAUGAGCGAGUUGACACUAAAAAUGUGUGAAAGCCAACAGCUAGUUGUGCACACAAGCCUAGGUGACCACUCAUCGAAGAUAGACAAACCUGGCAACACUGUGCGCCGCGGUAUAGUAGUAUUAGGCUUGGCUGAUCACACAGCGGAGUGUUCGGACAAUCCGACGGUCUAGCGCGCGGCGGACGCCGGCGCUAAAAUCAGUCGGAUGAUUUCAAGACUUUUCCUAACUAAAAUAUCCUAGUCCUAGUAGGAGAUAUGUGUGCCACGCUCGAGGUACAUGGGCAACAGCGACAACUCCGAUUCCUCUGGCUGCUCCACCUCCGACUGCUCUGCCUCCGCCUCCAUUUCGAUUUUGGUGAAAAGCUAGUGGUCGCUCUCGUGCUGAAGAACUGCCGGUUUGCCACCACAUAGACCUCAUCCUGGAUGGACUUCGGAAUGGCGUAAUGCUCCCUCAUCUUAGCCGUUUGGGCAACCGCGAACUCCGCUUCCGCCUCCUCCAUGUUGUAGCCCAAAGUUGGAGCCAACACUACUCCUCCUUGUACUCCUUCCCCCAGCUCCUCCUCCUACAUUGGAACCGGAUGCCGCUCCUCCCCGUCUGUCCCUCCUCCUUGUCUGUCGAAACCGGAUGAUGCUCCUCCUCCUCUGGCUCCGGCGAGCCCGAAGACAGGCCCGCAGCGAUGCAGGCGACACACCUCGCCCAGAUUUUUCUCCUCGAUCCUGACGACAUGGGACAAACUGCGAAGCGGGAGAGAGGUGGUGGAUGGACUCUGGCUGGUGAGACGUGGAGAGGAACAAGGUGGAUGUGGCUAGGGUUGAGGGACGUCGGCCAACUUAAAUAGCCAAAUUUGGUCCCGGGCAUCGAGCCGAAGUGCCGCUACACUCCUUCCACCGAGGAGACGUAUUCCAGACCGUCGGGUUUCCGUGCGAUUUCGUGGGGGACCCCAUCAUCAGUGUGACAUGGAAGACCCGUCCAGACGCGCCCAGGCACCCCAUAUUCUUCCUAGAUUUAGGUUGGAUAUGAUGGAUGUCGCUCAACCCAGGCAUUUGAGGCCCAUUUGUGGAAUACAUUUAGCAAUAAUAAAAUGGAAUAAUGCACCAUGGUGUAGUAUAUACAAAGCUACAUAACCUCUACAUCAUUUUAUAAUGUGUAUGAUCUAAAUGCAGGGCAUGUAUACAUAUAUCUAUAUAAUAUCUAUUUGCAUCUUGGCUCGUGGUUAUCGCCUAGAACAUGCGCGAUUCUUCACGGUGUCCAUCCCCAUUUGUUCCUACAUGAUCCUUGGCAAUAAAGGAAGGUUUUCAAAAAGGAUUCGGCUCAAAUAGAGCCAAUGAAUGGAAAGAAGCUACAUCUAUGGAGGAGGCUUUGGGAGAGCCCUUAUAUUCACACCUUUCAACCCUAGCCGUCGAUGUGAUUUCUCAUUCAUCGAAGAUAAAUCUCCAUCACCUCCACUAAUCUUGUAACACCACCUCUAUAGAAGAAGGGAUGAGAUUAAUAAUGAGGAAGAGGAAGCUCUGCCACGCCACACCAGUCUUUGGGUUGGUGCCAUCUCCAUCGUGCCACCACUGUCGACGCGAUAUCCAUCAUACCAUCGCCGCAGGAGCCAUCUCCACUAGCACCGCCAUGGCCUUCUCCUACCCCGUCUUGAUGACAGCUUGUAACUUGGCCCUCUCAUCUAUGUUAUAUAUCUACAUGUUUCAGUAGUUGUACUGAUUCUAAGAUAUGGAUAAACUCUUUUAUGAUCAAAAUUAAAUUCCUUUAAGCUAUCCAACGUCGUAUGUCUAUCUUUAAGUUAGUAGUUUUCAUGAAUGUUGAGAGGAUGCCUCGCUCGCAUUAUCGUCUUGAUUGGCUUUACCGUCGUUGUAAAGGUUAGGAUGUUGAGGCAAUUCGAGGUCACAUUGAAAGUCUCGUCAUGUCACCUUUGCCAUUCAUGGGGAGGGGGGCUAAUGGAGAACCCUUGUUGCAUUAGGGAGUUUUGCAGGUCUUCAGAGAGCAUUAUCUAGUCACUUUUGACUUGACCAUGGUCUAGGAGAAAUUGGUCAUAGUCCAUAAAACAAAAAGGUGACGGCAAGAGUAGGGAAGAUGUCACCAUGUGAAGGUGUCUAUGGGGAAACCCUUAAUUACCUUAGUCAGAACCUAAUAACCCACAAGUAUAGGGGAUCACAACAGUCUUCGCGGGUAUUAUUUCAUCCAAAUUUAUUAAUUCAACACAAGGGGAGUCAAAGAAUAUUUAUUAGUCUUAGCAGCUAAGUUGUCGAUUCAACCACACUUGGAAUUUCUUUCCUCAACAAAGUUUUAGUAGAGAAGUAAUGGUAGUAAUAGGAACAAUAAUACUAGUGAUGGUGAUGAUUGUAACAACAUCAGCAAUGAUAGUAACUUAGCAGAUUCAAUAUGUGGAAAGCAUAACUAUUGGAUCAGUGAUGGAUAAUUGUGUUGGAUGACAUUCAUCAUGUAACAGUUAUGUACUAGAGCGACAAACUAGCUCCAAUUCAUCAAUGUAAUGUUGGCACGUAUUCCGUGUAUAGUCAUACGUACUUAUAGUAAGAAAUUGCAUAACAUCUUUUGUCCUACCCUUGCAUGACAGCGGGGUCCAUAAGGAAAUCUGAGGGAUAUUAAGACGUCCUUUUAAUAAAGAACCGGAACAAAGUAUUAACAAAUAUUGAAUACAUGAACCCCACAUACGACGGUCAUCACCAGAGAUGAUCCCAAGUAUUAUCACUUUGGGAUAUGCGGAUCAUAACACUUAAUAGGUGCAUACAACUUGCAAGAUAGGAUCCAAAACUCUCUAAUAUUCGUGAAAACAUAAUAGGUUCAGAUCUGAAAUCAUGGCAUUCUGGGCCCUAGUGACAAGCAUUGAGCGUAGCAAAGUAAUAGUAACAUCAAUCUCGGACCAUAGUGGAUACUAGGGAUCAAGCCAUAUCAAAAUAACUAGAUUAAAUGACAAAUUUAAUCCAAUCCUAUCACCACCAAGCAAGCAUGCGAGUGAAUAACUCACUCCCGGUGGUGAGCAUCAUGGAACUGUGGAUGAAGAAGUGUUGAUGAUGAUGAGGGGGAUUCCCCUCUCUAGAGCUCCAAAUAGAUACCAGAUCAGCCCUCCCAAGGAAGAACAGGAGGUGGUGAUACCUCCGUCUUGUAAAACGGAAUGAAAUCUUCUCUUUGAUUUUUUUUCUCCACGAAACGGAACUUAUAGCAUCGGGUCAGACGGGGCUACGAGGGGCCCACAAGCUUAGAGGUUGUGCCCUCCAAACUUGUGACUCGUGGGUGGCCCCCUCUGGUGGAUCUUCAAGGCAAUAUUUUUAUUGAUUCCAGAAAUAUUCUUCAUAAAUUUUCAGCUCCAUUCGAGAACUUUUAUUUCUGCACAGAAACAACUUCAUGGUAGCUCUGAUGCAAACGUCGUGAGUCCGGGUUAGUUUCAUUCAAAUCAUGUAAAUUAUAGUUCAAAACAAGAGGAAAAGUGUUUGAAAAAAUAGAUAAAUUUGUGACGUAUCGAAACGGAAGUAGGGAAACUAUGAUGGUGUCGUGCGUGGUGUGAAGUAAUACCUAGAGAAGAAUGUAUCAUGUACUUGGGUCCGCCUGCUUAGGCACAUAAAGAUUAGCUUAGGUAUACGACAUGGAGCUAUGUUCGGCAUAUGUAGCACAUAUAGUAGUAGUAGUGAUGAAUCCGGAUUCCGAGAGAACACCUCAGUGCUCAAGCACUCACCUUGUUAACUUGUAUAUUUUUAACUUUUCGUCUAUAUUUUAUAUAAAACUCAAUUUUAUUUUGUUUUCAUACCAACUUAUAGAGUAAGAUAUUUACAAACUUCGGUUUGGGUGCAUACAGAACUACGUCGGUGACAAUGUAUUUGCGGGAUUAGUAGUGCCUUCCUUUUUUCCAAGCUCUGGGUUUGACACUUCACUUAUCAUGCUACAACACCAUGUGCUCUUGCAUGACAUCAUGUAUAUAAAGGGGAGUGUGGUUCAUGUUUCAGGUUGAUCCUUUUCUCCCAACUACAUCCACCACCGCCGCUCGUCACACCCAAAUAUUUAGUAACCGAACCUAACAGUAUGUCAUCCGACAUUACUCUCCGUACGUGUGGAUACCUUGGAGGCACUGCCCCUAUGACGCUCUGAUGAACUAUUCAAGGGAUCCACGAGGAACUGCUCGAGGGAGAUCGGCUACUUGAUGAGGAGAUGCAAUAGCCAAUCUACAACUCGUGUCACCAAUGCUACUUUUACUAGAAACCCCGAUCCCUGAUCUAUCCCGAGCAGUAUGUUCUUGAUUGCGCUGUAGAAAUUUUUAAUCUUCACUAGUGUAUCGUUUUGUGUAUCCCAACAGGGGAAAGAGAGAGGCGUGUGUGGGCCCAUAAGAACUUGUGGCCAAAGUGCGUAUGAGGGGCGAAACGGUCGAUCAAUCCCCAGUUACAAAAGAUUUGCCUUUGUUAUAUGUUUUCUCUUUCUUUCCCCUAAGACCCGAUAUGCGAUACCACAUAAACGAGCCAAAUCUCCAUUUAUAUUGUUAAAUAAAUAUAAAAUGAAAGCCAAAGAUUAUAUUAUGCAACUAAAAGGCUUGGAUUUAAUAUACUCUUAUAGUAAUAACUUGAGCAUUGCUCAAUCGCCCUAAUUCAAGUCCUAGGCCGAGGUCUUUUGAGUGAUGUCCCAGAAUCUUGAGAAGAGCUCCCCCAGCCAAAAGAUCCGGGCCCUAGUCUUAGACACGAGUGCUCAUAUCUUUUGAAUUUAUAUGAAACUUAUCUACACUAUUCUUAAGUGGUAUUGCAUGCCCCUCAACAAAAUAGGUGCACUUCCAUCAAUAUAAAGAUCAAUCAUCUUAGUCUCUCGAUGAUAUGAAAAUCAGCAACAAAUAGUGAAAAUACAAUACAAAAUCACUAAUCAUGCGUAAUUUUGUUUUCAUAUCUCCUAAUUGAAUAUGAAUUUUAAAUUCCACAUGUUUAUGCAACAUCACUUUUCUAAGAUAUUGUAUUUGUUUGAGAGUAUUUUCAAGCUUUCAUACAUGAGUUUUGUGGAGUUUUUCAUUGUAACUAGAUUUCCACAAUAUACUUUAUCUAGAUUAUGGGAGUAGUAGGGAAGCUCUACAAUUAAGUAUGGUAAAUUACUUUUUAUUUUGGAUUCUUAUUUCUCUUGAACCGUUCCGAUAUAUGGUGCCAACAGGAAAAAAAUACAUUAUUUAUCAUGAUUAAAAUUAGGGUAAUGCAAGCCACACAAUUGUACGGGUCAACCAACUAGUUAUUUCUAAAAUAAAUAUCAACCAAAAUUGCCCAUGGUUUACCUUCUAUAGGUCUAAGAGGACAGAGAAUUAUAAAAUUGCAAUUUGCAGGACUUUUAAUUUGGUACCUCCUCUCUCCUCCAAAGAUUGUGACAUGUGCCGCUUUUAUUGAUUCAACCCCUCACUCCACGGAACCUUGACACUUCUACUUUGAAAAAUUCUGAUUGAAGCUAUACAAUUUUCAUCAAGCCUUGGUUGAUGCCUAGGCCUCCGUAGUUCCCAACAUAGACCCCUUUUGCCGUAUAUUUGUGUGUCUUAAGGUCACUGCUCGAUGCGUGUAACGAUGGAGCAACAAGUUUGUGAGUCAUUCCCCCGCAGAGUCCUGAUUACGCUAAGCUCAUUGAUGGUUCAAGGUCGUGCGGGAUGCCCGUCCCCUCUUCCCGAUCGAUACAUGGAUGUACCUUAAGCUAAAAGGAUCCUACCUUGGGCUCGCCUUGCUCGAUAAAUCCUAUACACCUCAACAAACACGUCUUUACUAUCUCAAGCGCGCGACACCAACUCGGCCUUCUUUGGCUCCAAGCCGUGCACCACAAACAAAGAACAUGAUCUUUGAGUUACAACUGAGUGAUGGCAUCGCUUCCAUCCAUGAGGACAUGGAGCUCCUCAUAUGUUCGAGGCUUCACCAUCGAUCUCAAUGUGCUUGAUUCAUGGCCGUUUGAUCUCAACGAACUAGAGCAAUCAUUCUCCAAGGAGCAAAUUUGGUGGGCCAUUAGGAGGCCCCCGAAAGGCAAGGAACCUGGGCUACACAACUUGUGUGUGUUGGGAUAUUACCAAAGGUAGACAUUUGUGAUGCCUUCGCCAAGAUAUAUGCUCUCAAUGAUUGAGGCUUCAAAAAACUUAACGAAGCUCUCCUCACCUUGCUCCUCAAGAAUUCGGACACACCGUCCUCUAACUAUUGGCUGAUCAACCUCAUCCAAUUCGUCUCCUAGCUCUUCAUGUAGCUGCUUUUCCAUAGACUCGUGUCGUGUCUCGAAGACAUGAUAUUUACCAACCAUACCGCGUUCAUCGUGGGUUGGUCCAUUUGCGGCUAGUUUUUUGCUCGUCCACGGUCCACCAAACCAUGCGCGAGAUCCACAACCUCAAAAAUCCAUUUGUCAAGAUAAAGCUGAACAUUGCACGCGCCUUUGACUCCAUCUCGUAGCCCUUACUCCUCGAGACACACCACCACAUUGGGUUCGAUCACCACAGGUGCGAAUGGACUAGUAUCGUCCUCUUCAUGGAAAUCAUAUGUGUUCUCCUCAAUUAUGUCUCGGGUCCACCGAUGCAACACCAAAAAUUUCUCUGCCAAGGGCCCCCCUCUAUCCCCAUGCUCUUCGUCAUGGUGAUCGAUGCCCUGAACAACCUCAUCCAUCGCAUCAUGGCCGCUGGGGCUCUCCACCCAUCACAUGGCCUCGAUUUUUUUUCAUUUAUGCCGAUGACGCGAUCAUUUUCCGUCGCCCAAAAGUGCAUAAUCUCACCGCCUCCACAAGCUUCUCCAUGUCUUUCGGAUCGUUUUGGUUCACGCACGAACUUCGCCAAGUGCUUCAGUACCUCAAUCACUACACGCGACCAACCAUGUGGGUAUCGAGCGCAACCUCGUGUGCCCUAUUGUAGACUUCCCUACUAGGUAGGUAGGGUUGCCGCUAUACAUUCGAAAGCUUCCCACUUCAUCCCUUCAACCCAUCAUCGACAAGAUUGAGCGAGAGCUUUCUCCAUGGUGGGUCUCCUUGCUCUCCCAAGGCAAGAGACUUUCUCUCAGUCACCAUGGCUCUAUGAAAUCAUGGUUCACAUCCUUCCCGCCUUGGCAAUCAACCAUGACAUCCUCAAAUAAAUGAAUCGGCUCAUCCACAACUUUCAUCUAGUAUUGUCAUAUGGAUGCAAGCGAUGGAUAUUGCCUUGUUAGUUGGAGCAAGGUAUGCAGGCCGAUCGCCCUUGGUGGCCUAGGCAUCCUUGAUCUACAGCGCCUUGGAAUCUCCCUCCAUGCUGGCUGGCUUUGGUUUCACUAGAUCAAAUAGAGGCGCCAAUGGCAGAACCAACACAUUCCCUCCUUGUCUGACCUCCAAGUGAUCUUAUGCGCUUUGACUUUCUGGGUCCUGGAUGACAACUACUCUUCCAAUUUUGGAGAGAUCACCGGAUCGAUGGUCUCUCGAUCAUGGAGUUCGCCUCACUCAUCCUCUCCAUGGUCCAAAGUCACCGCCACAAAGCUUGCUCUAUUCGUGGAAGCCUUCUUCAGUAUGCUUGGAUUCAUGUCAAGGGUGUUAUCGGUCGAGUGGCUUUCAUGCAAUAUGUUUGGCACCGCCUAAGCGAUGUCGUCCUCUCCAACGUGCCACACACUCUCAUACGGUGUUGGUCUGCCAAUGGGUUAUAUAGCACGAAGACCUGCUACCAGGCGAAGUUAUCGGGCACGAUCACUUCUCCUCAUGGACACCAAAGUUGGAAAACCUGCCCAACUCCCACUAAAGCAAGAUCUUCGUGUGUGUGGCCCUCCCAGGACGAUGCUGGACUAUGGCCCAGCAAGCCCGACAUGGCCUGCCCCACAAUGACGACGACUACCCUCUUUGCGAACAGAAAUCAAAAAUGCUGCACCACCUCUUCAUUGGAUGUUCAGUUUCAUGCUAGACUUAGCAUCAAGUGUUGUCUUGGUGCCGCUCGAGAGCUCCCCUCCCUUGCCAGAUGAUGAGUUCAUGAAAUGCCUCACGAAGACACUCUAUGACCCGACUUCUUAUUUUCGCCGAUAUCUCGUCUCUCUCGUCAUCCUCGCCAUCUUCCUCACCAUCUGGUGGAUCUAGAAACACUAGAACAACUACAUAUUCAACGGUGAACGUCCCUUGUCACGCAUCUCAUGCAGACCAUCCAGGAUGAAGCAUGCCACGAACCAAUGCUAAGGGGAUGCCUUAUGUGCAUGGCAUAUCACUCACCCCGCGACCAUGUCAGUGCUUGUCCUAUUGUCUGAUCAACCUGUAUUUUCUUUUUUUAGCAAUAUAAAAAGGUAGGCAACCCUUUAAUUUUGCGUAUUUGUGAAAAAAUGGAUUUCUCCUUCUACAAUUCCAACGCCUUUUAGAUUAUUAUAUGCCAAUAAAGAAGCUUUACUAAAUAUACGAGCAUUGCAGAAAUCAAUGGAUAUGCUAUCUCAAAGAGUUUGUGAGCACUAAAAACAGUCGGUGGCUAAUCUUUCUUUAUCCCCCCACGUUAAGGCGCCCAGCAACUCAUCAUUUGGUUCUAUAAAGUCCUGCGUGGAGAGCCCUCACGCCAAACGCAGAGACCGACGAGAACAGUGCAAACAGCACAGCAAUCGCAGCCCCUCCCACGCCUCUCAAACCUGAUUUAUUAAACCUUAACGUCCUUCGUUACUCCUACUUGCCCAACACCGCUCGUCCUCCAACUCCGGUGCGGGCGGCAUUUCCACCGUGGUCACCUCCGACGAACUGAUGGGGUGCAAGUCGUGCCAGAAGCCCAAGGCGCAGCACCGCAAGGGGCUGUGGUCGCCGGAGGAGGACCAGAAGCUCCGCGACUUCAUCGUCCGCUACGGCCACAGCUGCUGGAGCACCGUCCCCGUCAAGGCCGGUAAGAAAGCCAUCGCACGCGACUGUCCCGAGAAAUUCGAGGGGGGGUUGAACUUUUUCCUUUUUCUUUUUGUUUAACUUGCAUCGCCGAGAGUCCAAUUCCCAAUUUCGCUUCCUUGCUUGCUUGCUUGUUGAUGCUCUGCAAUGUACCUUGGCUGGCUCAUGGGAAGGGGAAAGUUUGGGAAAUCUAAUUUCGCCAGAAAACAGUUGAGGAAGCUCUUUAGCUUCGUCUGCUUGUUCGAAUUCAGCAAAAUUCUGCAGUGCUUUCGGAGAAGAAUCCAGCGGAGUCUCGUCAAAUGUACCAUGGCAUGUGGUGCGGGGCCUAAAGCUUGCCGUGAAUGAAUUUUGCAGGGCUUCAGCGGAACGGCAAGAGCUGCAGGCUGAGAUGGAUCAACUACCUGAGGCCGGGGCUGAAGCACGGCAUGUUCUCCCGGGAGGAAGAAGAGACCGUCAUGAGCCUCCACGCCGCUCUCGGCAACAAGUAAGCAUCCCAAGCAGAGCACACAUCCCAAUUCUCACCUUCUCAGAACAAAACGACAUCUGGUUAGCAUGCGGGAUUGAAUCAAGUCAAUCAGUUGGUAUUUCUUUCUUCUUUCCUUCUAAAUUCAUCAGUCCGUAGGAAUUUUAGAAGAAUAAAACAAUUAGAGUAUUCUUGCGCAUGCUACAUUUUGCUACCUACUGCUGCUUGCGCCAAAUUUGCUAGUGUCACCAUGGUAGGGUCGUAAGAAAAAGGGAGAAAAAAAGGUUUUGCUGGUGAAAACAAAUGGAAAUGCUGAUGUCUGCCCUGUAGACCGCCUUACGUGGUUGAGUUGAUGCUGACACCUGCUUUCAAUNAUCUCGUAUGCCGUCUUCUGCUUGAAAAAAAAAAAAACACCUGCGUUCAAUAUCGAGGCACUCGUUUGUCCGUUUGGCGAUAGUGAACAAGAGCCUCACUUUCACAAACCUAGCUACUGGCUGGAAAGGUUGCUUGGUCACGGAUAACCUCUUUUUGGACAAAAAAAGGAAGAAAGAACAGCUAAACUUGUGUCUAAUCUAAUGCUUCCUUUUCUAAAGGGUCUUUGCAGUUGCCUGCCGGUGCAAGCAAUGUCAUAUUUAGUGAGGUUCUUAAUUUUCAUAGUGAAGAUNNNNNNNNNNNNNNNNNNNNNNNNNNNNNNNNNNNNNNNNNNNNNNNNNNNNNNNNNNNNNNNNNNNNNNNNNNNNNNNNNNNNNNNNNNNNNNNNNNNNNNNNNNNNNNNNNNNNNNNNNNNNNNNNNNNNNNNNNNNNNNNNNNNNNNNNNNNNNNNNNNNNNNNNNNNNNNNNNNNNNNNNNNNNNNNNNNNNNNNNNNNNNNNNNNNNNNNNNNNNNNNNNNNNNNNNNNNNNNNNNNNNNNNNNNNNNNNNNNNNNNNNNNNNNNNNNNNNNNNNNNNNNNNNNNNNNNNNNNNNNNNNNNNNNNNNNNNNNNNNNNNNNNNNNNNNNNNNNNNNNNNNNNNNNNNNNNNNNNNNNNNNNNNNNNNNNNNGACAGCCCCAAGGUCAUGUUCGCGGACUGGCUCGACAUGGACAUGGACUACGGCACCGGCCUGAUGGCACCGAGCGCUCUGGCCUCGGCCUUCGACGGCAGCCCGGCGCAGCAGGGCGUGAGCCACCAGGGUUCCGUGCAGGUGGAGGACCUGUGCGGCGCCGUGGACUCGUUGCACGGGCUCGGCAACGGCGGCGUCUGUUGGGAGUUCGACGCCGGUCAGAUCGACAUGCAGGGAGGAGGAGGAUUCUGCGACCUGCUGUCCGUGAGCGAGUUCCUCGGGAUCAACUAGGCGAUUCCUCCCAAUGGUGUGCCACCGUCACUGGCUCGCUGCCUCUCCAUCACGACCAGCCAGUGAUUGUUGGUCACUGACAAGAAAGUUCUCAAGGCCACGAUUCAGUCGUGCCAGCGGCAUGGAGAAGAAAUCGUUGAAGUCGUUGUUGCCGGAAAAACACACAUGCCCACAGAACGUGAUGGAGAUGAGGCGGAGGAACAAACUGCAAAAGAAAUUCGCCGUCAUCUUCAUGCUAACAAAUAUUGCAAACCCUUAUGUCUUCGUAGUUGUAGUACAGGUUAGCAAAAAGUCAAUGCUGGCUUGCUGUAAUUUGUUAGAAAGUAAAACAAGAAAGACAAUAGACAUGGAUGUAAAGUGAAUGGUUGUCUUUAUUGAUGAUUGAGUACAAGCAUAUAUAACCCCGAGAGGAUACAUACAAUAGACGCGAUGGUCUGGAGAGACACGAGCGAACAGUCAUGUCCCUCAUACAUGACGGCUAGGGAUAGUGAAGAUUCUCCAUAACUAACACCAACAUGGGUUAAUUAAACUCAACACUCCUUCUAAUCUACGCUAUCCUUAUAGACAUCACCAUCUUAAAUAAAAGCUCCUCAAAAACCCCGUGGGAAAAUGUGAGCAGUAUAGUGUUUGAUAUGUUGCUACAACUCAUUCAAACCCAGUGGAAAAAAUAAUGAGAAAAUGAUGCAACAUAUAAUGGUUAUUGUCUUUUUUAACUCAAUACGAGAAAACCCAUAGAGUUUAUACGACAAUAAAUAUGUCGUAUAUACUUUCCUAAAAACCCAGUGGGAAAAACAGAAAGUAUGACAUUUGAUCUCAUGUUGAUAUUACCUCAUUAAAAACCUUUAUGAGAAUCUCUAUAGUAAACUCAUGAAGGAAAAAAACAGUAUAAUAUGAUGCAUGGAACGGGAAUAAUUGAGGAAGAUACUCUCCCUGAUUCUUGCAAAUUUCGAAGCUGUCACAUACCCAUUCCAAGAACAUAUUUCUGGAAUGUAAAAGUUGGUAGAGACUUCGUGAGAAAUCAGUCACAUGAUUUGAUUUGCAAGAUAUGCAUAUAGUGAUGUUGCUUAUUGCGUAACCUGUUUGCAUCCGGACAACACGAGAAACAUUAUCGUCGAGAUAAUGGUUGGUGGAUGUAGCUGAUGGGGUUAUAGUCCUAGGGUAGGGUCAUAGGCCUGCCCUAUGGGUCCUACCCAAGGACUACCCUUCAUAAAGGAUAAGGCCCUUAGUCAGUUCCGACUGAAUUAAGGACUUCCCAUCAUCCAGUCGGUGACGAUUCCUCCAUCAUCCAGUCGGAGAUGAGCAUUCAGAGCGUAUCAAACUUACCGACUGGAUUCCACUCUGUACAUCGUAACCCCCCUGGAGGGCAACGGUCAUACGUUUCCAUGUACCUUUAUUAACAUUUAAGACAUACGUUACCUGUAACGUAGGCAUUUAUUCGCCACUACUCCACCCGUGUGCACCGAACCGUUGUGAAGGGCAGUGCACUCUAUAUAAGCCGCCCUUCCCCACUGGUGCAGGGUUAGCAAUUCACUGUAAUCCAUAUUCCACUCGACAUCAAGCUCCAAGAGCACUGAGACGUAGGGCUUUUACCUCCACCGUAGAGGGGCCUGAACUCAUACAACCUCGCCGUAGCUAAGGCUCUGCCCAUCCUUUCGUACCCUACACAUCUAGUGUCAGACUUAUACCCACGACAGUUGGCGCCCACCGUGGGGGAGGCGUCUAAGCGACUUUUCGGCGAGUUUUGCGACUACAUCUUUUCGUCAUGUCGUCCGGUGGAGAUUUGAGCAUGGGUCGCGAGAUCCUCUUCGGCGCUCUCUCCUUCAUCGUCGACGAUUCGGCAUGGCUUCGGGAUGCUCCUCUCGACGUCGAGGCGCUCCCCAGUCGCGGGGCUACGCACUUCCGUGCCGGCGCCCGCGGCGUCCUUCUUCUCCAGCAGUCGGCCCCGGUGUCGACCUUCGCCCCUGUCGCGCGCCGCAACAAGCGGUCUCGCCGUCCGCGGCUCCAGCGUUGGGNCCGAAGUGCACAUGGCCAGCUCCCAUGAAAGUCCCCGCCAAACCGGCCGGAACGAGCACGAGGUCGGCGAAACCUCCGGCGCUCGCCGUCAGCCUCGCCGUUCUGCCAGUCGGCGCACUCGUCAGAGCAACGUGGAGGUGUUCCGCACACCCGUCCUCAACCUGGCUGCCGCCGCCAAGAUAGCCGAUUCCCUCCAGCCGACUGAUUCAGAGGCUGGCAGAGGGAUCGAGCAGAUCCGUGCCCUGCUGCACACGGCGCAACAGCAAAAUUCGGCGGUCUCCCAGUCGCACAACAGGAUCCACAAUAGUUCUGUUCGCGCGAACACACAUCGGUCAGUUCACAGCCCCGGUUCUCAUCAGCGACACAGGGGAGGCAGCCGUUCCGUGAAUCCCGAAGAUCGUCGCCGUUCACGCACCCCUCCGCGGGGUGGGCCCUACGGGCCCCGACAUCAUGAUGAUCGGCGUUCGGUUGGUGACACUUAUGAUCCAAGGCCCGACGCGAGGGGGCAUAUCGCCAGAGGAGGGUCGACAGGGGCCGGGCCCACCGCGAUGGCCACGACGUGGACCGUCCGAGUGGAAGCAGGACCAUCGUCUCUGGUCCCGAGUGUUUCAGUCGAGCCAUCCGUUCGGCUGACAUCCCUCCCAACUUCCGAUUGGCGACGGGGAUCAGCAAGUUUACAGGAGAAUCCAAGCCAGAAACGUGGCUGGACGACUACCGAGUGGCAGUCCAGAUCGGAGGAGGGGACGACCACGUCGCCAUGAAACACCUCCCUCUGAUGCUCGACGGCUCGGCACGAGCGUGGCUGAAACAGUUGGCUCCCUCAAGCAUCUACAGUUGGGCAGAUCUGGCCCGAAUCUUCAUCAGGACCUUCGAAGGGACAUGCAAACGCUCUGCUGGUCUCGUGGAGCUCCAGCACUGUGUCCAGAAGCAGAAUGAGCCCCUGCGCGAUUUCAUUCAGCGUUGGACGACCCUCUACCACACGGUGGAGAACGUCACAGAGCACCAAGCAGUCUGCGCCUUCAAGGCAGGCGUGCGGUAUAGAGAUCUGUACCUGAAGUUCGGUCGAACAAGCGACAUCUCCAUGAGUAAGAUGACGGAGAUAGCGGCACGCUAUGCAAAUGGCGAAGAAGAGGACCGCAUUCGUAGCGACAAGCACAAAGCAGUCGCCGAUGGAGAUGGGAACAGCACUCGGAAGCAGAAGCAGAAAGCUCCAUCUACUCCACAGGCAGAGGCCGCAGCCGUUACCAAUGCCAAAUUCAAGGGCAAGGGGAAGGCUCAGUUCACCCCCAAGAAGAAACAGUUCGGAAACCACAUCCUGGACCAACCAUGUCCCAUUCACACGAAGAUGGAUGAAGAGGGCAACGCCAUACUCCCGAAGCAUACCACUCGGCAAUGUCGCCUCCUGGUCCAGGGGUUCGGCGAAGGGCAGCCGAGUGAAAAGGACAAUGAAUAGGAUGAGGAGGACAAGGAUGAUCUAUUCCCCCAAGUCCAUGCAACAUUGAUGAUUUUUGCUGACGUUGAAAGCAAGAGUCGACUGAAGCUGGUGAACAGGGAGGUGAACAUGGCCAUCCCGACCAACCCCACGUUCCUCAAAUGGUCUCAGACUGCGAUCACCUUUGACCAGUCGGAUCAUCCAGCACACGUACCCACCCCAGGGAGGCAGGCCCUGGUCGUCGACCCGGUGGUGGAAGGAGUCCGACUGCGCAAAGUCCUCAUAGACUGCGGCAGCGGCCUGAACAUCAUGUACGCUGACACUCUCAAGGGGAUGGACAUUCUGAUGUCCAAACUUAGUGAGAGCAGCAUGUAGUUCCAUGGAGUCGUCCCUGGACGAAAGGCCAAGUCACUCGGCCAGAUCGCGUUGGACGUCGUCUUCGGCUCCGACAAGAACUUCCGCAAGGAGAAGCUGACGUUCGAGGUGGUGGACUUCCAGAGUGCGUACCACGCAAUUCUGGGCCGCUCGGCGUAUGCACGUUUCAUGGCCUGUCCAUGUUACGUGUACCUGAAGUUGAAGAUGCCAGGCCCAAAAGGUGUGAUCACUAUCACCGGCAAUCGGCAGCGGGCCGAGGAGUGUCUGCAGCAGGGAUCAAGGAUUGCCGAUCAGCAGAUGGCUGUCCUCGAGCUUGACGAGUACAAGAAAACAGUCGACCCCGCCGACUUGAUGCGUUCGAAGAAGCCAGCUUCGGAGUCCGCAUUCCAGUCGGCGGGAGAGACGAAGAAGGUCAGCAUCCACCCGACGGACGACACCGCUGCCCCGACGAACAUCUCCACCACCCCCGAUCCUAAAUAGGAAGCCGAGCUCAUCCAAUUCCUCCGUGAGAACUGGGACAUCUUCGCAUGGAAGCCCGCUGACAUGCCAGGUGUACCCAGGGAGUUGGCUGAGCACCGACUGCAUGUGGAUCCCGCCGCUCGGCCUGUCUGAGAAUGCCUGUGUCGGUCCGCCACGCACAAGAGGAAGGCAAUCGGAGAAGAGGUGGCUAAGCUUUUGGCAGCCAACUUCAUUCGCGAGGUACACCACUCCGAGUGGUUUGCCAAUGUUGUCAUGGUGCCCAAGAAAGACAAGUCGCUCCGAAUGUGCAUCGACUUCAUGUUGGGGAACGUCGCAUGGGAAACAAAAAUUUUCCUAUGCGCACGAAGACCUAUCAUGGUGAUGUCCAUCUACGAGAGGGGAUUUCCGAUCUACGUACCCUUGUAGAUCGCACAACAGAAGUGUUAAGAAACGCGGUUGAUGUAGUGGAACGUCCUCACGUCCCUCGAUCCGCCCCGCGAACCGUCCCACGAACCGUCCCGCGAUCCGUCCCACGAUCCGCUCCGAUCUAGUGCCGAACGGACGGCUCCUCCGCGUUCAGCACACGUACAGCUCGACGAUGAUCUCGGCCUUCUUGAUCCAGCAAGAGAGACGGAGAGGUAGAUGAGUUCUCUGGCAGCGUGACGGCGCUCCGGAGGUUGGUGGUGAUCUAAUCUUAGCAAGGCUCGGCCCGAGCUCCGCAGAAACGCGACCUAGAGGUAAAACCGUGGAGGUAUGUGGUCGGGCUGCCGUGGCAAAAGUUGUCUCAAAUCAGCCCUAAUUGCUCCAUAUAUAUAGGAGGAGGGAGGGGAGGCUUGCCUUGAGGCUCAAGGAGCCCCAAGGGCUGCGCCACCAAGGGGAGGAGGAGUCCUCCUCCAAUCCUAGUCCAACUAGGAUUGGAAGGUGGAGUCCUUCUCUCUUUUCCCACCUUUCCUUUUUUUCUUUUGGUUUUUUAUUUCUCUUGCGCAAGACAAUAUUGGGCUGACCCCACCUACUAGGUGUGCCACCCCCAAGGUCCUUGGGCCUUCCCGGGUGGGUGGUCCCCCCUCCCGGUGAAUAUCCGGAACCCAUUCGUCAUUCCCGGUACAUUACCGGUAAUGCCCGAAAACCUUCCGGUAACCAAAUGAAGUCAUCCUUUAUAUCAAUCUUCGUUUCCGUACCAUUCCGGAAACCCUCGUGACGUCCGUGAUCUCAUCCGGGACUCCGAACAACAUUCGGUAACCAACCAUAUAACUCAAAUACGCAUAAAACAACGUCGAACCUUAAGUGUGUAGACCCUGCGGGUUCGAGAACUAUGUAGACAUGACCCGAGUGACUCCUCGGUCAAUAUCCAAUAGCGGGACCUCGAUGCCCAUAUUGGAUCCUACAUAUUCUACGAAGAUCUUAUCAUUUGAACCUCAGUGCCAAGGAUUCAUAUAAUCCCGUAUGUCAUUCCCUUUGUCCUUCCGUAUGUUACUUGCCCGAGAUUCGAUCGUCAGUAUCCGCAUACCUAUUUCAAUCUCGUUUACCGGCAAGUCUCUUUAUUCGUUCCGUAAUACAAGAUCCCGCAACUUACACUAAGUCACAUUGCUUGCAAGGCUUGUGUGUGAUGUUGUAUUACCGAGUGGGCCCUGAGAUACCUCUCUGUCACACGGAGUGACAAAUCCCAGUCUCGAUCCAUACUAACUCAACGAACACCUUCGGAGAUACCUAUAGAGCAUCUUUAUAGUCACCCAGUUACGUUGCGACGUUUGAUACACACAAAGCAUUCCUCCGGUGUCAGUGAGUUAUAUGAUCUCAUGGUCAUAGGAACAAAUACUUGACAUGCAGAAAACAGUAGCAACAAAAUGACAUGAUCAACAUGCUACGUCUAUUAGUUUGGGUCUAGUCCAUCACAUGAUUCUCCUAAUGAUGUGAUCCCGUUAUCAAGUGACAACACUUGCCUAUGGUCAGGAAACCUUGACCAUCUUUGAUCAACGAGCUAGUCAACUAGAGGCUUACUAGGGACAAUGUUUUGUCUAUGUAUCCACACAUGCACUGUGUUUCCAAUCAAUACAAUUAUAGCAUGGAUAAUAAACAAUUAUCAUGAGAAAGAAAUAUAAUAAUAACUAAUUUAUUAUUGCCUCUAGGGCAUAUUUCCAACAGUCUCCCACUUGCACUAGAGUCAAUAAUCUAGUUCACAUCACCAUGUGAUUCCAAGGAAUCCAACACCCAUAUAGUCAUGGGGUCUGAUCACGUCUUGCUCGUGAGAGCGGUUUUAGUCAACGGUUCUGAAACUUUCAGACCCGUGUGUUCUUUACAAAUCUUUAUGUCAUCUUAUAGAUGCUGCUACUAUGUGCUAUUCGGAAAUACUCCAAAUAUCUACUCUACUAUACGAAUCCGUUUCACUACUCACAGUUGUUCGGAUUAGUGUCAAAGCUUGCAUCGACGUAACCCUUUACGACGAACUCUUUAACCACCUCCAUAAUCGAGAAAAAUUCCUUAGUCCAUCAGUUACUAAGGAUAAAUUUUGACCGCUGCUAGUGAUUGAAUCAUGGAUCACUCUCUGUACCUCUCAACAGACUUUGAGUCAAGGCACACAUGAGGUGCGGUACCCAACAUGGCAUACUUCAGAUUCUACGGCCAAGGCAUAGAAGACGACUUUCGUCUAUUCUCUUUAUUCUGCCGGGGUCGGGUUUUGAGUCUUACUCAAAUUCACACCUCACAACGCAACCAAGAACUCCUUCUUUGCUGAUCUAUUUUGAACUCCUUCAAAAACUUGUCAAGGCAUGGAUCUUGUUGAAACUUCCAUUAAGCGCUUUCGAUCUAUCUCCAUAGAUCUUUGAUGCUCAACGUUCAAGUAGCGCAAUCCAGGUACUCCUUUGAAAACUCCUUUCAAACAACCUUGUAUGCUUUACAGAAAUUCUAUAUUACUUCUGAUCCACAAUAUGUCAACCACAUAUACUUAUCAGAAAUUCUAUAGUGCUCCCACUCACUUCUUUGGAAAUACAAGUUUCUCAUAAACCUUGUACAAACCGAAAAUCUUUAAUCAUCUCAUCAAAGUGUAUAUUCCAACUCCGAGAUGCUUGCACCAGUCCAUUGAAGGAUCGCUGGAGCUUGCAUACUUGCUAGUAUCUUUAGGAUCGACAAAACCUCCUGGUUGUAUCACAUACAAUGUUUGCUCAAGGAAACCGUCGAGGAAACAAUGUUUUGACAUCCUAUGUGCAAUAUUUCAUAAAUAAUGCAACAACUACUAACAUAAUUCUAACAGACUUUUAGCAUCGCUACGAGUGAGAAAGUCUCAUCAUAGUCAACUGUUUGAUCUUGUCGGAAACAUCUUUGCGACAAGUCGAGAUUUUCUUAAUAGUGACUUAUCACCAUCAUCGUCUGUCUUCCUUUUAAAGAUCCAUCUUUACUCAACAGUCCUAUGACCAUCAAGUAGUUCUUCCAAAGUCUACACUUUGUUUUCAUACAUGGAUCCUCUCUCGGAUUUCAUGGCUUCCAGCCAUUUGUCGGAAUCCGGGCCCACCAUUGCUUUCUUCAUAACUCGCAGGUUCACUGUUGCUCAACAACAUGACCUCCAAGACAGGGUUACCGUACUACUCUGCAGUAGUACGCGACCUUGUCAACCUACGAGGUUUGUAGUAACUUGAUCCGAUGCUCGAUGAUCACCAUCAUCAGCUUUCACUUCAAUUGGUGUAGGCGCCACAGGAAUAACUUCCUGCGCCCUGCUACACACUGGUUGAAGUGAUGGUUCAAUAACCUCAUUAAAUUCUACCACCCUCCCACUCAAGUCUUUCAAGAGAAACCUUUCCUCGAGAAAGGAUCCGUUUCUAGAAACAAACACUUUGCUUUCGGAUCUGAGAUAGGAGAUGUGCCCAACUGUUUUGGAUAUCCUAUGAAGAUGCAUUUAUCCGCUUUGGGUUUGAGCUUAUUCGACUGAAACUUUUUCACACAAGUGUCGAAGCCCCAAACUUUCAAGAAAUGACAGUUUAGAUUUCUCUAAACCUCAGUCUAUACUGUGUCAUCUCAACGGAAAUACGCGGUGCCCUAUUUAAAGUGAAUGCGGUUGUCUCUAAUGCAUAACGCAUAAACGAUAGUGGUAAUUCGAUAAGAGACAUCAUAGCAUGCACCAUACCAAAUAGUGCGUGGCUAUGACGUCCAGACACAUCAUCACACUAUGAUGUUCCAGGUGGCAUGAACUGCGAAACAAUUUCCACAUUAUCUUAAGUGCGUACCAAAACUCGUAACUCAGAUAUUCAUUUCUAUGAUCAUAUCAUAGACAGUUUAUCCUCUUGUUACGACGAACUUCACUCCUGAAACAGAUUUGAACCUUUCAAUAUUUCAGACUUGUGAUUCAUUAAGUAAAUACUCUUGUAUCUGCUCAAAUCGUCAUUGAAGUAAGAACAUAAUGAUAUCCACUGCGUGCCUCAGCACCCAUUGGACUGCAUACAUCAAAAUGUAUCACUUCCAACAAGUUACUAUCUUGUUUCAUCUCAAUGAAAACAAGGCCUUGCUCAUGUGGUAUGAUUUGCAUGUCACUAGUGAUUCAAAAUCAAGUGAGUAUAAAGAUCCAUCAGCAUGGAGACUCUUCAUGCAAUUUAUACCAACAUGACUCAAGCGGCAGUGCCAUAAGUAAGUGGUACUAUCAUCAUUACCUCGUAUCUUUUGGCACCAAUAUUAUGAACAUGUGUAACACUACGAUCGAGAUUCAAUAAACCAUUGAAGGUGAUUUAUUCAAGCAAAUAGAGUAACCAUUAUUCUCUUUAAAUGAAUAAUCGUAUUGCAAUAAACACGGUCCAAUCAUGUUCAUGCUUAACGCAAGUACCAAAUAACAAUUAUUUAGGUUUAACACCAAUCCCGAUGGUAGAUGGAGUGUGCGACGUUUGAUCAUAUCAACCUUGGAAACACUUCCAACACGUAUCGUCACCUCGCCUUUAGCUAGUCUCCGUUUAUGCCGUAGCUUUCAUUUUGUGUCACUAAUCACUUAGCAACCGAACCUGUAUCUAAUACCCUCGUGCUACUAGGAGUACUAGUAAAGUAUACAUCAACAUCAUGUAUAUCAAAUAUACUUCUUUUGACUUUUGCCAGCCUUCUUAUCUACCAAGUAUCUAGAGUUGCUCCGCCUCAGUGACUGUUCCCCUCAUUAUAGAAGCACUUAGUCUCGGGUUUGGGUUUAAUCUUGGGUCUCUUCAUUAGUGCAGCAACUGUUUUCCGUUUCACGAAGUAUCCCUUCUAGCCCUUGCCUUCCUUGAAACUUAGUGGUUUUACUAACCAUCAACUAUUGAUGCUCCUUCUUGAUUUCUACUUUCGAGUGUCAAACAUCGCGAAUCGCUCAAGGAUCAUUGUAUCUAUCCUUGAUAUGUUAUAGUUCAUCACGAAGCUCUCACAACUUGGUGGCAGUGACUUUGUAGAACCAUCACUAUCUCAUCUGGAAGAUUAACUCCCACUUGAUUCAAGCGAUUGUCGUACUCAGACAAUCUGCCCACAUGCUCAACGAUUGAGCUUUUCUCCUUUACUUUGUGGACAAAGAAUCUUGUCGGAGGUCUCGUACCUCUUAACAAGGGCACAAGCAUGAAAUCAUAAUUUCAUCUCUUUAGAACAUCAAUUAUGUUCCAUGACGUUUCAAAACGUCUUCGGCGCCUUGCUUCUAAGCCAUUAAGUAUUUUGCACUGAACUAUCAUGUAGUCAUCAGAAACGUGUAUGUCGGAUGUUCACAGCAUCCACAGACGACGCUCGAGGUGCAGCACACCGAGUGGUGCAUUAAGGACAUAAGCCUUCUGCGCAGCAACGAGGACAAUCCUCUGCAAAGUUUGCUACUAUCAACUAAAUUUUCUCUAGGAACAUAUAAAAACAGUAGAGCUAUAGCGCAAGCUACAUCGUAAUUCGCAAAGACCAUUAGACUAUGUUCAUGACAAUUAGUUCAAUUAAUCAUAUUACUUAAGAACUCCCACUCAAAAAGUACAUCUCUCUAGUCAUUUGAGUGGUACAUGAUCCAAAUCCACUAUCUCAAGUCCGAUCAUCACGUGAGUCGAGAAUAGUUUCAGUGGUAAGCAUCUCUAUGCUAAUCAUAUCAACUAUACGAUUCAUGCUCGACCUUUCGGUCUCAUUUGUUCCGAGGCCAUGUCUGCACAUGCUAGGCUCGUCAAGCUUAACCCGAGUGUUCCGCGUGUACAACUGUUUUGCACCCGUUGUAUGUGAACGUUGAGUCUAUCACACCCGAUCAUCACGUGGUGUCUCGAAACGUAGAACUGUUGCAACGGUGCACAGUCGGGGAGAACACAAUUUCGUCUUGAAAUUUUAGUGAGAGAUCACCUUAUAAUGCUACCGUCGUUCUAAGCAAGAUAAGGUGCAUAAAGGAUUAACAUCACACGCAAUUCAUAAGUGACAUGAUAUGGCCAUCAUCAUGUGCUUCUUGAUCUCCAUCACCAAAGCACCGGCACGAUCUUCUUGUCACCAGCGUCACACCAUGAUCUCCAUCAUCAUGAUCUCCAUCAACGUGUCGCCAUCGGGGUUGUCGUGCUACUCAUGCUAUUACUACUAAAGCUACGUCCUAGCAAUAUAGUAAACGCAUCUGCAAGCACAAACGUUAGUUUAAAGAUAACCCUAUGGCUCCUGCCGGUUGCCGUACCAUCGACGUGCAAGUCAAUAUUAACUAUUACAACAUGGUCAUCUCAUAAAUCCAAUAUAUCACAUCACAUCGUUGGCCAUAUCACAUCACAAGCAUACCCUGCAAAAACAAGUUAGACGUCCUUUAAUUGUUGUUGCAUGUUUUACGUGGUGACCAUGGGUAUCUAGUAGGAUCGCAUCUUACUUACGCAAACACCACAACGGAGAUAUAUGAAUUGCUAUUUAACCUCAUCCAAGGACCUCCUCGGUCAAAUCUGAUUCAACUAAAGUUGGAGAAACCGACACUUGCCAGUCAUCUUUGAGCAACGGAGUUACUCGUAGCGAGGAAACCAGUCUCUCGUAAGCAUACGAGUAAUGUCGGUCCAAGCCGCUUCAAUCCAACAAUACCGCGGAAUCAAGAAAAGACUAAGGAGGGAAGCAAAACGCACAUCACCUCCCACAAAAACUUUUGUGUUCUACUCGAGAAAACAUCUACGCAUGAACCUAGCUCUUGAUGCCACUGUUGGGGAACGUCGCAUGGGAAACAAAAAAUUUCCUACGCGCAUGAAGACCUAUCAUGGUGAUGUCCAUCUACGAGAGGGGAUUUCCGAUCUACGUACCCUUGUAGAUCGCACAGCAGAAGCGUUAAGAAACACGGUUGAUGUAGUGGAACGUCCUCACAUCCCUCGAUCCGCCCCGCGAACCAUCCCAGGAACCGUCCCGCGAUACGUCCCACGAUCCGCUCCGAUCUAGUGCCGAACGGACGGCUCCUCCGCGUUCAGCACACGUACAGCUCGACGAUGAUCUCGGCCUUCUUGAUCCAGCAAGAGAGACGGAGAGGUAGGUGAGUUCUCCGGCAGCGUGACGGCGCUCCGGAGGUUGGUGGUGAUCUAAUCUCAGCAAGGCUCGGCCCGAGCUCCGCAGAAACGUGAUCUAGAGGUAAAACCGUGGAGGUAUGUGGUCGGGCUGCCGUGGCAAAAGUUUUCUCAAAUCAGCCCUAAUUGCUCCAUAUAUAUAGGAGGAGGGAGGGGAGGCUUGCCUUGAGGCUCAAGGAGCCCCAAGGCUGCGCCACCAUCGGGAGGAGGAGUCCUCCUCCAAUCCCAGUCCAACUAGGAUUGGAAGGUGGAGUCCUUCUCUCUUUUCCCACCUUUCCUUUUUUUUUUCNCGUCGAACCUUAAGUGUGCAGACCCUGCGGGUUCGAGAACUAUGUAGACAUGACCCGAGUGACUCCUCGGUCAAUAUCCAAUAGCGGGACCUGGAUGCCCAUAUUGGAUCCUACAUAUUCUACGAAGAUCUUAUCGUUUGAACCUCAGUGCCAAGGAUUCAUAUAAUCCCGUAUGUCAUUCCCUUUGUCCUUCGGUAUGUUACUUGCCCGAGAUUCGAUCGUCAGUAUCCGCAUACCUAUUUCAAUCUCGUUUACCGGCAAGUCUCUUUACUCGUUCCGUAAUACAAGAUCCCGCAACUUACACUAAGUCACAUUGCUUGCAAGGCUUGUGUGUGAUGUUGUAUUACCGAGUGGGCCCCGAGAUACCUCUCCGUCACACGGAGUGACAAAUCCCAGUCUCGAUCCAUACUAACUCAACGAACACCUUCGGAGAUACCUGUAGAGCAUCUUUAUAGUCACCCAGUUACGUUGCGACGUUUGAUACACACAAAGCAUUCCUCCGGUGUCAGUGAGUUAUAUGAUCUCAUGGUCAUAGGAACAAAUACUUGACACGCAGAAAACAGUAGCAACAAAAUGACACGAUCAACAUGCUACGUUUAUUAGUUUGGGUCUAGUCCAUCACAUGAUUCUCCUAAUGAUGUGAUCCCUUUAUCAAGUGACAACACUUGCCUAUGGUCAGGAAACCUUGACCAUCUUUGAUCAACGAGCUAGUCAACUAGAGGCUUACUAGGGACAGUGUUUUGUCUAUGUAUCCACACAUGCACUGUGUUUCCAAUCAAUACAAUUAUAGUAUGGAUAAUAAAUGAUUAUCAUGAACAAAGAAAUAUAAUAAUAACUAAUUUAUUAUUGCCUCUAGGGCAUAUUUCCAACACUUCAAGCAUCUCAAUAAGGUCUGCCCGAAAGUCCAUUUUCCGCUCCCCCGCGUCGAUCAAAUUGUCGAUUCGACUGCGGGUUGCGAGCGUUUGUCAUUCCUUGAUGCCUACUCGGGCUAUCAUCAGAUCCGUUUGUAUGGCCCCGAUGAAUUAAAGACAGCCUUCAUCACCCCAUUCGGGUGCUUCUGCUACAUCACUAUGCCAUUUGGUUUGAAGAAUGCAGGAGCAACCUUUAUGCGCAUGAUCCAAAAAUGCCUCCUCGACCAGAUCGGUCGGAAUGUGGAGGCGUAUAUGGAUGAUAUCGUAGUCAAGUCACGCAAAGGUUCCGACCUGCUAACUGACUUGGCAGAAACAUUCGCCAACCUUCGUAGGUACAAUAUCAAGCUCAACCCAGCCAAGUGUUCAUUCGGCGUUCCCAGCGGAAAGUUACUCGGUUUCUUCGUUUCCGAACGAGGGAUCGAUGUCAACCCCGAAAAGAUCGGGACCAUCGUCCGAAUGGAGCGGCCGGUCAGAAUACACGAUGUUCAAAGACUCGCAGGUUUCCUAGCGGCUUUGAGCAGGUUUAUCAGUCGACUCGGCGAGAAGGCACUUCCUCUGUACCGACUCAUGAAGAAAUCAGAUACUUUCGAGUGGACAGACGAAGCCCAAAUUGCAUUCGACGACCUCAAAGUCCUACUUUCCACCCAGCCGGUUCUUACCGCUCCGCUCAGUAAAGAACCCCUUCUUCUUUACAUCGCGGCUACAAAUCAAGUCGUCAGCACUGUUCUCACAGUCGAACAGGAAGAAGAAGGCAAAGCAUUCAAGGUUCAGCGGCCAGUGUAUUAUGUCUCCGAAGUCCUGACUCCUUCCAAGCAGAGGUAUCCCCAUUAUCAAAGACUUAUCUACGGGAUUUAGAUGACUGCGAAGAAGGUGGCUCAUUAUUUUCAAGACCACUCGGUGUCCGUCAAUUUUGAUGCUCCGUUGUCGGAAAUCCUACACAAUCGGGACGCAUCGGGCCGAGUGGCGAAGUGGGCAAUGGAGAUGUUAUACUGCGACAUCAAGUUCGAGGCCAAGAAAGCUAUAAAGUCUCAAGCUCUGGCUGACUUCAUAGCAGAAUGGGUAGAACAACAGCAACCGACCCACAUCUACUCGGCUCAUUGGAAUGUUCUUCGAUGGGUCCAAGAUGUUGAAUGGCUCCGGCGCUGGCGUUGUGAUCAUAUCACCAAAGGGUGACAAACUCAAGUAUGUGUUGCAGAUACACUUUGAUUCCUCCAACAACGAGGCAGAGUAUGAAGCUCUCCUUUAUGGACUGCGCAUGGCCAUCGCACUCGGCGUCCGUGGCCUGAUGGUCUAUGGCGAUUCGGAUUUGGUGGUUAAUCAAGUGAUGAAGGAGUGGGACGUCAGGAACCCCACCAUGACCACAUACUGCAAUGCAGUGAGGAAGCUCGAGAAAAAGUUUGAAGGUCUGGAACUCCACCAUGUUCGGCGACUGAAAAACCAAGCAGCUGAUGAGUUGGCAAAACUCGGAGACCAGUCCCGAGUGACGUUUGCCUCGAGCACUUCCACCUUCCUUCAGUUAAAAGAAGAUCCUUUCACAGAGGAACUAGUACAACCAAAGAGCUCGACAGAUCCGACUGAAGUCGAAGUCCCUACUGUGGUUGAUUUGAUCAUGGAGAUUCUUGCUAUCAUCCCCGAUUGAACUGUGCCGUUUAUUGCAUACAUCCUGAGGCAAGAAUUACCAGAAGACAAAGUCCAAGCCAGACAGAUCGUCCGCAGGUCAAAGUCGUUCACUCUCAUUGAUGACCAGUUGUAAAAAGAAGGCGUUUCAGGCAUCCUUCAACGAUGCAUCUCCCCUAAGGAGGGACAGUUAAUCCUGUAAGAAAUUCACUCGAGAACCUGCGGUCAUCACGCCUCCUCAAGGGCAAUCGUCGCCAAAGCAUUCAGAGCUGGCUUCUUCUGGCUGUAGGUGAAUGAAAUGGUGAAAGAUAUGGUCGACCGAUGUGAAGGCUGUCAGUUCUACUCUAACAAGUCCCACAAACCAACAUCUGCGUUGAAGACAAUCCCUCUUGUUUGGCCGUUUGUAGUAUGGGAAUUAGAUACAGUCGGUCCAUUCAGGACAGGCCAAGGGGGAUUUACACAUCUGUUGGUGGCAGUCGACAAGUUCACAAAGUGGAUUGAAGCCAAGCCCAUCAAGAAGCUCGACACCCUUACGGCCAUCAAGUUUGUCAGGGACAUCAUCUCCAGAUUCGGGGUACCUCACAACAUAAGCACUUACAAUGGAACAAACUUUGACUCGGACAGAUUCAAAGGUUUCUGUACAGGCCAAGGUAUCCGAGUGGAUUUUGCAUCUGUGGCGCAUCCCCAAACAAACGGGCAAGCAGAGAGGGCGAAUGGACUUAUUCUGCAAGGUUUGAAGCCUCGACUCCUGCGAGAAGUGGGACAUGCCGCCGGCGCAUGGGUCACCGAGCUGCCUUCGGUACUUUGGGGUCUCCGCACAACCCCAAAUAGAUCUACAGGGCGAUCCCUGUUCUUCCUCGUUUACGGAGCAGAGGCAGUCCUUCCGAGUGACUUGCUUCACAACGCUCCACGAGUUGAACUCUUCUCCGAAGCUGAAGCAGAGCAAGAAAGGCAAGACGGAGUGGAUCUUCUAGAGGAGGAGCGUGAGAUGGCACUGACUCGCUCAACCAUUUAUCAACAAGAUCUACGACGCUUUCACGCGCGACACGUCAGGAGUCGUACAUUCCAAGCAGGCGACCUGGUGCUCCGAGUGGAUCAGCAGAGACCUCACAAGUUGGCUCCUGCCUAGGAAGGACCCUUCAUCAUCUCCAAGGUGCUGAAAAACGGAGCAUAUCGACUCUACAACCUCGACAGGGAAACGGACGAGCCGUGAGCAUGGAACGGAGAUCUCCUGAAGCGCUUCUACACGUGACCGUCGACUGAAGCAAUGUAAAGAACAAGUAUCGUUGAAGUAAUGCAAAGCAGAUUGAGUUUUUUGCAGAUUCAAAAUCCUUCCGCGUUCGCAGACUCCGGUCUUAAAAAAAAACUUAGCUGCGAACCAAAAUCGCCUAAGUAUAAACUUUCUCCGAGUGUGCACUAAACGUUGCACUCGGGGACUUAGCUGCGAUCCAGAAUCGCCUAAGUACUAACUUUCUCCGAGUGUGCACUAAACGUCGCACUCGGGGACUUAGCUGCGAUCCAGAAUCACCUAAGUAAUAACUUUCUCCGAGUGUGCACUAAACAUCGCACUCGGGGACUUAGCUGCGAUCAAGAAUCGCCUAAGUAAUAACUUUCUCCGAGUGUGCACUAAACGUCGCACUCACGGACUUAGCUGCGAUCCAGUAUCGCCUAAGUAAUAACUUUCUCUGAGUGUGCACUAAACGUCGCACUCGGGGACUUAGCUGCGAUCAAGAAUCGCCUAAGUAAUAACUUUCUCCGAGUGUGCACUAAACGUCGCACUCGGGGACUUAGCUGCGAUCAAGAAUCGCCUAAGUAAUAACUUUCUCCGAGUGUGCACUAAACGUCACACUCGGGGACUUAGCUGCGAUCAAGAAUCGCCUAAGUACAAACUUUCUCCGAGUGUGCACUAAACGUCACACUCGGGGACUUAGCCGCGAUCCAGAAUUGCCUAAGUAUUAACUUUCUCCGAGUGUACACUAAACGUCGCACUCGGGGACUUGUCUGCGACAAAGAAUCGCCUAAGUAGAAAGCUUCCUUCGAGUGUAUCUUACAGAACCACUCGGAGGCUUAGCAGACCCUCAUUGAGGCUCAUGUAGAUGUCGAGAUAACUGACAAUUACAUGAGUAGCACGACCCUCAUUGAGGCUCAUGUAGAUGUCGAGACAACUGACAAUUACAUGAGUACCAGAACCUCAUUGAGGCUCAUGUAGAUGUCAAGACAACUGACAAUUACAUGAGUAACAACUCGCUCCGAGUACGACCUUACAGUCGCACUCGAAGACUUAGCCACGAUCACGAAUCGCCUAAGUACACAAUUGCCUUCGAGUGUAUCCUACAGAUCCACUCGGAGACUCAGCAGACCCUCAGUGAGGCUCAUGCAGAUGUCAAGACAACUGACAAUUAAAUGAGUACCAGAACCUCAUUGAGGCUCAUGUAGAUGUCAAGACAACUGACAAUUACAUGAGUAACAACUCGCUCCGAGUACGACCUUACAGUCGCACUCGAAGACUUAGCCGCGAUCACGAAUCGCCUAAGUACACAAUUGCCUUCGAGUGUAUCCUAUAGAUCCACUCGGAGACUCAGCAGACCCGCAGUGAGGCUCAUGCAGAUGUCAAGACAACUGACAAUUACAUGCUUCGCAUGUUUGCCAUUGGCUUCACCAAGAAACGCCAAACAAAUACCACGAGCCAAAAUCGUGUCAACAACUCUUUGGCAAAGGAAGAGCAAAAGAUUCGAUUCAAAUUCAAAGUUGGUUUAAAGAUAGUCGGUUCGGUGUAGAUCAAGCUUAUCCUCACCGAACCACGAAUGUGACGGCCAACAGCAGUGGCCAAAGUUUGAUACAUGUAACACUCGGCAUACCGAGGUAAAAGUUUUCUCAAGCGUCGUCAGGACUGGCACUGGGACUGGCAGGCUCCACGAAAGUGUCGAGGUCGACCCCAUCCGUGAUACGAGUGGCGCUCUCAAGGAAGUUCUCCAUGAAAUCUUCGAAUCGAAGCUUCUUGGUGUUUGCAACCUGCAGCGCCUUCAGCUUCUCUUCGCGAGCCCCUUUGCAGUGCACUCGGACCAGCGACAGCGCCACGUCCGCACCACAGUGAGCAGCAGACUUCUUCCACGCCUGCACUCGGUUUGGGACGUCCUCCAGCCGAGUCAUCAACCCUUCCAUUUCCUACCGGGACUCGUCUUCGGGCCACAGCUCCUUGUCGAUUCGGCCGACGACUUUCUCAGUCGACCGAUGAAAGGUCCCACUUUGCCCAGGCGAAUGUGCGCUCGGAGCAUGUCUCGAUUGGCGUCCUCGCCGAGUGGAACGUUCGGAAUAACCGACCGCUCAACGUCAGCUGCUUCAGCCUCAGCGUCCAUACAAAAAUCUACAAAGACAAGACGAGCAGAAAGUAAGCGCAGAAUGAAAUACACAGUCAAGAAGCACUCGAAAAAACAGAACUUACCACCGAGAAGCGCAAUCAUCUUCCUUGCCCAGUCACUGACGUACUUCUCCUGUGAUAUGCACCGCCUGUUCAUCACCUUCAUCUGCCCCAUCAGCUCGGUUCUUUGUUUCCCCAUUUUCUCCAUUGCGGCCACCAAUGCCUUGUUUGCCUCACGGGACUCCUCCAAGGACUUCUCUCGUUCAGCCAGAACACCCUUUAGACCAGCCAAGGCAAGCAUUGCUGCAUCCAGUUCCGCAGCAAACCGAAUCUUUUCAGCCUUCACAGUGUGGUACGCCGAUCCAAUCUCGCAAGUCUUCUGCAAGUCAGCGCGAAGAGACGAUCAGACAAAUUCAGCAAGGAAAACAAUAAAAACUCGAAGUUCUUCACACCCCUGCCGACGCAAGCAGUCGACAGCGGUCUCGGGGACUACACCCAGUGGGUUCACUAAGAGUGACCCCACUGGCAUGAAGCUCAAACAGGUCCGCCCUAUUGAGAUACAUAACAAAAACAAGCCUAUGAGGCUACUACUACCCGACCUGAGUAAAAUUACUCUCGGGGAAUAAUCCAGUAGGUGCACUCGGAGUCCCCCCACUGGUAACAUUCCAACAGAUUAGUUUUGAUCUGAUCAACUUAAAAAAUAUGUAUAUAAAGACAACUGCCGGUGCAAGCACUCGACAGAAGUCUCGGGGACUACACCCACUGGGUUCACUAAGAGUGAACCCACUGCAAAAUAAUCAUCCUGCAUCCGAGUAUAUUGCUUAAACACCCAGUGGGUUACAAGGGGAAAGCAAAUACUUACUAGCCCACUUACACGGAUAUCGUCCUGGAGUUCCAAGCUUCGCUUGUAUACACACGCGAUGGAGUCGUAUGCUCUCUUGGCAUCACCCGCCAUCAACUCCGCCUGCACCAUGGCCCCCUUGGUAGCUCCCACCUGAUCUUCCGGAAGGCGCCGGGCGUCGAACUGGACAGUCGACGGACCUGGCACCACAAGAGACUCCUUGGGCAUCCCAAGUCCUGCUCCAGUCGGUUCAGCAACGAUGAGCGCCGUGUCAGUCGACGAGAUCGUCUCGGUUGGCGGUGCGUCCAUGGCGGGAGUAGUAACAGAUGGAACAGCCUCAAGGACAGGCGCCGCAGCUUGCUCGGACCCCUUCUGAUUGUCCUCCUCCACAUGGAUCACCUCUGAAGGAAGCCCGACCAAACGACGUGAGACCACAGGAAAAAGGACAAGACCAAAGACGGAAUUCGUGAAACAAUAAUGUAAGCUCUCGGAGUCGCCAUGACGUACCUUGCUGGGACGUGACAACGUUGUCCGUAUCCAUGGGAUCGUCCCCCUGGCGUGGCAGAGAAGUGGCAGAGGUGGCAGCUCUGUCGAUUAAAAUUCACUCGACCAAUAAGCAUGAGUUCAAUCAAAUACUAGAAGAAGAUAUAGGAACAAUACACUUACGCUGAGGCGACUGGAACGGCGAUCCUCAUCCGCGGCAAAGCCUUCUGAGGCUUGGAUCCACUCGGUUUGGCCACCUUAGAGGGCUGGCCCGUGGGCUCAGCAGUAGAGUCCCUGGUCCUCUUUGUGCUCCGAGCACUCGGAACCACGGGAGAAGCUGGCAAGGCACUCGGAACCACAGGAGGAGCUGGCGGGGCACUCGAAGCCACUGGAGGAGCCGACUGAGCCGCGGGUUCGUGGCGGCGUUUAGUUCGAGGCUCUGGUGGUGGAGGUGGCAAGUUCUGUUCCUCAUCUUCCCCCUCUUAUUCUUCGGACUCCUCCUCCGUCUCCCCACUGUCGGAGACGUACUCGACGCUCUCCAUGCUGCCCUCCUGGCUGCCUUCCUCUUCCUCAGCCGAAUUCCCGUUCGAGACGGGAGAAAACCAGUUGGUCCACGCCUGCACGAGAUACAGUCGACAACAUCAGACGUCAGACAGUGAUAUAGGAAAAAGCGAUAAAUCCCCCCCGACAAGUUAUACUCACCUCAUUCGGAGGAGGGUUGUCCGCGCGGAAGGGCUUCACUCGCCGGGCUCCUCUGGGGUUGUCGCAGGCGCCUGUGAUGUUGCGGACCCACGACGUCACAAGCUCCCCGGUCACGCACUCGAGGUUAGUCCGAGUGGAGUCCUCAGGCCCCGAGUAGUGCCACAUGGCGUGGUGUCGAGCUUGAAAAGGCUGGAUACGCCGCCCCAGAAAAAUCUCCAGCAAAUCUAUGCCAGUGACUCCCUUUCGGACGACCUCUACCAGCGUGUUGACCAGAGGCUGGAUCUGAAUCUUCUCCAUCUUCAUGAGCGCAAGCUGCCUAGGCGGAGCCAGACGGUCUAGGCUAAAAGGUAGCGGUCCAGUCGCGGCAUUCGGACACGCAACGUCCUGACAGUAGAACCAAGUCGACUGCCAGUUCCUAACGGAUUCAGACAACUGAAGAGCGGGAUAGCUACUUUUACUUUUCUUUUGGAAGCCUAAGCCUCCGCAGAGCUGGAGGAGGUGAGUUUUGUCAUCCGACUGGCUAAGUCUUUUGAUGGUUUGAGAUCUAGCAGAGAAGAUGUGCUUGAAGAGCCCCCAAUGGGGAGGACAGCCGAUAAAACACUCGCACAGCACGACGAAGGCUGAGAGAUGAGCUAUUGCGUUGGGAGGAAAAUGGUGGAGCUGCACCCCGAAGUGGUUCAUUAUACCUCUGAAGAAGGGAUGAGGAGGCAGAGAGAAGCCUCGGUACACGUGACUGAGCAGCAGGACGCGCUCCCCCUCCUGGGGCGCCGACUCUGUUUCGCCCUCCGCCGGCAGCCUCCACGUCUUGUGCUCGAUCAUGCCUUGAUCCACCAGCUCCAGCAUGUCCUCCUUCGUCACCGUGGAGGGGAGGAAAUCCCCCUGGAUCCGACCCGCCGGCAGUGCUCGCUGCCGCCGCUGAGCAGGAGCCGCCGCCUUCUUCUUCUUCCGCGCCUCGAGUUUGCUCGUCUGCCCCUUCGUCAUGGUGGAGGGUGUAGAUCCGCGGGGGAGGAGGGGAAGGAAGGAGCUUGGGAUGCGCAGGAGAUCGCGAGAGAAGCGAGACAAGUGCGAGCUAUCAGGCGAGUGCAACGAAAAACCCUCGCUGUAGAGGUUUAAAUAAGGUUCCGACUGGGUCACUAGCAGGUGGCCCCGAAAUCUUAUCCCCAGACCGGUUGCUGCGAUAUUAGUGGAGAAGAUGAAGGCGCGGAAAUCGAGGCGGCAGAUACUACUUGAUUGCGAUGUCGUCAUCCCCGCUGAGCGCGCGGCAACCGAAAUUUGAGGAUCCCAGAAAAUCCGCCGCUGUCAGUUGAUUGGUCACGUCAAAAGAUUCCACGGAAGCACUCGGUCCCUGACGGUUCGUUUCACAGAUACAUCCACUCGGAUCACUGGUCAAGAAGAUAAAAUGGAUCAUGGCAGACACCGGCAAAGUCGCAUCCAUACCAGUCGGAUCCGUACUCCAAGCAUCGCUUCGUCGUUCCAACCCCAAUCCAUUCGGGGACUAAUGAUGGGGUUAUAGUCCUAGGGUAGGGUCAUAGGCCUGCCCUAUGGGUCCUACCCAAGGACUACCCUUCAUAAAGGAUAAGGCCCUUAGUCAGUUCCGACUGAAUUAAGGACUUCCCAUCAUCCAAUCGGUGACGAUUCCUCCAUCAUCCAGUCGGAGAUGAGCAUUCGGAGUGUAUCAAACUUACCGACUGGAUUCCACUCUGUACAUCGUAACCCCCCUGGAGGGCAAUGGUCAUACGUUUCCAUGUACCUUUAUUAGCAUUUAAGACAUACGUUACCUGUAACGUUGGCAUUUAUUCGCCACUACUCCACCCCUGUGCACCGAACCGUUGUGAAGGGCAGCGCACUCUAUAUAAGCCGCCCUUCCCCACUGGUGCAGGGGUUAGCAAUUCACUGUAAUCCAUAUUCCACUCGACAUCAAGCUCCAAGAGCACUGAGACAUAGGGCUUUUACCUCCACCGUAGAGGGGCCUGAACUCAUACAGCCUCGCCGUAGCUAAGGCUCUGCCCAUCCUUUCGUACCCUACACAUCUACUGUCAGACUUAUACCCACGACAGUAGCCAUGAGGUCUGCUUCGAAGACUCUUCAUGAGAGGGCUACCACACCUAGCAAGACCACUUAGCUUGUCUAUGAUCUGACAUAGCGGGGAUCUGAUCAAUGUAUCCAAUGGUAUUGGUGUUCACAUUUCUCUGAAACUUGAAAGCAGGACAAGAUGUUGGAUGCCCACUAGUAGAAAGCAGGGCUUUGGUCCAGGUCUGAAAUCCCAUUAAUCCCCAUUCACUCAUGGACUGGGACCCAUGGGGGCAUCGGUCCCGGUUCGUGAGGCCAGGGCGCUGGCUGGGCCUUGUGGGUCAUUGGUCCCGGUUCGUGUCACCCCUUUGGUCCGGUUCCAGACACGAACCGGGACCAAUGGGCCUCGCUCUUGGCCCACAAUCAUUGGUACCGGUUUGUGGCUGGAACCGGGACCAAAUGGUGUCUUUUAGACCCGGUUCCAGCCACAAACCGGGAUCAAUGGUUGGCCUAUAUAUACCCCCUACCCGCGAGCAGAGCAGUGCACUGCUCUAUUUUUUUGGCCGACCGUGGGAGAGAUUUGUGGUGCUCUAGCUCACCUCCUAUGCACAUGAGGUGUUCGAUGAAAUGCCCGAGCCACACUUAAGCUUGCUCCUCGCGAAGCUCCUUGUCCAAGCUCCAUUUUCCUCAAGAUUUGUCUAGGUUUGGCGGUCCGUCCUGUCCCGUCCCCGUCCUCACCGUCGUCGAUCGCCUGAGCCCAUCUCGGCGCCGGCACCACUGUGGUUAGCCUCUUCUUCUUAUCUUCUUUAUAAAAGAAAAAAGUUCUUACUUGUAUGAUUUAGAUAGAGACCUGUGUAAUUUUCUUACUUCUAUUAUUUUUUGUUAUUAUAUAGUGCGAUGGUUUUGGUAUCCGCCUUCGUUGAUCCUCGUCCUGUCUCUGAUUCGGAUGUGGUAUAUAUUAUCUUUUAUAACUAUUUGUUUUAUUUAGUGUUUAUGACAAUUAUGCCGAACAAUGUGACAUAGAUUUUUUUAAUCUAGUAGGUAUGUGAACCGGAAAUUCCAACCGACAUAGAAAUUCUUGGCAAGAAGUUAAAUUUGGUUGAAAAAGAAAACAAUUACUUAAAAGAAAAAUUACAAAGAGUUGAAGAGGAGAAGAUGAAAUUAGAGUUGAAUGUUGCCGAUGUCGUCGACGAUCACAAGAUCAAGAUGGAUGCAAUGUGCUUGAAGAUUAGAAAGAUUAGAAAAUAUGCCAUUCAUAUUGAGGCUUGGUAUCAUUAUGUCGUUGGAUCAAUUGGUACCUUAGUUGCGGUUAUGAUCUCAUUUGUUGUUGCAUUUAAAUUUUGUAGUUUCAAUGUAUGUUUUAAUUAGAUACUCUAGAGAGCUAUAUGUUCUUCAAUAAUGAGAACUAUGUUGAAGGUCAUGUAUUUAUUUUGGUCACUACUGUACUUUGGCUUUAAUGUGAUGAUGAAUUUCUAUUAAUUUGGUCACUUCUCUAUUCAUGAUAUGAUGUAAUGGUUUUUAAUACACUUUAUUAUAUAAUGCAUGCAGAUGAACCGACAAUGGAUUUACGGUGACCGACGCACCUCCGAGUAUAUUAAGGGCCUGCAUAAUUUUCUCGAAGCGACUGAGACAAACAAGCAGAAUGGUUUUAUGCAUUGUCCAUGUACUGUCUGUGGGAAUACGAAGGCUUUAUCCAACUCUAAAACCCUUCACUUCCACCUGCUUGAGAAGGGUUUUAUGCCACACUAUAAUGUUUGGACCAAGCACGAAUAAAGAGGGGUUAUGGUGGAAGACAACGAAUAAGAAGAGGAUGAUGACAACUACCCGCCCCCUUAAUACGGUGAUGCUGCAAUGGGGGAAGCUGAAGAUCAAGAGGAACCACACGAUCUGCCCGAUGAUGAUCUUCGCUGGGUCAUUGUUGAUGCACAGAGAGAAUGCGAAAGUGAAAGCGAGAAGUUGAAGUUCGAUUGCAUGUUAGAGGAUCACAAAAAAGGAUUGUACCCAAAUUGUGAAGAUGACAACACAAAGCUCGGUACCACAUUGGAAUUGCUGCAAUGGAAGGCAAACAGUGGUGUAUCUGACAAGUGAUUUAGUUUGCUACUAAAAAUAAUGAAGAAGAAGCUUCCUAAGGAUAACAAAUUGCCCGACAGUACGUACGAAGCAAAGAAGGUUCUAUGCCCUCUAGGAUUGGAGGUGCAGAAGACACAUGCAUGCCCUAAUGACUGCAUCCUCUAGCGCGGUGCGUACGAGGAUUUGAACGCAUGCCCGGUAUGUGAUGCAUUGCGGUAUAAGAUCAGAAGAGAUGACCCUGGUGAUGUCGAGGGCUAGCGCACCGGGAAGAGGGUUCCUGCCAAGGUGAUGUGGUAUGCUCCUAUAAUACCACGGUUGAAACGUUUGUUCAGAAACAAAAAGCAUGCCGAGUUGAUGCAAUGGCACAUAAAAGACCGUAAGAAAAACGGGAAGUUGACACUACUAGGGAAAAUCGUAGUAGUAGCGCUGGUUUUACCCUUACUAUUAGCGUUGGGGCCAGCGCUACUGCUAACGUGCUACAACUAACUCUUAGCAGUAGCGCUAGAAUAAACAAAGUGCUACUGCUAAGCCAGCGCUAUUGCUAAUAUUCCAGCGCUAUUGCUAAUAUUCCUGCUUUUAAUGUUUAAUUCACAUCGUAUUUAUGUCCCCCUACGUAUUUGUGCAUGCUCUAUACAAUGGUUUCAUCAUAUCAUAAUAAACAUGCAUAAUUUGCAUCACAUCAUACACAUAAAGUACUCCCUCCGUCCCAAAAUUCUUGUCUUAUAUUUGUUUAGAUACAAAUGUAUCUAGUCAAAUUUAGUAUUUAGAUACAUCCAUUUCUAGACAAAGCUAAGACAUGAAUUUUGGGACGGAGGGAGUAUCAUGUCAUAUAACUCAUCAUCAUCUUACGUACUCAUCUAACAACUCAUCAUCAUCUUAAUCAUAUACCAAGUUAUCAUAUGAUACACAUAAAGUAAAACAUAAAAACAUCAUAAUAGUCAUCAUAUGCAUGAUACUAAUCAAUCAUGUCAAGUUAAUAUAAACCAGAAUAACUUGUCUCUCAUAAGACCUAGUCCUCGCUCCUAGGUAUAAUGUCAUAAAACAGAAUAACACCUAUGUGUCCAUGAUGAAGUACAUAGAUCCAACGGUCUCCAACUUGUGGCUUGCGAUCCUUCUUUAUUUCUCUCCAUGCUUCAAUUUGGAGCCUUUUUUUAUUUUGAUUUGCGGUUACUCGAGUAUGGAGCAUUGAACUCAGCCCUCAGCGGGAUUUCAAUUUUCAUAUGACCUUCUGUGUGCAUCAACAGAGGCACUACAUCAUGUGGCAGUUGCUGUUGAAGAACAUAAUAAUAACCUAGUUAGCAAUGUAAUCAACACCAUUUAUGCAAUAGUAGAGCAUACUUAAUUAGGAAACUCUUACCAAGAUAUUUCGGUGAAUGUCAUCCGGCCUCAACCUAUGCACUAGUGGCAUGUAAAAUGUAUAAUUUUGGCCAAUUCCCAAAUUAUAUGGGAAGUUAUCCCCAGAAACCAGAACACCAACAAGAAAGUAGAGAAGAACAUCCUUCUCCUCCCAAGUUAGACGUGAUCCACACGUGUAGUGUGCCGUGUCAAUUAAUUUUCAUAAUUCACUCGAAGAAACGAAAUAAACUGUAAAUUAUAAUUUAACAAAUUUAGUAUAUGGAUGAACACCAACUAUUUCUAAAUAUAGAAUGCAAAUUACUUGACAAAUAUGGUUGAGGAACUCACAUGGAGGUAAAACAGGAAGCAUAGCAACAACCACCCAAAUGUCGAUGUUGCCUGGCAUAUUAUCUUUGGGACGAAGAUUGAAGGUUAUUUCCAUAUCCUCCUGAAAUCCAUAUGCCUUGCAAAGAUCUUCCCAAUUUAGUAUAUGGAUGAAAAUCUGAAUUAAAUACUUUGAUAACAAAUGUGUGACCAUGUAUAGUCCCCAGGUUAGCGCUCCUCGUCUCCAUUCUCUCGUGGUCUUCGAAACCAAGCCUCUGCAACACAUAUCUUCUUGCAUGGAAAGGGAGGAACAUAUCUCCAUUCUCGUCAAGCUUCAUGCUGAAGAACCUAUCGUCUCGCAGGUGAGGCGUGUCACACAUACCCCGAAUGUCGCCGCAAUAUUCACACUCCCAAUAUUCAUCGUGAGACAUUUCCUGUUUUAAUGUUGUAAAUGUGUAAACAACAACCAUGAUGUAAACUUCUCGCCCCUCGUUGGAUACCCCAAGUGGAAGGUGGAGAUGUAGUUAGCAGCAAAUUUCCCUCAUAGAGACUGUAAGGUUUAUCGAACCAGUAGGACUCCUAGGCUCAACAAUUAGGUGUCUUCCACACUGGCGCUAGCAGAAGACGUGGACCUGCACACACAACAAAUAACUUUGCUCCCAACGAGUGCAAAGAGGUUGUCAAUCUGUCCAGCCUUGUAAUUUGCAAAGGAUCAAAACACAAGCGGGAAGGUAAUAGUGAUUGCAACGGAAAAGUAAAUGAAAGCGGUAAAUGAUGGAGGUGUAAACAAUGAUGGUGAUAUGGACCAGAGUCACAUGAUGUUCACUAGUGAUGUCUCUCUCCCAAAAGACGAUAAACAGCUACUGGUCAUGGACUCAUGGUCCAAGGAGGACUACUCACGGCACGUCCGGGAAGUAUCCAUGACGGUGGAGAAGUUCCUGGAGGUCAAUUCUCCCUCCGGCAGGGUGCCGGGAAGAGGUCUCCUGAUGUUCCCGAUCUUGGAAGCGCUGCGGCGGUGGAACGAUGGAGAAAUUCGUGAUUUCAGAAAGUCUGCGAGGGUUUCCUCACGAAACUCUAAAUAUAGGCCAAAGGAGGGCAUCGGAGGAGGUGGGACCCACCCAGGCGACCCCCUGGCGCGGCCUAGGGCCUGGCUGCGCUAGCAGGCCGCCUAGGAGGCCCCUUGCCCCCCUUUGGCCCUCGUUCGGUGAUCCUGAAGCUUCUGUUUCGCUGAUUUUUUUAUAUAUAUUUUCUGGAUUUUUUCAGGCUUCAGAAAAUUGGGUAAAAGCCCCUGCAAAAUAGACAUCAGCAGAGAGAAACUGGCACUGGGUGCACUGAGUUAGUAGGUUAGUCCAAAUAUGUGUAAAAUGAUAUCAAAGUGUAGCAAAACAUAUAACAAUGUCACCCAAAAGAUCAUGGAACAAGCAGAAAUUAUAGAUACGUUUGGGACGUAUCAACAUCCCCAACCUUAAUUUCUGCUCGUCCUCGAGUAGAUAAAUGAUAACACAAUAAUUUAUGUGGUGACAUGCCAACACACAUAUAAGAACUUCAAAGUAAAGCAAGUGAGGUUUGCAAUUCAAGUCAAGGCAAUAACAAGCAAGAGUCUAUAUCUAGUAUUGAAUUUAGCAAAGUAAGAACAUAAAGGUGCAAGAGCUCACGCUGUCCGUGACUCGAAUGUCUCCAAAUGGUGUUUGCGUGAAAGAAGUGGGAGAUGGGUUGAGAUCAUAAAAUAUAUUUUUAAUUGAGAACUCAAUCUACUAAACCUCACACUUAGUCUCCUUCAGAAUCUUAUUUUGACUCAUCCCCACACCACUUGUCAGACACAAGUCAAAAUGAUCCUGUCCCUUUUGAUUUUGAGCACUCAUGCAAUGGAUGAGCAUUAGCAAGAUAUGUUGGCACUUAGGAUGGAAAAUAGAAUAAUGAUGGGGAAGGAAGACAAAAAUGUGUGAAAGGAUCACAUCAAUGAGGACAACCAUAGGCGAGAGAAAGCCAAAUGAUAGAUAUGAUGUGAGGAGUAGGGAUUGCCAUGUAACGGAUGCACAUAUGAGCUAAGGUAACCUCUCCAAUGGAACUAGUGGGGGUGCAUCCGACUUGUUUUCUCAUGAAGACGAAAAGCUCAUUUGAGGAGGCUCAUCAUUGGAAUAUGCAAACCAAGUUCUAUAGUGUAAGGGUCCCCACAUAGUUAUGCAUGAAUGAUAAUCUCUAUGUAGUACCAAUAUAGUAAUGGAGUAUGAGUGUGGAUCUUUAAAAAGGAAUGGUAGUGUUGCCCCCUUCUCUUUUUAUCUUUUCCUCUUUUUUGUGUGUGCCCUCUUUGGCUCUUUAUUUUUAUCUCUCCUUUGUCCUCUUUGGGAUCUUUUGUUUUGUCCACUUUGCGAUCUUUUCCUCAAUUAAGGGCAACACUCUAUGUUUUACAAUAAUAAAAAUAAAAAUCAUCACACUUUAUGAGAAGUACUCAACAUAAAGACAAGUGAAAACUAUCAUGAUGUAUGCAAAUGUAUUCCUCUUCUAGUGUAGCCGGAUAUGCACCAACUCUCAAUGUGAGAAAGAGCAAUGCACGAUACUGAAGAGGCUAGCAAAAUAUGGAUGGUGGAAGUGCCAACAAUCGAAUACUCACAUUAGUCCGAAGAACUCAUACACUUAUUAUCGGUAACUCUCUACCUAGUUAGGAAAUUCACAAAGAAACAAGUACCCCGAGGAGGAGUGUUUGGGGGUUUGGUUAUCCUUGCGCAUCCUCGACUCAUGGUAACAUGAGGGUACUAUAUAUAUUCCAACCCCUCCAGAGGUUAGCCAUCAAUUUAGUAGCUAGAGUUCUCAACUAAUUUUUAGUUUUUGAAAAACACACGGAUUUUCCAAAAUACGACACCUAUCACUAAUAGGCUCAAGCUCUUGGCACCAAUAGUCCAAACAUUACUUUAAAUCAAUACCUCAUAACUAUUUCAAGUUACUACUAUACUUAAAUAGCAACCUCAAUUACCUACUCAUGCAAGACACACAACUCAGUGCAACGAGCCAACUCUCUAAACACGAUAAGAAUGAUGAAUCAAGAGAGGUCCAAAAUCAACCUAAAUAAUAGCUCUUAAAAAGAUAAGCAUGAAAACUAAGGGCUAAGCAUGACAGUAGCUACGAAAAUAUGAAUAACACACAAAAAAGAUAAGCAUGAAAACUAUGUUGUGUUCUAGAGUGGAAUGGAGCGUGUCUCUCUCCCAAACAAGGUAGGCUAGGUUCCGACUUGUUAUGAAGAGCAAGCAAAACUAAAAGAAACUAAAAUAGUAAAUAGUGGGAUGCUCCAAGCAUAACACAUAUCAUAUGAAGUAAUAAAAAUAUAGCAUGGAGAUGGGCGAACUGAUGAUUGUUGAUAGAGAAGGGGAUGCAUGUGGGAAUCCCCAAGCUUAGAUGCUUGAGUCACCCUGAAUAUUUCUUGGGUGCAUGGGGGCAUCCCCAAGCUUGAGCGCUUGACCCUCCUGUAUCUUCUUUCAUCAUCUCUCACAUCGCAUACUUGAAAACUCCCUUCAUACGAAACUCAACAUAAGCUCAUUAGAGCGAUUAGUUACCUUAAUAAAAUAAUUCAUUUCCUGCUGGAAAUAUAUAUUUUCAUGAAAAGCUACUGCUUCUUAUGAAUGCCAAAGGGUUUUUGCAAAUAAAAAGUAAGUUUAGGAUUUGCAAGACAAUGAAAACACAAAACAUGGCCGAAUUUGUAAAAAACAGAACAACGGGUAGUAAAUAAUUUAUUCGGGGCACUUCUGCAACUCAAAUCAAAAAACUCGGAAUAGAUGCGAGAUAGACAAUUAUAUAUAUAGAUUUCUGUCAAAAACAUUCAGAUCAAAAAGAAGAUCUGGUGAGUUUUGGCGAUUUUUUUCGUCAAGGAGACAUAAUCUGUUUCUCGACAGCAUAUCACAACUUUUGAACUUUCUUGCAAUCGGAGGGUAUAACUUGCACAAAGCUUAAAAAUAAAGAUACAAUGAUGUUGCUACAGUAGUAACACACAUCAAUACCACUAAAACAGAAAGUAAAAACAAAUUGGGUUGCCCCCAACAAGCGCUUUCUUUUAUGCCUUUGAGCUAGGCACAAUGCAAGAAGAUCAAGCUGUAUCAAUUGAACCAUCAUCAAGAUCAUCAAAGAGCUCUUCAAUAAUGCAACUAGUCUUAAGAGGACUCUCAAAGAGAGGCUUAGUGGCAACACUUAUAGGAGCAAAAGCAAAGGUAGUAAGACCAAUUGGAAUUUCAUUUCUAAUUCUAUUUAAGAGAGGUAUCUCUUCCAAGGUCUUCACAGUUUCAACACCCUUAGCAAUAGGUAUACUUGUUUUGGGUAGAGGAACCUUGGGUACGUUAACGAACCUAGGUCCCUUCCUUGCGGGGGUUUCUACCUUUUUAGUCUUGAUGGAGGAUAGAGUAGUUCCUAAAGUUUGAAAAAUAUCCUCGAUCUUAUCAAUCCUAGAAGGAUCCACAUCAUAUGAUUUAAGGGUCUCCAAAAUUUUAUAAUUUUUGUUCAUGGAGCUAUCAAGUCUAUUUAAGUUCCCUUGAAUCCUACGAUCUACUUCAUUAAUCUUACUCAUGCUUGGCAUCUCUAGCUCUAUUUUCUCAAGUUUACUCAUAACAUGAGAUAAAGUGAUAUCAUCCUUUAUGUCAACACUAGGUGGGAUUCCGACAACAUUUUCCAUAAUGUUAAGAGCCUCCCCAACGGAAGCUUCCAAGAAAUUCCCUCCUAUUGCUGUGUCUAGAACAAACCUAUGCCAAGAAGUAAUACCAACAUAAAAAUUUCUAAGCAAAAUAGUGGUGGAUUGCUUCUUGGUGGCUCUAUCUUGAGAAUUUUUAAUUCUAUACCAAGCAUCUUUCAAACUUUCCACAACCCUUUGUUUGAAGGUGAGAAUCUCUCCUUCGGGUGCAACACUAGAGGCAAAGGAUUUAGGCAUACUGACUAAACAAAGCAAACAAACUAUUUUUGGUUGUGAUUUUUGGUAUAGGACUCUAAAGCAAAAACUAGAGAGAAAACUAACAAGACUGAAAAGCAAAGGUAAAAGAUAGCAUGCAACUCCCCUAUCUUGAAGACUGGAGUCCCCAGCAACGGCGCCAGAAAUUCGCUUGAUGACGAGUUGAUGUAUAUACUUCUCACACCUCCUUGGAUACCCCAAGUGGAAGGUGGAGAUAUAGUCAGCAGCAAAUUUCCCUGACACAGAGACUGUAAGGUUUAUCAAAACAGUAGGACUCCUAGGUCAACAAUUAGGUGUCUUCCACCCUGGCGCUAGCAGAAGACGUGGACCUGCACACACAACAAAUAACUUUUCUCCCAACGAGUACAAAGAGGUUGUCAAUCUCUCCGGCCUUGUAGUUUGCAAAGAAUCAAAACACAAGUGGGAAGGUCAUAGUGAUUGCAAUGGAAAAGUAAAUGAAAGCGGUAAAUGAUGGAGGUGUAAACAAUGAUGGUGAUAUGGACCGGAGUCACAUGAUGUUCACUAGUGAUGCCUCUCUCCCAAAAGACGAUAAACAACUAUGCUUGGGUAAACAAAUUGCAGUUGGGCAAUUGACAGAAGUAUGAUCGCACCGCAGUGCUAAUUAUGCUCCUUGAUAGGUAGAGGUUCAAUAGUAAUGGGCAGUACGCCAAGACAAGUAGACCGUUUAUUCAUCAACAUCUACUUACUAAUCAUCCACCUUGAGAUAUUUAUCCAGAACAUCUCUCCAGUAUUAAGUUGCGAGCCUCACCCAAAGUUAAACUCAAAGCAACGAACAAUUGCAUUAACGAACUAUGAGUAAGGUAAACAAUCCUUGCAACCGUGGUCACAAGCACCGUUGUUUUCUCCCUGGUGGCAACAAGCACAUCCCCUAGUCUCAUGUUUCUGUCACUCAAGCUAGACAUCGAGGGGCCCGAACCCACAAUCAUGCAUAACGCUCCCUCUUGGAGUUACAAUCUACUACUUGGCCAAAGCAAUAAAAAACAACGAAGAACAUGCAUGAAUCAUUAUAGAACAUAAUAUAAAAGAAUAAUCAAAUAUAUAAAUCAUAAUAAUCUGAACAUAAUCUCAUAAUCCAUUGGAUCCCAAGAAACCGAGCAUAGCAAAAGCAAGAGAAUUACAUAGAUGCCUUGAUCAUGUAGAGCAGCUCACAAGGACUAACCAUUGAAGCACAAGAUUGGAGAGAAGACAUCACAUAGCUACUGGUCAUAGACUCAUGGUCCAAGGAGGACUACUCAUGGCAUGUCCGGGAAGUAUCCAUGGCGGUGGAGAAGCUCUCGGAGGUCAAUCCUCCCUCCGGCAGGGUGCCGGGAAGAGGUCUCCUGACGCUCGUGAUCAUGGAAGCGCUGCGGCGGCGAAACGAUGGAGAAAUUCGUGAUUCCAGAAAGUCUACGAGGGAUUCCUCACGGAUCUCUACAUAUAGGCCAAAGGAGGGCACCGAAGGAGGUGGGCCCCACCCAGGCGACCUCCUGGCGCGACCUAGGGCCUGGCCGCGCCAGCAGGCCGCCUGGGAGGCCCGUGGCCCCCUCUGGCCCUUCUUUGGUGAUCCGGAAGCUUGUGUUUCGCUGAUUUUUUAUAUAUAUUUUUCUGGAUUUUUUGAGGCUUCAGAAAAUUGGGUAAAAGCCCCUGCAAAAUAGACAUUAGCAGACAGAAACUGGCACUGGGUGCACUGAGUUAGUAGGUUAGUCCAAAUAUGUGUAAAAUGAUAUCAAAGUGUAGCAAAACAUAUAACAAUGUCACCCAAAAGAUCAUGGAACAAGCAGAAAUUAUAGAUACGUUUGGGACGUAUCAGAUGCCUAUUACAUUAGGACUAAAUUCAUAAUCUAAACCAAUUACCAUGCUGUUUAAAGAACUCUCAAAAUAAUAUAAGUGCGGUAUGAGAGUUUAAUAAUUCCACAACACCGUCGUGCUGUAAAAGAUAUAAGUGAAGUACCAGAGCAACAUUGCGUGGCUCAAAUUAUAUAAGUGAAGCAUAAAGAGUAUUCUAAGAAAUUCACAAUUCAGUGUGUGUCUCUCUCUCAAAAAAUGUGUGUAGCAAUGAUGAUUGUGGCAAACUAAAAAGUAAGGACUCAUAUCAUACAAGACACUCCAAGCAAAACACAUAUCAUGUGGUGAAUAAAAAUAUAGCCUCAAGUAAAUUUACCGAUGGAUUGAACACGAAAGAGGGGAUGCCUUCCGGGGCAUCCCCAAGCUUAGGCUCUUUGGUAUCCUUGAAUAUGACUUGGAGUGCCUUGGGAAUACCCAAGCUUAGGCUCUUGCCACUCCUUAUUCCAUAGUCCAUCAAAUCUUUACCCAAAACUUGAAAACUUGACAACACAAAACUCAAUAGAAAUCUCAUGAGAUCCGUUAGUGUAAGAAAAAUAAAUCACCACUUUAGGUACUAUUGUGAACUCAUCCUUUAUUUAUAUUGAUGUAAUAUUUACUGUAUUCCAACUUAUCCAAGGUUCAUACCCCCUCAUACAACCCAUAGAUUCAUCAAAAUAAGCAAACAUCACAAAGAAAACAGAAUUUGUCAAAAACAGAACAAUGUGUAGCAAUCUGCUUACUUCAAACACUUCUGUAACUCCAAAAAUUCUGAAACGUUCAGAAAAUCUGGGAAAUUUGCAAACCAAUCUUGUGUAAACAAUCCAGAUUAAAAGCACGUUCGAGUGAAUUUAUAAAAUUCCUCGACUGAGAGCGAAAGUUUUUGUUCUUCAGCAAAAUCAACUUGCAAACACCAUAGACUAUCCCAAAGGUCUUACUUGGCUCAAACACUAAUUCAAACAUGAAAACACAAUUAUUACAGAGGUAAUAAUAUGUGCAGAACUAAAAAAAUAGAACCAAAAACAAAAGCAAAACACAUAAAAUCGGUUUGCCUCCCAACAAGCGCUAUUGUUUAUGGCCCCUAGCUAGGCAUAAUGCAAUAGAUCUAGGUAUUAUCAUCUUUGGUAUUGACAAUUUUCGUGAGGGCCUUCUCAAAUACGGGAGGCUCUUUCCUUUUCCCGGGUUUGUAGGUGAAGAAACCACCUUAUUGUCUAAUGUAUCCCAACGCAUAUUGCAAAUGAUGAUUAGAGUGUUCAAACGGUUGAGGUUUCCACUAAUAUCUUUAAGGGGUUCAUGCUAUUGUUGUAGCUCGAUUAAGUGCGUAUGUAAGUCACUUAAUUUGUCGAGAAUUUGAACUCCCUCUUCUGAAAAAAUAAAGCCCCUUUUUUGUGGAGGAAUGAUGACCCACAAGUGUAGGGGAUCUAUCAUAGUCCUUUCGAUAAGUAAGAGUGUCGAACCCAACGAGGAGCAGAAGGAAAUGACAAGUGGUUUCCGGCAAGGUAUUCUGUGCAGGCACUGAAAUUAUCGGUAACAGAUAGUUGUGUGAUAAGAUAAUUCGUAACGGGUAACAAGUAGCAAUAGUAGCAAAGGUGCAGCAAGAUGGCCCAAUCCCUUUUGUAGCAAGAGACAAGCCUCGACGAACUCUUAAGCAAGGGACACAUGGGAAUUUCUAUCAAGCUAGUUUUCAUCAUGUUCAUAUGAUUCCCGUUUGCUACUUUGAUAGUUUGAUAUGUGGGCGGACCGGUUCUUGGGUGCUGUCCUUACUUGGACAAACAUCCCACUUAUGAUUAACCCCUCUCGCAAGCAUCCGAAACUACGAAAGAAGAAUUAAGACUAAGUCUAACCAUAGCAUUAAACUGGUGGAUCCACAUCAGCCCCUUACGAAGCAACGCAUAAACUAGGGUUUAAGCUUCUGUCACUCUAGCAACCCAUCAUCCACUUAUUACUUCCCAAUGACUUCCUCUAGGCCCAAAUAAGGGUGAAGUGUCAUGUAGUCGACGUUCACAUAACACCACUAGAGGAAAGACAACAUACAAUGCAUCAAAAUAUCGAACGAAUACCAAAUUCACAUGAUUAGUUAUAGCAAGACUUUUCCCAUGCCCUCAGGAACAAAUGUGACUACUCACAAAGCAUAAUUAUGUUCAUGAUCAGAGAGGUAUUGAAUAACAUUAAGGAUCUGAACAUAUGGUCUUCCACCGAGUAAUCCAACUAGCAUCAACUACAAGGAGUAAUUAACACUACUAGCAACCUUACAAGUACCAAUCGGAGUCGCGAGACGGAGAUUGUGUACAAGAGAUGAACUAGGGUUUGGAGAUGAGAUGGUGCCGAUGAAGAUGUUGAUGGAGAUGAGUCCCCUCCGAUGAGAGGAGUGUUGGUGAUGACGAUGGCGACGAUUUCCCCCUCCGGAGGGAAGUUUCCCCGGCACGACGGCCCUGCCGGAGCUCUAGAUUGGUUCUGCUCAAGUUCCGCCUCGUGGCGGCGGCGUCUCUUCCUGAAAGCCCCCCUUGAUAUUUUCUGGUGCGAAAGCCUCCUUAUAGCAGAAGAUGGGAGCCGGAGGGGUAACAGGGGGCCCACAAGCCACCCAGGCGCGCCUAGGGGGUAGGGCUCGCUUGGCAGGCUUGUGGCCUCGUGGUGGCUCCCCUCCAAUACUUCUUCCGCCCAGUAAUUUUUAUAUAUUCCAAAAUAAUUCCUCGUUGAUUUUCAUGGCUUUUGGAUUUGUGCAGAAUAGGUAUCUCAAACUUGCUCCUUUUUCAACCCAAAAUUCCAGCUACCGACAUUCUCCCUCUUCAUGUAAAUCUUAUAAAAUACGAGAGAAAAGGCAUAAGUGUUGUACCAUAAUGUGUAAUAACGGCCCAAAAUGCGAUAAAUAUCAACAUGAAAGAAUGAUGCAAAAUGGACGUAUCAACUCCCCCAAGCUUAGACCUCGCUUGUCCUCAAUAAAUAUGCUCACAAGUUUAGAGAUAGAGGUGUCGACAAAACAAAAUACGGACAUGCAGGCAUCAUGAUCAUAUUUAGAACAACAAAAUCGUCAUAUAAUAUCUUAUGCUAAAGUGACAACUCCUUCACAAUGUAAAGUAUGGAUCAAGAACCUUAUUGAGAACUAACAACCAAUAGUCUUUAGUCAUUGAAGCAAUUGCAAUUUAUCAUAACAUCGAAAAGAGUCAAAUAAGAGCUUGUAAAGCAAAUCCACAUACUCAAUCAUCCUUUAGUUUUCUACAAAGGCUAAAACUCACGUGGUACUCAUGAGAUCAAAGUUUCAGUUGGACACAGAGAAAGAUAGGGGCUUACAGUUUCGCCUCCCAACUAUUUGCCUCAAGGGUAAUGUCAACAAAAAUAAUUCAUGAAUACUUACUUCCAAGUUGACAUAUGAAUAUAGACCUUUCCCUAGCACAUGACGCUAGCCAAGAUAAAGGCGAAAUAAGGAAUUGGUGUCAAUCAUCAUGACUCAUUUAAAGAUAGAAAGUAAAGGUACAAGAUAGGCCCUUCGUAGAGGGAAGCAGAGGUUGUCAUGCGCUUUUGAGGUUUGGAUGUGUAAUCUCUUAGUGUGGAGGAAUGUCACUUUAUAUUGCCUCCUGUGAUAAAGACCUUUAUUAUGCAGUCUGUCACUUUUAUGUAUUCCUCAUCAUAGGUUCGUACAAAGUUUAUUUUCCACACACUAAUAGAUCAUACAAAUUUAGGGAGCAAUUUUUAUUGCUUGCACCGAUGACAACUUACUUGAGGGAUCUUAUUCAAUCCAAAGGUAGGUAUGGUGGACUCUCAUGGCAAAACUGGGUUGAGGGUUUAUGGAUGCACAAGUAGUAUCUCUACUUAGUGCGGAAGUUUUGGCUAAUAUGAGGUGGAAGCAAGCGUCACAUCCUAAGGGAUCUCUAGUCAUAUAACAUGGUCUGGAACCAAGCAAACAUAAUUCAUUAUGUUGUCUUUCUUGUCCAACAUCUACUUCUUAGCAUGUAAUAGUUUAAUGAGUGUUCACAAUCAUAGACGGUGUCAAAGAUGAUAUAUUUAUAUGUGAACAAGAUACGUCUCAAACGUAUAUAUAAUUUUUGAUGGUUUCAUGCUGUUAUCUUGUCAUCUUUGGAUGUUUUAUGUACCUUUUAUAUCUUUUUUGGGACUAACUUAUUAAUUCAGUGCCAAGUGCCAGUUCCUGUUUUUUUUGUGUGUUUUUGGCUCUUUUCAGGUCUGAUUUUGGAACGGAGUCCAAACGGAAUAAAAUUCCCGAAAUGAUUUUUUCCCGAACGGAAGAAGAUCAGGGGGCCUGUGGGCCAAGCUAGGAGGGCUACAGGGAGCCCACAAGCCCCCACUCCGCCACCAGGAGGGAGGCGGCGGUGGGCAGGCUUGUGGCCUCCCUGGCGCCCCCGUGACCUAGAUCUUGCUCCUAUAUAUUCCCUAAAAAUCAGAAAAAAUGAGGGGAGCCUCGAAAAUACUUUUCCGCUGCCGCAAGCUUCCGUUUCUGCGAGAUCUCAUCUGGAGAACCUUCCCGGCGCCCUACCGGAGGGGACUUUGGAGUUGAAGGGCUUCUUCAUCAUCAUCAUCGCCCCUCCGAUGACUCGUGAGUAGUUCACUUCAGACCUACGGGUCCAUAGUUAGUAGCUAGAUGGCUUCUUCUCUUUCUUGGAUCUUCAAUACAAAGUUCUCGAGGAUCUUCAUGGAGAUCUAUCCGAUGUAAUCUUCUUUGGCGGUGUGUUUGUCGAGAUCCGAUGAAUUGUGGAUUUGUGAUCAGAUUAUCUAUGAUAUAUAUUUGAGUCUUUGCUGAUUUCUUAUAUGCAUGAUUUGAUAUACUUGUAAGUCUCUCCGAGUCUUGGGUUUUGUUUGGCCAACUAGAACUAUGAUUCUUGCAAUGGGAGAAGUGCUUGGUUUUGGGUUCUUACCAUGUGGUGACCUUUCCCAGUGAUAGUAGGGGCAGCAAGGCACACAUUGAGUAGUUGCCAUCAAGGGUAACAAGAUGGGCUCUGUCGUUGAUAUGAGAUUGUCCAUCUACAUCAUGUCAUCUUGCUUAAGGCGUUACUCUGUUCUUUUGGACUUAAUACACUAGAUGCAUGCUGGAUAGUGGUCGACGUGUGGAGUAAUAGUAGUAGAUGCAGAAAGUAUCGGUCUACUUGUUUUGGAUGUGAUGCCUAUAGAUAUAAUCAUUGCCAUAGAUGACGUCACGACUUUGUGCGGUUCUAUCAAUUGCUCGACAGUAAUUUGUUCACCCACCGUCUACUUGCUUUCAUGAGAGAAGCCACUAGUAAACACUACGGCCCCGGGGUCUAUUCACAUCUAUCGUUUACACCUCCGCUUUUACUUUGCUUUGUUGCUUUGUUGCUUUCAGUUCUCACUUUGCGAACAAUCUAUAAGGGAUUGACAACCCCUUCAUAGUGUUGGGAGCAGGUUCUUUGUGUUUGUGCAGGCACUUGGGAUACUCCUUCACUAGAUCGAUACCUUGGUUCUCAAAACUGAGGGAAAUACUUACCACCGCUGCGCUACAUCACCCUUUCUGCUUCGAGGGAACACCAACGCAAGGCUCCGAGGCCACGGGUAAAUCCUUUGCAUAUUUGCCUAGGAAGUCCCUAAAGGCAUACCGUAGCAGAAGGAUUCCUGGUGCCGUUGCUGAGGAGAAUCAAGACAAGAACAGUCUCCCGUCAGCACGUGCUUCUGGAGCCGUUGGAAGGUCUUUUUUGCAGUAGGAGAAGUAUUUCUGGCGCCGUUGCCGGGGAGGAGAGAUCUAUCCAAGUAGGUCUCACAAACUCAUCUCGUGCAUUUACUUUUUUGCCAGUUGCCUCUUGUUUUCCUUUCCCCCACUUCACAUUUGUCGUUUUCAUUUGCCUUUUUCCUUUGCCGUUUUCUUUUGCCCUUGCCGUUUUCCUUUGCUGGUUUUCUUGCUUGCUUGUGUUCUUGUUUGUUUGUUGAAGUCAUCAUGGCUGAAAACACCAAACUUUGCGACUUCUCGAGCACUAAUAAUAAUGAUUUUAUUAGUACUCCGAUUGCUCCCGCCACUAGUGCGGAAUCGUAUGAAAUCAAUGCAGCUAUGUUGAAUCUUGUUAUGAAAGAGCAAUUCUCUGGCCUUCCUAGUGAAGAUGCCGCAUCCCAUCUCAAUACCUUCAUUGAGCUUUGUGAUAUGCAAAAGAAAAGAGAUGUGGAUAAUGACGUGAUUAAGUUGAAACUUUUUCCUUUCUCGUUGCGAGAUCGCGCAAAAACUUGGUUUUCUUCUUUACCUAAAAAUAGUAUCGAUUCUUGGGAUAAGUGCAAAGAUGCUAACAUAUCCAAGUAUUUUCCGCCUUCUAAGAUCAUCUCCUUACGUAACGAUAUCAUGAAUUUCAAGCAACUUGAUCAUGAACACGUUGCACAAUCUUGGGAGAGGAUGAAGCUUAUGAUUAGAAAUUGUCCCGCUCAUGGCUUGAGUUUGUGGAUGAUUAUACAAAUAUUUUACGCUGGCUUGAAUUUCGCUUCUCGCAAUAUCUUGGACUCCGCCUCAGGUGGAACGUUCAUGGAAAUCACGUUAGGAGACGCUACAAAACUCCUAGACAAUAUCAUGACCAACUACUCUCAGUGGCACACUGAAAGGUCACCUGCUAGCAAAAAGGUACACGCUAUAGAAGAGAUUAACUCGCUUAGUGCUAAGAUGGACGAGUUGAUGAAUUUGGUUGCUAGUAGAAACGCUACCGUAGAUCCUAAUGACAUGCCACUAUCUUCCUUGAUUGAGAGUAGCAACGCUAGUUUGGACGUGAAUUUUGUUGGUAGGAACAAUUUUGGCAACAACAAUGCUUUUAGAGGAAACUUUGUUCCUAGGCCUUUUCCUAGUAACUCCUCUAACAAUUAUGGAAAUUCCUACAAGAACUCUUAUGGAAAUCACAACAAAUUACCCACUGAUUUAGAGAGUAAUAUCAAAGAGUUCAUCAACUCUGAAAAUAUUUUCAAUGCGUCCAUAGAGGAAAAACUACUCAAAAUUGACGAUUUGGUUAAGAGCGUUGAUAGGAUGUCUUGUGAUAUUGAUGCUUUGAAAGUUAGAUGUGCUCCUCCCAAGGUCAACUUGGAUGAAACUUUGAAAGCUAUGCGUGUCUCCAUGAAUGAGAGCAAAGAAAGAACCACCCAAAUUCGCGCUAGGCAUGAAUGGUUUAAAAGGGUGCGUUCUAGUGAUGCAAAUCACGAAGAUCUUAAAGUGCUUGGUGUGUCUCCUCUUGAAUCUUUGUUUUCGCGUGUCAAACCUAUUUAUGGAGGGGCUGGAUAUGAAUCCACUUUGGUUGAAAAACGCCCCAAUGAUUCGGAGUCCACCCAUCUUGAUGAUAAAGGUGUGGAGAGUGGAGUAGAAGAAAUCAAAAUUUUGGGUAGUAAUUAAACUCCCACUUUGGAUUUCAAGGAAUUCAAUUAUGAUAAUUGCUCCUUGUUUGAAUGCAUUUCUUUGAUGCAAUCCAUUGCAAACUCUCCACACGCUUAUAGCCAAAGAAAAGCCUUUACCGCGCAUAUCGUAGAUGCUAUGAUGAAAUCUCUUGAAGAGAAGCUCGAACUAGAAGUCUCUAUACCUAGAAAACUUCAUGAUGAGUGGGAACCUACUAUCAAAAUCAAGAUCAAAAACUAUGAGUGCAAUGCUUUGUGUGAUUUGGGUGCUAGUGUUUCCGCAAUUCCAAAGUCUUUAUGUGAUAUUCUUGGUUUUCAUGAGAUUGAAGAGUGUUCUCUUAAUUUGCAUCUUGCGGAUUCUACUGUCAAGAAACCCAUGGGAAGGAUCGGUGAUGUUCUUAUUGUCGCAAAUAAGAACUAUGUACCCGUGGAUUUCAUUGUACUUGACAUAGAUUGCAAUCCUUCAUGUCCCAUUAUUCUUGGUAGACCUUUCCUAAGGACUAUUGGUGCUAUCAUCGAUAUGAAGGAAGGGAAUAUUAGAUUUCAAUUUCCCUUAAAGAAGGGCAUGGAGCACUUUCCUAGAAAGAAAAUAAGAUUGCCUUAUGAAUCUAUGAUGAGGGCUACUUAUGGUUUGAGCACCAAAGAUUACUAUACGUGAGUCCAUGACCGUUUGCCUAGCUAAGGGCGUUAAACAAAAGCGCUUGUUGGGAGGCAACCCAACGAAUCUAUCCUUUUUCCUUCUGUUUUGUGUUUUUCACACUUUCAUAAUUCUGUUAUGAUUGUGUUUUUUGUGUUUCUUUUUGCGUUUGUGCCAAGAAAAACCGUUAUGAUUAGUCUUAGGGAUGAUCGUUUGGUCAUGCUCGAAAAGACAGAAACUUUCUGCUCACGAAAAGAAUUUUCCUUUUUUCUGUAAGAGAUUUUGAGUUGAUUCUUUUUGCUGCUGAUUUCUACACAAAUUCUUAGGACUGUAGUAAUUUUUCAGAAUUUUUUAAGUACCAGAAUUAUACGAAAUAUACAGAUUGCUACAGACUGGUCUGUUGUUAAGAGAUUCUGUUUUUGUUGUGUUGGUUGCUUAUUUUGAUGAAACUAUGGAUAGUAUCAGGGGGUAUUAGCCAUGGAAGAUUGAAAAUACAGUAACCCAACAUCAGCAUAAGUAGAAUUUAAGUUUGCUACAGUACCUAAGGAAGUGGUGGUUUGCUUUCUGAUACUAAUUGUUAUCACGAGUUUCUGUUUAAGUUUCGUGUUGUGAAGUUUUCAAGUUUUGGGUGAAGUUCUUAUGGACAAAGAGAUAAAGAGUGGCAAGAGCUCAAGCUUGGGGAUGCCCAAGGCACCCCAAGAGAUUCAAGGAUGUCGUAAAAGCCUGAGCUUGGGGAUGCCCCGGGAAGGCAUCCCCUCUCUCGUCUUCAAUCCAUCGGUAACGUUACUUGGGGCUACAUUUUUAUUCACCACAUGUUAUGUGUUUUUGCUUGGAGCGUCUUGUAUCGAAGGAGUCUUUUAUUUUUUUUGUGUCACAAUCAUCCUUGCUGCACACCUAGAGAGAGACAUGCACUCACCGUGAUUUUGUCGAGCUUCACUUAUAUCUUUUGGUAGAAAAUUCAGCUCACAUGUGCUUCACUUAUAUCUUUUGAGCUAGAUACUUUUGCUCUAUGUGCUUCACUUAUAUCUUUUAGAGCAUAGUGGUGCGUGGCUUGGUAGUUGAUCUAUGCUUUGAAAGUAGUCUAAAAAGGGGUAGUUAUCCAAAGGGAUACGAAAACUUCCACCUUCAUGUGCAUUGAAUAGUUAGAGAAGUUUGAUUCAUCUCAAUUAGUUUUGAGUUGUGGUUAUGGUAAUAUUGAAGUUUUGCUAGUAAGGUGUUGUGGAUCUAGAAAUACUUGUGUUGAAGUUAGUGAUUCCCGUAGCAUGCACGUAUGGUGAACCGCUAUGUGAUGAAAUCUGAGCAUGAUUAGUCUAUUGAUUGUCAUCCUUUGCGUGGCGGUCGGGAUCGCGCGAUGGUUUAUACCUACCAACCCUUCCCCUAGGAGUAUGCAUUGAAUGCUUUGUUUCGAUUACUAAUAAAACUUUUGCAACAAGUAUAUGAGUUCUUCAUGACUAAUGUUGAGUCCAUGGUUUAGAUGCACUUUCACCUUCCACCAUCACUAUCUUCUUAGUGCCGUGCAACUUUCGCCGGUGCACAAAACCCACCAAUAGCGUCCCUCAUAACAGCCACCAUACCUACCUACUAUGGCUUUUUCAAAGUCAUUCCAAGAUAUAUUGCCAUGCAACUACGACCAUGACAUGUGCCACCACAUCUACAUUGCCAUUGCAUGAUCGUAAGAUAGCUAGCAUGAUGUUUCCAUUAAUGUCUAUGCCAUGCUAGAUCAUUGUCACGGUACACUACCGAAGGCAUUCCAUAUAGAGUCAUCGUUGCUCUAAGUUUUGAGUUGAAAGUGUGAUGAUCACCAUUAAUGGAGCAUUGUCCCAUGUGUGGAAAUAAAAGAGGCCAAAGAGCCCACCAAAAAAAUGAGAGAAAAAGAGAGAAGGGACAAUGCUACCACUUUUCCACACUUGUGCAUAUUAAGCACCAUGAUCUUCAUGAUUGAGAGUCUCUAUUUUUGUCACCACCAUAUAGCUAGUGGGAAAUUUUCAUUAUAUAACUUGGCUUGUAUAUUCCAAUGAUAGGCUUCCUCAAAAUUUCCUUAGGUCUUCGUGAGCAAGCAAGUUGGAUGCACACCCACUAGUUUUCUUUCAGAGCUUUCACUUACUCUUAGCUCUAGUGCAUCAUUUGUAUGGCUAUCCCUACUCAUUCACAUUGAUAUCUAUUGAUGAGCAUCUCCACAGCUCAUUGAUAUGCCUAGUUAAUGUGACUAUCUUCUCCUUUUUUGUCUUGCAACCUCCACCAUACUCCACACCAUCUAUAGUGCUAUAACCAUGGCUCACGCUCAUGUAUUGCGUGAGAGUUGAAAAGGUUUGAGAAAGUAAAGGUGUGAAACAAUUACUUGGCCAAUACCGGGGUUGUGCAUGAUUUAAAUUCGUUGUGCAAUGAUGAUAGAGCAUAGCCAGACUAUAUGCUUUUGUAGGGAUAACUUUCUUUUGGCCUUGUUAUUUUGAAAGUUCAUGAUUACCUUGCUAGUUUACUUGAAUUAUUAUUGUCUCCACGUCAAUAAAAAACUAUUGUUUUGAAUCUAAUGGAUCUGAACAUUCACGUCACAUAAGAGGAGUUACAAAGGACAUCUCUGCUAGGUAGCAUGAAAGCAUCAAAAAUUCAUUCUUUAUCACUUCCCUACUCGAGGACGAGCAGGAGUUAAACUUGGGGAUGCUUGAUACGUCUCAAACGUCUAUAUAAUUUUUGAUGGUUUCAUGCUAUUAUCUUGUCAUCUUUGGAUGUUUUAUGUACCUUUUAUAUCUUUUUUGGGACUAACUUAUUAAUUCAGUGCCAAGUGACAGUUCCUGUUUUUUCUGUGUUUUUGGCUCUUUUCAGAUCUUAUUUUGGAACGGAGUCCAAACGGAAUAAAAUCCCCGAAAUGAUUUUUUCCUGAACAGAAUAAGAUCAGGUGGCCUGUGGGCCAAGCCAGGAGGGCUACAGGGAGCCCACAAGCCCCCACUCCGCCACCAGGGGGAGGCGGCGGUGGGCAGGCUUGUGGCCUCCCUAGUGCCCCCUGACCUAGAUCUUGCGCCUAUAUAUUCCCUAAAAAUCAUAAAAAAUAAGGGGAGCCUCGAAAAUACUUUUCCGCCGACACAAGCUUCCGUUUCCGCGAGAUCUCAUCUGGAGACCCUUCCCGACACCAUGCCGAAGGGGACUUUGGAGUUGAAGGGCUCCUUCAUCAUCAUCAUCUCCCCUCCAAUGACUCGUGAGUAGUUCACUUCAGACCUACGGGUCCGUAGUUAGUAGCUAGAUGGCUUCUUCUCUCUCUUGGAUCUUCAAUACAAAGUUCUCCAUGAUCUUCCUGGAGAUCUAUACGAUGUAAUCUUCUUUGGCGGUGUGUUUGUCGAGAUCUGAUGAAUUGUGGAUUUGUGGUCAGAUUAUCUAUGAUAUAUAUUUGAGUCUUUGCUGAUUUCUUAUAUGCAUGAUUUGAUAUCCUUGUAAGUCUCUCCGAGUCUUGGGUUUUGUUUGGCCAACUAGAUCUAUGAUUCUUGCAAUGGGAGAAGUGCUUGGUUUUGGGUUCUUACUGUGUGGUGACCUUUCCCACUGACAGUAGGGGCAGCAAGGCACACAUUGAGUAGUUGCCAUCAAGGGUAACAAGGUGGGCUCUGUCGUUGAUAUGAGAUUGUCCAUCUACAUCAUGUCAUCUUGCUUAAGGCGUUACUCUGUUCUUUUGGACUUAAUACACUAGAUGCAUGCUGGAUAGCGGUCGACGUGUGGAGUAAUAGUAGUAGAUGCAGAAAGUAUCGGUUUACUUGUUUUGGACGUGAUGCCUAUGGAUAUAAUCAUUGCUAUAGAUGACGUCACGACUUUGCGCCGUUCUAUCAAUUGCUCGACAGUAAUUUGUUCACCCACCGUCUACUUGCUUUCAUGAGAGAAGCCACUAGUAAACACUACGGCCCCCGGGUCUAUUCACAUCUAUCGUUUACUCCUCCGCUUUUACUUUGCUUUGUUACUUUGUUACUUUCAGUUCUCACUUUGCGAACAAUCUAUAAGGGAUUGACAACCCCUUCAUAGCGUUGGGAGCAGGUUCUUUGUGUUUGUGGAGGCACUUGUGAUACUCCUUCACUGGAUCGAUACCUUGGUUCUCAAAACUCAGGGAAAUACUUACCACCGCUGCGCUACAUCACCCUUUCCGCUUCGAGGGAACACCAACUAAAGGCUCCAAGGCCACAGGGAAAUUCUUUGCAUAUUUGCUUAGGAAGCCCCUAAUGUUGGAAUUAUGCCCUCGAGGCAAUAAUAAAUAUAGUUAUUAUUAUAAUUCCUGUAUCAAGAUAAUCGUUUAUUAUCCAUGCUAUAAUUGUAUUGAAUGAAGACUCAUUUACAUGUGUGGAUACAUAGACAAAACACUAUCCCUAGCAAGCCUCUAGUUGGCUAGCCAGUUGAUCAAAGAUAGUCAGUGUCUUCUGAUUAUGAACAAGGUGUUGUUGCUUGAUAACUGGAUCACGUCAUUAAGAGAAUCACGUGAUGCACUAGACCCAAACUAAUAGACGUAGCAUGUUGCUCGUGUUAUUUUGUUGCUACCGUUUUCUGUGUGUCAAGUAUUUGUUCCUAUGACCAUGAGAUCAUAUAACUCACUGACACCAGAGGAAUACUUUGUGUGUAUCAAACGUCGCAACGUAACUGGGUGACUAUAAAGAUGCUCUACAGGUAUCUCCGAAGGUGUUAGUUGAGUUAGUAUGGAUCAAGACUGGGAUUUGUCACUCCGUGUGACGGAGAGGUAUCUCGGGGCCCACUCGGUAAUGCAACAUCACACACAAGCCUUGCAAGCAAAGUAACUUAGUGUAAGUUGCGGGAUCUUGUAUUAUGGAACGAGUAAAGAGACUUGCCGGUAAACGAGAUUGAAAUAGGUAUGCGGAUACUGACGAUCGAAUCUCGGACAAGUAACAUAUCGAAGGACAAAGGGAAUGACAUACGGGAUUAUAUGAAUCCUUGGCACUGAGGUUCAAACGAUAAGUUCUUCGUAGAAUAUGUAGGAUCCAAUAUGAGCAUCCAGGUCCCGCUAUUGGAUAUUGACCGAGGAGUCUCUCGGGUCAUGUCUACAUAGUUCUCGAACCCGCAGGGUCUGCACACUUAAGGUUCGGCGUUGUUUUAUGCGUAUUUGAGUUAUAUGGUUGGUUACCGAAUGUUGUUCGGAGUCCCGGAUGAGAUCACGGACGUCACGAGGGUUUCCGGAAUGGUCCGGAAACGAAGAUUGAUAUAUAGGAUGACCUCAUUUGAUUACCGGAAGGUUUUCGGAGUUACCGGGAAUGUACCGGGAAUGACGAAUGGGUUCCGGGAGUUCACCGGGGGGGGGGCAACCCACCCCGGAGAAGCCCAUAGGCCAUGAGGGUGGCGAUGAGGGUGGCGCACCAGCCCUUAGUGGGCUGGUGGGACAGCCCACAGGGGCCCUAUGCGCCUAAGAAAGAAAAAUCAAAGAGAAAGAAGAAAAAAAAGGAGGUGGGAAGGGAAGGAAGGACUCCCACCCACCAAACCAAGUCCAACUCGGUUUGUGGGGGGGAGACCUUCCCCCUUGGCUCGGCCGACCCCCUUGGGGCUCCUUGAGCCCCAAGGCAAGGUCCCCUCCCUCCCACCUAUAUAUACGGAGGUUUUAGGGCUGAUUUGAGACGACUUUUCCACGGCAGCCCGACCACAUACCUCCACGGUUUUUCCUCUAGAUCGCGUUUCUAAGGAGCUCGGGCGGAGCCCUGCUGAGACGAGAUCAUCACCAACCUCCGGAGCGCCGUCACGCUGCCGGAGAACUUUUCUACCUCUCCGUCUCUCUUGCUGGAUCAAGAAGGCCGAGAUCAUCGUCGAGUUGUACGUGUGCUGAACGCGGAGGUGCCGUCCGUUCGGUACUAGAUCGUGGGACUGAUCGCGGGGCGGAUCGAGGGACGUGAGGACGUUCCACUACAUCAACCGCGUUCACUAACGCUUCUGCUGUACGGUCUACAAGGGUACGUAGAUCACUCAUCCCCUCUCGUAGAUGGACAUCACCAUGAUAGGUCUUCGUGCGCGUAGGAAAUUUUUUGUUUCCCAUGCGACGCUCCCCAACAGUGGCAUCAUGAGCUAGGUUCAUGCGUAGAUGUCUUCUCGAGUAGAACACAAAAGUUUUUGUGGGCGGUGAUGUGCGUUUUGCUGCCCUCCUUAGUCUUUUCUUGAUACCGCGGUAUUGUUGGAUUGAAGCGGCUUGGACCGACAUUACUCGUACGCUUACGAGAGACUGGUUUCAUCGCUACGAGUAACCCCGUUGCUCAAAGAUGACUGGCAAGUGUCGGUUUCUCCAACUUUAGUUGAAUCGGAUUUGACCGAGGAGGUCGUUGGAUGAGGUUAAAUAGCAACUCAUAUAUCUCCGUUGUGGUGUUUGCGUAAGUAAGAUGCAAUCCUACUAGAUACCCGUGGUCACCACGUAAAACAUGCAACAACAAAAUUAGAGGACGUCUAACUUAUUUUUGCAGGGUAUGCUUGUGAUGUGAUAUGGCCAACAAUGUGAUGUGAUAUAUUGGAUGUAUGAGAUGAUCAUGUUGUAAUAGAUAAUAUCGACUUGCACGUCGAUGGUACGGCAACCGGCAGGAGCCAUAGGGUUGUCUUUAUACUAAUGUUUGUGCUUGCAGAUGCGUUUACUAUUUUGCUAGGAUGUAGCUUUAGUAGUAAUAGCAUGAGUAGCAUGACAACCCCGAUGGCAACACGUUGAUGGAGAUCAUGGUGUGGCGCCGGUGACAAGAAGAUCGUGCUGGUGCUUUGGUGAUGGAGAUCAAGAAGCACGUGAUGAUGGCCAUAUCAUGUCACUUAUGAAUUGCAUGUGAUGAUAAUCCUUUUAUGCACCUUAUUUUGCUUAGAACGACGGUAGCAUUAUGAGGUGAUCUCUCACUAAAAUUUCAAGACGAAAUUGUGUUCUCCCCGACUGUGCACCGUUGCUACAGUUCGUCGUUUCGAGACACCACGUGAUGAUCGGGUGUGAUAGACUCAACGUUCACAUACAACGGGUGCAAAACAGUUGCGCACGCGGAACACUUGGGUUAAGCUUGACGAGCCUAGCAUGUGCAGACAUGGCCUCGGAACACAUGAGACCGAAAGGUCGAUCAUGAAUCAUAUAGAUGAUAUGAUUAGCAUAGGGAUGCUUACCACUGAAACUAUACUCAACUCACGUGAUGAUCGGACUUGAGCUAGUGUAAGUGGAUCAUGAACCACUCAAAUGACUAGAGAGAUGUACUUUUUGAGUUGGAGUUUAGCGAAUAAUUUGAUUAAGUUAAACUCUAAUUAUCUUGAACAUAGUCUAAGUCCACUUUGAAUAUAUUUGUGUUGUAGAUCAUGCCUCACGCCACGGUCAACCUGAAUUUUAAUACGUUCCUAGAGAAAGCUAAGUUGAAAGAUGAUGGAAGCAACUUUGUAGACUGGGCUCAUAAUCUUAAGCUAAUCUUACAAGCUGGGAAGAAGGAUUAUGUCCUUAAUGCUGCGCUAGGAGAUGAACCACCCGCUACGGUUGAUCAGGAUGUUAAGAACGCUUGGUUAGCACGUAAGCAGGACUACUCAGUAGUUCAAUGUGCAGUCUUGUAUGGCUUAGAACCGGGACUUCAACGUCGCUUUGAGCGUCAUGGAGCAUUUGAGAUGUUCCAGGAGUUGAAGUUUAUCUUUCAGAAGAACGCCCGGAUCGAGAGGUAUGAGACCUCCGAUAAAUUCUAUGCUUGCAAGAUGGAGGAGAACUCAUCUGUCAGUGAACAUGUGCUCAAAAUGUCUGGGUACUCAAACCGUCUAGCUGAGCUGGCGAUUGAACUCCCGCAAGAAGCUAUCACUGACAGAAUCCUUCAAUCACUGCCGCCAAGCUAUAAAGGCUUUGUGUUGAACUACAACAUGCAAGGGAUGAACAAGUCACCCGGCGAGUUGUUUGCGAUGCUGAAAGUCGCAGAGUCUGAACUCCGUAAAGAGCAUCAAGUGUUGAUGGUGAAUAAGACCACUAGUUUCAAGAGAAACGGCAAAGGCAAGAAGGGUAAUUCAAAGAAGAGCGGCAAGCCUGUUGCCAAUCCGACAAAGAAACCGAAAGCUGGACCUAAACCUGAAACAGAGUGUUACUAUUGCAAGGGUAUGGGUCACUGGAAGCGCAAUUGCCCCAAGUAUCUGGCAGAUAAGAAGGCGGCCAAAGAAAAAUUAGGUAUAUUUGAUAUACAUGUUAUUGAUGUGUACUUAACCGGCUCUCGUAGUAGUGCCUGGGUAUUCGAUACUGGUUCUGUUGCUCAUAUUUGCAACUCGAAACAGGAACUGCGGAAUAGACGAAGGCUGGCGAAAGAUGAAGUGACGAUGCGCAUAGGAAAUGGUUCCAAGGUUGAUGCAAUCACCGUCAGCACAGUGUCACUUCAGUUACCAUCAGGAUUAGUGAUGAACUUGAAACAUUGUUAUUUAGUGCCUGCAUUGAGCAUGAACAUUAUAUCUGGAUCUUGUUUAUUGCGAGACGGUUACUCUUUUAAGUGAGAGAAUAAUGGUUGUUCUAUUUCUAUGAGUAACAUCUUUUAUGGUCAUGCACCCAAUGUGAGAGGAUUGUUCAUAUUGAAUCUUGCUAGCGAUACACACAUACAUAACAUUGAGACCAAAAGGGUUAGAGUUAACAAUGAUAGCGCCAUAUUUUUGUGGCACUGCCGCUUAGGUCAUAUUGGUGUAAAGCGCAUGAAGAAACUCCAUGCUGAUGGACUUUUGGAGUCACUUGACUUUGAUUCACUUGACACGUGCGAACCAUGCCUCAUGGGCAAGAUGACUAAGACUCCGUUCUCCGGAACAAUGGAGCGUUCAAGUGACUUGUUGGAAAUCAUACACACCGAUGUGUGUGGUCCGAUGAGCGUAGAGGCACGCAGCGGAUAUCGUUAUUUUCUCACCUUCACUGACGAUUUGAGUAGAUAUGGUUAUCUCUACUUGAUGAAGCACAAGUCUGAAACAUUUGAAAAGUUCAAGCAAUUUCAGAGUGAAGUGGAAAAUCAUCGUAACAAGAAGAUCAAGUUCCUACGGUCUGAUCGUGGGGGUGAAUAUCUGAGUUUCGAGUUUGGUGCUCACUUAAGACAAUGUGGAAUUGUUUCACAGUUGACACCGCCUCGAACACCACAGCGUAAUGGUGUGUCUGAACGUCGUAAUCGUACUUUAUUGGAGAUGGUGCGAUCUAUGAUGUCUCUUACCGAUUUGUCGUUAUCAUUUUGGGGUUAUGCAUUAGAAACAGCUGCAUUCACUUUAAAUAGGGCACCAUCAAAAUCCGUUGAGACGACACCAUACGAACUGUGGUAUGGCAAAAGGCCAAAGUUGUCGUUUCUUAAAGUUUGGGGAUGUGAUGCUUAUGUCAAAAAGCUUCAGCCUGAAAAGCUGGAACCCAAAGCGGAAAAGUGCGUCUUCAUAGGUUACCCAAAAGAGACAGUUGGGUACACCUUCUAUCUCAAAUCCGAGGGCAAAGUAUUUGUUGCUAAAAACGGAGCUUUUCUCGAGAAGGAGUUUCUCUCGAGAGAAUUGAGUGGGAGGAAGAUAGAACUUGACGAGGUUGUCGAACCUCUCAUCCCUCUGGAUGGUGGCGCAGGACUAGGGGAAACCUCUGUCGUUGCGACACCAGUUGAGGAGGAAGUUAAUGAUGAUGAUCAUGAAACUCCGGUUCAAGUUUAUGUCGAACCACGCAGGUCGACGAGACCACGUGCUGCUCCAGAGUGGUACGGCAAUCCCGUCUUAUCGAUCAUGUUGUUAGACAACAAUGAACCUGCAAAUUAUGAAGAAGCAAUGGUGGGCCCAGAUUCCAACAAAUGGCUAGAAGCCAUGAAGUCCGAGAUAGGAUCCAUGUAUGAGAACAAAGUGUGGACUUUGGAAGUACUGCCUGAGGGCCGCAAGGCUAUUCAGAACAAAUGGAUCUUUAAGAGGAAGACGAACGCUGACGGAAAUGUGACCGUUAAUAAAGCUCGACUUGUGGCAAAGGGUUUUUCACAAGUUCAAGGAGUUGACUACGAUGAGACAUUCUCACCCGUAGCGAUGCUUAAAUCCGUCAGAAUCAUGUUAGCAAUAGCUGCAUUUUUCGAUUAUGAAAUCUGGCAGAUGGAUGUCAAAACGGCGUUCCUUAACGGUUUCCUUAAGGAAGAGUUGUAUAUGAUGCAACCCGAAGGUUUUGUCGAUCCUAAGAAUGCUAACAAGGUGUGCAAACUCCAGCGAUCCAUUUAUGGACUGGUGCAAGCAUCUCGGAGUUGGAACAAACGCUUUGAUGAGGUGAUCAAAGCAUUUGGGUUUAUACAAGUGGUUGGAGAAUCUUGUAUUUACAAGAAAGUGAGUGGGAGCUCUGUGGCGUUUCUAAUAUUAUAUGUGGAUGACAUAUUGCUGAUUGGAAACAACGUAGAGUUUUUGGAGAGCAUAAAGGAUUACUUGAAUAAAAGUUUCUCUAUGAAGGACCUAGGAGAAGCUGCUUACAUUCUAGGCAUUAAGAUCUACAGGGAUAGAUCAAAACGCCUGAUAGGACUUUCACAAAGCACAUACCUUGAUAAAGUUUUGAAGAGGUUCAAAAUGGAACAGUCCAAGAAAGGGUUCUUGCCAGUUUUACAAGGUAUGGCAUUGAGUAAGACUCAGCAACUGAUGAAGGUAGAGAGCAUAUGCGCUCCGUCCCCUAUGCUUCAGCCAUAGGUUCUAUCAUGUAUGCAAUGCUGUGCACUAGACCGGAUGUUAGCCUGGCCAUAAGUAUGGCAGGUAGGUUCCAGAGUAAUCCAGGAGUGGAUCACUGGACAGCGGUCAAGAAUAUCCUGAAGUAACUGAAAAGGACUAAGGAGAUGUUUCUCGUAUAUGGAGGUGACGAAGAGCUCGCUGUAAAAGGUUACGUCGAUGCAAGCUUUGACACAGAUCCGGACGACUCUAAGUCACAAACCGGAUACGUAUUUAUUCUUAAUGGGGGUGCGGUAAGCUGGUGCAGUUCCAAGCAGAGCGCCGUAGCAGAUUCUACAUGUGAAGCGGAGUACAUGGCUGCCUCGGAGGCAGCUAAGGAGGGUGUCUGGAUGAAGCAAUUCAUGACGGAUCUUGGAGUGGUGCCAAGCGCACUGAAUCCAAUAACCUUGUUCUGUGACAACACGGGUGCCAUUGCCUUAGCAAAGGAAUCACGGUUUCACAAGAAGUCCAGACACAUCAAACGACGCUUCAACCUCAUCCGCGACUACGUCGAAGGGGAGGACGUAAAUAUAUGCAAGGUGCACACGGAUCUGAAUGUAGCAGACCCGCUGACUAAACCUCUUCCAUGGCCAAAGCAUGAUCAACACCAGAACUGUAUGGGUGUUAGAUUUAUUACAAUGUAAGUCGCAGGAUGAUGUGAGGGCUAGAUUAUUGACUCUAGUGCAAGUGGGAGACUGUUGGAAUUAUGCCCUAGAGGGAAUAAUAAACAUAGUUAUUAUUAUAAUUCCUGAAUCAAGAUAAUCGAUCCAUGCUAUAAUUGUAUUGAAUGAAGACUCAUUUACAUGUGUGGAUACAUAGACAAAACACUGUCCCUAGCAAGCCUCUAGUUGGCUAGCCAGUUGAUCAAAGAUAGUCAGUGUCUUCUGAUUAUGAACAAGGUGUUGUUACUUGAUAACUGGAUCACGUCAUUAGGAGAAACACGUGAUGGACUAGACCCAAACUAAUAGACGUAGCAUGUUGAUCGUGUUAUUUUGUUGCUACUGUUUUCUGCGUGUCAAGUAUUUGUUCCUAUGACCAUGAGAUCAUAUAACUCACUGACACCGGAGGAACACUUUGUGUGUAUCAAACAUCGCAACGUAACUGGGUGACUAUAAAGAUGCUCUACAGGUAUCUCCGAAGGUGUUAGUUGAGUUAGUAUGGAUCAAGACUGGGAUUUGUCACUCCGUGUGACGGAGAGGUAUCUCGGGGCCCACUCGGUAAUGCAACAUCACACACAAGCCUUGCAAGCAAAGUAACUUAGUGUAAGUUGCGGGAUCUUGUAUUACGGAACGAUUAAAGAGACUUGCCGGUAAACGAGAUUGAAAUAGGUAUGCGGAUACUGACGAUCGAAUCUCGGACAAGUAACAUACCGAAGGACAAAGGGAAUGACAUACGGGAUUAUAUGAAUCCUUGGCACUAAGGUUCAAACGAUAAGUUCUUCGUAGAAUAUGUAGGAUCCAAUAUGGGCAUCCAGGUCCCGCUAUUGGAUAUUGACCGAGGAGUCUCUCGGGUCAUGUCUACAUAGUUCUCGAACCCGCAGGGUCUGCACACUUAAGGUUCGACGUUGUUUUAUGCGUAUUUGAGUUAUAUGGUUGGUUACCGAAUGUUGUUCGGAGUCCCGGAUGAGAUCACGGACGUCACGAGGGUUUCCGGAAUGGUCCGGAAACGAAGAUUGAUAUAUAGGAUGACCUCAUUUGAUUACCGGAAGGUUUUCGGAGUUACCGGGAAUGUACCGGGAAUGACGAAUGGGUUCCGGGAGUUCACCGGGGGGGCAACCCACCCCGGAGAAGCCCAUAGGCCAUGAGGGCGGCGCACCAGCACUUAGUGGUCUGGUGGGACAGCCCAAAGGGGCCCUAUGCGCCUAAGAAAGAAAAAUCAAAGAGAAAGAAGAAAAAAAAGGAGGUGGGAAGGGAAGGAAGGACUCCCACCCACCAAACCAAGUCCAACUCGGUUUGUGGAGGGGAGACCUUCCCCGUUGGCUCGGCCGACCCCCUUGGGGCUCCUUGAGCCCCAAGGCAAGGUCCCCUCCCUCCCACCUAUAUAUACGGAGGUUUUAGGGCUGAUUUGAGACGACUUUUCCACGGCAGCCCGACCACAUACCUCCACGGUUUUUCCUCUAGAGAUCAUCACCAACCUCCGGAGCGCCGUCACGCUGCCGGAGAACUAUUCUACCUCUCCAUCUCUCUUGCUGGAUGAAGAAAGCCGAGAUCAUCGUCGAGCUAUACGUGUGCUGAACGCGGAGGUGCCGUCCGUUCGGUACUAGAUCGUGGGACUGAUCGCGGGAUUGUUCGCGGGGCGGAUCGAGGGAUGUGAGGACGUUCCACUACAUCAACCGCGUUCACUAACGCUUCCGCUGUACGGUCUACAAGGGUACGUAGAUCACUCAUCCCCUCUCGUAGAUGGACAUCACCAUGAUAGUACUUCGUGCGCGUAGGAAAAUUUUUGUUUCCCAUGCGACGUUCCCCAACACCUAAAGGCGUAGCUGUAGCAGAAGGAUUCCUGGUGUCGUUGCUGAGGAGAAUCAAGACAAGAACAGUCUCCCGUCAGCACGUGUUUCUGGCGCCGUUGGAAGGUAUUUUGUUGUAGUAGCAGAAGUAUUUCUGGCGCCGUUGCCGGGGAGGAGAGAUCUAUCCAAGUAGGUCUCACAAACUCAUCUCAUGCAUUUACUUUUUAGCCAGUUGCCUCUCGUUUUCCUCUCCCCCACUUCACAUUUGCCUUUUUCCUUUGCCGUUUUGUUUUGCCCUUGCCGUUUUCCUUUGCUAGUUUUCUUGCUUGCUUGUGUUCUUGUUUGUUUGUUGAAGUCAUCAUGGCUGAAAACACCAAACUUUGCGACUUCUCGAGCAUUAAUAAUAAUGAUUUUAUUAGUACUCUGAUUGCUCCCGCCACUAGUGCGGAAUCGUAUGAAAUCAACGCAGCUCUGCUGAAUCUAGUUAUGAAAGAAAAUUUCUCUGGCCUUCCUAGUGAAGAUGCCGCAUCCCAUCUCAAUACCUUCAUUGAGCUUUGUGAUAUGCAAAAGAAAAGAGAUGUGGAUAAUGACGUGAUUAAGUUGAAACUUUUUCCUUUCUCGUUGCGAGAUCGCGCAAAAACUUGGUUUUCUUCUUUUCCUAAAAAUAGUAUCGAUUCUUGGGAUAAGUGCAAAGAUGCUUACAUAUCCAACUAUUUUCCGCCGGCUAAGAUCAUCUCCUUACGUAACGAUAUCAUGAAUUUCAAGCAACUUGAUCAUGAACACGUUGCACAAUCUUAGGAGAGGAUGAAGCUUAUGAUUAGAAAUUGUCCCGCUCAUGGCUUAAGUUUGUGGAUGAUUAUACAAAUCCUUUACGCUGGCUUGAAUUUCGCUUCCCGCAAUAUCUUGGACUCCGCCUCAGGUGGAACGUUCAUGGAAAUCACGUUAGGAGACGCUACAAAACUCCUAGACAAUAUCAUGACCAACUACUCUCAGUGGCACACUGAAAGGUCACCUGCUAGCAAAAAGGUACACGCUAUAGACGAGAUUAACUCGCUUAGUGCUAAGAUGGACGAGUUGAUGAAUUUGGUUGCUAGUAGAAACGCUAUCGUAGAUCGUAAUGACAUGCCACGUGCUUAAUUGUCUUCCUUCGGGGGUGAUGGUGUUGGAGGAAUCCUGUCAUUUAGUUCCAAGAGGGCCAUCAAUCUUUGAUUUAUACUUUGGAGCUGUGUGAUUCGUUUCUCCAGCAGAAUAACUUCACGGGUGAGAUAAGUAUUGUGAACACGAGUUAUUUCACUUAACCUCAAGAGUUCGAUCAAGGAUGGAGAUAGUAGGUGGAGGUAGGGUUGAAGAAAAUCCUCUUCCUCAGCUUCUUCCUUGUUGAGAACAGAUUGCCCUUCGUCCGACGCCAGAUUCUCCUCCUUAGUUUUGCCCUUAGUUUCUUCGAGCAGCCCUUCCUUGGCCUCCAUGACCUCCAUUCUUUUGAGAUCAGCAUUUACUUCUUCAUAGACUUGAGGGAAAUCGUUUUCCCCGACAAAUUCCUGAGACGACAUCCUUGCCCUGAAUCUACGGCAGAAACAGGCUCGAAACGAAAAACAAAGGAUAAUUGCAUGAUACGAGGGUCAGACCUUUCAGGAGAAUAUAUAAUGAAUUUUUACCGACGAAAAGGAGUGUUCCACAAGAAAACGGUGUCCGGGAGACACACGAGGUGCUCACAAGCCCCCCAGGCGUGCCCAGGGGGGUAGGGCGCUCCUGGCAGGCUUUUCGCCUCCUCGUGCGCUUUCCGGACUACUUUAAAUUUUUCUAUUUUUCUAAAUAUUCCAAAACGGAGAAAAAUUGCUAUUGGAAAAGUUGCGGAGUCGGUUUACUUACCGCAUCACAUACCUCUUCGUUUUUGGAGUCUCAAACAGGCUCGUAAAUAUCCCUUAUGUACUCCUCCGGAGUUAUGGUAUUAAUAAUAUUGCUUUCAACAUUUAUGGGAGUACCUGAGAUAUAAUGCUUGAUUCUUUGCCCAUUUACAACUCUCGAAAAAUUCCCUUCCGUGUUGUUGAUUUUGAUGGCACCGGAACGAUACACUUCUUCGACAAUGUAAGGACCUUCCUAUUUAGAGAGAAGCUUGCCUGCAAAAAAUCUUAAACGAGAAUUAUAUAGGAAGACAUAGUCACCUACAUUGAACUCACGUUUCUGUAUCCUUUUAUCAUGCCACCUCUUAACUUUCUCUUUAAACAACUUGGCAUUUUCAUAUGCCUGAGUUCUCCAUUCAUCAAGUGAGCAAAUAUCAAAUAACCUCUUCUCUCCAGCAAGUUUAAAAUCAAAGUUAAGCUCUUUGAUUGCCCAAUAAGCCUUAUGCUCUAGCUCAAGAGGUAAAUGACAUGCUUUACCGUAUACCAUUUUAUACGGAGACAUGCCCAUGGGAUUCUUAUAAGCAAUUCUAUAAACCCACAGUGCAUCAUCAAGUUUCUUAGACCAAUUCUUUCUAGACCUAUUAACAGUCUUUUGCAGAAUUAGUUUAAUUUCUGUAUUACUCAGCUCUACUUGACCACUCGACUGACGAUGAUAAGGAGAUGCAAUUCUAUGGUUGACAUCAUACUUAGCAAGCGUCUUACGGAAAGCACCAUGCAUAAAAUGUGAACCACCAUCAGUCAUUAAAUAUCUAGGGACUCCAAAUCUAGGGAAAAUAACUUCUUUAAGCAUCCCAAUAGAGGUGUUAUGAUCAUCACUACUAGUUGGGAUAGCUUCUACCCACUUAGUAACGUAAUCAACAACAACUAGAAUAUGAGUAUACCCGUUGGACUUUGGAAAAGGUCCCAUAUAAUCAAAACCCCAAACAUCAAAUGGUUCAAUAACAAGUGAAUAAUUCAUAGGCAUUUCCUGACGUUUACUGAUAUAACCUAUUCUUUGACAUUCAUCACAAGACAAGACAAACUUACGGGCAUCCUUGAAGAGAGUAGGCCAAUAGAAACCAGAUUGCAAUACCUUGUGUGCAGUUCUAUCUCCCGCAUGGUGUCCUCCGUAAGCCUCGGAGUGACACUUCUGUAGGAUCUGUCCCUGUUCAUGCUCAGGUACACAACGUCUAAUAACACCAUCUACUCCUUCUUUAUAAAUGUGAGGAUCAUCCCAAAAGUAAUGUCUCAAAUCGAAGAAGAAUUUCUUCUUUUGUUGGUAUGUGAAACUAGGUGGUAUAUAUUUAGAAACAAUAUAAUUUGGAUAAUUAGCAUACCAGGGUGUACUACGUGAGGCAUUGAUGACAUUCAAAUGUUCAUCAGGAAAGCUAUCAUCAAUAGGUUGUGGGUCAUCAAGAACAUUCUCCAACCUAGACAAGUUAUCUGCUAUGGGGUUCUCAGCACCCUUCCUAUCAACAACAUGCAGAUCAAAUUCUUGUAGCAAGAGAACCCAUCUAAUAAGUCUAGGUUUAGCAUCUUUCUUUUCCAUGAGAUACUUAAUAACAGCAUGAUAAGUGUGAAUAGUAACCUUGGAAUCAACAAUAUAGGAUCUGAACUUAUCACAUGCAAACACGACUGCUAAAAAUUCUUUUUCAGUAGUAGCAUAGUUUCUUUGGGCACUGUCUGGAGUUUUACUAGCAUAAUGAAUAACAUUCAAUUUCUUAUCAAAUCAUUGUCCUAGAGUAGCACCAACAGCAUAAUCACUAGCAUCACACAUAAUUUCAAAAGGUAGGUUCCAAUCAGGUGGUUGAACAAUAGGUGCAGUUAUCAAGGCCUUCUUAAGUAUUUCAAAUGCUUCUUCACAAUCAUCGUCAAAAACAAAAGGAAUAUCUUUUUGCAAGAGAUUGGUAAGAGGCCUAGAAAUCUUAGAGAAGUCCUUAAUGAACCUUCUAUAGAAACUAGCAUGACCAAGGAAACUUCUUGUACCUUUAAUGUCUAAAGGGCAUGGCAUUUUCUCGAUCGCAUCAACUUUAGCCUUAUCGACUUCAAUACCUCUUUCAGAAAUUUUAUGUCCUAAGAUGAUGCCUUCAUUAACCAUAAAGUGGCACUUCUCCCAAUUCAAGACAAGACUAAUAUAUUUACAUCUCUGCAAAACUCGAUCAAGGUUGCUCAAGCAAUCAUCAAAAGAAGAUCCAUAAACGGAGAAAUCAUCCAUGAAAACCUCAAUAAUCUUUUCACAAAAGUCAGAGAAUAUAGCCAUCAUACAUCUUUGAAAUCUAGCAGGUGCAUUGCACAAACCAAAAGGCAUACAUCUAUAAGCAAAGGUACCGAAAGGGCAGGUAAAAGUGGUUUUCUCCUGAUCAGAUUGUACAACUAGUAUUUGGGAGAAACCAGAAUAACCAUCUAGAAAGCAAAAUUGUGUGUGUUUAGACAAUCUUUCUAGCAUUUGGUCAAUAAAAGGCAAAGGGUAAUGAUCUUUCCUAGUGGCUUUAUUUAAUUUCCUAAAAUCAAUUACCGUCCAAUAGCCAGUAACAAUUCUCUGUGGGAUCAAUUCAUCUUUGUCAUUAGGGACAACAGUGAUACCUCCCUUCUUAGGGACACAAUGCACCGGACUUACCCAAUCACUAUGAGCAACAGGAUAGAUAAUACCUGCUUCCAGGAGCUUUAGUAUUUCUUUUCUUACCACCUCUUUCAUCUUAGGAUUUAAUCUUCGUUGAUGAUUGACAACUGGUUUGGAAUCAGGAUGAGUUUUAAUUUUAUGCUGGCAUAGAGUGGGACUAAUGCCCUUAAGAUCAUCAAGAGUAUAUCCAAUAGCAGCACGGUGCUUCCUCAGAGUUUUCAAUAAUUUCUUUUCUUCAUGUUCUGAAAGGCCAGCACUGAUAAUAACAGGAUAUAUCCCUUUUUCAUCAAGAUAAGCAUACUUAAGAGUAUCAGGUAAUUGUUUAAGAUCAAACGCAGGAUCACCCUUUGGUGGAGGUGGAUCUCCAAGUAAUUCAACAGGCAAAUUAUUCUUGAGGAUAGGAUGUUGUUCAAAGAUAACUCUAUCUAUCUCAUUCCUUUCAUCCAUAUGCAUAUCAUUUUCAUGUUCAAGCAAGUAUUGCUCUAAAGGAUCAGUAGGAGGCACAACAAUAGAAGCUAGAGCAAUGAUUUCAUCCUUACUAGACAAUUCUUUUUCAUGAGGUUGUCCACCAAACUUGGAGAAAUUGAACUCAUGUGACACACCUUCAAAGCCAACAGUGACAGUUUGUUUCUCACAAUCAAUAUGAGAAUUAACUGUAUUGAGUAAAGGUCUACCAAAUAUGAUGGGACAAAAGCUGUCUUGUGUGGUAGCAAGAACGAGAAAAUCAGUAGGAUACUUAGUUUUACCACGCAAGACUUCAACAUCUCUAACAAUUCCCACAGGGCAGAUAAUAUCUCUAUUGGCAAGUUGGACAGUAACAUCAAUAAAUUCCAUCUCGACAGGUGCAAUCUCAUCUUUAAUUUCAUUAUAUAAAGAUUGAGGUAUUGCACUAACACUAGCACCCACAUCACACAAACCAUGAUAACAAUGAUCUCCUAUCUUAACAGAGACAACAUGCAUGCCAACAACAGGUUUGUGUUUGUCUCUAGCAUGAGGUUUAGCAAUUCUAGCAGCAUCUUCACAGAAGUGAAUAACAUGCCCAUCAACAUUAUCGGACAAGAGAUCUUUAAUAAUAGCAAUGCUAGGUUCAACUCUAAUUUGCUCAGGGGGUGUAGGUGUUCUGAUGUAGCCCUUACGUAUCACAGUUGAAGCUUUAGCAUGAUCCUUUAUUCUAACACGGAAAGGUGGUUUCUCGAUGUAAGCACUAGGAACAAUAGGAUCAUUAUAGGCAAUGACUUCCUCUUCAACUGGAUUGGGUUUUACUACAUUGACUUCUAUGGGAGGAUGAUAUUUAACCCACUUCUCUUUAGGGAGAUUAAUAUGAGCAGCAAAAGAUUCACAUAAUGAAGCUACUAUCUCAGAGUCAAGUCCAUGUUUAGCGCUAAAAUCACAAAAAGUAUUUGUUUCAACGAAGGAUUUAACGCAAUCGAACUUAAGAUUCAUACCUGACUCCUUACCUUCAUUAAACUCCCAAUCUUCAAAGUUGAGUUUAAUUCUUUCCAAUAAAUCCCAUUUGAAGUCAAUAUCUCUCUUCAUAAAAGAACCAGUACAGGAAGUGUCAAGCAUGGUGCGAUUAUCAUGAGAAAGCCGAGCAUAGAAGUUCUGAAUAACAAUUUCUCUAGAGAGCUCAUGGUUGGGGCAUGAAUAUAACAUUGACUUAAGCCUCCCCCAAGCUUGAGCGAUACUUUCUCUAUCACGAGGCCAAAAAUUAUAGAUAUAAUUUCGAUCACGAUGUACCAAAUGCAUAGGAUAAAACUUUUGAUGAAAUUCCAAUUUCAAUCGGCUGUAGUUCCAUGAUUGAGUAUCAUCACAUAGCCUAUACCAUGUCAAUGCUUUAUCCCUCAAAGAUAAGGGAAAGACCUUCUUCUUGACCUCAUCCUCGGGCAGACCCGCAAGCUUAAAUAAACCACAAACUUCAUCUACAUAGAUUAGGUGCAAGUCGGGAUGUGAUGUUCCAUCUUCCUUAAAAGGAUUAGCCAACAGUUUCUCUAGCAUACCCGAAGGAAUUUCAUAAUAAAUAUUUUCACUAGGUGCAGUAGGUUGAAGAUACCCCGAAAAUACCCCGAACAAACUCCUCAAAGGAUUAGUUUCCAUAGUGACAAGUGACAAUAAAUUUCAACACACUAUAUAAAUGUUUCCUCACCAAAUUCCACUUACCAAAGGCGCUUCACUCCCCGGCAGCGGCGCCAGAAAAGAGUCUUGAUGACCCACAAGUGUAGAGGAUCUAUCAUAGUCCUUUCUAUAAGUAAGAGUGUCGAACCCAACAAGGAGCAGAAGGAAAUGACAAGUGGUUUCCAGCUAGGUAUUCUCUGCACGCACUGAAAUUAUCGGUAACAGAUAGUUGUGUGAUAAGAUAAUUCGUAAUGGGUAACAAGUAACAAUAGUAGAAAAGGUGCAGCAAGAUGGACCAAUCCCUUUUGUAGCAAGGGACAAGCCUGGACGAACUCUUAUGUAAGGUGAAGUGCUCCCGAGGACACAUGGGAAUUUCUAUCAAGCUAGUUUUCAUCAUGUUCAUAUGAUUCACGUUCACUACUUUGAUAGUUUGAUACGUGGGUGGACCGUUUCUUGGCUGCUGUCCUUACUUGGAAAAACAUUCCACUUAUGAUUAACCCCUCUCACAAGCAUCCGCAACUACGAAAGAAGAAUUAAGACUAAGUGUAACCAUAGCAUUAAACUGGUGGAUCCAAAUCAGCCCCUUACGAAGCAACGCAUAAAUUAGGGUUUAAGCUUCUGUCACUCUAGCAACCCAUCAUCUACUUAUUACUUACCAAUGACUUCCUAUAGGCCCAAAUAAUGGUGAAGUGUCAUCUAGUCGACGUUCACAUAACACCACUAGAGGAAAGACAACAUACAACGCAUCAAAAUAUCGAGCGAAUACCAAAGCAUAAUUAAGUUCAUGAUUAUGUUCUCAGGAACAAACGUGACUACUCACAAAGCAUAAUUAUGUUCAUGAUCAUAGAGGUAUUGAAUAGCAUUAAGGAUCUGAACAUAUGAUCUUCCACCGAGUAAUCCAACUAGCAUCAACUACAAGGAGUAAUUAACACUACUAGCAACCUUACAAGUACCAAUCGGAGUCGCGAGACGGAGAUUAGGUACAAGAGAUGAACUAGGGUUUGGAUAUGAGAUGGUGCUGAUGAAUAUAUUGACGGAGAUGAGUUCCCUCCGAUGAGAGGAGUUUUGUUGAUGAUGAUUUCCCCCUCCGAGAGGGAAGUUUCCCCGGCAGGACGGCCCAGCCGGAGGUCUAGAUUGGUUCUGCUCAAGUUCCGCCUCGUGGCAGCAGUGUCUCUUCCCGAAAGCAUCCCCUUGAUUUUUUCUAGGACGAAACCAUCCUUAUAGCAGAAGAUGGGAGUCGGGGGGUAACCGGGGGCCCACAAGCCACCCAGGCGUGCCCAGGGGGUAAGGCGCGCCUGGCAGGCUUGUGGCCUCGUGGUGGCUCCCCUCUAGUACUUCUUCCGCACAGUAUUUUUUAUAUAUUCCAAAAUAAUUCCUCGUUGAUUUUCAUGGCUUCUGGAGUUGUGCAGAAUAGGUAUCUCAAACUUGCUCCUUUUCAGCCCAGAAUUCGAGGUGCCGGUAUUCUCCCUCUUCAUGUAAACCUUAUAAAAUACGAGAGAAAGGCAUAAGUGUUGUACCAUAAUGUGUAAUAACAGCCCAAAAUGCGAUAAAUAUCAACAUGAAAGCAUGAUGUAAAAUGGACGUAUCAAGGAACUCCCAAAAUCCCCUCCAAAACUUCAUAAGGAGUGUUUGUAUUUAAUUCAAUAAAAUUCCUUUUUGAGGCAAAAUCUAAGAGUUCUCUAUGAUGUAAAGCCAAUCCAAUGUAAAAAUUUCUGAGCAAAACCUUUGCAUCUCCUUUUAGGUUGGAGACACGAUAGGAUUCCAUUAGCCUAUGCUAGGCAUCCUUCAAAUUUUCCCUUUGUUUUAGUUUGAAGUACAUAACUUCAAAACCUGGUGACAAAGGGAAGUGGUAAUGCUAGUCAUGGAGACGAGUAAAAGAUAAAGAAAGAAAGGAGAAUAAAAGGGCAAAUCUUUUUGAUAUUUUAUGAAAAUCAUUUUAGAAGUGGGGGAGAGGAAAACGAGAGGCAAAUGGAAAAUUAAGUAAAUGCAAGAUAUGAGUUUGUGAUGGGUACUUGGUAGGCGUGAUCUUGCUAUGUAUCCUCCCCGGCAACGGCGCGAGAAAUCCUUCUUGCUACCUCUUCAGCUUGCGUUGGUUUUCCCUUGAAGAGGAAAGGGUGAUGCAACGAAGUAGAUAAGUAUUUUCCUUAGUUUGUUUAGAACCAAGGUAUCAAUCUAGUAGGAGGAACAAGCAAGGCUCCAAUAGUAGUACCGACACAAAUAAUCAAACACUUGCACCCAACGCUAUAAAGUGGUUGUCAAUCCCUUGAGAGUUAUUUGCAAGGAUGAGAUCUGAUAGAGAUAGGUAUAAAAUAAUGAUAGAUCUGAAAGUAAAACAAAAGUAAAUAAAUUGCAGCAAAGUAUUUUUGGUAUUUUUGGUUUAUAGAUCUGAAAAUAUAAUAUAGAAAAUAGACCCAGGGACCAAAGGUUUCACUAGAGGCUUCUCUCAUAAAGGAAAAUAAUACGUGGGUGAACAAAUUACUGUCGAGCAAUUGAUAGAAAAGUGAAUAAUUAUGAAGAUAUCCAAGGUAAUGAUUAUGCAUAUAGGCAUCAUGUCCGUGUCAAGUAGACCGAAACGAUUCUACAUCUACUACUAUUACUCCACACAUCAACCGACUCCUGCCUGCAUCUAGAGUAUUAAGUUCAUGAAUAACAGAGUAACGCAUUAAGUAAGAUGACAUGGUGUAGAGGAAUAAACUCAAGCAAUAUAAUGAAAACCUCAUCUUUUUAUCCUCGAUGGAAACAAUACAAUACGUGCCUUGCUACCCCUACUAUGUCACUAGAUGAGGACACCCCAAGAUUGAACCCAAAACCAAGCACUUCUCAUAUUGCAAGAAUUACCAAUCUAGUUUGCCAAACUAAACAAAUAAUUCAAAGAGACUUGAAACUAUAUGAAAUCAUGCAUAUAGGAAUUAAUAAGAGACUCAAAUAAUGUUCAUGGAUAAUCUGAACAUAAACUAAAAAUUCAUUGGAUCAUGACAAGCACACCGCAAAAGAGUAUUACAUCGGAUAGAUCUCCAUGAAGAUCAUGAAGAACAUGGUAUUGAAGCUCAAAGAGAGAGAAUAAGCCAUCUAGCUACUAGCUAUGGACCGGUAGGUCUGUGGUGAACUACUUACACAUCAUCGGAGGGGCAAUGGAGUUGAUGUAGAUGCCCUCCGUGAUCAAUUCCAUCUCCGGCAGAUUACCAGAAAAUGCUCCCAGAUUGGAUCUCUCGGGAACAGAGGCUCCCGGUGGCGUAGAAGUAUUUUCGUUGCUUUUUUUGGCGAUAUGAGAAUAUUUGGGAAUUUAUAGGCCAAGAAUUAGUGUUAGGAGACCUGCAGGUGGGCCACAAGCCAGGGGCGCAGCCACACACCCUCCCCCCCCCCAAGGCACGCCCUGCAGUCUUGUGGCCUCCCGGCAACUUCCUUGCCCCUUACUCCAUACCUGUUGUGUGUCUUCUGGUCCAAGAAAAAUAUUUCCGGAGAUUUCAUUCCGUUUGGACUCUGUUUAAUAUUCCUUAUUUGCAAUACUCAAAAAUGUGGAAAAAACCAAAACUGACAUUAGGCUCUAGAUUAAUAGGUUAGCCCCAAAAAUAAUAUAAAACAACAUAUAAAUGCAUAUAAAACAUCCAAAACAAAUAAUAUAAUAGCAUGUAACAAUAAAAAAUACUAGAUACGUUGGAGAUGUAUUAGUGCCCUGCAGCUCCACUACAUCUCCGGCCGCUGCGUCGGCGUCGCCAUGAGCUUUCGCCAUCAGAUAGAUGGAGGCGAUGAGGAUGAGGAAGAGGAUGCGGUGGGCGAGAGAGAGACGGUGAGGUGGAGGCAGUGGAUGAGAGCAAGACGACGCUGGUGGGGGAGAGGAAGACGAUGCGAUAGGGAGGGGAUUUGGAGGAAAAUGGUAGGGGCGAUGCGCUGGGAGGUGGUUCCCCCUCUGUAUACGAUGGGAUGUUUCACGUAUGUCCCAUGGACAUGUGCUACCCCAAGACCGCAGUCGGUUGCAUGCGUCCACAUAUAUGAAUACCACUGUACGGUCAACAUAAAAACCACUAUAUGGCUAAACGAUCAAAGGUGGACUCGGCCCUACGCGGCCGCACUUGUCAGAGUUAACGGUCAAAGGCAUUGACCCGACGACAACGUCCAUUGUAACCUGUUCUGAGGGUUUCGAGCAAGGGAGUGGGGAAAACUGAGAAAAACAUAAGAACGUGGGGAUGAUUGAGUACAACUAACGAACCAGGGGCAGUGAUACGUCUCCAACAUAUUUAUAAUUUUUGAUGGUUCCAUGCUACUAUCUUGUCAACUUUUGAUGUUUUGUAUGCAUGAAUAUGCUUAUUUAUAUCUUUUUUGGGACUAACCUAUUAACUCAGUGCCAAGUGCUAGUUUCUGUUUUUCCGUGUUUUUGACCUUUUUCAGAGGAGAAUAUUAAACGGAAUCCAAAUGGAAUAAAACCUGCGGAAUGAUUUUUUCCAUAAUAGAAGAUACGUAGGAGACUUGAGAACCAAGGCAGGGGACCUCGGGGGAGGUCACAAGCCCCCUAGCCCCAGCCUGAGGGGGCAGGCCUAGCAGGCUUGUGGGCCCCCCGUGGCUCCUCUGCCCUACCUCUUCCGCCUAUAAAUUCUCUAAAAAUCCAAAACCACCAUAGAGAGCCACGAAAAUACUUUUCCGCCGCCGCAAGCUUCUGUCUCCGCAAGAUCCCAUCUUGGCACGUUCUGGUGCCCUGCCAGAGGGGGGAUUCGGACAUGGAGGGCUUCUUCAUCAACACCAUUGCCUCUCCGAUGAUGCGUGAGUAGUUCACCAUAGACCUUCGGGUCCAUAGCUAGUAGCUAGAUGGCUUCUUCUCUCUCUUGGAUCUUCAAUACAAAGUUCUCCAUGAUCUUCAUGGAGAUCUAUCCGUUGUAACUUUCUUUUGCGGUGUGUUUGUCGAGAUCCGAUGAAUUGUGGAUUUAUGAUCAGAUUAUCUAUGAAUGUUAUUUGAGUCUCCUCUGAUCUCUUAUAUGCAUGAUUUAGUAUCCUUGUAAUUCUCUUCGGGUUGUGGGUUUCGUUUGGACAACUUGAUCUAUAAUUCUUGCAAUGGGAGAAGUGCUUGAUUUGGAUUCAUACCGUGCGGUGUCCUCACCUAGUGACAGAAGGGGUAGCCAGGCAUGCGUCGUGUUGUUGCCAUCAAGGGUAAAAAGAUGGGGUUUAUAUCUAUUGCAUGAAUUUAUCCCUCUACAUCAUGUUAUCUUGCUGAAGGCAUUACUCCGUUUGUUAGAACUUAAUACACUAGAUGAUUAGUAAAAAGAGGAUAUAAUAAAAGCUUCCAUAUUCAAGUGCAUUGAUUAGUAAGAGAAGUUUGAUUCCUAACAAUUAAGUUUUGAGAUAUGGAUUUGGUAAUAUUAGAGUUACGUUAGUAGGGUCUUGUGAAUCUAGAAAUACUUGUGUUGAAGUUAGUGAUUCCCGUAGCAUGCACGUAUGGUGAACCGCUGUGUUAGGAAGUCAGAGCAUGAUUGAUUUAUUGAUUGUCAUCCUUUGUGUGGCGGUCGGGAUCGCGCGAUGGUUAACACCUACCAACCCUUCCCCUAGGAAUAUGUGUUUAGAACUUUGUUUCGAUUACUAAUAAAACUUUCGCAAUAAGUAUAUGAGUUAUUUAUGACUAAUGUGAGUCCAUGGUAUAGAUGCACUUUCAUCUUCCACGAUUGCUAGCCUCUCUAGUGCCGUGCAACUUUCGCCGGUGCACAAACCCACCAUAUACCUUCCUCAAAACAGCCAUCAUACCUACCUAUUAUGGCAUUUUCAUAGCCAUUCCGAGAUAUAUUGCCAUGCAACUCCCACCGUUCUGUCUCAUGGCUUGUGCUGUCACUUUCGUAUUGCCUUUGCAUGAUCGUAAGAUAGCUAGCGAGAUGUUUCAACGUCAUACUCUAAGCUAGAUCGUUGCACAUCUCGGUACACUGCCAGAGGCAUUUCCUAUAGAGUCAUCAUUGUUCUAAGUAUUGAGUUGUGUGUAAAUAAAAGUGUGAUUAUCAUCAUUAUUAGAGCAUUGUCCCAUGUGAGGAAACAAAAAAAAGAGGCCAAAGAUGCCCACCAAAAAAAUGAUGAAAAGAGGCCAAAGAGCCCAAAAAAAGAGAGAGAGAAANGAGAGAAAAAGAGAGAAGGGACAAUGCUACUAACUUUUUCCACACUUGUGCUUCAAAAUAGCAUCAUGUUCUUCAUGAUAGAGAGUCUCUUGUUUUGACACUUCCAUAUACUAGUGGGAAUUUUCAUUAUAUAACUUGGCUUGUAUAUUCCAAUGAUGGGCUUCCUCAAAAUUGCCCUAGGUCUUCGUGAGCAAGCAAGUUGGGUGCACACCCACUAGUUUUCCUUUUGAGCUUUCACACACUUAUAACUCUCGUGCAUCCAUUGCAUGGCAAUCCCUACUCAUUAACAUUGAUAUCUAUUGAUGGGCAUCUCCAUAGCCCAUUGAUACGCCAAGUCAAUGUGACCAUGUCCUUUUUGCCUCACAACCUCCACCACACUCUAUUCCACCUAUAGUGCUAUAUCCAUGGCUCAUGGUCAUGUAUUGCGUGAGAGUUGAAAAAGUUUGAGAAAGUAAGAAUGCGAAAACAAUUACAUGGCCAAUACCGGGGUUGUGCAUGAUCUAAAUUUGUUGUGUGGGGAUGAUGGAGCAUAGCCAGACUAUAUGAUUUUGUAGGGAUAACUUUCUUUGGCCUUGUUACUUCAAAAGUUCAUGAUCACUUUGCUAGUAUGUUUGAAGUAUUAUUGUUUUCAUGUCAAUAGUAAACUAUUGUUUUGAAUCUUACGGAUCUGAACAUUCAUGCCACAAGAAAGAAGUUACAAAGGACAAAUAUGUUAGGUAGCAUUCCGCAUCAAAAAUUCAGUCUUUAUCACUUCCCUACUCGAGGACGAGCAGGAGUUAAGCUUGGGGAUGCUUGAUACGUCUCCAACGUAUCUAUAAUUUUUUAUGGUUCCAUGCUAUUAUCUUGUCAACUUUGGAUGUUUUGUAUGCAUGAAUAUGAUAUUUUAUAUCUUUUUUGGGACUAACCAAUUAACUCAGUGCCAAGUGCCAGUUUCUGUUUUUUUCCUUGUUUUUGACUUUUUUCAGAGGAGAAUAUUAAACGGAAUCCAAACGGAAUAAAACCUGCGGAAUGAUUUUUUCCAUAACAGAAGAUACGCAGGAGACUUGAGAACCAAGGAAGGGGACCUCGGGGGAGGUCACAAGCCCCCUAGCCCCGACAUGGGGGGCAGGCCUAGCAGACUUGUGCCCCCCCCCCAUGGCUCCUCUGCCCUACCUCUUCCGCCUAUAAAUUCUCUAAAAAUCCAAAACCACUAGAGAGAGCCACGAAAAUACUUUUCCGCCACCGCAAGCUUCUGUCUCCGCAAGAUCCCAUCUGGGGCAUGUUCUGGUGGCCUGUCGGAGGGGAGAUUCAGACACGGAGAGCUUCUUCAUCAACACCAUUGCCUCUCCGAUGAUGCGUGAGUAGUUCACCAUAGACCUUCGGGUCCAUAGCUAGUAGCUAGAUGGCUUCUUAUCUCUCUUGGAUCUUCAAUACAAAGUUCUCCAUGAUCUUCAUGGAGAUCUAUCCGAUGUAACUUUCUUUUGCGGUGUGUUUGUUGAGAUCCGAUGAAUUGUGGAUUUAUGAUCGGAUUAUCUAUGAAUGUUAUUUGAGUCUCCUCUGAUCUCUUAUAUGCAUGACUCCGUAUCCUUGUAAUUCUCUUCGAGUUGUGGGUUUCGUUCGGCCAACUUGAUCUAUAAUUCUUGCAAUGGGACAAGUGCUUGGUUUUGGGUUCAUACCGUGCGGUGUCCUCACCUAGUGACAGAAGGGGUAGCAAGGCACGCAUCAUGUUGUUGCCAUCAAGGGUAAAAAGAUGGGGUUUAUAUCUAUUGCAUGAAUUUAUCCCUCUACAUCGUCAUCUUGCUUAAGGCGUUACUCCAUUUGUUAUGAACUUAAUACACUAGAUGCAUGCUAGAUAGUGGUCGAUGUGUGGAGUAAUAGUAGUAGAUGCAGAAAGUAUCGGUCUACUUGUCUCGGACGUGAUGCCUAUACGUAUGAUCAUUGCCUUAGAUAUCAUCAUGACUUUGCGCGAUUCUAUCAAUUGCUCGACAGUAAUUCGUUCACCCACCGUAAUACUUGCUAUCAUGAGAGAAGCCUAUAGUGAACACUAUAGCCCCCGGGUCUACUUCACAUCAUAUUUUCAGCUCUACACUUAUACUUUGUUGCACUUUCCACCUUCAGAUCUCACCUUGCAAAUAAUCGUGAAGGGAUUGCCGACCCCUUUAUAGCGUUGGGUGCAAGUUUGUUUAUUUUUGCGCAGGUACAUUGGAGACUUGUCUUGAUACUCCUACUAGAUUGAUACCUUGAUUCUCAAACUGAGGGAAAUACUUACUGCUACUCUGCUGCAUCACCCUUUCCUUUUCAAGGGAAAAAACAACGCAAGCCUGAUACGUCCAUUUUGCAUCAUGCUUUCAUGUUGAUAUUUAUCGCUUUAAGGACUGUUAUUAUACUUUCUAGUACCAUACUUAUGCCUUUUCUCUCUUAUUUUGCAAGGUUUAUUUGAAGAGGGAGAAUACCGGCAGCUGGAAUUCUGGACUGGAAAAAGGAGCAAGUCUGAGUCCUCUAUUCUGCACAACUCCAAAUGCCCUGAAAAUCAACGUGGAAUUUUUUGGGAAUAUAUAAAAAAUACUAGGCGAAAGAAGUGUCAAAGGGGAGCUUCCAGGGGCCCACAAGCCUGGUUGUCGCGGCCUACCCCCCUGGCCGCGGCAGCAGGGCUUGUGGGCACCCUGGUGGCCCACUGGGCCCUCUCUUUUGCUAUAUUAAGGGUUUCUUCUGAGGAAAAAUCAAGGUGGAGCUUUUUCGUGGAUUCUCCGCCGCCACAAGGCGGAACUUGAGCAGAACCAAUCUAGAGCUCCGGCAGGACUGUCCUGCCGGGGAAACUUCCCUCCCGGAGGGGGAAAUCGUCGCCAUCGUCAUCACCAACACUCCUCUCGUCGGAGGGGAUUCAUCUCCAUCAACAUCUUCAUCAACACCAUCUCCUCUCCAAACCCUAGUUCAUCUCUUGUAACCAAUCUCCAUUUCUCGACUCCGAUUGGUACUUGUAAGGUUGCUAGUAGUGUUGAUUACUCUUUGUAGUUGAUGCUAGUUGGAUUACUUGGUGGAAGAGUUUAUGUUCAGAUCCUUGAUGCUACUCAUUACACCUCUGAUCAUGAUUAUUAUUAUGCUUUGUGAGUAGUUACUUUUGUUCCUGAGGACAUGGGAUAAGUCAUGCUGAUAAUAGUCAUGUGAAUUUGGUAUUCGUUCGGUAUUUUGAUAUGUUGUAUGUUGUCUUUUCCUCUAGUGGUGUUAUGUGAACGUCGACUACAUAACACUUCACCAUCUUUGGGCCUAGAGGAAGGCAUUGGGGAGUAGUAAGUAGAUGAUGGGUUUGCUAGAGUGACAGAAGCUUAAACCCCAGUCUAUGCGUUGCUUCGUAAGGGGCUGAUUUGGAUCCACUAGUUUAAUGCUAUGGUUAGACGUUGUCUUAAUUCUUCUUUCGUAGUUGCGGAUGCUUGCGAGAGGGGUUAAUAAUAAGUGGGAAUCUUGUCCAAGUAAGGGCAGUACCCAAGCGCCGGUCCACCCACAUAUCAAACUAUCAAAGUAACAAACGUGAAUCAUAUGAACAUGAUGAAACUAGCAUGACAGAAAUUCCCGUGUGUCCUCGGGGGAGUUUUUCCUCUUAUAAGACUUUGUUCAGGCUUAUCGCUUUCUACAAAAGGGAUUGGGCCACUUUGCUGCACCGUUGCUACUACUUGUUACUUGUUACUUUUCGCUUGCUACGUUUCACCUCACUACACAUUCACUUGUUACCGCUACUUUCAGUGCUUGCAGUUAUUACCUUGCUGAAAACCGUUUAUCAGAGCCUUCAGCUCCUCGUUGGGUUCGACACUCUUACUUAUCGAAAGGACUACGAUUGAUCCCCUAUACUUGUGGGUCAUCAAGACUCUUUUAUGGCGCCGUUGCCGGGGAGUGAAGCGCCUUUGGUAAGUGGAAUUUGGUAAGGAAACAUUUAUAUACUGUGCUGAAAUUUAUUGUCACUUGUCACUAUGGAAACUGUUCCUUUGAGGAAUUUAUUCGGGGUAUCUUCACCACGAACGGAAGCACGAGGGGUUUCUCCUCAACCUGAGGUACCUACUGAAAAUAUCUUUUUUGAAAUUCCUUCGGGUAUGCUUGAGAAACUGCUGGCUAAUCCUUUUACAGGAGAUGGAUCUUCACAUCCAGACUUGCAUCUAAUCUAUGUAGAUGAAGUUUGUGGUUUAUUUAAGCUUGCAGGUUUGCCCGAGGAUGAGGUAAAGAAUAAAUUCUUUCCUUUAUCUUUGAAGGAUAAGGCGUUGACAUGGUAUAGGCUAUGUGAUGAUACUGGAUCAUGGGACUACAAUCGGUUGAAAUUGGAAUUUCAUCAAAAGUUUUAUCCUAUGCAUUUAGUACAUCGUGAUCAGAAUUAUAUUUAUAACUUUUGGCCUCGUGACAGGGAAGGCAUAGCUCAAGCUUGGGGGAGGCUUAAAUCAAUGCUAUAUUCAUGCCCCAAUCAUGAGCUCUAGAGAUAAAUUAUCACUGAAAACUUUUAUGCUCGGCUUUCUCAUGAAGAUCGUACCAUGCUUGACACUUCUUGUACCGGUUCUUUUAUGAAGAAGGAUAUUGACCACAAGUGGAAUUUAUUGGAAAGAAUCAAACGUAACUCUGAAGAUUGGGAGCUUGAAGAAGGUAAGGAGUCAGGUAUGAAUUUUCAGUUUGAUUGCGUUAAAACUUUUGAUGAAACAAACACUUCUAGAGAUUUUAGCGCUAAGUAUGGACUUUACUCUGAGAUAGUAGCUUCUCUGUGUGAAUCUUUUGCUGCUCAUCUUGAUAUUGCCAAAGAGAAGUGGUUUAAGUAUUAUCCGCCUGUAGAAGUCAACAUAGUUAAACCCAAUAUAGUUGAAGAGAAAGUCAUUGCCUUUAGUGAUCCUAUUGUUCCUUGUGCCUACGCUGAGAAACCACCUUACCCUGCUAGGAAAAAGGAUUAUUCUAAAGCUCCAACAGUGAUACGUAGGGGUUACAUUAGACCACUUGCACCCCCUGAGGAAAUUAGAGUUGAACCUAGUGUUGCUAUUAUCAAAGAUCUCUUAACCAAAGACAUAGACGGGCAUGUUAUCAAAUUCUGUGAGGACUCCGCUGGAAUUGCUAAACCUCACGCAAAAGACAAAUAUGGACCUGUAGUUGGCCUGCCCGUUGUUUCUGUCAAGAUAGGAGAUCAAUGUUAUCAUGGUUUAUGUGAUAUGGGUGCUAGUUUUAGUGCAAUACCCCGGUCCCUAUAUGAUGAAAUCAAAGAUGAGAUUGCACCUGCUGAGUUAGAACCCAUUGAUGUCACUAUUACGCUAGCUAAUAGAGACACUAUCUGCCCUGUGGGAAUUGUGAGAGACGUAGAAGUCCUGUGUGGUAAGACGAAGUAUCCUACUGAUUUCCUCGUCCUUGCUACUGCCCAAGAUAGCUUUUGUCCCAUCAUAUUUGGUAGACCCUUUCUCAACACUGUCAAUGCUCAUAUUGAUUGUGUUAAACAGACUGUCACUGUUAGUUUGUAGGGUGUGUCUCAUGAAUUUAACUUCUCCAAGUUUGGAAGACAACCCCAUGAAAAAGAGUCGUCUGGUAGGGAUGAAAUCAUUGCUCUUGCCUCUAUUGCCGUACCUCCUACGGAUCCUUUAGAGCAAUAUCUUCUUGAGCAUGAAAAUGAUAUGCAUAUGGAUGAAAGAGAUGAGAUAGAUAAAAUUGUUUUAGAACAAUAUCCUAUUCUCAAGAAUAAUCCGCCUGUUGAACUGCUUCGGGAUCCUCCCCCACCAAAGGGUGAUCCCGUGUUCGAGCUAAAACAGUUACCAGAUACUCUUAAGUAUGCCUAUCUUGAUGAGAAGGAGAUAUAUCCUGUUAUUAUUAGUGCUCACCUCUUGAAUCACGAAGAGAAGAAGUUAUUAAAAACUUUGAGGAAGCACCGCUACUAUUGGAUAUACUCUUGAUGAUCUUAAGUGUAUUAGUCCCACUCUAUGUCAGCACAAGAUUAAAACUGAUCCUGAUUCUAAGCCAGUUGCUGAUCAUCAACGGAGAUUAAAUUCGAGGAUGAAAGAGGUCGUGAGAAAAGAAAUAUUAAAGCUUCUGGAAGCAGGAAUCAUUUAUCCUGUUGCUCAUAGUGAUUGGGUAAGUCCAGUACAUUGCGUACCUAAGAAGGGAGGUAUCACCGUCGUUCCUAAUGAUAAGAAUGAACUAAUCCCACAGAGGAUUUUUACUGGCUAUAGGAUGGUGAUAGACUUCCGGAAACUGAACAAGGCAACCAGGAAAGACCAUUAUCAUUUGCCGUUUAUCGACCAAAUGCUAGAAAGGCUAUCUAAACACACACACUUCUGCUUUCUAGACGGUUAUACAGGUUUCUCGCAAAUACCUGUUGCACAAUCUGAUCUGGAGAAAACCACUUUCACCUGCCCCUUCGGUACCUUUGCUUAUAGACGUAUGCCUUUUCGCUUGUCCAAUGCACCUGCCACCUUUCAAAGAUGUAUGAUGGCUAUACUCUCUGACUUUUGUGAAAAGAUUGUUGAGGUUUUCUUGGAUGAUUUCUCCAUUUACGGUUCUUCCUUUGACAAUUGCCUCAGCAACCUUGAUCGAGACUUACAGAGAUGCAAAGAUACCAACCUCGUCUUGAACUGGGAGAAGUGCCACUUCAUGGUUAAUGAAGGCAUCGUCUUAGGACACAAAAUCUCUAAGAAAGGCAUUGAAGUUGAUAAGGCUAAGGUUGAUGCAAUUGAGAAAAUGCCUUGCCCCACAGAUAUCAGAGGUAUACGAAGUUUCCUAGGUCAUGUUGGUUUCUAUAGAAGGUUCAUUAAAGACUUCUCUAAUAUUUCUAGGCCUCUUACCAACCUCUUGCAGAAGGAUGUUCCUUUUGUUUUUGAUGAGGAUUGUGAGGAAGCUUUCGAAAUACUUAAGAAGGCCUUGAUAACCGCACGUAUUGUUCAACCACCUGAUUGGAACUUGCCCUUUGAAAUCAUGUGCGAUGCUAGUGAUUAUGCUGUUGGUGAUGUUCUAGGACAAAGAGUUGACAAGAAGUUGAAUGUCAUUCACUACGGUAGUAAAAAUCUAGACAGUGCCCAAAGAAACUAUGCCACUACGGAGAAGGAGUUUUUAGCAGUCGUGUUUGCAUGUGAAAAGUUCAGAUCUUAUAUAGUUGACUCCAAAGUCACUAUUCAAUUUGAUCAUGCUGCUAUUAAGUACCUUAUGGAGAAGAAGGACGCUAAGCCUGGGCUAAUGAGAUGGGUUCUCCUGCUAUAGGAAUUUGAUUUGCAUGUUGUUGACCGAAACGGUGCUGAUAACCCUGUAGCAGAUAACUUGUCUAGGCUAGAGAAUGUCCUUGAUGACCCAUGAUCUAUUGAUGACAGCUUUCCUGAUGAGAAAUUGAAUGUCAUCCGCACUUCACAUAGUGCACCGUUGUAUGCUGAUUACGCAAACUAUAUCGUAGCCAAAUACAUACCACCCAGUUUCACCUACCAGCAAAAGAAGAAAUUCUUCUUUGAUUUGAGACACUACUUUUGGGAUGAUCCUCACCUUUAUAAGGAAGGAGUAGAUGGUGUUAUUAGACGUUGUGUGCCUGAACAUGAACAGGGACAGAUCCUGCAGAAGUGUCAUUCUAAAGCUUACAGAGGACACCAUGCUGGAGAUAGAACUGCCCAUAAGGUAUUGGAAUCAAGUUUCUAUUGGCCCACUCUAUUCAAGGAUGCCGUAAGUUUGUCUUGUCUUGUGACGAAUGCCAAAGAAUAGGGAACAUCAGUAAGCGUCAGGAAAUGCCUAUGAACUAUUCACUUGUCAUUGAACCAUUUGAUGUCUGGGGCUUUGAUUAUAUGGGACCUUUCCCGAGUUCCAAUGGGUAUACUCACAUCUUAGUUUCUCUGGAUUACGUCACUAAGUGGGUAGAAGCUAUCCCCACUAGAAAUGUUGAUCACCACACCUCUAUUAAGAUGCUUAAAGAAGUCAUUUUCCCAAGAUUUGGAGUCUCUGGAUAUCUGAUGACUGAUGGCGGUUCACACUUCAUUCAUGGUGUUUUUCGCAAGAUGCUCGCUAAGUAUGAUGUCAACCAUAGAGUUGCAUCUCCUUAUCAUCCUCAGUCUAGUGGUCAAGUGGAGUUGAGUAAUAGGGAGAUCAAAUUGAUCUUACAAAAGACCGUCAAUAGAUCUCGAAAGAAUUGGUCUAGCAAACUUGACGAUGCACUAUGGGCUUAUAGGACUGCUUAUAAGAAUCCCAUGGGCAUGUCACCAUAUAAAAUGGUUUACGAUAAGGCCUGUCAUUUACCUCUUGAGCUAGAACACAAAGCUUAUUGGGCAAUCAAAGAGCUCAACUUCGAUUUCAAACUUGCCGGUGAGAAGCGGUUGUUUGAUAUCAGCUCAUUAGAUGAAUGGAGGGCCCAGGCAUAUGAGAAUGCCAAGUUGUUCAAGGAAAAGGUUAAGAGAUGGCACGAUAAAAGAAUACAAAAACGAGAGUACAAUGUAGGUGAUUAUGUCCUGCUAUUCAAUUCUCGCUUAAGAUCUUCAUAGGCAAGCUUCUUUCUAAAUGGGAAGGUCCUUACGUUGUCGAGGAAGUAUAUCAUUUCGGUGCCAUCAAAAUCAAUAACAUGGAAGGUAAUUUUCCUAGAGUGGUAAAUGGGCAAAGAAUCAAGCAUUAUAUCUCUGGUACUCCCAAAAAUGUUGAGACCAAUAUCAUCAAUAUCAUAACUCCAGAGGAGUACAUAAGGGAUGUUUAUGAGCCUAUUUCAGACCCUAAAAAUGAAGAGGUAUGUGUUUCGGUAAGUAAUUAGACUCCGAAACUUUUCCGAUAGGAAAUUUUCUCCGUUUUGGAAUUGAUGGAAAAUUAGAAAAAUCAAAAGCAGUCCGGAGAGCGCACGAGGCGGCCACAAGCUUGGUUGCCGCGACCUCCCCCUGGCCACGGCAACAGGGCUUCUGGGCACCUCGUGUGCCUCCCGGACUCCGUUUUCUUGCGGAGCACUCCUUCUGGUCCAGAAAAAAAUCAUUAUAUAUACGCCCGAGGGUUUUGAUCUCCGUAUCGCGCAGUUUUCCUCUGUUUUCAUUUCGAGCAUGUUGUCUGCCGCAGAUUUAGAGCAAAGAUGUCUCAGGAAUCUGUUGGGGAGAAUAAUCUCCCUCAAGUUCAUGAAGAAGUAGAUGCUGAUCUGAAAAGAGUAGAAGUCACGGAAGCCAGGGACAAAGCUAAGGAGAAAACCCAAGAUAGGGAGGAAGUUCAACCUACGUUCAACAUUGAAGACAUUGAAGGAGUGGAUUUUCUCCAACCCUUCCUCCACGUGCUAUCUCCAUCCUUGAUUGAACUCUUGAGGUUUUGUGAAACAACUCGUGCUCGCAAUAUUUCCCUUUCUCGUGAAGUUGUUUUGCUGGAAAACCAUGUCGCGGAUCUCCAAGGUAUAAAUCAAAGACUCCACCACCAUCACCAUCAAAGGAAGACAACUAAACAUUGGUAUGGGCAACUCCCUUGGCUUAUGCCAAGCUUGGGCAAGUUGCCCUGGUAUCGUAUCACCUUUAUAUCUUUUGCUUUUACCUUUGUUUUAGUUCUUUCCUUUUCAGUUUUUAUUUCUUCUCUUAGUGGAAUAAGUCUUUAGUGUUUAGUUUAAGUGUUUUUCCUUGUGUCUCGCCCGAUGUGUUCGAGCUUGCGAGCUAUGUAAUAAAGAGUAUCUUAGUCAAGGGCUUUGUUUUGUGUCGUGAUCAAAAGUAUGAAAAGAACGAUAGCAUGAAAGAUCAUGAGAUGAUCUUAUGGAAAGUGAUGGCUUCACAUAUAACAAGUAUGAUGAUUGAAACUUGUUGAGAAUAGACCAACAUAGACCUCAGUCAUUGUUGCAAUUAAUAAGAAGUAAUAAGGAAAGAGAGGUUCACAUAUAAAUAUAUCAUCUUAGACACUUUCUAUAAUUGUGAGCAUUCACCAAACUAUUACAUGCUUAGAAGUAUAAGUUGGACAAGGAACACAACAUAAUGAAUUGUGUUUGCUUGGUUCCAAACAAUGUUAUAUGAUUAGAGAUCCCUUAGCAUGUGACGAUUGCUUCCACCUCAUAUUAGCCAAAACUUUCGCACCAAGUAGAUAAACUACUUGUGCAUCUAUAAACCUUCAACCCAGUUUUGCCAUGAGUGUCCACCAUACCAACCUAUGGAUUGAAUAAGAUCCCUCAAGUAAGUUGUCAUCGGUGCAAGCAAUAAAAAUUGAUCUCUAAUAUGUAUGAUCUAUUAGUGUGUGGAAAAUAAGCUUUAUACGAACCUGUGAUGAGGAAGACAUAAAAGCGACAGACUGCAUAGUAAAGUUCUUUAUCACAGGAGGCAAUAUAAAGUGAUGUUCCUCCACACUAAGAGGACACGCAUCCAAACCUCAAAAGCGCAUGACAACCUCUGCUUCCCUCUGCGAAGGGCCUAUCUUGUACCUUUACUUUUUGCCCUUGUAAGAGUCAUGGUGAUCUUCACCAAUUCCUUAUUUAGCUUUUUUCUUGGUGAACGUCAUAUGCUUGGGAAAGAUCUAUAUUCAUAUAUCAACUUGGAGAUGAGUACUUAUGCUUUAUUAUUGUUGACUUUACCCUUGAGGUAAAUGGUUGGGAGGCAAAAUUAUAAGCCCCUAUCUUUCUCUGUGUCCAACUGAAACUUUGAUGCCAUGAGUACCACGUGAGUUAUAACAAUUGUGGAAAACAAAAGAGAUGAUUGAGUAUGUGGAUUUGCUUUACAAGCUCUUAUUUGUCUCUUUCUGAUGAUAUGAUAAAUUGCAAUUGCUUCAAUGACUAUGGACUGUUGUUGGCUACUUCUCGGUAAGGUUUUUAUUUCAUACUUUGCUUUGUGAAGGAAUUGUUACUUUCCCAUAAGAAUCUCUAUGAUGUAUUGUUGUUCUAUGUGUGAUCAUGAUGCCCUCAUGUCCGUAUUAUGUUUUAUCGACACCUUCAUCCCUAAACAUGUGGACAUGUUUAUGGAUCUUGGUUUUCGCUUGAGGACAAGCGAGGUCUAAGCUUGGGGGAGUUGAUACGUCCAUUUUGCAUCAUGCUUUCAUGUUGAUAUUUAUCGCUUUAUGGACUGUUAUUAUACUUUGUGGUACCAUACUUACGCCUUUUCUCUCUUAUUUUGCAAGGUUUAUUUGAAGAGGGAGAAUACCGGCAGCUGGAAUUCUGGACUGGAAAAGGAGCAAGUCUGAGUCCUCUAUUCUGCGCAACUCCAAAUGCCCUGAAAAUCAACGUGGAUUUUUUUUGGGAAUAUAUAAAAAAUACUGGGCGAAAGAAGUGUCAGAGGGGAGCUGUCAGGGGCCCACAUGCCUGGUUGCCGCGGCCUACCCCCUGGUCGCGGCAACAGGGCUUGUGGGCACCCUGGUGGCCCACUGGCCCCCCUCUUUUGCUAUAUGAAGGGUUUCGUUUGAGAAAAAAAAUCAAGGUGGAGCUUUUUCGUGGAUUCUCCGCCGCCACGAGGCGGAACUUGAGCAGAACCAAUCUAUAGCUCCGGCAGGACGAUCCUGCCGGGAAACUUCCCUCACGGAGGGGGAAAUCGUCGCCAUCGUCAUCACCAACACUCCUCUCAUCGGAGGGGAGUCAUCUCCAUCAACAUCUUCAUAAGCACCAUCUCCUCUCCAAACCCUAGUUCAUCUCUUGUAACCAAUCUCCGUCUCGCGACUCCGAUUGGUACUUGUAAGGUUGCUAGUAGUGUUGAUUACUCUUUGUAGUUGAUGCUAGUUGGAUUACUUGGUGGAAGAGUUUAUGUUCAGAUCCUUGAUGCUACUCAUUACACCUCUGAUCAUGAUUAUGAUUAUGCUUUGUGAGUAGUUACUUUUGUUCGUGAGGACAUGGGAUAAGUCAUGCUAAUAAUAGUCAUGUGAAUUUGGUAUUCAUUCGGUAUUUUGAUAUGUUGUAUGUUGUCUUUUCCUCUAGUGGUGUUAUGUGAACAUCAACUACAUAACACUUCACCAUCUUUGGGCCUAGAGGAAGGCAUUGGGGAGUAGUAAGUAGAUGAUGGGUUGCUAUAGUGAUAGAAGCUUAAACCCCAGCCUAUGUGUUGCUUCGUAAGGGGCUGAUUUGGAUCCACUAGUUUAAUGCUAUGGUUAGACGUUGUCUUAAUUGUUCUUUUGUAGUUGCGGAUGCUUGCGAGAGGGGUUAAUCAUAAGUGGGAUGCUUGUCCAAGUAAGGGCAGUACCCAAGCGCCGGUCCACCCACAUAUCAAACUAUCAAAGUAACGAACGCGAAUCAUAUGAACAUGAUGAAACUAGCAUGACAGAAAUUCCCGUGUGUCCUCGGGAGCGUUUUUUGUCUUAUAAGACUUUGUUCAGGCUUAUCCCUUGCUACAAAAGGGAUUGGGCCACUUUGCUGCACCGUUGCUACUACUUGUUACUUGUUACUUUUCGCUUGCUACGUUUCACCUCACUACACCAUCACUUGUUACCGCUACUUUCAGUGCUUGCAGUUAUUACCUUGCUAAAAACCAUUUAUCAGAGCCUUCUGCUCCUUGUUGGGUUCGACACUCUUACUUAUCGAAAGGACUACGAUUAAUCCCCUAUACUUGUGGGCCAUCAAAGCCCAAGAGGUAGUAGGCAUGAAAACCUGGUGCAGUUCCCAGCAAAGCAUGGUUGCUGAUUCUACAUGCGAAGCAGAGUACAUGGUUGCCGCAUAGGCACCUAAAGAAGGUGUGUGGAUGAAGCAGUUCAAGGCAGAUCUUGGAUUUGUGCCCAUUGCACUGGAUCCAAUGACACUGCUCUGUGACAACACUCGUGCCAUUGCUCUAGCCAAGGAACCAAGGUUUCACAAGAGGACCAGACACAUAAAGUGAUGCUUCAAUUCCAUCCGCGAUUACAUCAAAGUGGAGGAAAUAAAUAUUUGCAAAGUGCACACGGAUCUGAAUGCUGCAGACCCGUUGGCUAAGCAAGUGGGAGACUAUUGGAAAUAUGCCCUAGAGGCAAUAAUAAAAUAGUUAUUAUUAUAUUUCCUUGUUCAAGAUAAUAGUUUAUUAUCCAUGCUAGAAUUGUAUUGAAUGAAAACUUAGAUACAUGUGUGGAUACAUAGACUACACACCGUCCCUAGUAAGCCUCUAGUAGACUAGCUAGUUGAUGAAAGAUGGUCAAGGUUUCCUCGCCAUAGACAAGAGUCGUCACUUGAUAACGGGAUCACAUCAUUAGGAGAAUGAUGUGAUGGACAAGACCCAAACUAUGAACGUAGCAUGUGAUCAUUUCGUUUUAAGUAUACUGUUUUUCUGCAUGCAAGUAUAUGUUAAUAUGACCAUGAGAUCAUGUAACUCACUAACACCGGAAGAGUACCUUGUGUGUACCAAACAUCGCAGCGUAAUUUGGUGACUAUAAAGGUGCUCUACAGGUAUCUCCGAAGGUGUGUGUUGAGUUAGCAUGGAUCAAGACUGUGAUUUUUCACUUCGUAUGACGUAGAGGUAUCUCGGGGCCCACUCGGUAAUACAACAUCACAAUAAGCCUUGCAAGAAAUGCGACUAAGGACUUAGUCAUGUGAUCUUGUAUUAUGAAAUGAGUAAAGAGACUUGCCGGUAACUAGAUUGAACUAGGUAUAGAGAUAUUGACGGUCGAAUCUCGGGCAAGUAACAUACUGAUGGACAAAGGGAACAACAUACGGGAUUAACUGAAUCCUUGACAUAGAGGUUCAACCGAUAAAGAUCUUCAUAGAAUAUGUAGGAGUCAAUAUGGGCAUCCAGGUCCCGCUAUUGGUUAUUGACCGGAGAGUGUCUCGGUCAUGUCUACAUAGUUCUCGAACCCGCGGGGUAUGCACAAUUAAGGUUCGGUGACGUUUGUGUAUUAUUGAGUUAUGUAUGUUGGUGACCAAAAGUUGUUCGGAGUCCCGGAUGAGAUCCCAGACUUCACGAGGAGCUCUGGAAUAGUUCGGAGGUAAAGAUCGAUAUACAAGAAAGGUGCAUUUGGCUUCCGAAAAGAUUUUGGGUAUUACCGUAAAGUACGAGGAGUGUGGAAUGGGUUUCAGGGUUUCACCGGGAGGGGUCACCCACCCAGAGGGGGGCCAAAUAGGCCUAAAGGUGGCGCACCAGCUCCUGGUGGGCUGGGCGGCCGGCCGAAUAAGGCCUAUUCAGCCAAAGUGCAAAAAGAGGGAAGGAGGAGACCAAUUAGGAUGGGGAGUCCUCCACCAAACCGAAUUGGAGGAGAAAUCUCCCCCCUAGCUUCGGUCGGACCUCUCCUCCUUGGAGGAGGGGCCAAGGCAGCCCUCCCACCCCUUCCUCCUAUAUAUAGUGGAGGUAUCGAGGGCAACACACAAAUGAAAAGCCACGUGCUGCCCUCUCGUCCAUAGAUUGUCUCCUUCGUCUAGAUUAGUCCGGCAUAGCUUGGCGAAGCCUGUUGGAUUAGUUCACCACCACACCAUCGUGCUGCCAGAGAAUUCUUCUACCUCUCCGCCCCUCUUGCUGGAUCAAGGAGGCGGAGAUCGUCAUCGAGUUGUACGUGUGAUGAACGCGGAGGUGCCGUUCGUUCGGCACUAGAUUGUGAUUGGAUCGUGAAGACGACUUUCGAUUUGGAUCGCGAAGACGUUUGACUACAUCAACCGCGUUUCUUAAUGCUUCUCACUUAGCGAUCUACAAGGGUAUGUGGAUCCGAUCUCUCCUCUCGGAGAUGGUCAUCACCAUGGAUAGAUUUUAUGUGUGUGUAGGAAUUUUUUUGUUUCCCAUCAACGUUCCCCAGCAGGUCGAUGGGUCACAAGAGACGAAGAAGACGGUGUUUUACGCAGGUUCGGGCCCUCUUGAUGGAGGUAAAACCCUAUGUCUUGCUCUUGUUGGUAUUGAUGGAGUAGUACAGAGUACAGAGUUGAUGUACUUCGAGAUCGGAUGUCGUGGUCUAAACCCUAAUCACAAUGAGCUUAAUGUAUCCUACGAACUAUGGCCCCCUGGCUUAUAUAGAUACCAUAGAUGCUAGGGUUACACAAACGUGGUUGCAAUAGGGAAGGAAUACGCCGAUCACUACAUCGUCUUGUAUUGUACGCCAAGUCUUCGGAAGAGUCCAUCUUAAUUCCGAUACUUCUAAUGACGGUCGAAAAGGCCCGGGAGUCCGACCCAUGAGAGUAGACAGACGGUCCGAGAACCCCCUGUCCCGGACUCCCUCGGUAGGGAAUUUUGGUAAUUAGAUAUUAGGAAUCGUAAGAUAUAUUAUAUUGUAUAUAUGCAUGAACGUAUACUAUACAUAGUAGCGUCGAGAAUAUAUACAUNNNNNNNNNNNNNNNNNNNNNNNNNNNNNNNNNNNUGUGUGUGUGUAAAAUGUUUGGGGCACCUAGGUGCCUGGGCACCUUGAUUGUCUUGGAAACUGUGGUAUAUUUGAUUAGUUUCCUAACUAUUCCUCAUGCAAGACUUUUUAUACUUAUGAUUCUGUUUUUUUCUCCUAACUAUUAGGCAUGCAAGACUUGCCAUAUAAUAAAUAAUAUUAAUGUCUGAUUGUUAUUUGAUCUGAUAUGGUUAUCUAUUGCGUGUAUUUUUGUUUCCUAGAUAACUAAUACACGUAUAUAAUACCUAUACCUACUAACAUAUAUAUUUAAUAUUUUUUGAACUUUUACAUUUUAUUUCUGUUUUCUAACUAUCUAACAUAGGUAUGGAAUACCUACUAAUGAAAUUAUGUACAUACGCGGAUAGAUAUAUAACCAAUAGUUUAUUUUCUAACUAUCUAAUACCGGUAUCUGAUACCUACUAACAAAAUUAUGUACAUACACGGGUAUGUAUAUACCCAGCUACGUAAACUAUGACUGCGUAUAUACCCGGCUACAUAACUAUAUUCAUACAUGAGUAUUUUCCCAUGGGGACAAAAGGUAACAAUACCUUUUAUACCCAAGAUGAUGAUAUACCUAAGUAUUUAAUUAUGUAUAUGACUUCUUAUAUUAGAUAAAAAAGAAAAAGUGCAUGUAUAAGAAAUAAAGUUGGGCACGUACAUGAAGCAUGCAUGGCCGGACCAUUAAUUGCUCAUUUUUUCUACCUUGUGUUAAUGUAUGCAUUAAGGGUCCAUAUCAAGCAAUAAUUAGCAAUAAUUAUUUCCUAAUAAAGUUAAUGGAUUGACCCAUUAUGGUUACUAAUACUAAUUAUACAUACACACAUCUCAAUGUAAUCCAACGAUUUUUAGGCAAAGUGCCUGGGCACCUAGGUGUCCCAAACGGGAGUAAAGAUGUCACUUCUCUAUAUUCAUGCCGAUAUUGUGUAAUAGUUCCUUCAUUGCAUAUGUAGUAGCGUCGAGUCGAAUGGAAAACAUAAAAUAAAAAUGAAAACCCUAAAUGAAAAAGGAUUGAAUGGUAAACACAAAAAGAAAAGGGGAACACAAAAUGAAACACGGCCCCUCCAAAACCGUUAACCCCUCUUUUUUUUAAAAAAAAAGCCUAAACCCCAUCGCUUGGCAGUGGUUGAUGCGUGGCGGUCUUUUGUCUUGAUUGAUGUUAUCACAUCAACCGGGACUAAAGAUCCUCCUGCAUGAGCACUUCACAGCGGUCACGUGGAGCCCUUUAGUCUCGAUUCAUAACACAACCGGAAUUUAAAAAAAGGGUUUCACGUCCCUUUAGUCUCGAUUGUUUAGUCUUUGUUUUCCUAAUCGAGAUUAAAGACCCUUACGAACCGGGACUAAUGUCCCAUUUUCUACUAGUGAAUACAGCAAACCGCGUCAAACCCUUCUAGUAAAUACACUACACCGGUGUCCCGCCUACCGGCCAACCGAUAAAAAGUCACCGUAGGUGUCACUUGGCAAUAACCUACUGUCGCUGACUAAUGUACACAUUACUCGUUUCUGUGUAGGGUUUUGGAGGGGCCGUAGUAUUAGCCCCGUAAUACGGCAACGGUCUAGUCUGGUCGUUCUGUCUAAACGAGGGCAUUGGAGAGACCAGAUAUCAUUGGAUAGCAGCAAUGCUACACAUACAUAAGUUUACAUGAGUUUUACAAAAAGGUAGAUUUUGAUUGGAGAUUAAAGGAAAUGAGGGCCCCACCCCCCUUGAAAAUCAGGGAGAGCGUGGUUAGUUACAAAAAAAAAUCCUAAUCAGAGUGUAACCUUAUGUAACUCUUUGUAUGUUUAGCAUUUUUUAUUGGACAGCAUUAUAUUGUUUUUCUGCGGGCAACUAAGUAGCAAAAGACUACCAGGAAGAAGAAAGGAACUAGCAAAAGACCAUAAUUAAUUCGACACAUUGUUUCUCUGUAGACAACGAACUCGCAAAAGACCAUAUUUUUCUGCAGGCAACGAACACGCAGAACAUCAUAAUUGGUGAUUUUAUACUGUUUCUGCUUUAGCCAAGCAAAUGACAAAACGACAAAGCCUAGGUUGUGGUACUUAACUAACAGCACAUUUCUCUCAACGAAUGCUGACUUGGUUAGUAAAAUGCUCGAGGUCGGCGUCGUGAGAUAGUUAAGAGCUGCAGGAAAAUGCUUGUCAAUGAUAUUAUGCAGCGAUGGCUGGAUUAAUUUAGCUUCACCAACUCCAAAACUCACAAAAUAAACAUGGGGACCAGCGUCGAGGAAUCAAAAGAAGAGGCCCAAUGACCUACCCGUGCGUGUUACUGUGGCCGUUCUGGCAAAAUAUUCUGCCAUAUGUUCUUCUUUAACGACGACGAUGACGCAGAUGAGUUCGUGUUUUUUCCCUGCAGGGUCGCCAUCUCACUUACCACAUGCUGGAGUCAUGGUCCGGCCGGGGAAUGGGCGUCUCCCUUUCCUCGGCUCCCUGUCUGCAUAUGGCCCCUUGCCGUGCAUGUUUGCUGGCUCGUCCUCCUCGUGGGUAAACAAUAGUACGUACACCCAACCAAAAGAAUUGACUUAUUACUCCUUUCUUAUCAGUUGGGUGCCGAUCAUCUUCUAGAACCAACGAAUUUGUCAAGACCAAUCAAUUCAUGUCUUAUGCUCCUUCCAUCUCACCCUCGGCGUUGGGUACCCGAACCCGCUACCCGAACCCGAACCGAACCGAAUUAUCCGAAUUGUCGGGUAAUUCGGAUAUCGGAUAAGGGUUCAGUUCUCAUUUCUUGACUAUUCGGUUUUCGGGUUAGGAUUCGGGUUCUAGUGUGGAAAACACGAAAUACCCAUACUAUCCAAAUUAUUCAUACUGUCAAAAUUUUCAUGUCAUUAUUACACUAACUUGUUACCCAUACUAACUAAAAUACUUAUAUUACCAAAAAUACCCAUACUAUCCAAGUUAUUUAUAUCAAAAGUUGAUGUAUGCUCAGAAUAUUUUGGGUAUUUUGGCUACCCGACCUACCCGAACCGAAAUUUUGGGUAAUUUGGGUUUGGGUAUUUUUUUGACACAAAUAAUUUCAGUUCCCAUUUUUUAAUACCCGAAUUAUCCAUAAACCGAACUACCCGAACCGAAAUAACCAAAAUACCCGAAUGCCCAGGCUGACUUCCGUCCAGGUGUAGUGGGCACCUAAGAAUUAAGGAAUUCCAAAAGUAUAUCAAAGGAAAAAUACAAUAUGUCUCUCUUUGAUUCUCCCCCGGUUCAAAAAAAUGGCUGUUUAAGUCAUGAAACUUUGGAAACAUGGUUACGGUUAAUAGCUAAAAUACUUAGGUUAGAAAUUUCAAAUAAUAUGCACAUAUUUUUCUUCAACAAUACUUCCAAAAUGUCAGAAUAAUGUUCGUUGUUCCAUUGCAACAAAAAUAUCGCCACAUGAACCAGAAAGAAUACGUAACUUCAAAGUGUGUAUACUGCAUGUGUGGGAAACAAGUAUAAUAAAAUGGCGCUGACAAGCCAAAAAAAUGCAACAACCCAUCAAGUAAUAGAAUACAUAAAAAAGGAGGCAGUAUUACCCAAAAUACACUAAAAAUGGGAAGAUCAUCCGCCAAAAAAGAGGAGGAACUAGUAUUACGUACCCAAGAUAGUUAUCUAGUGACAACAAAAUAAAAAAAGAAAUAUAAUAUGUACACCUCAAAUUAUUUCGAAGAACCCAGCAUAAAAGUAAAUCUAUAUUAAAAAACUAAAAUCCCAAAUAUGAAAAUGACAUGAAUGUAUUAUUGUAAAUUAUGAACAUGGAAUCACAUUCAUAUGAAGCAUGAAAUAAAUGGGGUAGAGUAUUACACUAAACAUUAAAAAAAGUUGCGGGUACACUAAACAUAUUUUUAACUGGGCACAACUGAACCUAUAACUGUUGAGAAACCAACACGUAUGCCAGUCAAAACAAUUGACUUACUCUUUUUUUUAAUUGGGAUGUAAUCAAGUCUUAGAAGUGAUGAGUUUGUCAAGACCAAUACAUGCCUUUAGCACUUGUGGUAUACUAACUCUAAAAAUUAUGUCUCUUUGACAUUCCUCCAGUUUAUAAAAUAGAUUGUUAAAGUUGUUAAACUUUGGAAAUUUGACUACCAUUAUUACUGACAAUACAUUGGUUGGAAACAUCAAAAUCAUUUGGAUAUAUCUGUCUUGGGAAAAUACUUCCAAACUUUAUAGUACAGUUGGCCGUUGUAUAUUGCAACUUAACAAUCGCCACAUUGUUUUUUGUGAACAAGAAUGAAUGCACAAUGUCGAAGUGUAUAGGUCAUGAGUGGGACACGAGUACUUGUUACACAAAUAAACCAAAACAGUGACAACAAACGGAAAUAAAUGUAAUAACCCCUCAAGCAAGGAUGCAUCUGCAAGGAAGUGGUAUUACCAUAAACAAACUAAAAAAUAAAAAAAGAUUUUAAUCGUCCACCAAAACAAGAGAGAGGGGAGGAAGUAGUAUUACCCAAAAUAGUAAUACAGUGAUAGAAAAAUAAACAAGUAAUAGGUAGACAUCACAAUUGUUUCAAAGAACCCAACGUACAUACCAAUAAACUACAAUCCCCAAAUAAUGAAAAUGACAAGGAUAUAUUAUUGUCAAUUAAUUAUUUCUUACAAGACAGAGUCACUUGGUCGUAUAAUGAAUGUGAGAAAGACGAUAAAAAAAUAUCUGGUCAGAAAAAUGAUUAUUGGCCAUUUGAAAAGCAGUCAACCAUUAAGUUGUAAAUGAGAAAAGCAAUGGAUGUGGGUAACACUCCCUUGCAAACUGGGCAAAAGAAUGUGAUCAUUUGCGACUUCUACAAAUUGUAACAUGGAGUUUGUGAUUUCGCACAUAUCACAAAUGCUCAAAUAUAUCAACAAAGUUCAGAAAAUACUUAAUAUAUUUUUGUUCAUAAAUUUAAAAUACAAGAAAUGAAAUUCACUAUUUUUAUAAAGUAAGUACAUUUAUUUCCAAGUUCUUAAAAGAACGAAUCCACAUGAAUCACUUGUGGUUUGUUUGGUACCCAAACUGGCCGUGCCAAUAAAUUGGCUACCAAUCAAGUUUUGGUUAUUGUUUGGUUUGUUUCCAAAAAUCUGAUUGCGAAUGGGUGUCCACCCCUUCUUCCCAGACAGAAUUUGUUUGCCAAAUAAUUGGCCAAAUGAGGGUGAGAAAUUUCUUUGCCCAAAAAAUAGCAAGCCAACUCUUACAAACAUUUUUUUAGGGGAACUCCUUUGAGCUGGUCGUGCACCUUGUUCAUUCUUUUUUUGGUACCGUGAGAGAUUUUCAUUGGUCCCACGCUGUGCACCGUAUAUAACUAUAUAUACACAACUCAAUAUUAUUACAUUGUCAAAUUAAUUUUACAAAAGUGAUAGUAAAAAAGUGACAUAUGUGGUCCUGCAUUCUUUUCUUAACUGGAAAAUAAGAGCUACAGGAAGACUUACCUGUCAUCUUGCUGAACUAACAAGUGUAUGUUGUAUCUUGCCCACGGCGGAAGUUCAAAGGAGACUUGUGCUCAGGACCUGUUCAGCUUAGGUUGUUAAGUUUACGAGGUCGUAGAUUAAUUGGUGGUUAUGAGUUUUUAAGCAGUUUUCGGUGGUGAUUACGAUGGUAACCAAGUCCACAAACGACGUUGAGAACGCUACGGCUGACAUGUAUACGAGUGAAAUAAGAUAGUGAAGCAAGCCAAUGAAAAGGAGCUACGUACAACUUGUCACUUUUGGGGCGGCAACUGUUCCUAUCUAUUAUACUGCUUUUAUUCGUCAUGAUUAGGUUGUAAAGAAGGUUGAUCUGCAAGAUUAGAUGUAAGCCGGUUCAAAGUUCACAAUAAGACUCUAAGCAUGACUCGGCCGGCUGCUAAUAGCAUGCAUGCAGUUACAAAAUAGAAUACCCAUUGAUGCUUAUAGUCUGAUACCAAACAAGGAAACUAUUGGGCGAGAGUGGCCACUCGCGACAAAACACAAUGGCGCACUCUAUCAUACAGGGCAUGCCAGAUUUUCAGAUCGCGUGUACAGCGGAUAAACGAGUUUUAUACCGGUACACCGCCGCUGUAGUUGGUUCCUCUUGUAUUCUUUUUAUGUUCUGUGAGGCACAAGGAGAAUCCUUUAGCGAAUCGAGUACUCCUUCUGUAAUUGUCCAAAAGCUGACAGAGAUCCCCGUCUAACUGGAGCAUAGUUGUAUAUAUCAGUAUUCAUAGGUAUGUUGUUCAUAUGUAGUUAGUACAACGACCAUGAGUAUCUAACAUGUGUUUAGUUUGUAGUUUAUGGUUGGCAUGGUUUCUUAGGAAUAUAUUUAGUUCAUAUUUUUUCCGGUAAAAUAUGUUUGGUUCAUUGUCACAAUUGUUGUAUAGCAUACAAUCUCUAAGGGUUUGUUCGGUUUAGAUGGGAUUGAAGGGAGCUGAAAGAAAUUGAGGGGGUUAAAUCACGUACGAGUCAAAAUCCUCCAAACCCCUUCCAUUCAUCUUCGAUCCGGUUUUUGGAGUUUGUGCACUAUUUUGGGCCAUAUGGAACUGUAGGAAUGAUGUGGUUUUUCACAGACAUACAAACAUACAUUUUUUGCAGGUACUACACAGAGCUGCGGCAUUGAUCCAUACAUGGUCAUUACUCACUCCUGCGGAAACCAGGGAACCUUUGGUUACUGGGUCUACCCGAUGGGAGACGGUAGCGCGGGAUAUCUUCAACCGGUUUGGAUGGCAGUCCAGUAAUAGGAUAGAUGAGUAGACAUCUAGGCCUAUUUUGCCGGUUGUGGCACUUUUAUAUUUACCUUUCAUUCUGAUUUAUUUUGCCGGAGACUAUGUUGAACCGCAAUUUAUUUGCCUUAUUAUUAAUAAAGUGGCCGUAUGCAUCGUGUUGAUGCAGAGGCCGGAGGUAAUCCUCCUUUUCUAAAAAAAAUUCAUCUUCGAUCCUCUUGUGAGUAGUUUAACUCUUAGCGUAGGGGAUUAGAUAUAGUAGACUCAAUUUCUAUCAAAGGUUCUUGGUUGUCUGGCUACCCUUUUUGCUAGCUGUGUUUUUAGACAAGGGCAUAUCUCGUUCCUACACUUAUUAAUUAACUUAGAUUUGGUCUGUCAACUGCAACACUUGACAUACUUGCCCACACAACUAUUGACAUAAGAUAAAAAUUAUCUCUCACUCUAGCUGACGAGAUAUCCAUGCAAAGUGAGUGUGAUAUUUGCCCAAUCUUAUCCAUGUGACAAUACUUCUAGUGGGGAUGUUUUUUCAAGCACUUGCCCAAGUUGAAGAACUCAACACCAAAGAUGUCCCUGCAUUUUUGGUAGCACCGAGUAUGCAGUCUCGAGGCUCCAUGUUGAUAGGCUUCGCUAGCAUGAUGAUGCAAGACCACUUGCACACCCCAUUUCCUGCGAUGUGGAUAGAUUGAUUGAACGCAAAAGACUCCAUGGGUAAGACCGCAGAGCGCGCGCCCGCGGGAGGUGGGGGGCUUAACCGCUUAAGAGUUGGUUCAUCCGGCCGCAAGGAUUGUGCGACCAAGGCAUUGGAUCAAACUCGGCAUUGGUACUUAGCCACACAGUGAGUCUGAUAUGCAAGUGCAGGUUGUUGACAUGAGUGCGCAUGGUAAAAAGCACUUGCUAGAUCAAUCAGGUAUCCUCGAGCGCAUGCCACAUACGACCUCCGUUCGGCUUUAUUGGCCCCCUUCUUAUUUUGGGUAAAAGUUUGGCAAUAAAUUUUACUAAUGGAACAUAAGUUAUUUUUAGCAAAAAUAGUAUUAUUGGAAUGUUCCUGCAAAAUACGAAUCUAACAAUAUAAUUUUUGACAUAUCAUUUAUAUUUUGCUAGUUAAAUAUACUGUCAAAGUAUGACCUAAAACGCAAUAGGGACUAAGAGCAUCUCUAGCAGACCUCGUAAAACUCGCUAAACUGUACAAUAACCGUCGGUUUAUAGUUUUAGGCGAAAAAACGGCCUCAAUAGAACCCGUAAACGACUCCGACCUGUAAACACAGUUUUCGCGUCAGCUUCUACGGUGUCCUGUACCGAAAGAAAGCAGUCGGCGGGAGUCUAACUAUCACGGAAACUUCCGCGUUCGCCGUCCACGUACACCGUGCACCGCCCCGGACGUCUAGCAACCCAUUGAUACUGGAGAUGGUGAUGCUCAUCAUGCUCGGCGAGAGCCGAAUCUGCAUCGUCGCUCCUCGUCGCCGCCGGCUGUGGCUCGUGCUCCAUCCUUGGCAGAGAAAUCAGCGGGCAUCGGCGGGGCCGUGGCAGGCCGCGAGAUUCAGAAACGCGAUGUCGGCAGCCCAGGACAGGAGGAGGAGGACGCGGCCGACGGCCCGGCUGGAUCCUGCUUUGGCGUGCGCGGGGAGGCAAGAGGAAUCCACAAGCGAUCAAUCCCCGAUCCUCGCAAGGGGGGAGGGUUUCUUGAUUCCCCCUGUUUCCUGGUCACUCCAGAGGCCGAAUUGGCGCAGAAGCCCGCACCGGCCUACUUGCCUCCAACCCCGACGAAAGGAUCACGGCGGCGGAAAUGCUAGAGCACAGACCCCGCGAUCCGUAAAAGAGCAUAUUCUGCGAAUAUUCUUUUUUACGUGUCUGUUUUGCGGGGUCUGACACUGCCCUCGCCCGUGCCGGCCCGCAAAGUUGUCUUUUCAUGAAUUGUAAAUGUCUUUUGCGGGUCGACGUUUUACGGGGUCUGCUAGAGAUGCUCUAAUAAACCCAGACAGAUAUAGUAACAUGUUGCUUUAGGUAUACAUUGCAAAGAUCAUCACAAUUUACUUGGUCGAUGGCACAACAAAAACAACAUUGAAAGAAGUCGCUAGGGCGUCAACAAACAUCAUUGGAACGACGAUAGCGGAUACUUAGCACCACACGUGGGCGCGAGCAACCUGCUAGGUUGCGCCAGCAACAGGCGUUCAUCGAACAUCAGGCGGGACAUAGGGAACGAAAAAGGAAGGAGAGUGACAGAUGACGAUGUUGUUGUUACUGGUAUUGAAAAUGUUGCCGUGUUCAUGCGCCGACUAAGGUUGAAAAAAAGUCGCCCGGAGGAAUGUAAUUCGUAUCUUCACGAUAUUAAUAUAUUCCCCUUUAAAAAAAAAACAAGUAUAGGCAAAAAAAAUCGCUACAGCACAUCACCAUCGACGAGUGCCGGUCAAGGUAAAAAAAACAAUGCCGAUUCAUUAAGAUAACUGAUUUUAGUUCCGAACAGAGCCCAAUUGUUUGAUUUGAAAAGUUGUAUGUGCAAUAUAUCUGGUUUAUAGUUGAUGGACCAAGCCUUGCAAUAGGCUAUAAGUUGAGGGACGAAAACAUUAUAAUAUAUAUUUUUUACCUUGAAAAUCUCAGCCCUCGGCUGUAAGAAGAUGCUCAAGACCCACUUCGCUUGGCAUAAUGUUAGUCAUCGCAGUGUUAGUCAUCAACAAACAUAUCGGACAGCCGUAUGAACUGCCCUAAAAGGUUAGAACCUUUUAUAUUUGCAAUCAGGUAGAAUAUAAGAAAUGUUCAAGCAGUCAGACAGCGUGUUUAUGGUUCACGAGUUGCAUAAGUCUUAAACAAGAAAUGACUUCUUAACCUAUGUUUCGACUGAGCUAUACGACAUCAACAGCAACAUCACCAUUCACCAAAUCAAUUGGAUUAAUCUCGUCGGCCGCGGGGCAGAGGCGCAAUGGGAUCGUCGAACGAGAUUGCCCUAGAAAGGAGGUACCGGCAGUAUCGUCGCUUCGCAAAUUUUCCUACCAAACUCUUUGUCCAGAUUGUGCAGAGAUAUGAUAGAAUUUGGACAAGUGUAGCUUUGUUAUCACUUUCACGACAAGUCUCACUCUGAAGGAGGAAUAAAAGAAGUGUGUGUGUAAUAUACUAUAACGCGGCAUAUUCAGUAGUCCUGAAGCCAUAUAUAUGUGCUGUCAGUAUCAGUUGAUGAUACAAGUCCACGGCCUCCGUUUUAAAUAUGCAAAACUUGCCAGUUCCAAGCAAAGCUAACGAAGCUUCGUGUCCCAUUUUCCAGAAGUACUAUUUUUCUACAGUUCAUUGUACCAACCACGAGAUUAAAAAUGCAUGGCUUCAUCAUUUGCGCCCGUGGAAUGAACUAUCGGCCACCCCUGCUUUGGCCGAUUCUCCAAGCGCAAGCAGGCAGCUCCCCCUCGCUUGCUGGAAAGUAGAAAGCCUAUCAAAGCUGGAUGUUUGCCUUAUUUCUUUUCUUCUAACGGACAAUUGAAGGGGCUGCAAUAUUUCCUCUCUGGAGUAGGAUGUAAACACUUUAAUUUUGGAUACUAAAAUCAUGGACUAACGUACUAGAAAAUUUAGGUCAUUUUCGAACCGGACCCUCGAACCGUCCGGACCACGCACUCACACUGGCAAUAAUCUGUUGUAGAAUAUCAUAUAUUCCUAUGACGGCUAAUGCAUUAGAAUUUUUAUCACAUUGCAAUGCACUAGUAAUUAUAUACUCCCUCUAUAAACUAAUAUAAAAGUGUUUAGAUUACUAAUGUAGUGUUCUAAAUGCUCUUAUAUUAGUUUACAGAAAAGUAGUAUCGUAUAGAAAACGUCGGGCACAAAAGCAAUACCCGUCUAAGGGUCCAAAGGGGCAUAGUUUAGAAAGUUGAGUGGAAGUAGCAGCUAAGAGCAUCUCUAGCACACCUCGUAAAAGUGGUUAAAGCCGUAAAAGAUUUAUGUUUUACAGUUUUUGUCGUAAAAAAAUGUGCAUAACAGAAACGCAAAACCGGUUCAACACUUAAAAAAAUUAAGCGGCACGGUAAAGUCACACCCAAAAACUUUAUUUUUAAAGGUUGGAAGGCCGAUUCUAGGGGUCUCGUAUACCGGUCAAACCUCGUCGAAGCAAACACAUCGCCGCCGUAUUUGCCGGAAUCCGUCCUAAACUUGCCGGAAUUCAUCACCACACCCCGAAAAAGGUCACUGGACGCCGCAAUCGAUCGCCGUCGGUUUGAAUUGGACGAGCUCGACCUCGCCAUGGCCUCCCAUCACCUCAGCCUGGCCGCCAGAAUCCUCCCAGCGCGGCAGGCAAAGGGGCACGGCUCGGCCGGCGCGGCUGGCAACAAAGCAAGUCGCUGACGACGGAGGCGAAGGGGCAUGGCCGACGGGCGGCAAGGCGUGGUCGGCGAGGAUGGGCGCNCGUGGGUUAUUUGAGCUCGUAAAACUUUAUUGAUGAGUAAAAGAUAAAUUAAGCGUCCUUGGACUAAAUAAAUCAUGCGGUCUACAACAUAUGUUUGUAGAUAUUCGGAAAAAAAAACAUAUAUUUGUAGGUACUAAACCUUUUUUUUGGCAUAGUGUAAAACUUAUCUCUCUUCCAUGACUACCCGAUCUCACUUUCAUGUAUAAAUGUUACAAAAAGUAUUUGGCAUUGGAAAACACAUGCAUUUCACCUGGGCACCUGCUGUGCAAUUUCCAAUUACCCCGGUGGAAAAUAUCAUGUUUGAUAAUUAGUGUUCAGUAGUCUAUAAUUGAAGGUUUGCAAUUCAGAAUGCAGCUUUGCUGGAGAAUUUUCGGGGGUACAGUAGCGGGAAGAAGAGAUAUUUUGCUUAUCAUUAGGAAACAAAUGGACGCAAUUCAACUUGCAGUGAACUGGCAGCAACGACGUCUGAUUACUGUUCUGUUUACAUAAUGCAAGGACAGUGUGUAGAGUGUACUUAUUCAGUGAUAUUUUAAUUUAGCACGUGUGCUAGUCUACAUAUAUGUGCAACCGACGACAUAAAAGUAUGGACUAGACCAGAGUCCUUAGUGGUGAACAGUAAUCAUGAGAAAAAAGUAAACAGAACAGGUUAUGCAUGCCCCACGAACCAGAGGACCCAAAGAAAAUUAGAGGCAGUGCACAUGUGACAUGACCACUAUUCUUUGCCGCAGAAUUAUCAAAUCAACAGGAUAUUCAUGGAAGAUAUACUUUUUGUGGGAUCAUGGCUACAGAUGGCCCUUAACUCGUACUAUAAGCAAAAAAAAAAAAAUAGCGUAAUCUAAUCAAGUAUGCCCCAUAAGCGAUUGGAAUUAUGUAAGCUGGCUCCCUUUGCAAUCUCUACAUAGAAAAAAAAUCAAAGACUCUCUUGACACCAGUUUUUGACGUGGAAGAAAAGAUUAUCAAGAUGUCUUCAAAUGAAAAAGUGUUUUACAUGAAAAAGUUAUGUAUUGUCGACAUGAACAUUUUUAAAGUUUGGAUCGUGGCCAUCCCAGCACAUCUCAAGGGACGAAGUUGUACUCAAAGUAUUAAGAUUUUGUAUUACGGAUAUUGUUGAGCCGAUUAUGACACCAAUACGACCUCAUAUUAGAAAAUCUUCUACACGAAUUGUCUUCGUCACAUCAUCGGAACGGUCGAUUUUGACAAAUAAAUCGUCUUAAUCCAAAGUCGUAUGCAAAAGUUACGUCCAAUGCAGUAUGACCCUACCAUGAGCAAAAUGUGGCACUGGCACAAGACACACAUAUGACUAUGUGUGAUUGGUGUGGCCUGUUUUGCGUGAACUAUUCGGCCAUCAACAUUGCUUCAAAUCAAAAAAAUGUUCAACAUCAAUGUUAUUUGUCUCGUCUUUGCUUUUGGUAUAAUCUUUAUUCGAGGUCGUUUCUGGCCCGUGGGACUUAAAUACCGAACUGUUGUUUCGAACUUACUUAAAUCCGAGUCCGGUUAAUUUUGAAAAGAUGUAGAUGGGAUUUAGAGUCAUUUCCUUGUAUGGGAAGUCUAGUCGCCUCAUGACUAGAUGAGAGGUGACGGUUGAUUGACCAACACACAGUCGAUCAAUUCAAUUACCACUUCGUUCUUCAUGCGCAGGCGGCGAUCCAAAAGGCCCUAGGGAUGGUCAGGUCGACCUAGGGCGGCCCAUAUUCGUCACGUGUCUAGACAGGGUUUCUCCCGGGAGCAUUCGUUUUUGUGUCUAAAAAAGUGCACACCAGAUUGCUUGCAUACCAUGCUUCCGGUCGGGUCUUCUUCAAUGUGAGCUACGAUGCAUCACCCAACAUCGAUGGUAAAUGGUGACGUGUUCAUGUGCAAACACACUCAUAAUAAAUGGAGCAAGUUAGUUAAAGUAGAAAGGGUAAAUAAUUUUUACCUUGACAUAGGAUUGAGUAUGAUGACAUCAAGAUCCUAUCAAAACAACCACUUCUGAAAAAUCGGUGCUGCGGAAUGGGUACAAAUGAUGUUACACGGGUUGAUCUAGAGUUUAGGGUUUUUGGCAGCCCUUCUUCUCCAGCCCGGGUAUUUACUUAGCAUCGCCUUAAAUGUACGUUUUCCAAGUGUAACACCACAACCUUGUUAUUUCUUUGUAUGGUUUUUAUUAUUUAUGUCAUUGGUUAUGUCCUACUGCUCAGUUUUUUCACUAGGAAUUUCAACUUCUUAAAAAUACCAUGGCUUUGUUAGGCGCUUGCUCAAAAAUGCCAUCGGACACCAUUAUUGCAAGCUCAAAUCUCGUUUGCCAUGUAAAAGGGCAUCUAGCCCCUAAGUGUGAUUUUGGUAAUUAAUGACAAUCUUUAUGGACUAAUGUUUUCACUGAGACAUAUUUGAAAGGAUAUUACAUAGGUGUUGCCUUUAGGAUGAUUGUCAGAUAGAUGAAGAUUUCCUCUUAGCUUUGGUAUUGAAUGAUAAUUUAUGUAUAUCAUCAAGGGCAUUAUAUCUUAUAGAAAGAAAUGUUCCAGAGUGAGGCAUGAAGUAGGUUGAAUUAUUGUGGGUAAGAGUCCAUCAAAUCCUCUCCAAGAAGCCCUCAUGGAAUCCUCUCCAAGAGUCCACGGGGUCCAGGGGUCAUGCCCACGGGGUCCAGGGUAACCUCUCUAGACACCCCAUGCACACGAGCUUCUUGACCCCGUGCACGCUAGGUCGAGUGUUAAACUCUCUGGACAUCCCAUGGGCACGGGGUCUUUGAACCCCUGCACACUAGGGCUGGGGUUUGACUCUCGGUGUCUCUUGCCUAAGUGAGGAUACCAUUUGGUCUUUGGAUGUAUCUAAUGAAGCCAUCAAGAUUGAUUUCACUGUUUAAGAAAAUAUUUUCAAGGUGGAAUUCAUUGUAGGAUCUAAAAGGUUGACAGGUUUGGGCUUAUAAGAAUCAAGGUCUUGAGAGUUCAAUUAAAGAUAAGGAUUCAUUCUAUGGUAUGAUCAAGAGAAGAUCAUGAUGGACCCUUGUGUUGGGUUUUGGUUCAUCAUGUAUUGAAGCAAGAAACUAGAAUGAAGAAUUUGUUGCGCCUCACAAGAGUUUGUGAUGGGGCUUUUAAAAUAGCAGGUGAUGACCGAUAUGAUUUUCACGGUGAAUCUUGUUAUGGUCAUGAAAGAGUCUUUGGUGAUAUAGUAUUGAAGCAAUGGAGUAAAAUGAAGAGUUCAUUAUGGCUUUCAAGAAACCAUCAUAGAGCUUGAAGUAAAUACAUUGGUUGUCCAAGAUGAAUCUCAAAGAUUAUAUAUAGAUGGUCAACACACAAGUAAAACAAUGUACCAUGUGGGAUCAAAUGAUCUAGUGGUAUGGUAAGUAAUUGUGAAUUACGUUUUGUGCACUAACCUAUUCUAUGUGUUUUCUAUGUCUAUGUGGGUUAGGUGUUUCUCAUGGGCUUGCAUCAAAAGGAAAUAUUGUAAGUAGCCUACAUGUGGAUAACAUCAAGUGGAUAUGGUCAUCGGGUUCGAUGAGUCCAAGUGCAAGAUGGGAAGCCAGAGGUUAUAUGCUUUGAAUCUUGCGGUCAUUCCCCACCGGUUCGGGGUUUGUUCGUACACUUUGUAAACUCCAUUUUGAGCACCAUACCACCUCUCUCAAACACAUAUAUCACCUCUAUGUGAAGAGGGGUUUGUGGAUGGAUAUUGAAGUCAUUUGUUGAUGUCCUCCAUUGCACCCCCUCUCUUCAAUCUCCUACUUUCGAGAGUGCAUCCUGUGAGAUUGAGAGAGCGAGUUGAGCAUUUGUUGCCUGAGCUUGCAUUGCAUUUGUUUCAUUGGUUUGAAAUCCCCGACAUUGAUUUGUUCGAGUGUGAUCCCAUGAGUUUAUUACUCUUGGAGUCUUUCGCAUCCUAGACGGUUUGGGGAUAUACUGAAAAUUUUGUGAAGAGGCCUAGGUGGCCAAGGUUCCUCCAGAAGCUUCCUUUUAUGGUGUGCUAUGGGGAAGGCUUUGAAGUGGCAUAGGUGUUCCCGCAUCAAUAUGAGCUAGUAUGAGUUGCGUAAAGUAAAGGUGAGUCAAUGAGAUAAUCACAAGUGUGUCGGGGACGCACAUUUAUCCCGAAGUUCACACUCAUGAGAGUGCUAAUCUCCGUUGGAGCGGUCGCCAAGCCAAAGCUCCGGAGCGCCACCAACAAUAGUGUAGAAAAUCCUAGUGCCAACGUUUUUAAAAAGGGCCUUGCUGGCGUAGACACUCGACGCCACCAAUAUGACACCUUUUUUAACAAAACACCGAUGGCAUUCAUGCCGGAACACCAUCAAUAUUUUACAUACUGGUGACGUGGCAUUGUUCACUCACGCCACCACUAUUUAAAAUAGCAAUGUCAUUGACAUUUAUACACUGCAGUACUAUUAACUAACAGUACUAAUGUGAGCAAAACCAACCAACACCACCACUAUGUAUUUAUGGAUUUUAAAAAUAGUUAUACAAUUUGCUCAUGCAUCCAAAUAUUUAUUCAUUCAUCCAUAUAUCACUGAUAUAAUCCAUACAUUCAUCCAUAUGGUGUACACACACUGUCGGAAAACGAAGGAAGGAAGAUGAUUUUAUUUUGAGGUGGUGUACACACAUCUACACCUACAUCAACAUCAACAUGGCCAUGAGCAGAACUACAUAGUGUACACACUCCCGAUAAAUAAAGGAAGGAAAGGAACUUGUCGUGGUAAUUUUGCAGCAGAUGUCGUGCACAUCCGCCGUCGAAGAGAAGCCGCCAGGGACACCGGAGCCACGCCAGUGAUGAAGGUGAUCAUGACCCACAAGUAUAGGGGAUCAACCGUAGUCCUUUCAAUAAGUAAGAGUGUCGAACCCAAUGAGGAGCAGAAGGAAAUGACAAGUGGUUUUGAGCGAAGUAAUUUCUGCAAGCACUAAAAUAGCGGGUAACAAAUUGUUUGAUAGGAAGAUAGUUGUAACAAGUAAAUAGUAGCAAGAGUAACAAUAAGUGCAGCAAGGUAGCCCAAUACUUUUGUGGCAAAGGACAGGCUAAAGUGGUUUCUUAUAAUAGGCAAAGCGUUCUUGAGGGCACACGGGAAUUUCAUCUAGUCACUUCCACCAUGAUAGCUUGAUUCGUGUUUGAUACUUUGAUAGUUUGAUAUGUGGGUGGACCGGUGCUUAGGUGUUGUUCUUACUUGAACAAACCUCCUACUUAUGAUUAACUCCCUCUCAAGCAUCCUCAACUACGAGAAAAGUAUUAAGAUAAAUAUCUAACGAUAGCAUUAUACUUUUGGGUCCAAAUCGGUCCCUUACGAAGUAGAGCAUAAACUAGGGUUUAAGCUUCUAUCACUCUAGCAACCCAUCAUCUAAUAACUACUUCACAAUGCAUUCCCUUAGGCCCAAAUAUGGUGAAGUGUCAUGUAGUCUACAUUCACAUGACACCUCUAAGGGAAUCACAACAUACAUACCAUCAAAGUAUUGAACACAUAUCAACUUCACAUGAUUACUUGCAACAUGAUUUCUCUCGUGGCCUCAAGAACAAAAGUAACUACUCACAAAUGAUAAACAUGCUCAAGAUCAGAGGAGUAUUAAUUUGCAUAGACGAUCUGAACAUUUUUUCUUCCACCAAAUACACCAUAUAGUAAUCAACUACAAGAUGUAAUCAACACUACUAGCCCUUCACAAGCAACAAUCUAAGAUUGCAGUGCAAAGAUUGAACACAAGAUAUGAACUAGGGUUUGAGAGGAGAUGGUUCUUUGAAGAUGUUGAUGAAGAUUGGCCUCCCAAAGUUGAGAGGGUUGUUGGUGAUGACGAUGACGAUGAUUUCCCAUCGGAGGGCAAAAGUGCUCCUGCCCAAGUUCCACCUCGGGAUGGCAGCGUUUCAUCUCGAAGUUCCUCCUCUAUAUUUUUUUAGGUCAAAACCAAAUAUAUACCAGAAGGGGGGCACCUGAGUUAGGCUAGGAUGAGCACCACGCACCAGGGCGCACCUAAGGGGCCUGGUGCGCCCUGGUGUCUUGUGCUCACCACGUGCCCCCCCCUCCGGUAGCUCUUUGGUCCAGUAUUUUUUUCAUAUUCCACAAAAAAUCUUCGUGAAGUUUCAGCUCAUUUGGAGUUGUGCAGAAUAGGUAACCUUAUUUAGCUUUUUCAGAUCCAGAUUUCCACGUGCCGGUAUUACUCCCUUUUGUGCAAACCUUGCAUAUUAUUAGAUAAAAUGCAUUAGAAAUACCCCCGAAAGCAUUAUUAUGCAUAAACACAUUAUAAAUAACAGUAGGAAAAUAUGAAGGAAAAUGGACGUAUCAACUCCCCCAAACUUAGACCUUGUUUGUCCUAAACGAAAAACCGAAAUCGAAAAACAUGUCCACAUGCUUAGAGAGAGAGAGGUGUCGAUAAAAACAAAAUACAGACAUAGAAGCAUCAUGCAUAUUAUCAUAAUAGCAAUAAACUUAUUCAUAACACUUCCUAACAGAACUUUAUCAUAUGACUUCUCAUGGACAAGUAACAAUUCAUCACAAUAUCGAAGUAGAAGCAUAAACUUUAUUCAAAACCAACAAACUAUGUUCUCACUCAACUUUGCAACUACAAUUCAUCAUCUUUUCAGGAAAGGUCUCAUGUCGGAGCCUUUUGGCAAGUCCACAUGCUCAACCAUAUUAUAAUCAUGUAUGAUUGCUAACACUCACCAAAUACACAUGAGCAAAAAAGAUUCAACCGGACACAUAGAAAGAUAGGGGCUUUUAGUUUCGCCUCCCAACGCAUUCACCUCAAGGGUGAUGUCAACAAUAAUAACUCAUGCUCACCCAUAUUCAACUGGAUAUAGGUGCUAGAUCUUUCCUCGCCACAUGAUGCUUGCAAAAGGAUAAAAAUAAAAAGGAAUAGAAGAAAAUACUUUGAUUCUUUGGAUGAAAAAAAAAGAUAGGCCCUACGCAGAGGGAAGCACGGGUUAUCAUGCGCUGAUUUGCUUGUAUGCUAAAUCCCUUAAUGCAAAAGAACAUCACGUUAUAUUGCCCCUUAUGAUAGCAUCAUUUAUUAUGCGCACGUCGCUUUUAUUACUUUGCCAUCACAAGUUCGUACAACGCUCAAUUUUCUCUUACACUAAAUGGUCCAACACAUAUAGAAGCAAUUUUAACUGCCUUAUUGCAUCGAUGACAACUUACUUGAAGGAUCUUACUCAAUCCAUAUGUAGGUAUGGGGGACUCUUUGGUACAAGAUUUGGGUUUAAGGGUUUUUGGAUGCACAAGUAGUAUCUCUACUUAGUGCGGAAUUUUUGGUUAGAAAAGAUAUUGAGCAAGCACCACAUGUUAAAGGGCCCAUGACAAUAUAACUUCUAUGUGAAUAUAAGCAAGCAUAAAUCAUUACAUUGUCUUCCUUUUCCAACAUCAACCAUUUUGGCAUAUAAUAUUUUGAUGGUGGAUCACAAUCAUAAAAGAUGUUCAAGAUAGUGUAUUUGCAUGAGUUGCAUUAUUGAUCAAUGCUAUGUUUGUCAAUCUCUAACAGAUUUUACUACUUAUACUAUUACUUAUGUAAUGUCAUUACUCGACAUAAGAUUAGCAUAUGAUCUUAUUAAUUUAUUUCCUCUCCUUUAUUUUGAUUGCAACAUAGAACUAAAGAGGGCAAAACUUGAACUAACUUUAUUAUAUCUCGCGCAUGAUUACAAAGAUAGAUCACUAAGCAAACACUCGAGAAGAAAGGAUCAAACUAAACUUUUUAUUUAGCUAAAUCAUAGGAAAACUAAGGAUUGAACUAAAGUAGAUAAAAAUAAAUAUAGUGGUGUGAUACGAUACCGGGGCACCUCCCCAAGCUUGGCUUAAGCCAAGGAGAGCCCAUACCCGAUACUCAAUCCUCUCUUGGUGGUGUUGAUGGAGUAAGAUUGCACUUCACUUCCAAGAGGUACUGCAGUCUACGAAUGAUGCUUAAGAGAGUGUUGUUGUACUCUUGCAGCUGGAUAUUUUCAAGAGUGAGACAUUUAUUCUGAAUACGAACCGUUUCAAAGGUAUGAAAUGCUUCGAUUUUAGUGGGGGUAAGAUGAUCAUAGUAGGGUUUAAGGAUAUAUUCUUCUUCUUCCAAGGGUGAGGCUUGCUCCUCUGCUUGAAUUUUAUCCACCAGAGCCUCCUUGUCCUUUAUCUCCGAGAUGACUACCUUGGGUUUCUCCCUCUUGAGUUCUAUCUUCAUCAGCCAAGCAUCUACAUCCUCGUCGUUGGGAGAGGGGGAAGUCAUGAUGUCUGGCCGUGUUGGAUCUGACAAAGAAACAAGAGGAAAGAAGAACAAGAGAUCUCUCUGUGGUACAGUGGUCAACACGAUCGGGGAGUAUAUAUUGAUUUUUUAUCUUGGGAAACAAGCAAAACAAGGGGAAAACGGAGUCGGGAAGGGGUCCGAGGUGGGCACCACCCACUUGGGUGCACCUGAGGUGCCUGGUGCACCCUGGUGUCUUGUUCCCUCCUCGGGUACCUUCGAGGCUGUUUCUUAUUUUCCUAAUUUUUUAUAUAUUCCAAAACUGAGAAAAACAUUUUUGUGGAUUUUUCGGAGUCCGUUUACUUACUGUAUCACGUACCUCCUAUUUUUCACGAUUCUGGAGUGUUACAGAAGGAUUCCCUUAUGUGUUCCUCCGUUGUCAUGGUUUGAAUAAUAUCGCUUUUAACAUUAAUGGGUGUACUUGAGAUGUAGUGUUUAAUUCUUUGACCAUUGACGACCUUCGGGUUAGUACCUUCGGCAUUAUUUAUUUUGAUAGCUCGCUAAAUUUCUUCAAUGAUAUAAGGUCAUUCCCAUUUAGAGAGAAGUUUUCCUCCAAAGAAUCUUAAACGAGAGUUGUACAAUAAAACAUAUUCUCCCACUUUAAAUUCCCGCUUUUGAAUUCUUUUAUCAUGCCAUCUUUUAAAUUUUUCUUUAUAUAGUUUGGCAUUUUCAUAAUCUUGGGUUCUCCAUUCAUCUAGCGACCUAAUAUCAAAUAAGCUAUUUUCACCGGCAAGUUUGAAAUCAUAGUUGAGUUCUUUGAUUGCCCAGAAUGCUUUGUGUUCUAACUCAAGAGGCAAAUGACAAGCUUUUCCAUGGACCAUUUUAUAGGGAGACAUACCCAUAGGAUUUUCAUAAGGUAUUCUAUAGGCCCAAAGUGCAUCAUCUAAUUUCUUAGACCAAUUCUUUUGAGACCUAUUGACAAUUUUUUGUAAUAUCAAUUUUAUUUAUCUAUUGCUAAGUUCAACUUGUCCACUAGAUUGAGGAUGAUAGGGUGAUGCAAUUCUAUGGUUAACAUCAUACUUAGCAAGUACUUUACGGAAGGCGCCAUGAAUAAAGUGUGAACCACCAUCAGUCAUUAGAUAUCUAGGGACUCCAAACCUAGGGAAAAUAACUUCUUUAAGCAUUUUAAUGGAAGUGUUAUGAUAAGCAUUACUAGUUGGAAUAGCCUCUACCCAAUUAGUAACGUAAUCAACAGCAACCAAAAUAUGAGUAUACCCAUUAGAGGAAGGAAAUGGUCCCAUAUAAUCAAAACCCCAAACAUCAAAUGGUUCAACAGCAAGUGAAUAAUUCAUAGGCAUUUCUUGACGCUUACCGAUAUUACCAAUUCUCUGACAUACAUCACAAGAUAGAACAAACUUAUGGGCAUCCUUGAAGAGAGUAGGCCAAUAAAAACCAGAUUGCAAUACCUUGUGAGAAGUUCUAUCUCCUGCAUGAUGUCCUCCAUAAGCUUCAGAGUGACAUUUCUGUAGAAUUUUUGCCUAUUCAUGCUCGGGUACACAACGUCUAAUAAUACCAUCUACUCCUUCUUUAUAAAGGUGUGGGUCAUCGCAAAAGUAAUCUCUUAAAUCAUAGAAGAUUUUUUUUCUUUUGUUGGUAUGUGAAACUAGUUGGUAUAUAUUUGGCAACAAUAAAAUUAGCAUAGUCAGCAUACCAAGGUGUGUUGUGAGAAACAUUUAUUGCAGCUAAGUGCUCAUGAGGGAAACUAUCAUCAAUAGGUAGUGGGUCCUCAAGAACAUUUUCUAACCUAGAAAAGUUAUCAGCAACGGGAUUCACAACUCCUUUCCUAUUAGUGAUGUGUAAAUCAAAUUCUUGUAGUAAGAGAACCCACCUAAUGACUCUAGGUUAAGCAUCUUUCUUUUCCAUAAGAUAUUUUAUAGCAGCAUGAUCACUGUGAACAAUUACUUGGGAAUCAACAAUAUAAGAUCUAAAUUUAUCACAAGCAAACACAACUGCCAAAAAUUCCUUUUGAGUGGUAGCAUAAUUCCAUUGAGCACUGCCUAGAGAUUUACUAGCAUAAUGGAUGACAUUUAAUUUUUUAUGAACUCUUUGUCCUAGAACAGCACCAACAACAUAGUCAGUAGCAUCACAUAUAAUUUCAAAAGGCAAGUUUGAGCCAGGUGGUUGAACAAUGGGUGCAGUGGUUAAGGCCUUCUUAAGUGUUUCGGAGGCUUCUACACAAUCAUCAUCAAAAACAAAUGGAACAUCCUUUUGUAAAAGAUUUGUAAGAGGCAUAGAAAUUUUAGAGAAGUCUUUAAUAAACCUCCUAUAGAAACCAGCUUAACCAAGGAAACUAUGAAUACCGUUGAUAUCUUUAGGACAUGACAUUUUCUCAAUUGCACCAACUUUAGCUUUAUCCACCUCAAUGCCAUGUUCAGAAAUUUUAUGACCCAAGACAAUACCUUUAUUUACCAUAAAGUGGCACUUCUCCCAAUUCAAGACAAGAUUAGUUUUCUCACAUUUGUGCAAAACUCGAUCAAGGUUUCUCAAGCAAUCAUCAAAAGAAGUUCCAUAAAGAGAAAAAUGAUCCAUGAAAACCUCAACAAUCUUUUCACAAAAAUCAGAGAAUAUAGCAGUCAUACAUCUUUGAAAGGUAGCAGGUGCAUUGCAUAAACCAAAAGGCAUACAUCUAUAAGCAUAAGUUUCAAAAGGACAAGUAAAAGUGGUUUUCUCUUGAUCACAUUGUGAAACACGUAUUUGAGAGAAACCUAAAUAUCCAUCAUACGUCUAUACACUUUGGUUGUCUCUUGAUCACUUUGGGUGGUUUUCUCUUGAUCACUUUGGGUGGUUUUGUCUUGACCACAUUGUGGAUUCAUGCCCCCUGAUGUCUAGCUUGAGUGACAGAAACAUGAGACUAGGGGAUGUGCUGUUUCCACCAGGGAGAAAACAAUGGUGCGUGUAACCACGGUUGCAAGGAUUGUUUACCUUAUGCAAAGUUUGUUAAUGCAGUUGUCCGUUGCUUUGAGUUUACACUUUGGGUGGGGCUCGCAACUUAAUACCAGCGAGAUGUUCUGGACAGAUAUCUCAAGGUGGAUGAUUAAUGAGUGGAUGCUGAUGGAUAAACGGUCUACUUGUCUUGGCGUACUGCCCAUACUUAUGAGCCUCUAACUUUCUUGUAGCAUGAUUAGCAUUGUGGUGCGUUUAUAAUUUUGAUAAUUGCCCAACUGUAAUUCGUUUACCCAGCAUAGUUGUUUAUCGUAUUUUGGGAGAGAGACAUCAGUAGUGAACAUCAAGGGACUCUGGUCCAUAUUUCCACCAUUGUUUACACCUCCACCAUUUACUUAUUUUUUUUUACUUUUAUGUUGCAAUCACCAUCGCUAUUCCCGCUUGUGUUUGAUCCUUUGCAAACGACAAGGCCAGAGAGAUUGACAACCUCUCUGAACUCGUUGGGAGCAAAGUUAUUUGUUGUGUGUGCAUGUCCACGUCUUGUGCUAGUGCCAGAGCAGUAGACACCUACUUGUUGAUCCUUGGAGUCCUCCUGGUUCGAUAAACCUUACAGUCCUCAUGUAAGGGAAAUCUGCUGCUGACUACGUCUCAACCUUCCACUUGGGGUAACUGUGUUGGGGAACGUCGCAUGGGAAACAAAAAAUUUCCUACGCGCACGAAGACCUAUCAUGGUGAUGUCCAUCUAUGAGAGGGGAUGAGUGAUCUACGUACCCUUGUAGAUCGUACAGCAGAAGCGUUAGAGAAUGCGGUUGAUGUAGUGGAACGUCCUCACGUCCCUCGAUCCGCCCCGCGAACAAUCCCGCGAUCAGUCCCACGAUCUAGUACCGAACGGACGGCACCUCCGCGUUCAGCACACGUACAGCUCGACGAUGAUCUCGGCCUUCUUGAUCUAGCAAGAGUGACGGAGAGGUAGAAGAGUUCUCCGGCAGCGUGACGGCGCUCCGGAGGUUGGUGAUGACCUUGUCUCAGCAGGGCUCCGCCCGAGCUCCGCAGAAACGCGGUCUAGAGGAAAAACCGUGGAGGUAUGUGGUCGGGCAGCCGUGAGAAAGUCGUCUCAAAUCAGCCCUAAUUGCUCCAUAUAUAUAGGAGGAGGGAGGGGGGCCUUGCCUUGGGGUCCAAGGACCCCCAAGGAGUCGGUCGAGCCAAAGGGGGGAGGACUCCCCCCCCNNNNNNNNNNNNNNNNNNNNNNNNNNNNNNNNNNNNNNNNNNNNNNNNNNNNNNNNNNNNNNNNNNNNNNNNNNNNNNNNNNNNNNNNNNNNNNNNNNNNNNNNNNNNNNNNNNNNNNNNNNNNNNNNNNNNNNNNNNNNNNNNNNNNNNNNNNNNNNNNNNNNNNNNNNNNNNNNNNNNNNNNNNNNNNNNNNNNNNNNNNNNNNNNNNNNNNNNNNNNNNNNNNNNNNNNNNNNNNNNNNNNNNNNNNNNNNNNNNNNNNNNNNNNNNNNNNNNNNNNNNNNNNNNNNNNNNNNNNNNNNNNNNNNNNNNNNNNNNNNNNNNNNNNNNNNNNNNNNNNNNNNNNNNNNNNNNNNNNNNNNNNNNNNNNNNNNNNNNNNNNNNNNNNNNNNNNNNNNNNNNNNNNNNNNNNNNNNNNNNNNNNNNNNNNNNNNNNNNNNNNNNNNNNNNNNNNNNNNNNNNNNNNNNNNNNNNNNNNNNNNNNNNNNNNNNNNNNNNNNNNNNNNNNNNNNNNNNNNNNNNNNNNNNNNNNNNNNNNNNNNNNNNNNNNNNNNCGUAAUACAAGAUCCCGCAACUUACACUAAGUUACAUUGCUUGCAAGGCUUGUGUGUGAUGUUGCAUUACCGAGUGGGCCCCGAGAUACCUCUCCGUCACACGGAGUGACAAAUCCCAGUCUUGAUCCAUACUAACUCAACUAGCACCUUCGGAGAUACCUGUAGAGCAUCUUUAUAGUCACCCAGUUACGUUGUGACGUUUGAUACACACAAAGCAUUCCUCCGGUGUCAGUAACUUAUAUGAUCUCAUGGUCAUAGGAAUAAAUACUUGACACGCAGAAAACAGUAGCAACAAAAUGACACGAUCAACAUGCUACGUCUAUUAGUUUGGGUCUAGUCCAUCACGUGAUUCUCCCAAUGACGUGAUCCAGUUAUCAAGCAACAACACCUUGUUCAUAAUCAGAAGACACUGACUAUCAUUGAUCAACUGGCUAGCCAACUAGAGGCAUGCUAGGGACGGUGUUUUUUCUAUGUAUCCACACAUGUAAAUGAGUCUUCAUUCAAUACAAUUAUAGCAUGGAUAAUAAACUAUUAUCUUGAUACAGGAAUUAUAAUAAUAACUAUACAUUUAUUAUUGCCUCUAGGGCAUAAUUCCAACAGUCUCCCACUUGCACUAGAGUCAAUAAUCUAGCCCUCACAUCACCAUGUGAAUUACAUUGUAAUAAAUCUAACACCCAUAUAGUUCUGGUGUCGAUCAUGUUUUGGCCGUGGAAGAGGUUUAGUCAGCGGGUCUGCUACAUUCAGAUCCGUGUGCACUUUGCAUAUAUUUACGUCCUCCUCCUCGACGUAGUCGCGGAUGAGGUUGAAGCGUCGUUUGAUGUGUCUGGUCUUCUUGUGAAACCUUGGCUCCUUUGCUAAGGCAAUGGCACCAGUGUUGUCACAGAACAAGGUUAUUGGAUCCAGUGCACUUGGCACCACUCCAAGAUCCGUCAUGAACUGCUUCAUCCAGACACCCUCCUUAGCCGCCUCCGAGGCAGCCAUGUACUCCGCUUCACAUGUAGAAUCUGCUACGACGCUUUGCUUGGAACUGCACCAGCUUACUGCACCCCCAUUAAGAAUAAAUACGUAUCCUGUUUGCGACUUAGAGUCGUCCGGAUAUGUGUCAAAGCUUGCAUCGACGUAACCUUUUACGGCGAGCUCUUCGUCACCUCCAUACACGGGGAACAUCUCCUUAGUCCUUUUCAGGUACUUCGGGAUAUUCUUGACCGCUGUCCAGUGAUCCACUCCUGGAUUACUCUGGAACCUACCUGCCAUACUUAUGGCCAGGCUAACAUCCGGUCUAGUGCACAACAUCGCAUACAUGAUAGAACCUAUGGCUGAAGCAUAGGGGACGGAGCGCAUAUGCUCUCUAUCUUCAUCAGUUGCUGGGCACUGAGUCUUACUCAAUCUUGUACCUUGUAACACUGGCAAGAACCCUUUCUUGGAUUGUUCCAUUUUGAACCUCUUCAAAACUUUAUCAAGGUAUGUGCUUUGUGAAAGUCCUAUCACGCGUUUUGAUCUAUCCCUAUAGAUCUUAAUGCCUAGAAUGUAAGCAGCUUCUCCUACGUCCUUCAUAGAGAAACUUUUAUUCAAGUAACCUUUUAUGCUCUCCAAAAGCUCUACGUUGUUUCCAAUCAGUAAUAUGUCAUCCACAUAUAAUAUUAGAAACGCCACAGAGCUCCCACUCACUUUCUUGUAAAUACAAGAUUCUCCAACCACUUGUAUAAACCCAAAUGCUUUGAUCACCUCAUCAAAGCGUUUGUUCCAACUCCGAGAUGCUUGCACCAGUCCAUAAAUGGAUCGCUGGAGGUUGCACACCUUGUUAGCAUUGUUAGGAUCGACAAAACCUUCGGGUUGCAUCAUAUACAACUCUUCCUUAAGGAAACCGUUAAGGAACGCCGUUUUGACAUCCAUCUGCCAGAUUUCAUAAUCGAAAAAUGCAGCUAUUGCUAACAUGAUUCUGACGGACUUAAGCAUCGCCACGGGAGAGAAAGUCUCAUCGUAGUCAAUUCCUGGAACUUGUGAAAAACCCUUUGCCACAAGUCGAGCUUUAUAAACGGUCACAUUACCGUCAGCGUCCAUCUUCUUCUUAAAGAUCCAUUUGUUCUGAAUAGCCUUGCGGCCCUCGGGUAGUAUCUCCAAAGUCCACACUUUGUUCUCAUACAUGGAUCCUAUCUCGGAUUUCAUGGCUUCUAGCCAUUUGUUGGAAUCUGGGCCCACCAUCGCUUCUUCAUAAUUUGCAGGUUCAUUGUUGUCUAACAACAUGAUUGAUAAGACAGGAUUACCGUACCACUCUGGAGCAGCGCGUGAUCUCGUCGACCUGCGUGGUUCAACAGAAACUUGAACUGGAGUUUCAUGAUCAUCAUCAUUAACUUCCUCCUCAACCGGCGUCGCAAUGACAGAGGUUUCCCCUUGCCCUGCGCCACCAUCCAGAGGGAUGAGAGGUUCGACAACCUCGUCAAGUUCUAUCUUCCUCCCACUCAAUUCUCUCGAGAGAAACUCCUUCUCGAGAAAAGUUUCGUUCUUAGCAACAAACACUUUGCCCUCGGAUUUGAGAUAGAAGGUGUACCCAACUGUCUCUUUUGGGUAACCUAUGAAGACGCAUUUUUCCGCUUUGGGUUCCAGCUUUUCAGGCUGAAGCUUUUUGACAUAAGCAUCACAUCCCCAAACUUUAAGAAACGACAACUUUGGCCUUUUGCCAUACCACAGUUAGUAUGGUGUCGUCUCAACGGAUUUUGAUGGUGCCCUAUUUAAAGUGAAUGCAGCUGUUUCUAAUGCAUAACCCCGAAAUGAUAACGGCAAAUCAGUAAGAGACAUCAUAGAUCGCACCAUCUCUAACAAAGUACGAUUACGACGUUCGGACACACCAUUACGCUGUGGUGUUCCAGGCGGUGUUAACUGCGAAACAAUUCCACAUUGUCUUAAGUGAGCACCAAACUCGAAACUCAGAUAUUCACCCCCACGAUCAGACCGUAGGAACUUGAUCUUCUUGUUACGAUGAUUUUCCACUUCACUCUGAAAUUGCUUGAACUUUUCAAAUGUUUCACACUUGUGCUUCAUCAAGUAGACAUAACCAUAUCUACUUAAAUCGUCAGUGAAGGUGAGGAAAUAACGAUAUCCGCCGCGUGCCUCUACGCUCAUUGGACCACACACAUCGGUAUGUAUGAUUUCCAACAAGUCACUUGCACGCUCCAUUGUUCCGGAGAACGGAGUCUUAGUCAUCUUGCCCAUGAGGCAUGGUUCGCACGUGUCAAAUGAAUCAAAGUCAAGUGACUCCAAAAGUCCAUCAGCAUGGAGUUUCUUCAUGCGCUUUACACCAAUAUGACCCAAGCGGCAGUGCCACAAAAAUAUGGCGCUAUCAUUGUUUACUCUAACUCUUUUGGUCUCAAUGUUAUGUAUAUGCGUAUCGCUAUCAAGAUUCAAUAUGAACAAUCCUCUCACAUUCGGUGCAUGACCAUAAAAGAUGUUACUCAUAGAAAUAGAACAACCAUUAUUCUCAGACUUAAAAGAGUAACCGUCUCGCAAUAAACAAGAUCCAGAUAUAAUGUUCAUGCUCAACGCAGGCACUAAAUAACAAUGAUUUAAGUUCAUCACUAAUACCGAUGGUAGCUGAAGUGACACUGUGUCGACAGCGAUUGCAUCAACCUUGGAACCAUUUCCUACGCGCAUCGUCACUUCAUCUUCCGCCAACCUUCGUCUAUUCCGCAGUUCCUGUUUCGAGUUGCAAAUGUGAGCAACAGAACCGGUAUCGAAUACCCAGGCACUACUAUGAGAGCCGGUCAAGUACACAUCAAUAACAUGUAUAUCAAAUAUACCUGAUUUUUCUUUGCCCGCCUUCUUAUCUGCCAGAUACUUGGGGCAAUUGCGCUUCCAGUGACCCAUACCCUUGCAAUAGAAGCACUCUGUUUCAGGCUUAGGUCCAGCUUNNNNNNNNNNNNNNNNNNNNNNNNNNNNNNNNNNNNNNNNNNNNNNNNNNNNNNNNNNNNNNNNNNNNNNNNNNNNNNNNNNNNNNNNNNNNNNNNNNNNNNNNNNNNNNNNNNNNNNNNNNNNNNNNNNNNNNNNNNNNNNNNNNNNNNNNNNNNNNNNNNNNNNNNNNNNNNNNNNNNNNNNNNNNNNNNNNNNNNNNNNNNNNNNNNNNNNNNNNNNNNNNNNNNNNNNNNNNNNNNNNNNNNNNNNNNNNNNNNNNNNNNNNNNNNNNNNNNNNNNNNNNNNNNNNNNNNNNNNNNNNNNNNNNNNNNNNNNNNNNNNNNNNNNNNNNNNNNNNNNNNNNNNNNNNNNNNNNNNNNNNNNNNNNNNNNNNNNNNNNNNNNNNNNNNNNNNNNNNNNNNNNNNNNNNNNNNNNNNNNNNNNNNNNNNNNNAAACCCUCGUGACGUCCGUGAUCUCAUCCGGGACUCCGAACAACAUUCGGUAACCAACCAUAUAACUCAAAUACGCAUAAAACAACGUCGAACCUUAAGUGUGCAGACCCUGCGGGUUCGAGAACUAUGUAGACAUGACCCGAGAGACUCCUCGGUCAAUAUCCAAUAGCGGGACCUGGAUGCCCAUAUUGGAUCCUACAUAUUCUACGAAGAUCUUAUCGUUUGAACCUCAGUGCCAAGGAUUCGUAUAAUCCCGUAUGUCAUUCCCUUUGUCCUUCGGUAUGUUACUUGCCCGAGAUUCGAUCGUCAGUAUCCGCAUACCUAUUUCAAUCUCGUUUACCGGCAAGUCUCUUUACUCGUUCCGUAAUACAAGAUCCCGCAACUUACACUAAGUUACAUUGCUUGCAAGGCUUGUGUGUGAUGUUGUAUUACCGAGUGGGCCCCGAGAUACCUCUCCGUCACACGGAGUGACAAAUCCCAGUCUUGAUCCAUACUAACUCAACUAACACCUUCGGAGAUACCUGUAGAGCAUCUUUAUAGUCACCCAGUUACGUUGCGACGUUUGAUACACACAAAGCAUUCCUCCGGUGUCAGUGAGUUAUAUGAUCUCAUGGUCAUAGGAAUAAAUACUUGACACGCAGAAAACAGUAGCAACAAAAUGACACGAUCAACAUGCUACGUCUAUUAGUUUGGGUCUAGUCCAUCACGUGAUUCUCCCAAUGACGUGAUCCAGUUAUCAAGCAACAACACCUUGUUCAUAAUCAGAAGACACUGACUAUCAUUGAUCAACUGGCUAGCCAACUAGAGGCAUGCUAGGGACGGUGUUUUUUCUAUGUAUCCACACAUGUAAAUGAGUCUUCAUUCAAUACAAUUAUAGCAUGGAUAAUAAACUAUUAUCUUGAUACAGGAAUUAUAAUAAUAACUAUACAUUUAUUAUUGCCUCUAGGGCAUAAUUCCAACAGUCUCCCACUUGCACUAGAGUCAAUAAUCUAGCCCUCACAUCACCAUGUGAAUUACAUUGUAAUAAAUCUAACACCCAUAUAGUUCUGGUGUCGAUCAUGUUUUGGCCGUGGAAGAGGUUUAGUCAGCGGGUCUGCUACAUUCAGAUCCGUGUGCACUUUGCAUAUAUUUACGUCCUCCUCCUCGACGUAGUCGCGGAUGAGGUUGAAGCGUCGUUUGAUGUGUCUGGUCUUCUUGUGAAACCUUGGCUCCUUUGCUAAGGCAAUGGCACCAGUGUUGUCACAGAACAAGGUUAUUGGAUCCAGUGCACUUGGCACCACUCCAAGAUCCGUCAUGAACUGCUUCAUCCAGACACCCUCCUUAGCCGCCUCCGAGGCAGCCAUGUACUCCGCUUCACAUGUAGAAUCUGCUACGACGCUUUGCUUGGAACUGCACCAGCUUACUGCACCCCCAUUAAGAAUAAAUACGUAUCCUGUUUGCGACUUAGAGUCGUCCGGAUAUGUGUCAAAGCUUGCAUCGACGUAACCUUUUACGGCGAGCUCUUCGUCACCUCCAUACACGGGGAACAUCUCCUUAGUCCUUUUCAGGUACUUCGGGAUAUUCUUGACCGCUGUCCAGUGAUCCACUCCUGGAUUACUCUGGAACCUACCUGCCAUACUUAUGGCCAGGCUAACAUCCGGUCUAGUGCACAACAUCGCAUACAUGAUAGAACCUAUGGCUGAAGCAUAGGGGACGGAGCGCAUAUGCUCUCUAUCUUCAUCAGUUGCUGGGCACUGAGUCUUACUCAAUCUUGUACCUUGUAACACUGGCAAGAACCCUUUCUUGGACUGUUCCAUUUUGAACCUCUUCAAAACUUUAUCAAGGUAUGUGCUUUGUGAAAGUCCUAUCACGCGUUUUGAUCUAUCCCUAUAGAUCUUAAUGCCUAGAAUGUAAGCAGCUUCUCCUACGUCCUUCAUAGAGAAACUUUUAUUCAAGUAACCUUUUAUGCUCUCCAAAAGCUCUACGUUGUUUCCAAUCAGUAAUAUGUCAUCCACAUAUAAUAUUAGAAACGCCACAGAGCUCCCACUCACUUUCUUGUAAAUACAAGAUUCUCCAACCACUUGUAUAAACCCAAAUGCUUUGAUCACCUCAUCAAAGCGUUUGUUCCAACUCCGAGAUGCUUGCACCAGUCCAUAAAUGGAUCGCUGGAGCUUGCACACCUUGUUAGCAUUUUUAGGAUCGACAAAACCUUCGGGUUGCAUCAUAUACAACUCUUCCUUAAGGAAACCGUUAAGGAACGCCGUUUUGACAUCCAUCUGCCAGAUUUCAUAAUCGAAAAAUGCAGCUAUUGCUAACAUGAUUCUGACGGACUUAAGCAUCGCCACGGGAGAGAAAGUCUCAUCGUAGUCAAUUCCUGGAACUUGUGAAAAACCCUUUGCCACAAGUCGAGCUUUAUAAACGGUCACAUUACCGUCAGCGUCCAUCUUCUUCUUAAAGAUCCAUUUGUUCUGAAUAGCCUUGCGGCCCUCGGGUAGUAUCUCCAAAGUCCACACUUUGUUCUCAUACAUGGAUCCUAUCUCGGAUUUCAUGGCUUCUAGCCAUUUGUUGGAAUCUGGGCCCACCAUCGCUUCUUCAUAAUUUGCAGGUUCAUUGUUGUCUAACAACAUGAUUGAUAAGACAGGAUUACCGUACCACUCUGGAGCAGCGCGUGAUCUCGUCGACCUGCGUGGUUCAACAGAAACUUGAACUGGAGUUUCAUGAUCAUCAUCAUUAACUUCCUCCUCAACCGGCGUCGCAAUGACAGAGGUUUCCCCUUGCCCUGCGCCACCAUCCAGAGGGAUGAGAGGUUCGACAACCUCGUCAAGUUCUAUCUUCCUCCCACUCAAUUCUCUCGAGAGAAACUCCUUCUCGAGAAAAGUUUCGUUCUUAGCAACAAACACUUUGCCCUCGGAUUUGAGAUAGAAGGUGUACCCAACUGUCUCUUUUGGGUAACCUAUGAAGACGCAUUUUUCCGCUUUGGGUUCCAGCUUUUCAGGCUGAAGCUUUUUGACAUAAGCAUCACAUCCCCAAACUUUAAGAAACGACAACUUUGGCCUUUUGCCAUACCACAGUUAGUAUGGUGUCGUCUCAACGGAUUUUGAUGGUGCCCUAUUUAAAGUGAAUGCAGCUAUUUCUAAUGCAUAACCCCGAAAUGAUAACGGCAAAUCAGUAAGAGACAUCAUAGAUCGCACCAUCUCUAACAAAGUACGAUUACGACGUUCGGACACACCAUUACGCUGUGGUGUUCCAGGCGGUGUUAACUGCGAAACAAUUCCACAUUGUCUUAAGUGAGCACCAAACUCGAAACUCAGAUAUUCACCCCCACGAUCAGACCGUAGGAACUUGAUCUUCUUGUUACGAUGAUUUUCCACUUCACUCUGAAAUUGCUUGAACUUUUCAAAUGUUUCACACUUGUGCUUCAUCAAGUAGACAUAACCAUAUCUACUUAAAUCGUCAGUGAAGGUGAGGAAAUAACGAUAUCCGCCGCGUGCCUCUACGCUCAUUGGACCACACACAUCGGUAUGUAUGAUUUCCAACAAGUCACUUGCACGCUCCAUUGUUCCGGAGAACGGAGUCUUAGUCAUCUUGCCCAUGAGGCAUGGUUCGCACGUGUCAAAUGAAUCAAAGUCAAGUGACUCCAAAAGUCCAUCAGCAUGGAGUUUCUUCAUGCGCUUUACACCAAUAUGACCCAAGCGGCAGUGCCACAAAAAUAUGGCGCUAUCAUUGUUUACUCUAACUCUUUUGGUCUCAAUGUUAUGUAUAUGCGUAUCGCUAUCAAGAUUCAAUAUGAACAAUCCUCUCACAUUCGGUGCAUGACCAUAAAAGAUGUUACUCAUAGAAAUAGAACAACCAUUAUUCUCAGACUUAAAAGAGUAACCGUCUCGCAAUAAACAAGAUCCAGAUAUAAUGUUCAUGCUCAACGCAGGCACUAAAUAACAAUGAUUUAAGUUCAUCACUAAUACCGAUGGUAGCUGAAGUGACACUGUGUCGACAGCGAUUGCAUCAACCUUGGAACCAUUUCCUACGCGCAUCGUCACUUCAUCUUCCGCCAACCUUCGUCUAUUCCGCAGUUCCUGUUUCGAGUUGCAAAUGUGAGCAACAGAACCGGUAUCGAAUACCCAGGCACUACUAUGAGAGCCGGUCAAGUACACAUCAAUAACAUGUAUAUCAAAUAUACCUGAUUUUUCUUUGCCCGCCUUCUUAUCUGCCAGAUACUUGGGGCAAUUGCGCUUCCAGUGACCCAUACCCUUGCAAUAGAAGCACUCUGUUUCAGGCUUAGGUCCAGCUUUGGGUUUCUUCGGCGGAUUGGCAACAGGUUUGCCGCUCUUCUUCGAAUUGCCCUUCUUGCCUUUGCCAUUUCUCUUGAAACUAGUGGUCUUGCUCACCAUCAACACUUGAUGCUCUUUACGGAGUUCAGACUCUGCGACUUUCAGCAUCGCAAACAACUCGCCGGGAGACUUGUUCAUCCCUUGCAUGUUGUAGUUCAACACAAAGCCUUUAUAGCUUGGCGGCAGUGAUUGAAGGAUUCUGUCAGUGAUAGCCUCUUGCGGGAGUUCAAUCCCCAGCUCAGCCAGACGGUUUGAGUACCCAGACAUUUUGAGCACAUGUUCACUGACAGACAAGUUUUCCUCCAUCUUGCAAGCAUAGAAUUUAUCGGAGGUCUCAUACCUCUCGAUCCGGGCGUUCUUCUGAAAGAUAAACUUCAACUCCUGGAACAUCUCAAAUGCUCCAUGACGCUCAAAGCGAUGUUGAAGUCCCGGUUCUAAGCCAUACAAGACUGCACAUUGAACUANNNNNNNNNNNNNNNNNNNNNNNNNNNNNNNNNNNNNNNNNNNNNNNNNNNNNNNNNNNNNNNNNNNNNNNNNNNNNNNNNNNNNNNNNNNNNNNNNNNNNNNNNNNNNNNNNNNNNNNNNNNNNNNNNNNNNNNNNNNNNNNNNNNNNNNNNNNNNNNNNNNNNNNNNNNNNNNNNNNNNNNNNNNNNNNNNNNNNNNNNNNNNNNNNNNNNNNNNNNNNNNNNNNNNNNNNNNNNNNNNNNNNNNNNNNNNNNNNNNNNNNNNNNNNNNNNNNNNNNNNNNNNNNNNNNNNNNNNNNNNNNNNNNNNNNNNNNNNNNNNNNNNNNNNNNNNNNNNNNNNNNNNNNNNNNNNNNNNNNNNNNNNNNNNNNNNNNNNNNNNNNNNNNNNNNNNNNNNNNNNNNNNNNNNNNNNNNNNNNNNNNNNNNNNNNNNNNNNNNNNNNNNNNNNNNNNNNNNNNNNNNNNNNNNNNNNNNNNNNNNNNNNNNNNNNNNNNNNNNNNNNNNNNNNNNNNNNNNNNNNNNNNNNNNNNNNNNNNNNNNNNNNNNNNNNNNNNNNNNNNNNNNNNNNNNNNNNNNNNNNNNNNNNNNNNNNNNNNNNNNNNNNNNNNNNNNNNNNNNNNNNNNNNNNNNNNNNNNNNNNNNNNNNNNNNNNNNNNNNNNNNNNNNNNNNNNNNNNNNNNNNNNNNNNNNNNNNNNNNNNNNNNNNNNNNNNNNNNNNNNNNNNNNNNNNNNNNNNNNNNNNNNNNNNNNNNNNNNNNNNNNNNNNNNNNNNNNNNNNNNNNNNNNNNNNNNNNNNNNNNNNNNNNNNNNNNNNNNNNNNNNNNNNNNNNNNNNNNNNNNNNNNNNNNNNNNNNNNNNNNNNNNNNNNNNNNNNNNNNNNNNNNNNNNNNNNNNNNNNNNNNNNNNNNNNNNNNNNNNNNNNNNNNNNNNNNNNNNNNNNNNNNNNNNNNNNNNNNNNNNNNNNNNNNNNNNNNNNNNNNNNNNNNNNNNNNNNNNNNNNNNNNNNNNNNNNNNNNNNNNNNNNNNNNNNNNNNNNNNNNNNNNNNNNNNNNNNNNNNNNNNNNNNNNNNNNNNNNNNNNNNNNNNNNNNNNNNNNNNNNNNNNNNNNNNNNNNNNNNNNNNNNNNNNNNNNNNNNNNNNNNNNNNNNNNNNNNNNNNNNNNNNNNNNNNNNNNNNNNNNNNNNNNNNNNNNNNNNNNNNNNNNNNNNNNNNNNNNNNNNNNNNNNNNNNNNNNNNNNNNNNNNNNNNNNNNNNNNNNNNNNNNNNNNNNNNNNNNNNNNNNNNNNNNNNNNNNNNNNNNNNNNNNNNNNNNNNNNNNNNNNNNNNNNNNNNNNNNNNNNNNNNNNNNNNNNNNNNNNNNNNNNNNNNNNNNNNNNNNNNNNNNNNNNNNNNNNNNNNNNNNNNNNNNNNNNNNNNNNNNNNNNNNNNNNNNNNNNNNNNNNNNNNNNNNNNNNNNNNNNNNNNNNNNNNNNNNNNNNNNNNNNNNNNNNNNNNNNNNNNNNNNNNNNNNNNNNNNNNNNNNNNNNNNNNNNNNNNNNNNNNNNNNNNNNNNNNNNNNNNNNNNNNNNNNNNNNNNNNNNNNNNNNNNNNNNNNNNNNNNNNNNNNNNNNNNNNNNNNNNNNNNNNNNNNNNNNNNNNNNNNNNNNNNNNNNNNNNNNNNNNNNNNNNNNNNNNNNNNNNNNNNNNNNNNNNNNNNNNNNNNNNNNNNNNNNNNNNNNNNNNNNNNNNNNNNNNNNNNNNNNNNNNNNNNNNNNNNNNNNNNNNNNNNNNNNNNNNNNNNNNNNNNNNNNNNNNNNNNNNNNNNNNNNNNNNNNNNNNNNNNNNNNNNNNNNNNNNNNNNNNNNNNNNNNNNNNNNNNNNNNNNNNNNNNNNNNNNNNNNNNNNNNNNNNNNNNNNNNNNNNNNNNNNNNNNNNNNNNNNNNNNNNNNNNNNNNNNNNNNNNNNNNNNNNNNNNNNNNNNNNNNNNNNNNNNNNNNNNNNNNNNNNNNNNNNNNNNNNNNNNNNNNNNNNNNNNNNNNNNNNNNNNNNNNNNNNNNNNNNNNNNNNNNNNNNNNNNNNNNNNNNNNNNNNNNNNNNNNNNNNNNNNNNNNNNNNNNNNNNNNNNNNNNNNNNNNNNNNNNNNNNNNNNNNNNNNNNNNNNNNNNNNNNNNNNNNNNNNNNNNNNNNNNNNNNNNNNNNNNNNNNNNNNNNNNNNNNNNNNNNNNNNNNNNNNNNNNNNNNNNNNNNNNNNNNNNNNNNNNNNNNNNNNNNNNNNNNNNNNNNNNNNNNNNNNNNNNNNNNNNNNNNNNNNNNNNNNNNNNNNNNNNNNNNNNNNNNNNNNNNNNNNNNNNNNNNNNNNNNNNNNNNNNNNNNNNNNNNNNNNNNNNNNNNNNNNNNNNNNNNNNNNNNNNNNNNNNNNNNNNNNNNNNNNNNNNNNNNNNNNNNNNNNNNNNNNNNNNNNNNNNNNNNNNNNNNNNNNNNNNNNNNNNNNNNNNNNNNNNNNNNNNNNNNNNNNNNNNNNNNNNNNNNNNNNNNNNNNNNNNNNNNNNNNNNNNNNNNNNNNNNNNNNNNNNNNNNNNNNNNNNNNNNNNNNNNNNNNNNNNNNNNNNNNNNNNNNNNNNNNNNNNNNNNNNNNNNNNNNNNNNNNNNNNNNNNNNNNNNNNNNNNNNNNNNNNNNNNNNNNNNNNNNNNNNNNNNNNNNNNNNNNNNNNNNNNNNNNNNNNNNNNNNNNNNNNNNNNNNNNNNNNNNNNNNNNNNNNNNNNNNNNNNNNNNNNNNNNNNNNNNNNNNNNNNNNNNNNNNNNNNNNNNNNNNNNNNNNNNNNNNNNNNNNNNNNNNNNNNNNNNNNNNNNNNNNNNNNNNNUGCCCUCGGAUUUGAGAUAGAAGGUGUACCCAACUGUCUCUUUUGGGUAACCUAUGAAGACGCAUUUUUCCGCUUUGGGUUCCAGCUUUUCAGGCUGAAGCUUUUUGACAUAAGCAUCACAUCCCCAAACUUUAAGAAACGACAACUUUGGCCUUUUGCCAUACCACAGUUAGUAUGGUGUCGUCUCAACGGAUUUUGAUGGUGCCCUAUUUAAAGUGAAUGCAGCUAUUUCUAAUGCAUAACCCCGAAAUGAUAACGGCAAAUCAGUAAGAGACAUCAUAGAUCGCACCAUCUCUAACAAAGUACGAUUACGACGUUCGGACACACCAUUACGCUGUGGUGUUCCAGGCGGUGUUAACUGCGAAACAAUUCCACAUUGUCUUAAGUGAGCACCAAACUCGAAACUCAGAUAUUCACCCCCACGAUCAGACCGUAGGAACUUGAUCUUCUUGUUACGAUGAUUUUCCACUUCACUCUGAAAUUGCUUGAACUUUUCAAAUGUUUCACACUUGUGCUUCAUCAAGUAGACAUAACCAUAUCUACUUAAAUCGUCAGUGAAGGUGAGGAAAUAACGAUAUCCGCCGCGUGCCUCUACGCUCAUUGGACCACACACAUCGGUAUGUAUGAUUUCCAACAAGUCACUUGCACGCUCCAUUGUUCCGGAGAACGGAGUCUUAGUCAUCUUGCCCAUGAGGCAUGGUUCGCACGUGUCAAAUGAAUCAAAGUCAAGUGACUCCAAAAGUCCAUCAGCAUGGAGUUUCUUCAUGCGCUUUACACCAAUAUGACCCAAGCGGCAGUGCCACAAAAAUAUGGCGCUAUCAUUGUUUACUCUAACUCUUUUGGUCUCAAUGUUAUGUAUAUGCGUAUCGCUAUCAAGAUUCAAUAUGAACAAUCCUCUCACAUUCGGUGCAUGACCAUAAAAGAUGUUACUCAUAGAAAUAGAACAACCAUUAUUCUCAGACUUAAAAGAGUAACCGUCUCGCAAUAAACAAGAUCCAGAUAUAAUGUUCAUGCUCAACGCAGGCACUAAAUAACAAUGAUUUAAGUUCAUCACUAAUACCGAUGGUAGCUGAAGUGACACUGUGUCGACAGCGAUUGCAUCAACCUUGGAACCAUUUCCUACGCGCAUCGUCACUUCAUCUUCCGCCAACCUUCGUCUAUUCCGCAGUUCCUGUUUCGAGUUGCAAAUGUGAGCAACAGAACCGGUAUCGAAUACCCAGGCACUACUAUGAGAGCCGGUCAAGUACACAUCAAUAACAUGUAUAUCAAAUAUACCUGAUUUUUCUUUGCCCGCCUUCUUAUCUGCCAGAUACUUGGGGCAAUUGCGCUUCCAGUGACCCAUACCCUUGCAAUAGAAGCACUCUGUUUCAGGCUUAGGUCCAGCUUUGGGUUUCUUCGGCGGAUUGGCAACAGGUUUGCCGCUCUUCUUCGAAUUGCCCUUCUUGCCUUUGCCAUUUCUCUUGAAACUAGUGGUCUUGCUCACCAUCAACACUUGAUGCUCUUUACGGAGUUCAGACUCUGCGACUUUCAGCAUCGCAAACAACUCGCCGGGAGACUUGUUCAUCCCUUGCAUGUUGUAGUUCAACACAAAGCCUUUAUAGCUUGGCGGCAGUGAUUGAAGGAUUCUGUCAGUGAUAGCAUCUUGCGGGAGUUCAAUCCCCAGCUCAGCAAGACGGUUUGAGUACCCAGACAUUUUGAGCACAUGUUCACUGACAGAACAGUUAUCCUCCAUCUUGCAAGCAUAGAAUUUAUCGGAGGUCUCAUACCUCUCGAUCCGGGCGUUCUUCUGAAAGAUAAACUUCAACUCCUGGAACAUCUCAAAUGCUCCAUGACGCUCAAAGCGAUGUUGAAGUCCCGGUUCUAAGCCAUACAAGACUGCACAUUGAACUAUUGAGUAGUCCUCCUUACGCGCUAACCAAGCGUUCUUAACAUCCUGAUCAGCCGUAGCGGGUGGUUCAUCUCCUAGCGCAGCAUUAAGGACAUAAUCCUUCUUCCCAGCUUGUAAGAUAAGCUUAAGAUUACGAGCCCAGUCUACAAAGUUGCUUCCAUCAUCUUUCAACUUAGCUUUCUCUAGGAACGUAUUAAAAUUCAGGCUGACGCUAGCGUGAGCCAUGAUCUACAACACAAAUAUAUUCAAAGUGGACUUAGACUAUGUUCAAGAUAAUUAGAGUUUAACUUAAUCAAAUUAUAUGCUAAACUCCCACUCAAAAAGUACAUCUCUCUAGUCAUUUGAGUGGUUCAUGAUCCACUUACACUAUCCCAAGUCCGAUCAUCACGUGAGUUGAGUAUAGUUUCAGUGGUAAGCAUCCCUAUGCUAAUCAUAUCAACUAUAUGAUUCAUGAUCGACCUUUCGGUCUCAUGUGUUCCGAGGUCAUGUCUGCACAUGCUAGGCUCGUCAAGCUUAACCCGAGUGUUCCGCGUGCGCAACUGUUUUGCACCCGUUGUAUGUGAACGUUGAGUCUAUCACACCCGAUCAUCACGUGGUGUCUCGAAACGACGAACUGUAGCAACGGUGCACAGUCGGGGAGAACACAAUUUCUUCUUGAAAUUUUAGUGAGAGAUCACCUCAUAAUGCUACCGUCGUUCUAAGCAAAAUAAGGUGCAUAAAAGGAUUAACAUCACAUGCAAUUCAUAAGUGACAUGAUAUGGCCAUCAUCACGUGCUUCUUGAUCUCCAUCACCAAAUCACCGGCACGAUCUUCUUGUCACCGGCGCCACACCAUGAUCAUCCAUCAGCGUGUUGCCAUCAGGGUUGUCGUGCUACUUAUUCUAUUACUACUAAAGCUACAUCCUAGCAAAAUAGUAAACGCAUCUGCAAGCACAAACAUUAGUAUAAAGACAACCCUAUGGCUCCUGCCGGUUGCCGUACCAUCGACGUGCAAGUCGAUAUUUCUAUUACAACAUGAUCAUCUCAUACAUCCAAUAUAUCACAUCACAUCAUUGGCCAUAUCACAUCACAAUCAUACCCUGCAAAAACAAGUUAGACGUCCUCUAAUUUUGUUGUUGCAUGUUUUACGUGGUGACCAAGGGUAUCUAGUAGGAUCGCAUCUUACUUACGCAAACACCACAACGGAGAUAUAUGAGUUGCUAUUUAACCUCAUCCAAGGACCUCCUCGGUCAAAUCCGAUUCAACUAAAGUUGGAGAAACCGUCACUUGCCAGUCAUCUUUGAGCAAAGGGGGUUACUCGUAACGAUGAAACCAGUCUCUCGUAAGCGUACGAGUAAUGUCGGUCCAAGCCGCUUCAAUCCAACAAUACCGCGGCAUCAAGAAAAGACUAAGGAGGGCAGCAAAACGCACAUCACCGCCCACAAAAACUUUUGUGUUCUACUCGAGAAGACAUCUACGCAUGAACCUAGCUCAUGAUGCCACUGUUGGGGAACGUCGCAUGGGAAACAAAAAUUUUCCUACGCGCACGAAGACCUAUCAUGGUGAUGUCCAUCUACGAGAGGGGAUGAGUGAUCUACGUACCCUUGUAGAUCGUACAGCAGAAGCGUUAGAGAACGCGGUUGAUGUAGUGGAACGUCCUCACGUCCCUCGAUCCGCCCCGCGAACAAUCCCGCGAUCAAUCCCACGAUCUAGUACCGAACGGACGGCACCUCCGCGUUCAGCACACGUACAGCUCGACGAUGAUCUCGGCCUUCUUGAUCCAGCAAGAGUGACGGAGAGGUAGAAGAGUUCUCCGGCAGCGUGACGGUGCUCCGGAGGUUGGUGAUGACCUUGUCUCAGCAGGGCUCCGCCCGAGCUCCGCAGAAACGCGAUCUAGAGGAAAAACCGUGGAGGUAUGUGGUCGGGCAGCCGUGAGAAAGUCGUCUCAAAUCAGCCCUAAUUUGCUCCAUCUAUAUAGGAGGAGGGAGGGGGGCCUUGCCUUGGGGUCCAAGGACCCCCAAGGAGUCGGCCGAGCCAAAGGGGGGAGGACUCCCCCCCCCCCAAACCGAGUUGGACUUGGUUUGGUGGGAGGAGUCCCCCUUCCUUCCCACCUCCUUCCUUUUUUUUUCUUUCCUCUUGAUUUUUCUUCUCUUGGCGCAUUGGGCACUUGUGGGCUGUCCCACCAGCCCACUAAGAGCUGGUGUGACUCCCCCAAUGCCUAUGGGCUUCCCCGGGGUGGGUUGCCCCCCCCCUCCGGUGAACUCCCGGAACCCAUUCGUCAUUCCCGGCACAUUCCCGGUAACUCCGAAAACCUUCCGGUAAUCAAAUGAGGUCAUCCUAUAUAUCAAUCUUCGUUUCCGGACCAUUCCGGAAACCCUCGUGACGUCCGUGAUCUCAUCCGGGACUCCGAACAACAUUUGGUAACCAACCAUAUAACUCAAAUACGCAUAAAACAACAUCGAACCUUAAGUGUGCAGACCCUGCGGGUUCGAGAACUAUGUAGACAUGACCCGUGAGACUCCUCGGUCAAUAUCCAACAGCGGGACCUGGAUGCCCAUAUUGGAUCCUACAUAUUCUACGAAGAUCUUAUCGUUUGAACCUCAGUGCCAAGGAUUCAUAUAAUCCCGUAUGUCAUUCCCUUUGUCCUUCGGUAUGUUACUUGCCCGAGAUUCGAUCGUCAGUAUCCGCAUACCUAUUUCAAUCUCGUUUACCGGCAAGUCUCUUUACUCGUUCCGUAAUACAAGAUCCCGCAACUUACACUAAGUUACAUUGCUUGCAAGGCUUGUGUGUGAUGUUGCAUUACCGAGUGGGCCCCGAGAUACCUCUCCGUCACACGGAGUGACAAAUCCCAGUCUUGAUCCAUACUAACUCAACUAGCACCUUCGGAGAUACCUGUAGAGCAUCUUUAUAGUCACCCAGUUAUGUUGCGACGUUUGAUACACACAAAGCAUUCCUCCGGCGUCAGUAAGUUAUAUGAUCUCAUGGUCAUAGGAAUAAAUACUUGACACGCAGAAAACAGUAGCAACAAAAUGACACGAUCAACAUGCUACGUCUAUUAGUUUGGGUCUAGUCCAUCAGGUGAUUCUCCCAAUGACGUGAUCCAGUUAUCAAGCAACAACACCUUGUUCAUAAUCAGAAGACACUGACUAUCAUUGAUCAACUGGCUAGCCAACUAGAGGCAUGCUAGGGAUGGUGUUUUGUCUAUGUAUCCACACAUGUAAAUGAGUCUUCAUUGAAUACAAUUAUAGCAUGGAUAAUAAAUUAUUAUCUUGAUACAGGAAUUAUAAUAAUAACUAUACAUUUAUUAUUGCCUCUAGGGCAUAAUUCCAACAAACUGAUGACCCACAAGUAUAGGGGAUCAAUCAUAGUCCUUUCGAUAAGUAAGAGUGUCGAACCCAACGAGGACCAGAAGGCUGUGAUAAACGGAUUUCAGCAAGGUAAUAACUGCAAGCACUGAAAGUAGCGGUAACUAGUGAUUGUGUAGCGAGGUGAAACGUAGCAAGCAAAGAGUAAUAAGUAACAAGUAGUAGCAACGGUGCAGCAAGUGUCCCAAUCCCUUUUGUAGCAAGGGACAAUCCUGAACAAAGUAUUAUAGGAGGAAAAACGCUCCCGAGGACACACGGGAAUUUUUGUCAUGCUAUUUCAUCAUGUUUAUAUGAUUCGCGUUCGUUACUUAGAUAGUUUGAUAUGUGGGUGGACCGGCGCUUGGGUACUGCCCUUACUUGGACAAGCAUCCCACUUAUGAUUAACCUCUCUCGCAAGCAUCCGCAACUACAAAAGAAUAAUUAAUACAAAGUCUAACCAUAGCAUUAAACUAGUGGAUCCAAAUCAGCCCCUCAUGAAGCAACGCAUAGACUGGGGUUUAAGCUUCUGUCACUCCAGCAACCCAUCAUCUACUCACUACUUCCCAAUGCCUUCCUCUAGGCCCAAAUAUGGUGAAGUGUUAUGUAGUCGACGUUCACAUAACACCACUACAGGAAAAACAACAUACAACAUAUCAAAAUACCGAACGAAUAUCAAAUUCACAUGACUAUUAUUAACAUGACUUAUCCCAUGUCCUCAGGAACAAAAGUAACUACUCACAAGACAUAAUCAUAAUCAUGACCAGAGGUGUAAUGAAUAGCAUCAACGAUCUGAACAUAAACUCUUCCACCAAGUAAUCCAACUAGCAUCAACUACAAAGAGUAAUCAACACUACUAGCAACCUUACAAGUACCAAUCGGAGUUGCGAGAUGAAGAUUGGUUACAAGAGAUGAACUAGGGAUUGGAGAGGAGAUGGUGCUGAUGAAGAUGUUGAUGAAGAUGCCUCCCCUCCGAUGAGAGGAGUGUUGGUGAUGACGAUGGCGAUGAUUUCUCCCUCCGGGAGGGAAGUUUCCCUGGGAGGAUCGUCCUGUCGGAGCUUUAGAUUGGAUCUGCUCAAGUUCCGCCUCGUGGCGGCGGCGAAACCACGAAAAAGCUUCCUAUUGAUUAUUUUUUUCCAGACCAGGACGCUUCAUAUAGCAAAAUAUGGGGGCUAGUGGGCCUUCAGGAAGCCCACAAGUUUGCCCACCGCCACCAGGGGGUGGUGGCGGAGUGGGGGAUUGUGGGGCCCUGGUGGCCCCCCUCCGGUAGUUCUUUCACCCAGUAUUUUUAAUAUAUUCCAGAAAAAAUCCACGUAAAUUUUCAGGGCAUUUGGAGAUGUGCAGAAUAGUGGAGUAGGAUUUUCUCCUUUUCCAGUCUAGAAUUCCAGCUGCCUGAAUUCUCCCUCUUCAAAUAAACCUUGCAAAAUAAGAGAGAAAAGGCAUAAAUAUGGUACCACAAGUAAUAUAACAGCCCAAAAAGCAAUAAAUAUCAACAUGAAAGCAUGAUGCAAAAUGGACGUAUCAACUCCCCCAAGCUUAGACCUCGCUUGUCCUCAAGCGAAAACCAAGUUCCAUAAACAUGUCCACAUGUUGAGGGACGAAGGUGUCGAUAAAACAUAAUACGGACAUGAGGGCAUCAUGAUCACACAUAGAACAGCAAUAUAUCAUAAAUAUUCUUAUGGGGAAGUAACAAUUCCUUCACAAAGCAAAGCAUGAAGCAAAAACCUUACCGAGAAAUAACCAACAAUAGUCCAUAGUCAUUGAAGCAAUUGCAAUUUAUCACAACAUCAGAAAGAGUCAAAUAAGAGCUUGUAAGGCAAACCCACAUACUCAAUCAUCUCUUUUGUUUUCCACAAUUCUUACAACUCACGUGGUACUCAUGGUGUCAAAGUUUCAGCUGGACAUAGAGGAAGAUAGGGGCUUAUAGUUUUGCCUCCCAACCAUUUACCUCAAGGGUAAAGUCAACAACAAUAAAGCAUAAGUACUCAACUCCAAGUUGAUAUAUGAAUAUAGAUCUUUCCCAAGCAUGUGACGGUAGCCAAGGCAAAGGCAAAAAGGGAAUUGGUGAUGAUCACCAUGACUCUUACAAGGGUAAAAAGUAAAGGUACAAGAUAGGCCCUUCGCAGAGGGAAGCAGAGGUUGUCAUGCGCUUUUGAGGUUUGAAUGUGUGUCCUCUUAGUGCGGAGGAACGUCACUUUAUAUUGCCGCCUGUGAUAAAGAAUUUUAUUAUGCAGUCUAUCGCUUUUAUGUCUUCCUCAUCACAGGUUCGUACAAAGCUUAUUUUCCACACACUAAUAGAUCAUACAUAUUAGAGAGCAAUUUUUAUUGCUUGCACCGAUGACAACUUACUUGAAGGAUCUUAUUCAAUCCAUAGGUAGGUAUAGUGGACUCUCAUGGCAAAACUGGUUGGAGGUUUAUGGAUGCACAAGUAGUAUCUGUACUUAGUGCGGGAGUUUUGGCUAAUAUGAGGUGGAAGCAAUCGUCACAUGCUAAGGGAUCUCUAAUCAUAUAACAUUGUUUGGAACUAAGCAAGCACAAUUCAUUAUGUUGUCUUCCUUGUCCAACAUCUACUCCUAGGCAUGUAAUAGUUUGGUGAGUGCUCACAAUUGUAAAAAGUGUCUAAGAUGAUAUAUUUAUAUGUGAACCUCUCUUUCCUUAUUACUUCUUAUUAAUUGCAACAAUGACUGAGGUCUAUGUUGAUUUAUUCUCAACAAGUUUCAAUCAUCAUACGUGUCAUAAGUGAAGUUAUCACUUUCCAUAAGAUCGUCUCAUGAUCUUUCAUGCUAUCGUUCUUUUUCAUAAUAUUGAUCAUGGCACAAAGCAAAGCCCUUGACUAAGACACUCUUUAUUAUAUAGCUCGUAAGCUCAAAUACAUCGGGGGAGAGACAAAAGCAAAAGACUCAAACUAAAAACUAAAGACUUAUUCCUCUAAAAGAAGAAAUAAAACUGAAAAGGAAAGAACUAAAGCAAAGGUAAAAGCAAAAGAUAUAAAGGUGAUACGAUACCAGGGCAACUCCCCCAAGCUUGGCAGAAGCCAAGGGGAUUGCCCAUACCAAUGCUUAGUUGUCUUCCUUUGGUGGUGAUGGUGGUGUAGUUGUCGCCUUUGAUUCCAAGAGAGCUAUCAACCUUUGGUUUAUACCUUUGAGAUCUGUGACAUGGUUUUCCAGCAAAACAACUUCACGAGAAAGAGAAAUAUUGCGAGCACGAGUUGUUUCGCAAAACCUCAAGAGUUCAAUCAAGGAUGGAGACAGCACGUGGAGGAAGGGUUGGAGAAAAUCUACUCCUUCAACGUCUUCAAUGUUGAACAUAGGUUGAACUUCCUCCCUAGCUUGGGUUUUCUCCUUAGCUUGGUCCCUCGCUUUCGUGACCUCUACUCUUUUCAAAUCAGCACCUACUUCCUCAUGAACUUGGUGAAGAUCAUUCUCCCCAACAAAUUCCUGAGACAUCUUAGCUCUAAAUUUGCGGCAGACAACAAGCUCAAAACGAAAACAGAGGAAAACUACGCGAUACGGAGAUCAAAACCUUCGGGCAACUAUAUAUUGAUUUUUUCUGGGCCAUAAGGAGUCCUCCGCAAGAAAACGGAGUCUAGGAGGCACACGAGGUGCCCACAAGCUUGCCCACCGUCGCCAGGGGGUGGUGGCGGAGUGGGCCCUUGUGGCUGCCUCGUUCGCUCUCCGGACUGCUCUUUAUUUUUCUAAUUUUCCAAAAAUUCCAAAACGGAAGAAAUUUCCUAUUGAAAAGUAUCGGAGUCCAAUUUCUUGCCGAAACAGAUACAUCUUCGUUUUCAAGGUCUGAAAUAGGUUGAUAAACAUCCCUUAUGUACUCCUCUGGAGUUAUGACAUUGAUGAUAUUGGUCUCAACAUUUAUAGGAGUACCAGAGAUAUAAUGCUUGAUUCUUUGCCCAUUUACCGCUCUAAGAAAAUUUCCUUCCGUGUUAUUGAUUUUGAUGGCACCGGAAUGAUAUACUUCGUCGACAACAUAGGGACCUUCCCAUUUAGAGAGAAGCUUGCCUGUAAAGAAUCUCAAACGAGAAUUGUAUAGCAAGACAUAAUCACCUACAUUGAACUCUCGUUUCUGUAUUCGUUUGUCGUGCCAUCUCUUAACCUUUUCCUUGAACAACCUGGCAUUCUCAUAUGCUCGGGCUCUCCAUUCAUCUAACAAGCUGAUAUCAAACAACUGCUUCUCACCGGCAAGUUUGAAAUCAAAGUUGAGCUCUUUGAUUGCCUAAUAAGCUUUGUGUUCCAGCUCAAGAGGUAAAUGACAGGCCUUACCGUAGACCAAUUUAUACGGUGACAUGCCCAUGGGAUUCUUAUAAUCAAUCCUAUAAGCCCAUAGUGCAUCGUCAAGUUUGCUAGACCAGUUCUUUCGAGAUCUAUUGACGGUAUUUUGUAGGAUCAACUUGAUCUCCCUAUUACUCAAUUCCACUUGACCACUGGACUAAGGAUGACAAGGAGAUGCAACUCUAUGGUUGACAUCAUACUUAGCUAGCAUCUUGUGGAAAACACCAUGAAUGAAGUGUGAACCACCAUCAGUCAUCAAGUAUCUAGGGACUCCAAAUCUUGGGAAUAUGACUUCUUUAAGCAUCUUAAUAGAGGUGUGGUGAUCAACAUUUUUAGUGGGGAUAGCUUCUACCCACUUAGUAACGUAAUCCACAGCAACUAAGAUGUGAGUGUACCCAUUGGAACUCGGGAAGGGUCCCAUAUAAUCAAAGCCCCAGACAUCAAAUGGUUCAAUGACAAGUGAAUCGUUCAUAGGCAUUUCCUGACGCUUACUGAUGUUCCCUAUUCUUUGGCAUUCGUCACAAGACAAGACAAACUUACGGGCAUCCUUGAAGAGAGUGGGCCAAUAGAAACUUGAUUGCAAUACCUUAUGGGUUGUUCUAUCUCCAGCAUGGUGUCCUCUGUAAGCUUCGGAAUGACACUUGUGCAGGAUCUGUCCCUGUUCAUGUUCAGGCACACAACGUCUAAUAACACCAUCAACUCCUUCCUUAUAAAGGUGCGGAUCAUCCCAAAAGUAGUGUCUCAAAUCAAAGAAGAAUUUCUUCUUUUGUUGAUAGGUGAAACUGGGUGGUAUGUAUUUGGCUACGAUAUAGUUUGCAUAAUCGGCAUACCACGGUGCACCAUGUGAAGUGUGGAUGACAUUUAAUUGCUCAUCAGGAAAGCUGUCAUCAAUAGGUAGUGGGUCAUCAAGGACAUUCUCUAGCCUAGACAAGUUAUCUGCUACAGGGUUAUCAGCACCCUUUCGGUCAACGACGUGCAAAUAAAAUUCCUGUAGCAGGAGAACCCAUCUGAUCAGCCUAGGCUUAGCGUCCUUCUUCUACAUAAGGUACUUAAUAGCAUCAUGAUCAGAGUGAAUAGUGACUUUGGAGUCAACUAUGUAAGAUCUGAACUUUUCACAUGCAAACACGACUGCUAAAAAUUCCUUCUCCGUAGUGGCAUAGUUUCUUUGAGCACUGUCUAGAGUUUUACUAGCAUAGUGAAUGACAUUCAACUUCUUGUCAACUCUUUGUCCCAGAACAGCACCAACAGCAUAAUCACUAGCGUCACACAUGAUUUCAAAGGGCAAGUUCCAGUCAGGUGGUUGAAAAAUAGGUGCGAUUAUCAAAGCCUUCUUAAUUAUUUCAAAGGCUUCCUCACAAUCCUCAUCAAAAACAAAAGGAACAUCCUUCUGCAAGAGGUUGGUAAGAGGCCUAGAAAUCUUAGAAAAGUCUUUAAUGAACCUUCUAUAGAAACCAGCAUGACCUAAGAAACUUCGUAUGCCUCUGAUAUCUGUGGGGCAAGGCAUUUUCUCAAUUGCAUCAACCUUAGCCUUAUCAACUUCAAUGCCUCUUUCAGAGAUUUUGUGUCCUAAGACGAUACCUUCAUUAACCAUAAAGUGGCAGUUCUCCCAAUUCAAGACGAGGUUGGUUUCUUCGCAUCUCUGUAAGACUCGAUCAAGGUUGCUGAGGCAAUCAUCAAAGGAAGACCCGUAAACGGAGAAGUCAUCCAUGAAAACCUCGACAAUCUUUUCACAAAAGUCAGAGAAUAUAGCCAUCAUACAUCUUUGGAAGGUGGCAGGUGCAUUACAUAAGCCAAAAGGCAUACGUCUAUAGGCAAAGGUACCAAAAGGGCAGGUGAAAGUGGUUUUCUCUUGAUCAGAUUGUGCAACAGGUAUCUGCGAGAAACCUGAAUAACCGUCUAGAAAGCAGAAGUGUGUGUGUUUUGAUAGCCUUUCUAGCAUUUGGUUGAUGAACGACAAAGGAUAAUGAUCUUUCCUGGUUGCCUUGUUCAGUUUCCGGAAGUCUAUCACCAUUCUAUAGCCGGUAAUAAUCCUUUGUGGGAUUAGUUCAUCCUUAUCAUUAGGAACGACGAUGAUACCUCCCUUCUUGGGUACGCAAUGUACUGGACUUACCCAAUCACUAUGAGCAACAGGAUAAAUGAUUCCUGCUUCCAGAAGCUUUAAUAUUUCUUUUCUAACGACCUCUUUCAUCUUAGGAUUUAAUCUCCUUUGAUGAUCAGCAACUGGUUUAAAGUCAGGAUCGGUUUUAAUCUUGUGCUAACAUAGAGUAGGACUAAUACCCUUAAGAUCAUCAAGAGUAUAUCCAAUAGCAGCGCGGUGCUUCUUCAGAGUUUUUAGUAACUUCUUCUCUUCACACUCUGAGAGGAGAGAACUAAUAAUGACAGGAUAUAUCUCCUUCUCAAAAAGAUAGGCAUACUUAAGAGUAUCAGGCAACUGUUUAAGCUCGAACACAGGAUCACCCUUUGGUGGGGGAGGAUCCCCAAGCAGUUCAACAUGCAGAUUAUUCUUGAGAAUAGGAUGUUGUUCUAAGACAAUUCUAUCUAUCUCAUCUCUCUCCUCCAUAUGCAUAUCAUUUUCAUGCUCAAGCAGAUAUUGCUCUAAAGGAUCCGUAGGAGGUACGGCAAUAGAGGCAAGAGCAAUGAUUUCAUCCCUACCAGACGACUCUCUUUCAUGGGGUUGUCUUCCAAACUUGGAGAAGUUAAAUUCAUGAGACACACCCUCGAAACUUACUGUGACAGUCUGCUUAAUGCAAUCAAUGUGAGCAUUGACAGUGUUGAGAAAGGGUCUACCAAAUAUGAUGGGACAAAAGCUAUCUUGUGCAGUACCAAGCACGAGGAAAUCAGUAGGAUACUUCGUCUUACCACACAGGACUUCUACGUCUCUCACAAUUCCCAGAGGGCUGAUAGUGUCUCUAUUAGCUAGCAUAAUAGUGACAUCAAUGGGUUCUAACUCAGCAGGUGCAAUCUCAUCUUUGAUUUCAUCAUAUAGAGAACGGGUUAUUGCACUAACACUAGCUUCCAUAUCACAUAAACCAUGGUAACAGUGAUCUCCUAUCUUAAAAGAAACAACGGGCAGGCCAACUACAGGUCCGUGUUUGUCUUUCACGUGAGGUUUAGCAAUUCUAGCGGAGUCCUCACAGAAUUUGAUAACAUGCCCAUCUAUGUUUUCGGCUAGGAGAUCUUUGAUAAUAGCAACACUAGGUUCAACUCUAAUCUCCUCACGGGUGCAAGUGGUCUAAUGUAACCCCUACGUAUCACAGUUGGAGCUUUAGAAUAAUCCUUUAACCUAGCAGGGUAUGGUGGUUUCUCAGUGUAAGCACAAGGAACAACAGGAUCACUAAAAGCUAUGAAUUUCUCCUCAACUAGAUUGGUUUUGGCUAUGUUGCUUUCUACAGGAGGAUGAUAUUUAAACCACUUCUCUUUGGGAAGAUCAACAUGAGCAGCAAAAGAUUCACACAGAGAAGCUACUAUCUCAGAGUCAAGUCCAUACUUAGCGCUAAAAUCUCUAGAAGUGUUUGUCUCAACAAUAGAUUUAACGCAAUCAAACUGGAAAUUCAUACCUGACUCCUUACCUUCCUCCAAUUCCCAAUCUUCAGAGUUGCGUUUGAUUCUCUCCAAUAAAUUCCACUUGUGAUCAAUAUCCUUCUUCAUAAAAGAACCGGCACAAGAAGUGUCAAGCAUGGUACGAUCUUCAUGAGAAAGCCGAGCAUAAAAGUUUUGAGUGAUGAUUUCUCUCGAGAGCUCAUGAUUGGGGCAUGAAUAUAGCGUUGAUUUAAGCCUCCCCCAAGCUUGAGCUAUGCUUUCCCUGUCACGAGGCCAAAAGUUAUAAAUAAAGUUCCGAUCAUGAUGUACUAAAUGCAUAGGAUAGAACUUUUGAUGAAAUUCCAAUUUCAACCGAUUGUAGCCCCAUGAUCCAGUAUCAUCACAUAGCCUAUACCAUGUCAACGCCUUAUCCUUCAAAGAUAAAGGAAAGACUUUCUUCUUUACCUCAUCCUCGGGCAAACCUGCAAGCUUAAAUAAACCACAAACUUCAUCUACAUAGAUUAGAUGCAAGUCUGGAUGUGAAGAUCCAUCUCCUGUGAAAGGAUUAGCCAGCAGUUUCUCAAGCAUACCCAAAAGAAUUUCAUAAAAGAUAUUUUGUAGGUACCUCAGGUUGAGGAGCAACUCCUCGUGCUGCCGUUCGUGGUGAAGAUACCCCGAACAAACUCCUCAAAGGAAGAGUUUCCAUAGUGACAAGUGACAAUAAAUUUCAGCACAGUAUAUAAAUGUUUCCUUACCAAUUUCCACUUACCAAAGGCGCUUCACUCCCCGGCAACGGCGCCAGAAAAGAGUCUUGAUGACCCACAAGUAUAGGGUAUCAAUCGUCGUCCUUUCGAUAAGUAAGAGUGUCGAACCCAACAAGGAGCAGAAGGCUCUGAUAAACGGAUUUCAGCAAGGUAAUAACUGCAAGCACUGAAAGUAGCGGUAACAAGCGAUUGUGUAGCGAGGUGAAACGUAGCAAGCAAAGAGUAACAAGUAACAAGUAGUAGCAACGGUGCAGCAAGUGGCCCAAUCCCUUUUGUAGCAAGGGACAAGCCUGAACAAAGUCUUAUAGGAGGAAAAACGCUCCCGAGGACACACGGGAAUUUCUGUCAUGCUAGUUUCAUCAUAUUCAUAUGAUUCGCGUUCGUUACAUUGAUAGUUUGAUAUGUGGGUGGACUGGCGCUUGGGUACUGCCCUUACUUGUAUAAGCAUCCCACUAGUGAUUAACCUCUCUCGCAAGCAUCCGCAAUUACAAAAGAAGAAUUAAGACAAAGUCUAACCAUAGCAUUAAACUAGUGGAUCCAAAUCAGCCCCUCACGAAGCAACCAUAGACUGGGGUUUAAGCUUCUGUCACUCCAGCAACCCAUCAUCUACUUACUACUUCCCAAUGCCUUCCUCUAGGCCCAAAUAUUGUGAAGUGUUAUGUAGUCGACGUUCACAUAACACCACUAGAGGAAAAACAACAUACAACAUAUCAAAAUACCGAACGAAUAUCAAAUUCACAUGACUAUUAUUAACAUGACUUAUCACAUGUCCUCAGGAACAAAAGUAACUACUCACAAGACAUAAUCAUAAUCAUGACCAGAGGUGUCAUGAAUAGCAUCAAGGAUCUGAACAUAAACUCUUCCACCAAGUAAUCCAACUAGAAUCAACUAUAAAGAGUAAUCAACACUACUAGCAACCUUAGAAGUACCAAUCGGAGUUGCGAGACGAAGAUUGGUUACAAGAGAUGAACUAGUGAUUGGAGAGGAGAUGGUGUUGAUGAAGAUGUUGAUGAAGAUGCCUCCCCUCCGAUGAUAGGAGUGUUGGUGAUGACGAUGGCGACGAUUUCCCCCUUCGGGAGGGAAGUUUCCCCGGCAGGAUCGUCAUGCCGGAGCUCUAGAUUGGAUCUGCUCAAGUUUCGCCUCAUGAUGGCGGCGAAACCACGAAAAAGCUCCCUAUUGAUUUUUUUUCCAGACUAGGACGCUUCAUAUAGCAAAAGAGGGGGGCUAGUGGGCCUUCAGGCAGCCCACAAGCUUGCCCACCGCCACCAGGGGGUGGUGGCGGAGUGUGGGCUUGUGGGGCCCUGGUGGCCCCCUCCGAUAGUUCUUUCGCCCAGUAUUUUUAAUAUAUUCCAUAAAAAAUCCACGUAAAUUUUCAGGGCAUUUGGAGAUGUGCAGAAUUGUGGACUAGGAUUUGCUCCUUUUCCAGUCCAGAAUUCCAGCUGCCUGAAUUCUCCCUCUUCAAAUAAACCUUGCAAAAUAAGAGAGAAAAGGCAUAAAUAUGGUACCACAAGUAAUAUAACAGCCCAAAAAGCAAUAAAUAUCAACAUGAAAGCAUGAUGCAAAAUGGACGUAUCAGUAACCAACAAGGGGCGAGGAGAAUAUUUCCAUCAACUCACCAUCAAAGUCGUAUCAGCAUCCCCAAGCUUAAGUCAGGCUCAUCCUCGAGUAGGUAAAUGAUAAAAACAGAAUUUUUGAUGUGGAAUGAUGCCUCACGUGUUCAUUGUAUUCUUUUUCUUUUUAGCAUGGGCAUAUGGUUGUAGAUGAUUCAAAACAAUAAUCUAUAGUUUGACAUGAAAAUUUCAAUACUCAAGCAUAUCAACAAGCAACCAAGUCUUUCAAAAUAUCAACGCUAAAGAAUGAUAUCCCUAGCCCAUCAUGCUCCAUCAUGGAUCCAUUCAUGCAACACACUCAAAUAUUAGCUACAUCCAAUGCUCAAGUAUGAUAAUGGUGUUCCUUAGUUGGUGAUUUAUAAGAGAAGAUGGAGACUCAAAUUCAAAAUAAAAUUGCGUAAAGUAAAUAGAUAGGCCAUUCGUAGAGGGAAGCAGGGAUUUGUAGAGGUGUGGGAGCUCAAAGUGAAAAUUUUAGAGAUAAAAUAUUCUGGGUGGUAUGCUUUUCGUGUCAACGAAAACGACUAAGGGUUUUCAAUAUCUCCCAUGCUAAACAAAUCAUAGGCGGUUCCCAAACUUAAAAUUAUGUUUAUUCCUUUUUCACCAUUCUUUCACAUUACAUGGCUAGCCGCAUUCAUGGGUACCGUCCAUACCAGCACUUUCCAAUGAAUUUAUCAUUUGACAACAUAAAAUAUUUUUCUUUGCAUUUUGGGACUCGGCAAACCUAUUACCGCCAUAAUCUCAUGCAAUGAUAAGUGAAUAAACACUCAUCUUGAGAAUAAUCUAUUUAACAUGGAAGAUACCAGCCACCCUUCGCCGCCUCAUGAGCGGUACGGGCACACAAGACAGAAAUCUAUUUUGAAAAUUAGACUUGGCACUUGCAAAUUUACUUAGAAUGGCGUUGAAAUAGCGCUUAUAGGUAGGUAUGGUGGACUCUUUUGGCAAAAUUUUGGGUUUUGGAUUUGGAUAGACAAGUAGUAUUACCGCUUAGUACAAGUGAAGGCCAGCAAAUAGAUUGAGAAGCGUCCAACCAAGGACUAAAAAUCAUUAUACGUGAACAUUAAACAUAAAUAACGUCGAAUAAUGCAACACAAGUAGAGUGUAAUUUCAUAGCAUAAUUAUUACCUUCAUGUGCAUGCAUAGGGAAUCACAAACCUUAACACGAGUAUACUUACCAAAGCAUAAUUACUCAUCAACAUUACUCAUAUAUCACUAUCUUCAUAUCACAAAUCUAUUGCAAAGAAUCAAGUUUAAUGUCCAAUGAUAUUCAUGAAUUUUUUUAUUAUAUCUUUCGUGGACAUCCAUUACUUUGGGAAUAAUUUCAUUUAAAACAAAUUGAAAUUGCAAAUAACAAUCUCUCAAACAAGUAUUAGUGAACAACGAGAGCACAAGUUUCUUUAAAAAAUUAACUCUCAAAAUAAUAUAAGUGAAGCAAGAGGGGAUUUCUUCAAAAUUUCUACUACUAUCGAAAUAAUCUAAGUGAAGCAUUAGAGAAAAUUUAUUCAAAAUAACAGCACCACCAUGCUCAAAAAGAUAUAAGUGAAGCACUUGAGCAAUUUCGUGGCUCUAAAAUAUUUAAGUGAAGCAUAAAGAGCGAUUCUAACAAAUCAUAGCAUAAUUUGGUUCUGUCAAAUGGGUGUGUCAAUCAAGGUUUAUUAUGACAAACUAACCAGCAAAGAAAUAAAAUACACAAAUGAUACAAGAUGCUCCAACGAAAACUCAUGAUAUGUGACGAAUAAAAUAUAGCUCCAAGUAAAAUUACUGAUGGUUGUUAGAAGAAAGAGGGGAUACCUUCUGGGUCAUCCCCAAGCUUAGUUGCUUGGUACUCCUUGGAUGUUACCUUGGCGUGCCAUGGGGCAUACUCAAGCUUAGACUUUUAUCACUCCUUAUUUCUUUAUCCAUGGUGAUCUCACCCAAAACCUGAAAACUUCAAUCACACAAAACUCAACAAAACUUUCGUGAGAUCCGUUAGUAUCAGAAAACCAAACUUUACUUUAGGUACUGUUGAAUACCUAUUAAAAUUUUGUUCUUGCAUUAUACCCAAUGUAUUCUAACUUUACCAUGUCUUAUACCCCCCGAUACAAACCAUAGAAUCAUCAUAACAACCACAUAAUGCAAAGAAAACAGAAUCUGUCAAAAACAGAACAAUGUGUAAAGAAUUGAAUUUUACCCAUACUUUUGUAAAUCCAAAAAAAUUGAAAUUUUAGGACAACUUAGGGAAUAUGUAUAUCAAUCUUGUAUAAAAAUUCAGAUACUUUUUAUGCUUCUCUGAUUUUUAGGAUUUUUUCUACUAGAUGCAAAUUUUUCUGUUUUUCAAUAGGAUUAAAGCAACUAACUCCCCACAUGAUCCCAAAGGCUUUACUUGGCAAAAACAAUAAAUAAAACAUAAAAAUACAAUUAUAACAGUAUCAUAAUUGUGCAAACACUCAAGAACAGAAAGAAAAGUGAAAAAAUAAAUUUUAUUGAUUGGGUUGCGUCCCAACAAGCGCUAUCGUUUUACACCCCUAGCUAGGCAUAUUGCAUAGAUUUCAGGUAUUGUCAUCCUUAGUGAUUGAUCCAUAGGUUUCCCUCAUGAUUUAUUCAUAUGAUAGUCAUGUUCUUUCACUCCAUAAUGUCGUUCUGUUAUGGUGUGUAUGGACCAGAGAACUCAUGAGAGACACCAAGGGAGUCAAGAUAGGUAUCUAGACCCGUGUUCUUGAACUUUGUGCCAUUGUCAAUCUCGAUAUGCUUGAUCUUGACAUUGUAGCUGGUCAGGCACAUGUUUGCAAAGCACGUGAAGAUUACGAAGUGAUAUAGAUUUGUAGUGGUAGAGAAAGUGGCCGAAUAAGUCCAUGUGGAGCAAGUCGAAGGGACUGAGAGUCAUCAAGAUAGUCUUCGAGGGGUGUUUGUCGCUAGUCAACUUCCCGGCUUCGCAGGCACCACACAGGUGAUCCUUCUUGAACUUGACACCCUCGACGCCAAUGAUGUGAUUCUUCUUGGUGAGUGUUCGCAAGUUCCUCAUACCAUCAUGUCCUAGCCUUUGAUGCCAUAGCCAUCAUUCUAAAGUUUUUCCUAGAAGACAUGUGGGCAACUAUGGUCUUGCAGAGAAGUCUACCAUGUAUAGAUCACCUAUUAGAAAACCUUCUAACACUUUGGUUUUGUCAGACGCCAUUAGUACAACGCAUCAGAAUUUGCCAAAUAUGAGAAGCAUGUCUAGAUCACAAAGCAUUGAGAUAGACAUUAAGGUUUAACCAAGGGAUUCGACAAACAUAACAUUUUCCAUGUGCCUAUAUCUUGUGAUAGCAACUCAACCUAGUCCCGGUAUUUUGCUACUACUUUUGUCGACAAAGACGAUGUGAUCUUAGGUUGGAGCUCGAAUAGUUGACUCCAUCAAUAGGCUUCGAUCACCAUUCAUGUGACUAGUGCAAGCACUAUCCAUGAUCCAUUUGGUUGGACUGGAUUUAUCUACCUAUAAUGAUAAUUAGUCUUGUUCACCUACACAUGCAACAACAUCAUGCAUUGAUGAAGAUAUUGCAGUGUAAGUAAUAGUAACACUAGACGAUAUAAAUGGUAACACCAUUUUCAUUUGUUUUCUUGCAUCCAGACAAGAAUGUUUUUCGGUCUCUAGAGAUAGUAUUCAAGAUAAGCUUCAUCCCUUCUAGAAUCCUGAUGUCGCAUGAAGAUAUUAGUUCUCUUAACCACCCACAUCCUAAGGGGUGGUUUAGAAGCCAUGAUACGUAAAGUAGCAUCAGAGAAUUUAUGCAAUGUUUCCCUAAUAGCAUGUUUCACAAGUGGGUUAGAGUACUCAAAUGAAUAUGCAGAAAAGUUCUUAGAUGGGUGAACAUAAAUAUGCAUGCCGUAGUGCUCAUAUUCAUGAGUAUUUUGAGUCCUUCCGUGUGAAACAUAUUUGUUAGUUCGAUCAUAUGAAGACCUUUGUCUUCUAGGAGACAUUGAUCUAGGGAAUGUCUUCCUCUUGAGAGAUGGCAUCGUGACAUUGACAGGAAGCUUCUUAAUAAGACUUUUGGGAACCGAGAUCUUCUUCAUGGGUGAACCAUUCCUGCAGUUAGUGCCAAUGAACCUAGCAAACACUUCACCAUUUUGGCAUUUGAAUAGUUUAUAGUUGGAAUUGAAGGAUUCAUCGGUAAUGAUAGGAUUAGCACAGUUAAAGCUAGAUAACUAAGGGGCCUUUGCAUCAGCAUUGAUGUUUCUUUCGAAACCAACACCCUCUUUCCUAGGGUUUUUGUUCAGGAUUAUCUUCUUGAGGACAUCUCACAAGAUUUGAUGUCCCUUCAGACUUUUGACAUGCAUGUCUCAAGCAAUGUCUUCAACCUGUCAUUGUCAUCAGUGAUAGCAGUGGUUUCCUCGGAUGAGAGGUUAGAUACCACAGAUAUAUUUGAAGAUAAUGCAUUUCCAUAAGCAUUUGAACAUUCAACAGUAGAAUCAUUAGCUUCAUGAGCAAGGCAUUUGAAGCAUGGAGCAUUAAAUUCAUCCUAAGGUAUACUGAUCCAUUCAGCAAGGAGUGGGUCAUUUUCCUUCCGAACAUCCUCAAGAGCCUCUUUCAACUUUUCAAGAUCAAGUUUUAUUUAAAUAUAUUCAAGGGAAGGCUUCUCAUGGUAAGUUGAGAGAGACUCAUGACGAUUUUGGAGAUCCUCAAACCUUGAACGAAGAUCACACAUAUCUUCUGCCAAGGCUUCGUUCAAACUCAUCUAGCUGCGCAACAGGUCAUCGCUUUUCUCAAGAGUUUGUUGCGUUUUUUCCAUAGCAUUGUGUUUCUUAGUGGCAAUCUUAAUGAGGUCAGAAUAUCUGGGUUUGGAUUCGCACCCAGAUUCACCAUCACUAUCAGAUCCAUCUUCACCUGAAGAUGAUGAGGCAUAAGAAGAUACCUUAGAACCUCACGCCAUGGGGCAGAUCGCAGGAUCAUUCUGUAUGAUAUUUUCCUUCAUUUCAUCAAGGUGCUUCCUGAAGCCAGUGAUGAAGGAACCUUGAUGAGUUGAGGUUCCUUCGCAGAUAUCUGAGAUCAUGUCCCAUAUAAGGUUCGUAGAGCCUAAACUGCAUACACGCGUGAACCAUGUCUUAGAGAGGCACAAACAUAUGACAUUCUUGGCGCGGGUAUCUAGGUGAGUAUAUAGACGAAUGUCUUCGUCGGUAGUGUCUUUGCAUAACCCUGAGAUGCCCCUAUCAGUGAUAGUUCAUAGAUCAUCAUUCGACGCUUGUAAAAGAUUACACAUCAACUUCUUUCAUAAUGGAUAGUUCGUGCUAUCAAAGACUGGGCAUGCAAUGGAGACCUUGAUUAUAUCUGUAAUCGACAUAGCUAAUACACCAGGUGGUUAAACCGAAACACGGAAUAAGGGAUUACCUUGCUCUGAUACCAAUUGAAAGUGCUAGUUAUUGAUUAGAGGGGGUGAAUGGGCGAUUUUUAUGAAAAGCUUCAAAACAGUAAAUGUAUUCAAAGUAAGCGGAAAUGAUGUAGGAUCAAGUAUGGAUAACGAUUAAGGAUCUAAGCAUAACAUGCAAUACUACGAAGACAUUCAGACAGACAAAGCAUAGUCAUCAUGAACACUAAUAUAUAUCAAGGAUAAACUUAGGUAGUAUGAGAUAGAUGAAAGUUAGGAAUGUCUUUUGUGAAUGUCUUCGAGUUGAGAUGAUCAAGAAAUGGCUUCAUAGUAUAGUACAGUAAGUGAGAGAGUGAAAGAUAGAACUAGUAGCUUGACGAAGAUACAUGAUUCGUUGGACCAGUUCAGUUGCUAUGAUAACUAUACGUCUAGUUGGGGAGGCUUAGACAUCGUCUUCACCUUGAUCCCCUUGAGCCGAAGUCCCUCAGACCAUGCCCAAUCACUCAGAUAAGUCUUCAGGGGAGACUUUUGAAACCCGUACAAACUUGGUCACCCAACAAUCCACAAUGACUCUUGGAUUGUUCUAGAUCAUGGUCACCCGGAAAUCCACAAUGAAUCUUUGAUGCACUAGACCACGACACCUAACAGUCUGGAAGAUCACAGUCUUCAAGUGUAACGAGUCUUAAGUUCUCUCAGAACAGAAAGAGUUCGAUAAUGCUCGAACACUCUCGCUCUAGGUGUUUGGGUUUGUCCUUGCGUGAUAGUUCUCUAUCUCAAUGUCUUCGAGGUGGGUUGCUCCAAACGAUAAUAGUCGUAUCUAACUCUGAGCACCCACCAACUUAUGGUGGAGGGGUGGGCUAUUUAUAGCCAGCAAGCAACCCUACAUGAUAUGACCAAAAUGACCGUGGGUCAAUGGCCAACCGACACGUGUUCCAACUGUUGGAUUUCAAAGACACACUCGGCAACAUUACUUGGGCUACAAAUAAUGUUGACUCAACCAACUCUGAAAGAGAUUUCCUCUCAUUGUCUUCGCUCGAAGACAUAGGUAAUUUGGGUUGACUAUUACGUCAACGUUUGACUUCGAUCACAUCGAUCCCACUUAACAGUUCGGUGGUUCCUAUGAUUCAGAAAAGAAGAAAUAAAACAAACAAAAGACUUCGUCUUUGCGUUUCAUUACCUUCAAGUGAUUAUCUUUGCAAACCGCCAAUGGUUUUGGUCAUCAUCAAUGUCUUCGGACAUUUUUUGGGGUAGUCUUUGACGGUUAAACCGAAUUUUCAGGGACUUCUAUCUAUGUUAAACUGUGAACUCUCACAAACACAUUAGUCCCUCAACCAUGUUUGUCUUCAGUAUACUCCAAAGCCAACAAGGGAUGGCACUAGAUGCACUUACAGCAUCCUAAGGCCAUUGAUUUGCAUCCGUAGUAGUGUGGUGCAACGGUUUUGCAAACUUAUUUAAAUAUGUGGAAAUACACUUCCAUGCAUAUACGUAUAUAUGUGUUAAAUGUAACCGUAUGCAAGUUAGUCGAAGUGUACGUAAUGCAUAUCGCUACCUUUUUUAAAAAGCAUCCAGAUAUAUUAUAAGGUUCAUCACAAUUGCAAAACACCCAAAAUAUAAUAAAGAUUACAUCAAGGUCCCUAGACCACCAAACGACCAUUGUCAUCGUCAGAACGAGUUGUCGACGCGUCGUUGUAGUCGCUCCCAUACCGGAGCCCGACUGACCUCACCGAUGACAAACGGAAAUCUUUGUGCACAUGUCCCAAGGACCAGCGUCUUGAAGCUACGGUUGUCAUUGUUGAACCCUUGAAUCGAUCGAAAGUACUUGACACCAAAUUUCCUCAUCGCGCACGAACGACGAGAGACCCUAACCUCGACGAGCUGAUAGAAAUCUACAUCGAAGCUCCGUCUAAUUCAGCCUGAUGAACGAACAUGAAGAGGAUCGACCCGAAAGACUGAGUCAAAGAAGAAGGGACGCCAUUUGUCAGAGCCCCACCCAAGGACUAAAAAAUACUAAGCUAUCUACUUCCGGGAGCCGAGGCACCAGAAUUCAGGUUCCGCCAUUACCUGCCAAGAUGACUAUGAUGAGAGGCAAAUCCACGGACGCGUUCGCAAAGAUUAAGGGAGGAAGCCUUUGACAUAAUCGUCUUGCGAGAGGGGAAAGAAAGACAAUCUCCUUCUCACGGACAAUGCAUAUCACUACCUACCACACAUGGUUACAGAAUGCGCGUAUAAUUCCAUCCAGAAACUAAGUCCGGACAUUUUCUGACCGCCAGCAAAUUGGAGUUAACUACCACCAAGUGGUUUACAAACCGCAGCCUUUGGCCUGAACUUUCUUGAGAUGGAGCUAAUUAUUGAGCUCCAUCUCUCCAUUUGCUUGACUGCACCAAAGUCUAUGCAAGUUGUUAUUUGAUACUUCAGCAGCCAGUAGAAAGGCUCGUACAGUACGUGUUUCCAUUGUGCACGUAGCGGCGUCACCUUCACUGCAAAGUAGAGUAGAAAUAAAAUCCGUCACAGUCGUACAUCGUGAGCAAGGGUGAUAGCUAGGUGCAUGGGAAUCUUCCAUCCAUGCAAACAAAACGGCAUGCGCGCGAUCGCGAGAGGGGCGAGCAAAGGGUCACGUCAGCGGAAGCCAACAAACGCAGCCAGGGCUCCAUCUCCAUGCAUGCAUGCAUGAUCACGAUGCGUCCGUCGACGCUCGCCAUGCACACGGCCUGUUUUUGUUAUUUUUCUUGAUAGCUUACCAAGCCGACCUGUUGGUCCCAAAUGAUGAUGCUUUGUUGAACAAGCACCGCACAGUACUACGAGUACGAAGGAGCCCGAAGAAGAAUUAACAACGCGCACGCCUCUGCGCGCGGCGGAGGCCAACCCCGGAAGCGGAGGCCGCGGGCGCCGGUUUAAACGCCGAUUCCCAUUGACCCCGCUCCGGCGCGUCGGCGCGGGGCAACGCGGCCUCGACAGGCAAAGACGGGAACGCCAUAUUUUUGCGGCACCAACGCACUGUCCAAACGAACCACGCCGGAACGGCGUCCUGCAUACAAAAAUGUAUAGCAUCCUCUUGAUGGCAAAGAAAAAUGAUAUCUCGAAGCUUAGAGUAAACGGGGUGGUCGAGCCAGCCAGCCAGCAGGGCUGCGUUGAAACCCGUGGGGAUAGAUGGCCAGGUCAGGGGCACAGGGCAGCGUGUGGAACGACGCAAGGGUACGUGUGAUGCUCGCCGGUCGUCCGGCUAGGCAGGCCCUGGAUAAUACUGAAUUAUACUCUGUAUCAACAUAGAUGCGUAUAUGCAUGCUCCUCGUGCAAGCCUGUCAUGACGAUCCCUUUUUGUCUCUUAUAAUGUGUUGCCGUUAGACUGCUUAUUAAGAAAUAACGUACUAGUAAGCUUGUCUUGGUCCUUUUCAGACACGCAAGACUUGGCCGAUCCUUUGCUUGAUUAUUAGAACCUCAAGUUCCGUGUGCGCCAGCGUGGUCUUGACUCUGGUGAGGCGUCAGGAAGGAUUAAUUGGGAGCUGUUCUGGACGGCGGGAACUCUAGCUACCUAAUGUCGCCAAUGUACCAUUUCUAUUCGGUACGGCUACCAGAAUAUACAUUUGACAAUAAAAAAAUGGAAUAACGCACCGCGUCUUAUGAUCGAAUUUCAACAACAUCGAUGCGGCGUAUACACUAACCUAUAUUUAUACCGUAUUUUUGCGGGGGUAUACACUAACCUAUAUAUGCGUACGUCUAAACGCAAGACAUGUGUGCGUAUCAUUUCUUAAUCUAGGCGCCGUCAGAAGAAAUUUUCUUUCCAUAAAAUGUCUCGUAGCAAAACUUCCCGCAAAAACAAAUGCGUACCAAACCAAUGUCGUCCGUGUGUACUCUUACAAAGUACAAACUGGUAAUUUGACCUCUGGUUGUUUGUUAGUAGAGGUCACUGUUCAUAUCUAAAAUUUAUAUUCGGAACGUUAGAAAUCACAACACAAAUCAAUGUCAUAUACUAUUGUCGUAUAGGUUCGUAGGGUAGGUACGUGUCUGUGUUUUUUUAUUUGCAUACGUUAAAAUAUGAGUGAAAAAAUUAGUUAAGUUUGUCGUGUUUGCAAAAUACAAUGCAGGUCUGACUAUCUACAUUUAUUCAAUAAUAAAUCUCUUUUCAAAUUUUGAAAUGGCACCAAAAUAACUAAGUCAAAUCAAAUCUGCCAACCCCUCCCUCAAGACUUCACACAAAAGUUCGUCUAUAUUUGUUCCAGAAAUGUCUGCAUGCCCGUUGGAUGUGCGGACGCGCGACAAAUUGGCAAUGAUGAAUCAGCAAUAGCUGCAUGCGCUAACGUGCAUACGUGACUUGAAUUUGUGCAAUGGCCGCAGAAUUCCAAGGUGGCAGCAACACCGAUGGUCAUGUGAGAGCAACUCCAACCAAACGACCUAAGCGGACACGUGUAACCCUUUUUUGUUUGGAUAUGUUCAACGCGUCGAUUCAUUUUUCACCCGCACGGUAGGCUUGCAGUCAUUUUUUGAUCACUCAAGAACCACACGAAAUUUAAUUCUAAAUUAACAAAUGUUCAACACAAAACAUUGCAUAAUUAAUUCAAGAAUUACAUAAAUAUCUCAUAGCUUAACAUUAAAUUGUCUCAAAGACAUUUAAAACAACAGGUUGCUGAUACAUCUAUUAGUUGCCGACAUGAAUUUACAUAUGCUCAACCAAACCAUUUUACAGCUGCAUGAAAAUCGAUGAAAUGUACAAAUGUUGCCGCUCCUCCAUGCUCAAACACAACAUUGCCAUCCUGAAACUGAAACCCUUGAACACAGAGACGUUCUGCGCGUUCAUCCUCUAUGAUCAUGUUGUGCACGAUCACACAAGUUGUCAUCAUCUCCCACAACUUUUUAGUGUUCCAAGUUCUAGCAGGAUACCGAACGAUGCCCGUCGAGAUUCCAGAACGUCAAAGGCACGCUCUACAUCCUUUCUAACACUCUUUCGCUCUUCGGCAAAUCUCUUUCUCUUCUCUCCUACGGGAUUGGAGAUUAUCUUCACAAGAGUAUACCAUUGUGGAUAGAUAACGUCACCUAGAUAGUAUUCAAUGUUCUAUUUGUGGCCAUUGAUCUCAACAUUGACCUCCGGGCAAUUGCUUUGUGCCAUCCUAUCAAACACCGGAGAGCGUUGGAGCACAUUGAUAUCACUGUGAGAUCCGGCCAUGCCGAAGAAAGAGUGCCAAAUCCAGAGAUCUUUGGAAGCCACGGCCUCAAGUAUGACAGUGCAAGCUCGUACAUGGCCCUUAUACUGGCCAUGCCAAGCAGAAGGGCAGCUUUUCCACUUCCAAUGCAUACAAUCUACCAAGCAUCCCCGGUAACCCCCCUGCAAGCAUUCAUUGCCAGCAAGCGUGUUGUAUCAGCAACUGUUGGUUCUCUCAAAUACUCCCGCCCAAACACAGCUAUGUGAGCUUUGCAAAACUUAUACGUGGACUCAAGGCAUGUGAACUCACUCAUCCGGGCAUACUCAUCAAUGAGAUCGUCGGGAACUCCGUAUGCAAGCAUCCGAAUGGCAACAGUGCAUUUCUAAUAAGAGGAGAAGCCAAUAUUUCCAAGGACAUCCGUCUUGCACUCAAAAUAGUUAUCGUACUCCACCACCCCCUCCUGAAUACGGUUGAACACAUGCCUAGCCAUAGGAACACAACAUCGAAACAUGUGAUGUUUGAAGAGCGGGUUUGUGGUCUCAAAUUAGUCCUUCCAAAGUAGGAAAUGACCACUCUCUCGGUUGCGAUUCAGUGUCGGCAUGUGCCCCAAUAUGGAGGCCCUAAAUAGCAGCCGCUCCAUACUUGGGUGGUCAUGGACGACCAACGUAGCUGCUAUGAUAUCCUCUUCAUCGGAUGAAGAAUCAUCUCACGAAGAACGUGGUAGAAAAAGAACUCAUCAUCGUUGUCCAUUUGUACCUUGCAGGUAAACUGUCGAACAACUUGCGGCCAUCAUGGAAGAAGCGAGCCGGUGAGGAGCCACACGCCCCACCGAGACAAAGUAGCAGAGUUGGGCGGCGGUGGGAGAUGAGGCUGCCAUGAGGGUGAGUCUACGGGCGGAUGGCUAGGAACGAGGACGGAAGUGGGCGGUGGCGGUGGUAGGCGGGGCAAACGGCUGAGUUGGAGGCGGAGGAGGAAGGGGAAAGUGACGUACGUGCCACUGACUCAUGGCCCAGUGUGAAGAGAAGGGAGGGUGACGCGAGCGUCCGUCCCAUGUCUGCGCCAACGCAAAUGCGGCCGAAAUUUCGGCCUGGAAUGGGUCGUGGGCGGACAAAAAAAUGAACAUGUGUCUGUUUGGGUCACCGCGUUGGGACGUGUUUUGUGUCCGCGAUGACCCAAACGGACACGGGCGGACGAAAUGGGUCGCCUGGUUGGAGUUGCUCUGAAUGUUUGUCUCACUGUGCAAUAGUUUCCCCUAAGACACAUUAUGCCAAUACUGCAUAAAUGAGCUACAACUAUAUUUAUAUCAUCUAAUAUUAAAAUGAGAAAAAUGAUAGGUGAAGAUUGGAUUGUGCAGAGAAGAUCUUAGAUUUAGAAAAAUCAAAAUAAAAGCAAAAUAUUUGCAUCAUCCAUUAAUUAAGAAGUUAAGAGUUGUUUUUCCAAACAAAAGAAAAAAAUAUUAUUGCAAAGCCACUACUCUCACGGCAUGAUGUUACUGUGCUUCGCGAUGGCGGUGACCCAGAGUGUAUCCUAGCUCUUGAUAUUGGAGAGGAUAUUGGAUGGGAGCGUGGACUUGAGACUAAAAACUAGCAUUUCGUUCACACCAAAUCGUCCAACAAACUAGCAUGGUUAGGGACGCCAUCACUUUCCGGUUGCUAGUAUUCUUCUCGGGCAUAUUGAUUCACCAGUCCUUGGUGGAACACUCAUCUAUCCAGUGAGAAGUGUUGAUGUGCACUAGGUCUAGCCAAGCCUUGAUCAUGCCCCAAAGCCUCAAGGUGAACCGACAUUUGAAGAAUAGAUGCUCACUGAUUCCUCUAUUUGCCUGCAUGGGGGACAAAGUCCACAAUUCGGCCAACCACGCCUCUUGAGUAUGUCCAUGGUCCAAAUUCAAUUUCAAAUAGCAAGCCACGCAAAUCAUUGACCCUGGGAGGAGCCCAAGUGUUCCAAAUCGCAUAGGCCAUGAGCGAGCGAGUGGUUUCGUGGAACUGUGCUUUGUAAGCUGAGGUGGCGUAGUAGGGGCCACUAGCCAUAUGCUUCCAAAUGAUGUCGUCAUGAGUGUAUUCCUGAAGGAGGAUCACAUGUAAACAAGCCCAUAGGAUCACAAUUUGCUGAAUGUUGCUCAUCCCCCAAUUAGUGGGGAGCUUGAUCUUAGACAGCCAAGUGCCUUGCAUGGCUUCCCUAACCUUCCAUUUAUUUCUCGUGGAUGCCUCAAAAAUGGGCGGUGCCAUGCCAAUAGGCCUUUUUCCAUUUUAUCCGAGGUGAGUCCUACAAAGGUGUGCGAGCCCCAUUUCCCAAGAUAAUGUUCGUGGAUGCGUAAAAGAGAUGUUGCUCAAGUUCGUCACAAGGGUUUUCUAAACCAACCCACAUCUUUGUUGGCUCCUGAUGACGAGAUGAUGUAUAUACUUCUCGCCCCUCGUUGGAUACCCCAAGUGGAAGGUGGAGAUGUAGUCAGCAGCAAAUUUCCCUUACACGGAGACUGUAAGGUUUAUCGAACCAGGAGGACUCCUAGGCUCAACAAGUAAGUGUCUUCCACCCUGGCGCUAGCAGAAGACGUGGACCUGCACACAUAACAAAUAAUUUUGCUCCCAAUAAGUACAAAGAGGUUGUCAAUCUCUCUGGCCUUUUAGUUUGCAAAUGAUCAAAACACAAGCGAGAAGGUAAUAAUGAUAGCAACGGAAAAGUAAAUGAAAGUGGUAAAUGAUGGAGGUGUAAACAAUGAUGGUGAUAUGGACCGGAGUCACAUGAUGUUCACUAGUGAUGUCUCUCUCCCAAAAGACGAUAAAAACUAUGCUAGGGUAAACAAAUGAUAGUUGGGCAAUUGAUAGAAUUAUGAUCGCACCGCAAUGGUAAUUAUGCUACUUGAUAGUUAGAGAUUCAAUAGUAAUGGGCAGUACGCCAAGACAAGUAGAUCGUUUAUUCAUCAGCAUCUACUUACUAAUCAUCCACCUUGAGAUAUUUAUCCAGAACAUCUCUCCGGUAUUAAGUUGCAAGCCCUACCCAAAGUGUAAACUCAAAGCAACGGACAACUGCAUUAACGAACUAUGCGUAAGGUAAACAAUCCUUUCAACCGUGGUCACAAGCACCGUUGUUUUCUCCCUGGUGGCAACAAGCACAUCCCCUAGUAUCAUGUUUCUGUCACUCAAGCUAGACAUCGAGGGGCCCGAACCCAGAAUCAUGCAUAAUGCUCCCUCUUGGAGUUACGAUCUACUACUUGGCCAAAGCAAUAAAAAGCAAUGGAGAACAUGCAAGAAUCACUACGGAACAAAAUAUAAAAGGACAAUCAAAUAUAUAACUCAUAACAAUCUAAACAUAAUCUCAUAAUCCAUCGGAUCCCAACAAACCGAGCAUAGCAAAAGCAAGAGGAUUACAUAGAUGCCUUCAUCAUGUAGGGCAGCUCACAAGGACUAACCAUUGAAGCACAAGAUUAGAGAGAAGACAUCACAUAGCUGCUGGUCAUGGACUCAUGGUCCAAGGAGGGCUACUCACGGCACGUCCGGGAAGCAUCCAUGGCGGUGGAGUAGCUUCCGGAGGUCAAUCCUCCCUCCGGAGGGUGCCGAGAAGAGGUCUCGUGACACUCUCGAUCUCAGAAGCGUUGCGGCAGCGGAACGAUGAAGAAAUUCGCGAUUCCAGAAAGUCUGCGAGGGUUUCCUCACGGAUCUCAAAAUAUAGGCCAAAGCAGGGCACCAUAGAAGGUGGGACCCACCCAGGCGACCUCNNNNNNNNNNNNNNNNNNNNNNNNNNNNNNNNNNNNNNNNNNNNNNNNNNNNNNNNNNNNNNNNNNNNNNNNNNNNNNNNNNNNNNNNNNNNNNNNNNNNAGACAAUAUUGGGCUGACCCCACCUACUUGGUGCGCCACCCCCAAGGUCCUUGGGCCCUCCCGGGUGGGUGGUCCCCCCUCCCGGUGAAGAUCCGGAACCCAUUCGUCAUUCCCGGUACAUUACCGGUAAUGCCCGAAAACCUUCCGGUAACCAAAUGAAGUCAUCCUCUAUAUCAAUCUUCGUUUCCGCACCAUUCCGGAAACCCUCGUGACGUCCGUGAUCUCAUCCGGGACUCCGAACAACAUUCGGUAACCAACCAUAUAACUCAAAUACGCAUAAAACAACGUCGAACCUUAAGUGUGUAGACCCUGCGGGUUCGAGAACUAUGUAGACAUGACCCGAGUGACUCCUCGGUCAAUAUCCAAUAGCGGGACCUAGAUGCCCAUAUUGGAUCCUACAUAUCUACGAAGAUCUUAUCGUUUGAACCUCAGUGCCAAGGAUUCAUGUAAUCUCGUAUGUCAUUCCCUUUGUCCUUCGGUAUGUUACUUGCCCGAGAUUCGAUCGUCAGUAUCCGCAUACCUAUUUCAAUCUCGUUUACCGGCAAGUCUCUUUACUCGUUCCGUAAUACAAGAUCCCGCAACUUACACUAAGUCACAUUGCUUGCAAGGCUUGUGUGUGAUGUUGUAUUACNCGAGUGGGCCCCGAGAUACCUCUCCGUCACACGGAGUGACAAAUCCCAGUCUUGAUCCAUACUAACUCAACGAACACCUUCGGAGAUACCUGUAGAGCAUCUUUAUAGUCACCCAGUUACGUUGCGACGUUUGAUACACACAAAGCAUUCCUCCGGUGUCAGUGAGUUAUAUGAUCUCAUGGUCAUAGGAACAAAUACUUGACANNNNNNNNNNNNNNNNNNNNNNNNNNNNNNNNNNNNNNNNNNNNNNNNNNNNNNNNNNNNNNNNNNNNNNNNNNNNNNNNNNNNNNNNNNNNNNNNNNNNAUAUCGUUACAAGUACAUGUACUGAAGAGAAGAGUUAUAUAAAGAGUUGGCUUACACUCGCCACAAGCUACAUCAGGGUCACAUCAGUACAUUACAUAAUCAUCACGAGUAAGAGCAGGGUCCGACUACGGACGAAAACAAACGACAAAAGAAGAACGACGUCCAUCCUUGCUAUCCCAGGCUGCCGGCCUGGAACCCAUCCUAGAUCGAUGAUGAAGAAGAAGAAGCAACUCCAAAUGAACAAACAACGCGCUCGUGUCAAGUACCCUUUACCUGUACCUGCAACUGGUGUUGUAGUAAUCUGUGAGCCACAGGGGACUCAUCAAUCUCAUUUCCAAAGGUAUCAAGACUAGCAAAGCUUGUUAGGUGAGGCAUGGUUAAGUGGUGAGGUUGCAGCAGCGGCUAAGCAUAUAUUCGGUGGCUAACUUACGAGUACAAGAAAAGAGGGGGAAGAUCUACGCAUAGCGGACGUGACUACUGAUGAUCAAAUGAAUGAUCCUGAACACCUACCUACGUUAGACAUAACCCCACCGUGUCCUCGAUCGGAGAAGGAACUCACGAAAGAGACAGUCACGAUUACGCACACAGUUGGCAUGUUUUUUUAAUUAAGUUAACUUCAAGUUAUCUAGAACCAGUGUUAAACAAACUUUCCACGUUGCUACAUAACCGCGGGCACGGCUUUCCGAAAGAUUUAACCCUGCAGGGGUGCUCCAACUAGUCCAUCACAAAUUACCACAAGCCGCAUAGAAAUCCUCAAUCACGAAGCUCGCGAUCUCGUCGGAUUCCCUAGUGGAAAACCUCAACUCUGAGAUUACCCAAAGCAUCACCGGAAUCCCGAUGCACAAGAUAUUCCGUCAAAGGUAAAACUAAUCCAGCAAGGCCGCCCGACGUGUCGACGAUCCCGAUAGGAGUCGCGUACCUCGUUCUCAGGACACGGCGGAUGAGCUAGACGUCGGGAUCGCUAAACCUCCGGGUGACCAGAGGGGCGCCGGACAUCGCUCAUGUGGGGCCAACACUCAUGAGGAGCACUGGCCCGGGGGUUGAUUAAAUAUCCUCGGGUUAAUUACUCCCUAUGCAGUUUGUUAGUUAUUAGGCAAAAGUAGUACCAAAGUUGGGCCCUGCCAGACCAGCUUUAAUCUAAAACGAAUUAUCAAGGGGGUCCCCAUAACAACCCCGAUCGUGUUAGGAGCGCUCGUUUAUGGAACAUAACACCGGUAGCCAAAACUAAGGGGGCAAAGGUGGAACAAAACACCAGGCUAGAAAGGCCAAGCCUUCCACCUUUUACCAAGUAUAUAGGUGCAUUAAAUUAAAUAGCAUUAAUAGGGUGAUAUGACAAGGAACCCAUGUUUUCACAUGGAAGCAUCUGCACCUGCAACUAGCAACGCUAACAACAGGGUUAAGCAAGCAGUAACAUAGCCAAUCAGUGGUUUGCUAGGUCGAACAGGUUGAAGGUAAUCAUGGCAUUGUUGAGAGGCUGAUAUGGAAACAUGUGGUAGGCAACGAGACAUAAACGGUAGCAACGAAAUAACUAGCAUGGCAAUGAUAGUAAUGGUAUCUGGGGAAAUGAUCAUCUUGCCUGAGAUCCCGCUUGGAAGAAGAACAACUCGGUGAAGUCAGCGAACCAACGUAGUCGAACGGGUCCUCACAUUCCGACACACUUGCGGAGCUCUAUCGAGACGGGCAAACCGGAAACAAACAUCAAUACAAGUAUUCACCACCACAAAGCGAGACAUGAUGCAACCCUAAUAUGAUGCAUGAACAGGUCAUCGAUGCACGGGAUGGCACGGCAAAACACCUCACACAUACACUACACAUUAAAUGAAGCUCGAUAUGCAACGGGUUGCAUAUCGACGAAACUCCACGUUUAAAAAUUUAAUUAACUCCCAUUAAUUAUCACGGCAAUAUUAAAUGUUGUUAACAUGGCAAGGGGUGUAGCGAUGAUCCUACCUGGCACCCUAGUCGGUUAUCAAACGGGGCACGGAACGUAGCUACGGCACGAGAGACAUGCAACACACGAUCAUAUGCCAUGAAUGCGUCAUGCAUGAGAGUUCAACACAUCACGACAAGGAGGGAAAUAAGCAUGGUGUCGCCAUGGCGAGCGAGAGGAAACCAUGGCGGUAAAUCGGAAACGAUGCCACGGCAACAUUCGGGUCCCGAUAACUCGAGGAGAAACCGGUGCCAACGUAUACGAACGCGUGCGGGAAUGGUAAAUAAAGAUGGGGUGAUCCCGUAUCUCGGGUUCCCAUGUGUCGAGGGCUCGACGAAAAGGAAGACGACGUGCACGGCAAAUAAACGGUGCAUACAUGCAUUCAACUUGUACAACACACACAUCCGUACAUCACUAGCACACGGUACACGACAUGCCCCAACGGUAUACCUUCGACGCGUGCGAAUCGGAGGGGUUCAGUCGAAGCGGACGUCGUGGUCGUCGUGGAAGUAGUCGUUCACGCGCCGGUAGUGGAGGUAGUGGUACACGGUCUCGUCGACGGUAGUCGUUCGCUCGGCGUCGUGGUUUCGAGGUCUUCGGCGUCGGUAGUCGAUCACGGGUCUUCUGGGAGGUCGAGGAAGUCGAACUCGCCUCCGGGGGUCGUCGAGGGCGUUGUGGAAGUCGGUCUUGUCGGUUCCAUGAAGGAGGGGUUGGUGCACACGGCGACGGCAAGCGACACAACAGCAACAUCAAACGUGCAUCGACGGCACAACGAAAAGCGGCUACAUCUAGCGCCAGCAGGCUUGGACUAGCAUCGGCAGCAAGCUAGCUAGCAAGCAUCAACUGCAGCUAGCACAUCGGGCAACAACAACCUAGCAGCAAUAUCAGCGAGGCACACAGGAGCACAAGCUCGGCAGCAACAAGCAUGACAGCUUGCAUAGCAGUAGCAGCAACACGGCNNNNNNNNNNNNNNNNNNNNNNNNNNNNNNNNNNNNNNNNNNNNNNNNNNNNNNNNNNNNNNNNNNNNNNNNNNNNNNNNNNNNNNNNNNNNNNNNNNNNNNNNNNNNNNNNNNNNNNNNNNNNNNNNNNNNNNNNNNNNNNNNNNNNNNNNNNNNNNNNNNNNNNNNNNNNNNNNNNNNNNNNNNNNNNNNNNNNNNNNNNNNNNNNNNNNNNNNNNNNNNNNNNNNNNNNNNNNNNNNNNNNNNNNNNNNNNNNNNNNNNNNNNNNNNNNNNNNNNNNNNNNNNNNNNNNNNNNNNNNNNNNNNNNNNNNNNNNNNNNNNNNNNNNNNNNNNNNNNNNNNNNNNNNNNNNNNNNNNNNNNNNNNNNNNNNNNNNNNNNNNNNNNNNNNNNNNNNNNNNNNNNNNNNNNNNNNNNNNNNNNNNNNNNNNNNNNNNNNNNNNNNNNNNNNNNNNNNNNNNNNNNNNNNNNNNNNNNNNNNNNNNNNNNNNNNNNNNNNNNNNNNNNNNNNNNNNNNNNNNNNNNNNNNNNNNNNNNNNNNNNNNNNNNNNNNNNNNNNNNNNNNNNNNNNNNNNNNNNNNNNNNNNNNNNNNNNNNNNNNNNNNNNNNNNNNNNNNNNNNNNNNNNNNNNNNNNNNNNNNNNNNNNNNNNNNNNNNNNNNNNUUAAAAUAAGCUCUUUUAACAAGAAGAUAAAAAUAACCCCUUUUCGAAAGAAUUAAUUAAAACCUCUUUAUUCAAAGAAUAAGUAAAAGCCUUUUAAAAGAGAAAAUAAAAUGGGAGGGUUUUUAAAAUGAAACAAACGGAGAGUAAAAUUAAAACCUAAGGUUGCCCCUACGUUUAAUAAAAGGACUUUUUAAAAGAAGACGAAUAUUUUGGAAGAGGGGUAAAGUUAGAAAUCUUUAGGAAAACCACAAAACAACUUAGGAGGGGAGAGGAGGGAAGAAGGUUUAGGUCGGCGGUGCAACGGGGUUUAGCGGUGGCUCUCNNNNNNNNNNNNNNNNNNNNNNNNNNNNNNNNNNNNNNNNNNNNNNNNNNNNNNNNNNNNNNNNNNNNNNNNNNNNNNNNNNNNNNNNNNNNNNNNNNNNUAGCGACCUAAUAUCAAAUAAGCUAUUUUCACCGGCAAGUUUGAAAUCAUAGUUGAGUUCUUUGAUUGCCCAGAAUGCUUUGUGUUCUAACUCAAGAGGCAAAUGACAAGCUUUUCCAUGGACCAUUUUAUAGGGAGACAUACCCAUAGGAUUUUCAUAAGGUAUUCUAUGUAGACCAAUUCUUUUGAGACCUAUUGACAAUUUUUUGUAAUAUCAAUUUUAUUUAUCUAUUGCUAAGUUCAACUUGUCCACUAGAUUGAGGAUGAUAGGGUGAUGCAAUUCUAUGGUUAACAUCAUACUUAGCAAGUACUUUACGGAAGGCGCCAUGAAUAAAGUGUGAACCACCAUCAGUCAUUAGAUAUCUAGGGACUCCAAACCUAGGGAAAAUAACUUCUUUAAGCAUUUUAAUGGAAGUGUUAUGAUAAGCAUUACUAGUUGGAAUAGCCUCUACCCAAUUAGUAACGUAAUCAACAGCAACCAAAAUAUGAGUAUACCCAUUAGAGGAAGGAAAUGGUCCCAUAUAAUCAAAACCCCAAACAUCAAAUGGUUCAACAGCAAGUGAAUAAUUCAUAGGCAUUUCUUGACGCUUACCGAUAUUACCAAUUCUCUGACAUACAUCACAAGAUAGAACAAACUUAUGGGCAUCCUUGAAGAGAGUAGGCCAAUAAAAACCAGAUUGCAAUACCUUGUGAGAAGUUCUAUCUCCUGCAUGAUGUCCUCCAUAAGCUUCAGAGUGACAUUUCUGUAGAAUUUUUGCCUAUUCAUGCUCGGGUACACAACGUCUAAUAAUACCAUCUACUCCUUCUUUAUAAAGGUGUGGGUCAUCGCAAAAGUAAUCUCUUAAAUCAUAGAAGAUUUUUUUUCUUUUGUUGGUAUGUGAAACUAGUUGGUAUAUAUUUGGCAACAAUAAAAUUAGCAUAGUCAGCAUACCAAGGUGUGUUGUGAGAAACAUUUAUUGCAGCUAAGUGCUCAUGAGGGAAACUAUCAUCAAUAGGUAGUGGGUCCUCAAGAACAUUUUCUAACCUAGAAAAGUUAUCAGCAACGGGAUUCACAACUCCUUUCCUAUUAGUGAUGUGUAAAUCAAAUUCUUGUAGUAAGAGAACCCACCUAAUGACUCUAGGUUAAGCAUCUUUCUUUUCCAUAAGAUAUUUUAUAGCAGCAUGAUCACUGUGAACAAUUACUUGGGAAUCAACAAUAUAAGAUCUAAAUUUAUCACAAGCAAACACAACUGCCAAAAAUUCCUUUUGAGUGGUAGCAUAAUUCCAUUGAGCACUGCCUAGAGAUUUACUAGCAUAAUGGAUGACAUUUAAUUUUUUAUGAACUCUUUGUCCUAGAACAGCACCAACAACAUAGUCAGUAGCAUCACAUAUAAUUUCAAAAGGCAAGUUUGAGCCAGGUGGUUGAACAAUGGGUGCAGUGGUUAAGGCCUUCUUAAGUGUUUCGGAGGCUUCUACACAAUCAUCAUCAAAAACAAAUGGAACAUCCUUUUGUAAAAGAUUUGUAAGAGGCAUAGAAAUUUUAGAGAAGUCUUUAAUAAACCUCCUAUAGAAACCAGCUUAACCAAGGAAACUAUGAAUACCGUUGAUAUCUUUAGGACAUGACAUUUUCUCAAUUGCACCAACUUUAGCUUUAUCCACCUCAAUGCCAUGUUCAGAAAUUUUAUGACCCAAGACAAUACCUUUAUUUACCAUAAAGUGGCACUUCUCCCAAUUCAAGACAAGAUUAGUUUUCUCACAUUUGUGCAAAACUCGAUCAAGGUUUCUCAAGCAAUCAUCAAAAGAAGUUCCAUAAAGAGAAAAAUGAUCCAUGAAAACCUCAACAAUCUUUUCACAAAAAUCAGAGAAUAUAGCAGUCAUACAUCUUUGAAAGGUAGCAGGUGCAUUGCAUAAACCAAAAGGCAUACAUCUAUAAGCAUAAGUUUCAAAAGGACAAGUAAAAGUGGUUUUCUCUUGAUCACAUUGUGAAACACGUAUUUGAGAGAAACCUAAAUAUCCAUCAUACGUCUAUACACUUUGGUUGUCUCUUGAUCACUUUGGGUGGUUUUCUCUUGAUCACUUUGGGUGGUUUUGUCUUGACCACAUUGUGGAUUCAUGCCCCCUGAUGUCUAGCUUGAGUGACAGAAACAUGAGACUAGGGGAUGUGCUGUUUCCACCAGGGAGAAAACAAUGGUGCGUGUAACCACGGUUGCAAGGAUUGUUUACCUUAUGCAAAGUUUGUUAAUGCAGUUGUCCGUUGCUUUGAGUUUACACUUUGGGUGGGGCUCGCAACUUAAUACCAGCGAGAUGUUCUGGACAGAUAUCUCAAGGUGGAUGAUUAAUGAGUGGAUGCUGAUGGAUAAACGGUCUACUUGUCUUGGCGUACUGCCCAUACUUAUGAGCCUCUAACUUUCUUGUAGCAUGAUUAGCAUUGUGGUGCGUUUAUAAUUUUGAUAAUUGCCCAACUGUAAUUCGUUUACCCAGCAUAGUUGUUUAUCGUAUUUUGGGAGAGAGACAUCAGUAGUGAACAUCAAGGGACUCUGGUCCAUAUUUCCACCAUUGUUUACACCUCCACCAUUUACUUAUUUUUUUUUACUUUUAUGUUGCAAUCACCAUCGCUAUUCCCGCUUGUGUUUGAUCCUUUGCAAACGACAAGGCCAGAGAGAUUGACAACCUCUCUGAACUCGUUGGGAGCAAAGUUAUUUGUUGUGUGUGCAUGUCCACGUCUUGUGCUAGUGCCAGAGCAGUAGACACCUACUUGUUGAUCCUUGGAGUCCUCCUGGUUCGAUAAACCUUACAGUCCUCAUGUAAGGGAAAUCUGCUGCUGACUACGUCUCAACCUUCCACUUGGGGUAACUGUGUUGGGGAACGUCGCAUGGGAAACAAAAAAUUUCCUACGCGCACGAAGACCUAUCAUGGUGAUGUCCAUCUAUGAGAGGGGAUGAGUGAUCUACGUACCCUUGUAGAUCGUACAGCAGAAGCGUUAGAGAAUGCGGUUGAUGUAGUGGAACGUCCUCACGUCCCUCGAUCCGCCCCGCGAACAAUCCCGCGAUCAGUCCCACGAUCUAGUACCGAACGGACGGCACCUCCGCGUUCAGCACACGUACAGCUCGACGAUGAUCUCGGCCUUCUUGAUCCAGCAAGAGUGACGGAGAGGUAGAAGAGUUCUCCGGCAGCGUGACGGNUGAUCUAGCAAGAGUGACGGAGAGGUAGAAGAGUUCUCCGGCAGCGUGACGGCGCUCCGGAGGUUGGUGAUGACCUUGUCUCAGCAGGGCUCCGCCCGAGCUCCGCAGAAACGCGGUCUAGAGGAAAAACCGUGGAGGUAUGUGGUCGGGCAGCCGUGAGAAAGUCGUCUCAAAUCAGCCCUAAUUGCUCCAUAUAUAUAGGAGGAGGGAGGGGGGCCUUGCCUUGGGGUCCAAGGACCCCCAAGGAGUCGGUCGAGCCAAAGGGGGGAGGACUCCCCCCCCCCAAACCGAGUUGGACUUGGUUUGGUGGGAGGAGUCCCCCUUCCUUCCCACCUCCUUCCUUUUUUUUUCUUUCCUCUUGAUUUUUCUUCUCUUGGCGCAUUGGGCACUUGUGGGCUGUCCCACCAGCCCACUAAGAGCUGGUGUGACUCCCCCAAUGCCUAUGGGCUUCCCCGGGGUGGGUUGCCCCCCCCCUCCGGUGAACUCCCGGAACCCAUUCGUCAUUCCCGGCACAUUCCCGGUAACUCCGAAAACCUUCCGGUAAUCAAAUGAGGUCAUCCUAUAUAUCAAUCUUCGUUUCCGGACCAUUCCGGNNNNNNNNNNNNNNNNNNNNNNNNNNNNNNNNNNNNNNNNNNNNNNNNNNNNNNNNNNNNNNNNNNNNNNNNNNNNNNNNNNNNNNNNNNNNNNNNNNNNCGUUGCGACGUUUGAUACACACAAAGCAUUCCUCCGGCGUCAGUAAGUUAUAUGAUCUCAUGGUCAUAGGAAUAAAUACUUGACACGCAGAAAACAGUAGCAACAAAAUGACACGAUCAACAUGCUACGUCUAUUAGUUUGGGUCUAGUCCAUCACGUGAUUCUCCCAAUGACGUGAUCCAGUUAUCAAGCAACAACACCUUGUUCAUAAUCAGAAGACACUGACUAUCAUUGAUCAACUGGCUAGCCAACUAGAGGCAUGCUAGGGAUGGUGUUUUGUCUAUGUAUCCACACAUGUAAAUGAGUCUUCAUUGAAUACAAUUAUAGCAUGGAUAAUAAACUAUUAUCUUGAUACAGGAAUUAUAAUAAUAACUAUACAUUUAUUAUUGCCUCUAGGGCAUAAUUCCAACAGUCUCCCACUUGCACUAGAGUCAAUAAUCUAGCCCUCACAUCACCAUGUGAAUUACAUUGUAAUAAAUCUAACACCCAUANNNNNNNNNNNNNNNNNNNNNNNNNNNNNNNNNNNNNNNNNNNNNNNNNNNNNNNNNNNNNNNNNNNNNNNNNNNNNNNNNNNNNNNNNNNNNNNNNNNNNNNNNNNNNNNNNNNNNNNNNNNNNNNNNNNNNNNNNNNNNNNNNNNNNNNNNNNNNNNNNNNNNNNNNNNNNNNNNNNNNNNNNNNNNNNNNNNNNNNNNNNNNNNNNNNNNNNNNNNNNNNNNNNNNNNNNNNNNNNNNNNNNNNNNNNNNNNNNNNNNNNNNNNNNNNNNNNNNNNNNNNNNNNNNNNNNNNNNNNNNNNNNNNNNNNNNNNNNNNNNNNNNNNNNNNNNNNNNNNNNNNNNNNNNNNNNNNNNNNNNNNNNNNNNNNNNNNNNNNNNNNNNNNNNNNNNNNNNNNNNNNNNNNNNNNNNNNNNNNNNNNNNNNNNNNNNNNNNNNNNNNNNNNNNNNNNNNNNNNNNNNNNNNNNNNNNNNNNNNNNNNNNNNNNNNNNNNNNNNNNNNNNNNNNNNNNNNNNNNNNNNNNNNNNNNNNNNNNNNNNNNNNNNNNNNNNNNNNNNNNNNNNNNNNNNNNNNNNNNNNNNNNNNNNNNNNNNNNNNNNNNNNNNNNNNNNNNNNNNNNNNNNNNNNNNNNNNNNNNNNNNNNNNNNNNNNNNNNNNNNNNNNNNNNNNNCCCCCCCCCCCAAACCGAGUUGGACUUGGUUUGGUGGGAGGAGUCCCCCUUCCUUCCCACCUCCUUCCUUUUUUUUUCUUUCCUCUUGAUUUUUCUUCUCUUGGCGCAUUGGGCACUUGUGGGCUGUCCCACCAGCCCACUAAGAGCUGGUGUGACUCCCCCAAUGCCUAUGGGCUUCCCCGGGGUGGGUUGCCCCCCCCCUCCGGUGAACUCCCGGAACCCAUUCGUCAUUCCCGGCACAUUCCCGGUAACUCCGAAAACCUUCCGGUAAUCAAAUGAGGUCAUCCUAUAUAUCAAUCUUCGUUUCCGGACCAUUCCGGNNNNNNNNNNNNNNNNNNNNNNNNNNNNNNNNNNNNNNNNNNNNNNNNNNNNNNNNNNNNNNNNNNNNNNNNNNNNNNNNNNNNNNNNNNNNNNNNNNNNUUGAGUAGUCCUCCUUACGCGCUAACCAAGCGUUCUUAACAUCCUGAUCAGCCGUAGCGGGUGGUUCAUCUCCUAGCGCAGCAUUAAGGACAUAAUCCUUCUUCCCAGCUUGUAAGAUAAGCUUAAGAUUACGAGCCCAGUCUACAAAGUUGCUUCCAUCAUCUUUCAACUUAGCUUUCUCUAGGAACGUAUUAAAAUUCAGGAUGACACUUGCGUGAGGCAUGAUCUACAACACAAAUAUAUUCAAAGUGGACUUAGACUAUGUUCAAGAUAAUUAGAGUUUAACUUAAUCAAAUUAUAUGCUAAACUCCCACUCAAAAAGUACAUCUCUCUAGUCAUUUGAGUGGUUCAUGAUCCACUUACACUAUCCCAAGUCCGAUCAUCACGUGAGUUGAGUAUAGUUUCAGUGGUAAGCAUCCCUAUGCUAAUCAUAUCAACUAUAUGAUUCAUGAUCGACCUUUCGGUCUCAUGUGUUCCGAGGUCAUGUCUGCACAUGCUAGGCUCGUCAAGCUUAACCCGAGUGUUCCGCGUGCGCAACUGUUUUGCACCCGUUGUAUGUGAACGUUGAGUCUAUCACACCCGAUCAUCACGUGGUGUCUCGAAACGACGAACUGUAGCAACGGUGCACAGUCGGGGAGAACACAAUUUCUUCUUGAAAUUUUAGUGAGAGAUCACCUCAUAAUGCUACCGUCGUUCUAAGCAAAAUAAGGUGCAUAAAAGGAUUAACAUCACAUGCAAUUCAUAAGUGACAUGAUAUGGCCAUCAUCACGUGCUUCUUGAUCUCCAUCACCAAAUCACCGGCACGAUCUUCUUGUCACCGGCGCCACACCAUGAUCAUCCAUCAGCGUGUUGCCAUCAGGGUUGUCGUGCUACUUAUUCUAUUACUACUAAAGCUACAUCCUAGCAAAAUAGUAAACGCAUCUGCAAGCACAAACAUUAGUAUAAAGACAACCCUAUGGCUCCUGCCGGUUGCCGUACCAUCGACGUGCAAGUCGAUAUUUCUAUUACAACAUGAUCAUCUCAUACAUCCAAUAUAUCACAUCACAUCAUUGGCCAUAUCACAUCACAAUCAUACCCUGCAAAAACAAGUUAGACGUCCUCUAAUUUUGUUGUUGCAUGUUUUACGUGGUGACCAAGGGUAUCUAGUAGGAUCGCAUCUUACUUACGCAAACACCACAACGGAGAUAUAUGAGUUGCUAUUUAACCUCAUCCAAGGACCUCCUCGGUCAAAUCCGAUUCAACUAAAGUUGGAGAAACCGUCACUUGCCAGUCAUCUUUGAGCAAAGGGGGUUACUCGUAACGAUGAAACCAGUCUCUCGUAAGCGUACGAGUAAUGUCGGUCCAAGCCGCUUCAAUCCAACAAUACCGCGGGAUCAAGAAAAGACUAAGGAGGGCAGCAAAACGCACAUCACCGCCCACAAAAACUUUUGUGUUCUACUCGAGAAGACAUCUACGCAUGAACCUAGCUCAUGAUGCCACUGUUGGGGAACGUCGCAUGGGAAACAAAAAUUUUCCUACGCGCACGAAGACCUAUCAUGGUGAUGUCCAUCUACGAGAGGGGAUGAGUGAUCUACGUACCCUUGUAGAUCGUACAGCAGAAGCGUUAGAGAACGCGGUUGAUGUAGUGGAACGUCCUCACGUCCCUCGAUCCGCCCCGCGAACAAUCCCGCGAUCAAUCCCACGAUCUAGUACCGAACGGACGGCACCUCCGCGUUCAGCACACGUACAGCUCGACGAUGAUCUCGGCCUUCCUGAUCCAGCAAGAGUGACGGAGAGGUAGAAGAGUUCUCCGGCAGCGUGACGGCGCUCCGGAGGUUGGUGAUGACCUUGUCUCAGCAGGGCUCCGCCCGAGCUCCGCAGAAACGCGAUCUAGAGGAAAAACCGUGGAGGUAUGUGGUCGGGCAGCCGUGAGAAAGUCGUCUCAAAUCAGCCCUAAUUGCUCCAUAUAUAUAGGAGGAGGGAGGGGGGCCUUGCCUUGGGGUCCAAGGACCCCCAAGGAGUCGGUCGAGCCAAAGGGGGGAGGACUCCCCCCCCCCAAACCGAGUUGGACUUGGUUUGGUGGGAGGAGUCCCCCUUCCUUCCCACCUCCUUCCUUUUUUUUCUUUCCUCUUGAUUUUUCUUCUCUUGGCGCAUUGGGCACUUGUGGGCUGUCCCACCAGCCCACUAAGGGCUGGUGACUCCCCCAAUGCCUAUGGGCUUCCCCGGGGUGGGUUCCCCCCCCCCUCCGGUGAACUCCCGGAACCCAUUCGUCAUUCCCGGCACAUUCCCGGUAACUCCGAAAACCUUCCGGUAAUCAAAUGAGGUCAUCCUAUAUAUCAAUCUUCGUUUCCGGACCAUUCCGGAAACCCUCGUGACGUCCGUGAUCUCAUCCGGGACUCCGAACAACAUUCGGUAACCAACCAUAUAACUCAAAUACGCAUAAAACAACGUCGAACCUUAAGUGUGCAGACCCUGCGGGUUCGAGAACUAUGUAGACAUGACCCGAGAGACUCCUCGGUCAAUAUCCAAUAGCGGGACCUGGAUGCCCAUAUUGGAUCCUACAUAUUCUACGAAGAUCUUAUCGUUUGAACCUCAGUGCCAAGGAUUCGUAUAAUCCCGUAUGUCAUUCCCUUUGUCCUUCGGUAUAUUACUUGCCCGAGAUUCGAUCGUCAGUAUCCGCAUACCUAUUUCAAUCUCGUUUACCGGCAAGUCUAUUUACUCGUUCCGUAAUACAAGAUCCCGCAACUUACACUAAGUUACAUUGCUUGCAAGGCUUGUGUGUGAUGUUGCAUUACCGAGUGGGCCUCGAGAUACCUCUCCGUCACACGGAGUGACAAAUCCCAGUCUUGAUCCAUACUAACUCAACUAGCACCUUCGGAGAUACCUGUAGAGCAUCUUUAUAGUCACCCAGUUACGUUGUGACGUUUGAUACACACAAAGCAUUCCUCCGGUGUCAGUAACUUAUAUGAUCUCAUGGUCAUAGGAAUAAAUACUUGACACGCAGAAAACAGUAGCAACAAAAUGACACGAUCAACAUGCUACGUCUAUUAGUUUGGGUCUAGUCCAUCACGUGAUUCUCCCAAUGACGUGAUCCAGUUAUCAAGCAACAACACCUUGUUCAUAAUCAGAAGACACUGACUAUCAUUGAUCAACUGGCUAGCCAACUAGAGGCAUGCUAGGGACGGUGUUUUGUCUAUGUAUCCACACAUGUAAAUGAGUCUUCAUUGAAUACAAUUAUAGCAUGGAUAAUAAAUUAUUAUCUUGAUACAGGAAUUAUAAUAAUAACUAUACAUUUAUUAUUGCCUCUAGGGCAUAAUUCCAACAGUCUCCCACUUGCACUAGAGUCAAUAAUNACUGAUGACCCACAAGUAUAGGGGAUCAAUCAUAGUCCUUUCGAUAAGUAAGAGUGUCGAACCCAACGAGGACCAGAAGGCUGUGAUAAACGGAUUUCAGCAAGGUAAUAACUGCAAGCACUGAAAGUAGCGGUAACUAGUGAUUGUGUAGCGAGGUGAAACGUAGCAAGCAAAGAGUAAUAAGUAACAAGUAGUAGCAACGGUGCAGCAAGUGUCCCAAUCCCUUUUGUAGCAAGGGACAAUCCUGAACAAAGUAUUAUAGGAGGAAAAACGCUCCCGAGGACACACGGGAAUUUUUGUCAUGCUAUUUCAUCAUGUUUAUAUGAUUCGCGUUCGUUACUUAGAUAGUUUGAUAUGUGGGUGGACCGGCGCUUGGGUACUGCCCUUACUUGGACAAGCAUCCCACUUAUGAUUAACCUCUCUCGCAAGCAUCCGCAACUACAAAAGAAUAAUUAAUACAAAGUCUAACCAUAGCAUUAAACUAGUGGAUCCAAAUCAGCCCCUCAUGAAGCAACGCAUAGACUGGGGUUUAAGCUUCUGUCACUCCAGCAACCCAUCAUCUACUCACUACUUCCCAAUGCCUUCCUCUAGGCCCAAAUAUGGUGAAGUGUUAUGUAGUCGACGUUCACAUAACACCACUACAGGAAAAACAACAUACAACAUAUCAAAAUACCGAACGAAUAUCAAAUUCACAUGACUAUUAUUAACAUGACUUAUCACAUGUCCUCAGGAACAAAAGUAACUACUCACAAGACAUAAUCAUAAUCAUGACCAGAGGUGUAAUGAAUAGCAUCAACGAUCUGAACAUAAACUCUUCCACCAAGUAAUCCAACUAGCAUCAACUACAAAGAGUAAUCAACACUACUAGCAACCUUACAAGUACCAAUCGGAGUUGCGAGAUGAAGAUUGGUUACAAGAGAUGAACUAGGGAUUGGAGAGGAGAUGGUGCUGAUGAAGAUGUUGAUGAAGAUGCCUCCCCUCCGAUGAGAGGAGUGUUGGUGAUGACGAUGGCGAUGAUUUCUCCCUCCGGGAGGGAAGUUUCCCUGGGAGGAUCGUCCUGUCGGAGCUUUAGAUUGGAUCUGCUCAAGUUCCGCCUCGUGGCGGCGGCGAAACCACGAAAAAGCUUCCUAUUGAUUAUUUUUUUCCAGACCAGGACGCUUCAUAUAGCAAAAUAUGGGGGCUAGUGGGCCUUCAGGAAGCCCACAAGUUUGCCCACCGCCACCAGGGGGUGGUGGCGGAGUGGGGGAUUGUGGGGCCCUGGUGGCCCCCCUCCGGUAGUUCUUUCACCCAGUAUUUUUAAUAUAUUCCAGAAAAAAUCCACGUAAAUUUUCAGGGCAUUUGGAGAUGUGCAGAAUAGUGGAGUAGGAUUUUCUCCUUUUCCAGUCUAGAAUUCCAGCUGCCUGAAUUCUCCCUCUUCAAAUAAACCUUGCAAAAUAAGAGAGAAAAGGCAUAAAUAUGGUACCACAAGUAAUAUAACAGCCCAAAAAGCAAUAAAUAUCAACAUGAAAGCAUGAUGCAAAAUGGACGUAUCAACUCCCCCAAGCUUAGACCUCGCUUGUCCUCAAGCGAAAACCAAGUUCCAUAAACAUGUCCACAUGUUGAGGGACGAAGGUGUCGAUAAAACAUAAUACGGACAUGAGGGCAUCAUGAUCACACAUAGAACAGCAAUAUAUCAUAAAUAUUCUUAUGGGGAAGUAACAAUUCCUUCACAAAGCAAAGCAUGAAGCAAAAACCUUACCGAGAAAUAACCAACAAUAGUCCAUAGUCAUUGAAGCAAUUGCAAUUUAUCACAACAUCAGAAAGAGUCAAAUAAGAGCUUGUAAGGCAAACCCACAUACUCAAUCAUCUCUUUUGUUUUCCACAAUUCUUACAACUCACGUGGUACUCAUGGUGUCAAAGUUUCAGCUGGACAUAGAGGAAGAUAGGGGCUUAUAGUUUUGCCUCCCAACCAUUUACCUCAAGGGUAAAGUCAACAACAAUAAAGCAUAAGUACUCAACUCCAAGUUGAUAUAUGAAUAUAGAUCUUUCCCAAGCAUGUGACGGUAGCCAAGGCAAAGGCAAAAAGGGAAUUGGUGAUGAUCACCAUGACUCUUACAAGGGUAAAAAGUAAAGGUACAAGAUAGGCCCUUCGCAGAGGGAAGCAGAGGUUGUCAUGCGCUUUUGAGGUUUGAAUGUGUGUCCUCUUAGUGCGGAGGAACGUCACUUUAUAUUGCCGCCUGUGAUAAAGAAUUUUAUUAUGCAGUCUAUCGCUUUUAUGUCUUCCUCAUCACAGGUUCGUACAAAGCUUAUUUUCCACACACUAAUAGAUCAUACAUAUUAGAGAGCAAUUUUUAUUGCUUGCACCGAUGACAACUUACUUGAAGGAUCUUAUUCAAUCCAUAGGUAGGUAUAGUGGACUCUCAUGGCAAAACUGGUUGGAGGUUUAUGGAUGCACAAGUAGUAUCUGUACUUAGUGCGGGAGUUUUGGCUAAUAUGAGGUGGAAGCAAUCGUCACAUGCUAAGGGAUCUCUAAUCAUAUAACAUUGUUUGGAACUAAGCAAGCACAAUUCAUUAUGUUGUCUUCCUUGUCCAACAUCUACUCCUAGGCAUGUAAUAGUUUGGUGAGUGCUCACAAUUGUAAAAAGUGUCUAAGAUGAUAUAUUUAUAUGUGAACCUCUCUUUCCUUAUUACUUCUUAUUAAUUGCAACAAUGACUGAGGUCUAUGUUGAUUUAUUCUCAACAAGUUUCAAUCAUCAUACGUGUCAUAAGUGAAGUUAUCACUUUCCAUAAGAUCGUCUCAUGAUCUUUCAUGCUAUCGUUCUUUUUCAUAAUAUUGAUCAUGGCACAAAGCAAAGCCCUUGACUAAGACACUCUUUAUUAUAUAGCUCGUAAGCUCAAAUACAUCGGGGGAGAGACAAAAGCAAAAGACUCAAACUAAAAACUAAAGACUUAUUCCUCUAAAAGAAGAAAUAAAACUGAAAAGGAAAGAACUAAAGCAAAGGUAAAAGCAAAAGAUAUAAAGGUGAUACGAUACCAGGGCAACUCCCCCAAGCUUGGCAGAAGCCAAGGGGAUUGCCCAUACCAAUGCUUAGUUGUCUUCCUUUGGUGNCGGUAACCAACCAUAUAACUCAAAUACGCAUAAAACAACGUCGAACCUUAAGUGUGCAGACCCUGCGGGUUCGAGAACUAUGUAGACAUGACCCGAGAGACUCCUCGGUCAAUAUCCAAUAGCGGGACCUGGAUGCCCAUAUUGGAUCCUACAUAUUCUACGAAGAUCUUAUCGUUUGAACCUCAGUGCCAAGGAUUCAUAUAAUCCCGUAUGUCAUUCCCUUUGUCCUUCGGUAUAUUACUUGCCCGAGAUUCGAUCGUCAGUAUCCGCAUACCUAUUUCAAUCUCGUUUACCGGCAAGUCUCUUUACUCGUUCCGUAAUACAAGAUCCCGCAACUUACACUAAGUUACAUUGCUUGCAAGGCUUGUGUGUGAUGUUGCAUUACCGAGUGGGCCCCGAGAUACCUCUCCGUCACACGGAGUGACAAAUCCCAGUCUUGAUCCAUACUAACUCAACUAGCACCUUCGGAGAUACCUGUAGAGCAUCUUUAUAGUCACCCAGUUANNNNNNNNNNNNNNNNNNNNNNNNNNNNNNNNNNNNNNNNNNNNNNNNNNNNNNNNNNNNNNNNNNNNNNNNNNNNNNNNNNNNNNNNNNNNNNNNNNNNCUGGCGCAGCCUAGGACCUGGCUGCGCCAGCAGGCCGCCUGGGAGGCCCCUAGCCCUCCUUCGGUUAUCCCGAAGCUUCUGUUUUGGUGAUAACAAGCAAGAGUCUAUAUCUAGUAUUGAAUUUAGCAAAGUAAGAACAUAAAGGUGCAAGACCUCUCGCUAUCCAUGACUCGAAUGUCUCCAAAUGGUGUUUGCGUGCAAGAAGUGGGAGAUGGGUCAGAGAUAAAAUAUUUUUUAAAUUGAGAACUCAAUCUACUAAACCUAACACUUAGUCUCCUUCGGAAUCUUAUCUUGACUCAUCCCGGGACCACUUGUCAGGCACAAGUCAAAAUGAUCCUCUCCCUUUCGACUUUGAGCACUCAUGCAAUGAAUGAGCAUAAGCAAGAUAUGUUGGCACUUAGGAUGGAAAAUAGAAUAAUGAUGGGGAAGGAAGACAAAAAGGUAUGAAAGGCUCACAUCAAUGAGGAUAACCAUAGGCGAGAGAAAGCCAAAUGAUAUAUAUUAUGUGAGGAGUAGGGAUUGCCAUGUAAGGGAUGCACAUAUGAGCUAAGGUAAGCUCUCCAAUGGAACUAGUGGGGGUGCAUCCAACUUGUUUGCGCAUGAAGACCUAGAGCUCAUUUGAGGAGGCUCAUAAUUGGAAUAUGCAAACCAAGUUCUUUAGUGUAAGGGUCCCCACAUAGUUAUGCAUGAAUAUAAUCUCUAUAUAGUACCAAUAUAACAAUGGAGUACGAGUGUGGAUCUUUCAAAAGGAAUAGUAGUGUUGCCCCUUUCUCUCUUUUUAUUUCUUUUUNUUUGUCCACUUUGGGAUCUUUUCCUCACUUAAGGGCAACACUCUAUGUUUUACAUGAAUAGAAAGAAAAAUCAUCACACUUUAUAAGAAGUACUCAACAUAAAGACAAGUGAAAACUAUCAUGAUGUAUGCAAAUGUAUGCCUCUGCCAGUGUAGCAGGAUAUGCAAUGAUACUAGCGCGUCACGUAGCAGUAUGAGGGCAUGGCCCAACUAUCAUGCGACUCUACGAUCAUGCAAAAGCAUGUAUGACAUGAAGAUCAAGUCAUGAGAUGAUGGAUGUUACAUGGCAAUGUAUCUCGGAAAGGCUAUGGAAAUGCCUUAAUAGGUAGGUAUGGUGGCUGUUUUGAGGAAAGAUAUAAUGAGGCUUAUGUAUGACAGAGUGUAUCAUGUCAUGGGUUUGGAUGCACCGGCGGAGUUUGCACCAACUCUAAAUGUGAGAAAGGGCAAUGCACGGUACCGAGGAGGCUAGCAAAAUAUGGAUGGUGGAAGUGCCAAAAGUCGAAUACUCACAUUAGUCCGAAGAACUCAUACACUUAUUAUCGGUAACUAUCUAUGUAGUUAGGAAAUUCACAAAGAGACAAGUACCCCGAGGAGGAUUUGGGGGUUUGGUUAUCCUUGCGCAUCCUCGACUCAUGGUGACGUGAGAGUUCUCAACUAAUUUUUAGUUUUUAAAAAACACACGGACUUCCCAAAAUACGACACCUAUCACUAAUAGGCUUAAGCUCUUGGCAGCAAUAGUCCAAACAUUACUCAAACCAAUACCUCAAAACUAUUGCAAGUUACUACUAUACUUAAAUAGCAACCUCAAUUACCUACUCAUGCAAGACACACAAAUUAGUGCAACAAGCCAACUCUCUAAACAAGAUAAGCAUGAUAACUCAAGAGAGUUCCAAAAUCAACCUAAGUAAAAGCUCUAAAAAAGAUAAGCAUCAAAGCUAAGAGCUAAGUAUGACAGUAGCUAUGAAAAUAUGAAGAACACACAAAAAGAAUAAGCAUGAAAACUUAUGUUGUAUUCUAGAGUGGAAUGGAGCGUGUGUCUCUCGCAAACAAGGUAGGCUAGGUUUUGACUUGCUAUGACCAGCAAACUAAACUAAAACAAAACUAAAAAGCNGCAGGAUGCUCCAAGCAUAGCACAUAUCAUAUGAAGUGAUAAAAAUAUAGCAUGGAGAUGGACGACCUGAUGAUUGUUGAUAGAGAAGGGGAUGCACGGGGGUGCUGCGGCAACAAAAGACCUUCCCCGGCAGUGGCGCCAGAGAUCCUUCUGCUGCUGGCUACGCCUACAGGUACUUCCUUGGCAAAUAUGCAAAGGAUUCCCCCGCGGCCUUGGAGCCUUGCGUUGGUGUUCCCUUGAAGAGGAAAGGGUGAUGUAGCACUGCGGCAGUAAGUAUUUCCCUCAGUCUGAGAACCAAGGUAUCGAUCCAGUAGGAGGAUCGCGUCAAGUCCCAAGUACCUGCACAAACACAAAGAGCUUGCACCCAACGCUAUGAAGGGGUUGUCAAUCCCUUAUAGAUUGUUUGCAAAGUGAGAACUGGAAGCAAAAAGUAAACAAAGCAAAGUAAAAGUGAAAGCUGAGAUGAUAGUUGUGAAUAGACCCGGGGGCCAUAGUGUUCACUAGUGGCUUCUCUCAUGAAAGCAAGUAGAUGGUGGGUGAACAAAUUACUGUCGAGCAAUUGAUAGAACCGCGCAAAGUCAUGACGUUAUCUAUGGCAAUGAUCAUCAUAUAGGCAUCACGUCCAAAACAAGUAGAACGAUACUUUCUGCAUCUACUACUAUUACUCCACACGUCGACCGCUAUCCAGUGCAUCUAGUGUACUGAGUUCAAAAGAACAGAGUAACGCCUUAAGCAAGAUGACAUGAUGUAGAUGGACAAUCUCAAAUCUAUGAUGAAAGCCCAUCUUGUUACCCUUGAUGGCAACAACAUGAUGCGUGCCUUGCUGCCCCUUCUGCCACUGGGAAAGGUCAUCGCACGGUAUGUACCCAAAACCAAGCACUUCUCCCAUUGCAAGAAUCAUAGAUCUAGUUGGCCAAACAAAACCCAAGACUCGGAGAGACUUACAAGGAUAUCAAAUCAUGCAUAUAAGAAAUCAGCAAAGACUCGAAUAUAAUUCAUAGAUAAUCUGAUCACAAAUCCACAAUUCAUCGGAUCUCGACAAACACACCGUCAAAGAAGAUUACAUCGGAUAAAUCUCCAUGAAGAUCAUGGAGAACUUUGUAUUGAAGAUCCAAGAGAGAGAAGAAGCCAUCUAGCUACUAACUAUGGACCCGUAGGUCUGAAGUAGACUACUCACGAGUCAUUAGAGAGGCGAUGAUGUUGAUGUAGAAGCCCUCCAGCUCCAAAGUCCCCUCCGGCAGGGCACCGGGAAGGGUCUCCAGAUGAGAUCUCGCAGAAACGGAAGCUUGCGCGACGAAAAAGUGGUUUCGUGGAUGCCCUGAUUUUUCUGGGAUUUUAGGGAAUAUAUAGGCCAAAGAGCUAGGGCAGGGGACCUCCAGGGAGGCCACAAGCCUGGUCGCCGCCCCCCCCCCCCCCCCCCCCCCCCCCCCCCCCCCCCCCCCCCCCCCCCCCCCCCCCCCCCCCCCCCCCCCCCCCCCCCCCCCCCCCCCCCCCCCCCCCCCCCCCCCCCCCCCCCCCCCCCCCCCCCCCCCCCCCCCCCCCCCCCCCCCCCCCCCCCCCCCCCCCCCCCCCCCCCCCCCCCCCCCCCCCCCCCCCCCCCCCCCCCCCCCCCCCCCCCCCCCCCCCCCCCCCCCCCCCCCCCCCCCCCCCCCCCCCCCCCCCCCCCCCCCCCCCCCCCCCCCCCCCCCCCCCCCCCCCCCCCCCCCCCCCCCCCCCCCCCCCCCCCCCCCCCCCCCCCCCCCCCCCCCCCCCCCCCCCCCCCCCCCCCCCCCGACCGCGGCGUCAGGGCUUGUGGGCUCCCUGUGGGCCUCCUGCCUUGGCCCUCAAGUCCCCCGAUCUUCUUCUGUUCUGGAAAAAUUUAUUUCGGGGAUUUUAUUCCGUUUGGACUCCGUUCCAAAAUCAGAUCUAGAAAGAGUCAAAAACACACGAAAAACAUGAACUGGCACUUGGCACUGAAUUAAUAAGUUAGUCCCAAAAAAGAUAUAAAAGGUAUAUAAAACAUCCAAAGUUGACAAGAUAACAACAUGAAACCAUCAAAAAUUACAGAUACGUUUGAGACGUAUCAAGCAUCCCCAAGCUUAACUCCUGCUCAUCCUCGAGUAGGGAAGUGAUAAAGAAUGAAUUUUUGAUGCUUUCAUGCUACCUAGCAUAGAUGUCCUUUCUAACUCCUCUUAUGUGACCUGAAUGUUCAGAUCCGUUAGAUUCAAAACAAUAGUUUGCUAUUGACGUGGAGACAGUAAUACUUCAAGCAAACUAGCAAGGUAAUCAUGAACUUUCAAAAUAACAAGGCCAAAGAAAGUUAUCCUUACAAAAUCAUAUAGUCUGGCUAUGCUCUAUCAUCCUUGCACAACGGAUUUAAAUCAUGCACAACCUCGGUAUUGGCCAAGUAAUUGUUUUCACACCUUUACUUUCUCAAACUUUUUCAACUCUCACGCAAUACAUGAGCGUGAGCCAUGGUUUUAGCACUAUAAGUGGAAUGGAGUGUGAUGGAGGUUGCAAGGUAAACAAGGAGAAGAUGGCCACAUUGACUAGGCAUAUUAAUGAGCUAUGGAGAUGCUCAUCAAUAGAUAUCAAUGUGAAUGAGUAGGGAUUGCCAUACAAAUGAUGCACUAGAGCUAAGAGUAUGUGAAAGCUCUUAAAGAAAACUAGUGGGUGUGCAUCCAACUUGCUUGCUCACGAAGACGUAAGGCAAUUUUGAGGAAGCCUGUCAUUGGAAUAUACAAGCCAAGUUAUAUAAUGAAAAUUUCCCACUAGCUAUAUGGUGGUGACAAAACGAGAGACUCUCAAUCAUGAAGAUCAUGGUGCUUAAUAAGCACAAGUGUGGAAAGAUAGUAGCACUGUCCCUUCUCUCUUUUUCUCUCAUUUUUUGGUGGGCUCUUUGGCCUCUUUUUUUAUGGUGGGCAUCUUUGGCCUCUUUUUGUAAAUGGGCUUCGCUGGCCUUUUUUAUUUCCUCACAUGGGACAAUGCUCCAUCAAUGAUGAUCAUCACACUUACAACUCAAAACUUAGAGCAAUGAUGACUCUAUAUGAAAUGUCUUCGGUAGUGUACCGUGACAAUGAUCUAGCAUGGCAUAGACAUCAAUGGAAACAUCAUGCUAGCUAUCUUAUGAUCAUGCAAUGGCAAUGUAGAAGUGGUGGCACAUGUCAUGGUGGUAGUUGCAUGGCAAUAUAUCUCGGAAUGGCUUUGAAAAAGCCAUAGUAGGUAGGUAUGGUAGCUGUUUUAAGGGAGGCUAAUGGUGGGUUUUAUGCACCGACGAAAGUUGCACGACACUAAAGAAGAUAGUGAUGGUGGAAGGUGAAAGUGCAUCUAAACCAUGGACUCAACAUUAGUCAUGAAGAACUCAUAUACUUGUUGCAAAAGUUUUAGUUAUAAUCGAAACAAAGCAUUCAACGCAUACUCCUAGGGGAAGGGUUGGUAGGUAUAAACCAUCGCGCGAUCCCGACCGCCACACAAAGGAUGACAAUCAAUAAACUAAUCAUGCUCAGACUUCAUCACAUAGCGGUUCACCAUACGUGCAUGCUACGGGAAUCACUAACUUCAACACAAGUAUUCUAUAUCCACAACACCUUACUAGUAUAACUUCAAUAUUACCACAACCACAACUCAAAACUAAUUGAGAUGAAUCAAACUUCUCUAACUACUCAAUGCACAUGAAGGUGGAAGUUUUCAUAUCCCUUUGGAUAGCUGCCCCUUUUGAGACUACUUUCAUAGCAUAGAUCAACUACCACGCCACGCGCUUCCGUGCUCUAAAAUAUAGAAUUGAAAUACAAAGAGCAAAAUCAACUAGCUCAAAAGAUAUAAGUGAAACACAUGUGAGCUGAAUUGUCUAACCAAAGGAUAUAAGUGAAGCUCGACAAAAUCACGGUGAGUGCAUGUCUCUCUCUCUAGCUGUGCAGCGAGGAAGAUUGUGACACAACAAAAAUAAAAGACUCCUACGAUACAAGACACUCCAAGCAAAAUACAUAACAUGUGGUGAAUAAAAAUAUAGCCCCAAGUAACGUUACCGAUGGAUUGAAGACGAAAGAGGGGAUGCCUUCCCGGGGCAUCCCCAAGCUUUGGCUUUUACGGAAUCCUUUAAUCAACUUGGGGUGCCUUGGGCAUCCCCAAGCUUGAGCUCUUGCCACUCUUUAUCUCUAUGUCCAUAAGAACUUCACCCAAAACUUGAAAACUUCACAACACGAAACUUAAACAGAAAGUCGUGAUAACAUUAGUAUUAGAAAGCAAACCACCACUUCCUUAGGUACUGUAGCAAACUUAAAUUCUACUUAUGUUGAUCUUGGGUUACUGUAUUUUCAAUCUUCCAUGGCUAAUACCCCCCGAUACUAUCCAUAGUUUCAUCAAAAUAAGCAACCAACUCAACAAAAACAGAAUCUGUUAACAGCAGACCAGUCUGUAGCAAUCUGUAAACUUCGUAUACUUCUGGUACUUCAAAAAUUCUGAACAAUUACGACAGUUUGAAGAAUUUGCGUAGCAAUCAGCAGCAAACAGAAUCAACUCAAAACCUCUUACAGAAAAAAAAUGAAAAUUAUUUUCAUGAGCAGAAAGUUUAUGCCUUUUCUAGCAUGACCAAACGAUCAUCCCCAAGACUAAUCAUAACGGUUUUACUUGGCACAAACGCAAAAGAAACACAAAAACACAAUCAUAACAUAAUUAUGCAGGUGUGUAAAACACAAAACAGCAAGAAAAAGGAUAGAUUCGUUGGGUUGCCUCCCAACAAGCGCUAUUGUUUAACGCCCUUAGCUAGGCAUUGAAUGAUGCUCUCUCAAAAGACAAGAAUUGAAGCACAACGAGAGCAUCCUAAACCAUGUGAAAAUCACAUCUAAGUCUAACAUACUUCCUAUGCAUAGGCAUUUUAUAGGAAAACAAAUUGUCAAGACAACCAAUAGCUGCCAUAUGCAAGGAAGAAUAAAGAGACAAGAGCAAUCUCAACAUCACGAGAGGUGCUUUAGUAACAUGAAAGUUUCUACCACAAUAUUUUCCUCUCUCAUUACAUGUGGGAUCAUAUUCGAAUUCAACGAUAUAGCUAUCACAUAGGAUAUUCUUUUCAUGAUCCACAUGCAUGCAAAGUUGACGCUCUUCAAAAAUAGUGGGAUUAUCAUCUAAAGUCAUGACUUCUCCAAACCCACUUUCAAUAAUAUUGCAAAUAUCAUAUUCAUCUUGAGGCUUGAACAAAUUUUCAAGAUCAAAAGAAAAAUCAUCACCCCAAUCAUGAUCUUUGCAACAAGUAGUGGACAUAGAAAAACUAGCAUCCCCAAGCUUAGGGUUUUGCAUAAUUUUAGCAUGAUUGUCACUAAUAGAAUUUGUAGUGAAACCAUUGCAAUCAUGCUUUUCAUCCAAGGAGCCCUUGUGAAUCACUUCGUAAAUUUCUUCCUCACAAUUUCCAGAUUCACGCAUCUCAAGCAAAACUCCAUAAAGAUAGUCAAGUGCACUCAACUCACUAGCAAUUGGAUCAACAUAAUUGGAUCUCUUAAAGAGAUUAGCAACUGGAUGAGGAUCCAUAUCACUAGAUUUUUAGCAAGCGAAGAUGCAAGCACAUUGAAGGCACAUGGCACACAAGCGAACAGAGACCAGGCGAGAAAAAGGGCGAAAUAAAAGGCGAAAGAAAAAGGCAAAAGAAAAAGGAAAAUUGGUGGAGUGAGGGAGAGGAAAACGAGAGGCAACUGGCAAACAAAGUAAAUGCAAGAGCUGAGUUUGCGACACCUACUUGGAUGAGUUCUUGACUUGAUCUCUCCCCGGCAACGGCACCAGAAAUCCUUCUGCUGCGACAACAAAAGACCUUCCCCGGCAGUGGCGCCAGAGAUCCUUCUGCUGCUGGCUACGCCUAGAGGGACUUCCUUGGCAAAUAUGCAAAGGAUUCCCCCGCGGCCUUGGAGCCUUGCGUUGGUGUUCCCUUGAAGAGGAAAUGGUGAUGUAGCACUGCGGCAGUAAGUAUUUCCCUCAGUUUGAGAACCAAGGUAUCGAUCCAGUAGGAGGAUCGCGUCAAGUCACAAGUACCUGCACAAACACAAAAAGCUUGCACCCAAUGCUAUGAAGGGGUUGUCAAUCCCUUAUAGAUUGUUUGCAAAGUGAGAACUGAAAGCAAAAAGUAAACAAAGCAAAGUAAAAGUGAAAGCUGAGAUGAUAGUUGUGAAUAGACCCGGGGGUCGUAGUGUUCACUAGUGGCUUCUCUCAUGAAAGCAAGUAGACGGUGGGUGAACAAAUUACUGUCGAGCAAUUGAUAGAACCGCGCAAAGUCAUGACGUUAUCUAUGGCAAUGAUCAUCAUAUAGGCAUCACGUCCAAAACAAGUAGACCAAUACUUUCUGCAUCUACUACUAUUACUCCACACGUCGACCGCUAUCCACCAUGCAUCUAGUGUAUUGAGUUCAAAAGAACAGAGUAACGCCUUAAGCAAGAUGACAUGAUGUCGAUGGACAAUCUCAAAUCUAUGAUGAAAGCCCAUCUUGUUACCCUUGAUGGCAACAACACCAUGUGGGGACCCCGACUAGUAAGUCGAGAUCGCCGUGCCCAGUGAUCCCAAGGAUAAAUGCUCACUGAACACAGAUACUGAAUAAUAGAGUCUUACAUCCAAAUACCGAAUAUUACAUCAAAUGGCCGAAGGGUCAGGUUCACAAGCAGGGCCUAAGGCCAAUUAAAACGGGUACGACGGGUAGCAGAAACUCAUAAGGGCUAAGCGGGUGCCCAUGCCAUCAAGCCUACACCGACAGGCGUUCUGACUUGGAAGCGUCCUAGAUCGCAGGUCCGUCUCCGAUGACGUACUCAUCGCCAAACUCCGGUCCUUCCAUGUCUGGUCAAUAAUAUAACCAGUGGCAAGCCAAUGAGUACUUUGAAUGUACUCGCAAACAGCCCAUGAUAUGAAUAAUGAAAGUGAAGUACAACAAUAACAUGCAGCUUUGAUGAAAUUCAACUUGGGGGGAUGAUCAUGUAUAUGCAUCAAGCUAAAGAAUUACUCUUGAAGGACAGGUUACAGAUGCCAUCGCAUCUGUCAAGGGCUGAACACUCCGGGUUCCCCCUAUAUGCCAAGUCACCAAACUUGGUCAUAUCAAUUCAUCUUGUAACACCAAUUACCACACAUACACACACACUCACACUUGGUUUAUGCGGAAACACUGGACGUAGUUUAAGCAGGAUUACCCAACUGUCCUUGACCGUGGACACGGCUAUUCGAAUAGUUUGACACUCUGCAGAGGUUGCGCGUUGUACCCACGAGAACCGGGAAACUUCUGUGUCAUCCACGACUCGCGGUAUAUCACAUAUACCCGAGGUAAGUACCCGAUCAUUAUCUUUCCCCUAACGAUACUAGACAAAGAGGUCCACUCGAUUGGUACCCAGCCCACAUGUUGUACGUCUUACGAGCACCGACUCUGGACAGUAUCAACCAUGCGGGGACCAACGGUGUGCCUGGAACUCGUAAAAAUGGCAUAGUCGCCCUUCCUGGCACGACCCCAUCACGAGAGUGACGACAAUCCCCCCCGCCACUAGUAAUGUGGUUCUUUGCUAGUACCGACCAGAGUAAUCAACAGAGCCCCGUCCCAUAAAGGGGUAACGUGGUCGCACAGGUGAGGUUGGGACGGUCGACACAUCAUAAAUCUAAUCCCAUUUCCGAAACCAUACUCACACAAAACACCGGUGCACCACUUCACCAAAAGUGGCCACCCAUCUCAUCAUCACCCUCGGGCAUUAGUGGCACCCGACGAGGUUUUUCAUAAACCUUUGAUUUAACUCAUCAUCAUGCUCUUGCAAUGGUUCUCUAACUCUACUAGUCAACAUGAUAGUAGCAUGAUCCUCAUAGAUGGUAGGAUCAAGCUCAUCAUGCUUGUGCUCCGAGGAGCCAUAUGUAUAACAUUACCAUCAUGCAAGUGCUUCGAAGAAGCCUUCGGUACCAUCACACCAAUGAUGAACCGGCACUAUGAUCACAUGCAACGGAAAAGUACUUGCUAUUCUAGCAUGCAUCCAUUCAUAUGCUCAAGUCAUGGUAAAAGGGCUGCUUGCCUUGGUCAGCUAGGUAUCCAGGGUCUUCGAGGUCUUUCGCUUCGAAUCCUUCGUCACUCGGUAAUUCUAUCGUCGAGAAUAGAAUAAAUAAGAAAUAGCUCACACAAAAAUAGAUCACAAAUCACUUUUAAAAAUGUUGCAAAACUUGGUUAAAUUCAGGUUGUUAAUUUGAAAAAAUAUCUUCUCUUAGUUUAAUAGCUAAUCAUUUUUAAUAAUUACUAAACAGGGGCAAACUAUUGCCUUUAAUGCCUUUAUAUUAUUAUAAAACAGAUUCUGUUUUUGAAAAAUGUCAACAAUGGCAGAAUCAAAUACUACUCAUUUUUAGAAAAAUAUCAGUGGAAGAAUUAUAUUUUUCCACUGGGUAGUUAUUUUUACAAAAAUCAUUUCAGUCUUUGUUUUAAAAAUAAAAGAAAAAGGCCAAAGCCUGGCCUGGGAAGCAGGCCGGUCCGGCCAGCUAGCAGGUUGCCAGGCACGCGCGCGCGCCAGGUUUGAACCUGACGUGCGGGCCCCUGGGGUCAGUGGCUGCGCGCGGGGCUACUCUAGGACGCCGACAGGUGGAGCCCACCUGUCGGGUUCUUCCCCUACCUCCGGCCAGGGAGGAGGAGAUGAACUCCGACGAGGCUACCGUCGUCCUUAGGCCUAGCUAAGGGCAGGAAUGGGUGCAGCAUGCCUCCGCCUACCUGCAGGUGGUCGGGACAGUGCGGAGAGGCUCGGAGUCGCCGGCAACGAGGUGGCCGUGGCGGAGGGGUUUCGAGACGUGGUUGAACUGGUAGCUAGGGGCCCGGAAUCGCUCGGGGCAGUUGGGGGAAAGGUUCCUCGUGUCGAGGGGGGUGCUCUGGUAGUUCGAGUGUCGCAGGAGCCAGCGUGUAGCCGGAGAUCGACCGGAGCUCCGAGGCGGAGGGGCCUCGGUCGAUCUCGAGCACCGGGGCUCUGCGAGCUCGAUUGGGUGGCUAGGGAGGAGCUAGUGGUCGUGCAGAGGCUGCUGGAGGGGUGCUGAGGCGCCGGGGAGGCCUAUUUAUAGGCUCGCGACGAUGAGCCAACUCGGUGCGCCGGUGACUCACCAUGGCACGCGUGCGUGCACAGUGAGGAGUUGGCUGCGAAACCACGGUCUCCGGACGUGGUUUGGGACGCUCUGAAGCAUCGGCCGCAGAGGGAGAAGGCGUGGGGUCGAGCUGCAGCGUCUGUGCAUGCUCGGCCGAGUCGGGUGCGGGCGGGCACGCGUCGCCCGAGCUCUAGCGCGGGAGAGUAGGGUCCCUGGCAGCUGCUUUACACAGAGGGGUUGUCGGGGGAGGUUUUGGACACUUCGGGGGAGGUUGGAACCGGCCGGGAGCGUCGUCCCCUUCUCGGUGGCUCCCUGUAGCGCGUCCAGAGCGCAGUUUUGGCAUGCCACGGCAUGCUGGCGCGCUCUUGGGCACUUUAGACGUGUCCCUCAUGUCCUGGGUGUUGCUGGGAGUGUUUCUAGCCGUUGUGUGCUAGUGAGAGCACUAUCUGGUCAAGGGGGACAGCUUUCACUAGUGCUGUCAGCCCUGAUCUGUGGCACAAAUUGGGGUUCUUGUCACUUGUGCUUUGAACUAGGGAGGGGCCAGUUGACUGGGUAUUUAGGUUGAUCUGAGGCACUAAUACACCAAGUUUGAGGCUUUCCCAUUGGGUAAAACAGUGGCUAGGUGGGUUUUUACCUUCCAGUCAGAAGGUUUUCGAUAGUGGUUUGGGGUGCUUCCACUCCACCACUGGAACUGCAACUUAACAGGUUUGGUCUUGGGGUUAAAGUAGGGGUUUUCACCAAUUUUGAGCUCCAUUGAACAAGUUUAGCUUUGUAAACUUGAAAAUGCAUCAAAGUGGCCAGAUCUGUCCCCUCCAAAGGGAGUGUGACUAAACAGAGUCUUACAAAUCUCAUUUUUGGUGUGGAGUCCUCAUUUGAGGUGCCAAACACCCCUACAAAGUUUCAGCCCCAUUGGACAAACUUUUCUAUGUAGAGUUGUUCCAACUCUAUUCUGGACAGAGAGGGUUUUAGGCUCAUUUGGUGAUCUUCCCCACCUUGGAUCAAGGUGAGAUUUUAUGUGGGCACCAAAUAUGGCUUGGGGAGGCUCCUGUAAUUUAAUGGGAUUUUAUUGAGAGUAUUUUCUUUGGAAAUAUCUAAAAAGGUUAAAACAGACAGGAAUGGUUUUCAGGGUUUUAUUCAAAUAAUUAUAAUAUAAAAUAGGAUUGAAAAUAUUAUAUAUGGAAAAUAUAUGUCCUUCUGAGUUUCCAUGAUUUUACUCAGAAUUUUAUAAGGAAGAGAAGCAUUUUUCCUUGUGGGAAUAUCAUUCCUGUCCUUAGAAACAGACAUGUAUUUAAAAUAGAAAAAAUAAUGUUUUAAAUCAUUAAUCAAUGUUUUUGGUAAAUAAUAAUAGUAUUUGAGUUCAGAUCACCAACUUUGGUUGGGAGUUCUACUAGGCAUCAUGAGCUAGUAGUGUAACCCAAGCAAGGUAGUGGUGAUCUCGUGUUAAAGAAAAAGAGUUUUGGAAAUCCAUUUAAAAAUAAAUUUAUUAUGGGUUUUGGACCAACAAGCACACAAGCAUACAUUCAUACAAGGCAUUCAUAGCAUUCAUAACAUCAUUAGGAAAAGUUUUAACAAGCUCUGAUUUUUGCAACUUAAAACAUUGGUGGUGAAAAACAGGGUGUGACACACGAUGCGUGCCUUGCUGCCCCUUCUGUCAUUGGGAAAGGUCACCGCACGGUAUGAACCCAAAACCAAGCACUUCUCCCAUUGCAAGAAUCAUAGAUCUAGUUGGCCAAACAAAACCCAAGACUCGGAGAGACUUACAAGGAUAUCAAAUCAUGCAUAUAAGAAAUCAGCAAAGACUCAAAUAUAAUUGAUAGAUAAUCUGAUCACAAAUCCACAAUUCAUCGGAUCUCGACAAACACACCACCAAAGAAGAUUACAUCGGAUAGAUCUCCAUGAAGAUCAUGGAGAACUUUGUAUUGAAGAUCCAAGAGAGAGGAGAAGCCAUCUAGCUACUAACUACGGACCCGUAGGUCUGAAGUAGACUACUCACGAGUCAUUGGAGAGGCGAUGAUGUUGAUGUAGAAGCCCUCCAGCUCCAAAGUCCCCUCCGGCAGGGCACCGGGAAGGGUCUCCAGAUGAGAUCUCACGCAAACGGAAGCUUGCGGCGGCGGAAAAGUGGUUUCGUGGACGCCCUGAUUUUUUCUGGGAUUUUAGGGAAUAUAUAGGCCAAAGAGCUAGGGCAGGGGAGCACCAGGGAGGCCACAAGCCUGGUCGUCGCGGGCCCCCCUGGCCGCGGCGUCAGGGCUUGUGGGCUCCCUGUGGGCCUCCUGCCUUGGCCCUCAAGUCCCCCGAUCUUCUUCUGUUCUGGAAAAAUUUAUUUCGGGGAUUUUAUUCCGUUUGGACUCCGUUCCAAAAUCAGAUCUGAAAAGAGUCAAAAACACAGAAAAAACAGGAACUGGCACUUGGCACUGAAUUAAUAAGUUAGUCCCAAAAAAGAUAUAAAAUGUAUAUAAAACAUCCAAAGUUGACAAGAUAACAACAUGAAACCAUCAAAAAUUAUAGAUACGUUUGAGACGUAUCAGGGGGCAUCCCCAAGCUUAGACGCUUGAGUAUCCUUGAAUAUUUCUUGGGAUGCAUGGGGGCAUCCCCAAGAUUGAGCUUUUGACACUCCUUUAUCUUCUUUCAUCAUAUCUCUCAUCGCAAUACUUGAAAACUCCCUUCAUACAAAACUCAUCAUAAGCUGAUUAGAGUGGUUAGUUCCCUUAAUAAAAUAAUUCAAUACCUAUUGGAAAUAAAGAUUUUCAUGAAAAGCUACUGCUUUUUAUGAAUGCCAAAGGGUUUUUGCAAAAAAAGCAAGCUUAGAACUUGCAAAACAAUGAAAACGCAAAACAUAGCAGAAUGUGUGAAAAACAGAACAACACGUAGUAAAUAAUUUAUUCGGGGCACUUAUGCAACUGAAAUCAAAAAACUCAGAACAGAUGCCAUAAAGACAAUUAUAUAGAGCAUGCUGUCAAAAAAAUCAGAUCAAGAUGAUCUGGUGUUUUUGGCGAAUUUUUCCGUCAAGCAGACAUAAUCUGUUUCUGGACAACAUGUCACAACUUUUGAAAUUUCUUGCAAUCGGAGGAUAUAACUUGGCACAAAGCUCAAAAAUAAAGAUACAAUGAUGUUGCUACAGUAGUAACACACAUCAAGACCACUAAAACAGAAAGUAAAAACAUAUUGGGUUUCCUCCCAACAAGCGCUUUCUUUUAUGCCUUUGAGCUAGGCAUAAUGCAAGAAGAUCAAGUGUUAUCAACUCCAAAAGAAUAGCUUGCCCGUGUAGCGGACUCAUAAGGUAACUUAAUUUUCUUUCUAGGGAAGUGUUCCAUUCCCUUUUUAAGAGGAAAUUGGAAUUUAAUAAUUCCCUCUUUCAUGUCAAUGAUAGCACCAACGGUGCGGAGAAAAGGAUGUCCCAAAAUAAUUGGACAUGAAGGAUCACAUUCAAUGUCCAUAAUAAGAAAUCAACGGGCACGUAAUUAUCAUUGACAAUAAUAAGAACAUCAUCAAUUCUCCCUAAAGGUUUCUUUAUGGCGGAAUCAAUAAGACGAACACCAAAAGAACAUGGAUCAUAAGGUUUCCAAUCAAGCAUAUCAUACAUUCUUUUGGGCAUAACGGAGGCACUAGCUCGAACAUCACACAAAGCAAAGCAAGAGAUAUUAUUCGAUUUAAUUUUGACCAUAGGAUCCCAACCAUCUUCUAGCUUCCUAGGAAUAGAAGUCUCUAGCUUGAGCUUCUCCCUAGCUUUGAUAAGAGCAUUGGUAAUAUGCUCGGUGAAGGCAAUAUUGAGUGUACUAGUGUGGGGAUCUUUACCCAUUCUUUGCAAAAAGGUGAUGACUUUGGAGAGACUACAAUUGUCAAAAUAAAGGUCACUACCAUUAAUUAAAGUGGUAGUAAUGUCAUCUAAGCUCAUUCUUUUGGUGGUAUCUAAAUUCAUAGGACUUUCUUGUCCUAUAGUUGAGGUAUUAGCACCACCAUUAAUAGGUCCACUGGGACUAGGAGUGCGAUGGGUGCUAAAAGUUUUGAGAUCCUCAACAACUUGUAUAGUAGCAAUGGUAGUGUGUGUAGGAAGGCUCUUAAUUCUCUCUUCCUCUUCCUCUUCCCUGUCUCUUAUACACAUCUCUGAGCGGGNAUUCUUAUGUUCUCAUUAAUUUGGCAUAGCAUUCAUGGGUGUGGUGUUCCUUUCCUCAAGUCGGCAAGUUCUAAUUUUAAGCAUCUCUACAUCAUGAGCUAUGUUGUCCACCUUCAAAGAGAGACUAUCUAAUUUGUCUAGUUUCUCUUCUACACUCUUGUUGAAGGCUUUUUGAGAAGUGAUAAAAUCUUUAAGCAUGCUCUCUAAUUCAGAAGUGGAGUUUUUGGUGCUAGGAUAAUUGUUGUUGUUCCCAUAGUUGUUGGAUGGGAACGGUUUAGGAUUUCUACCAAAAUUACUCCUAUAGGCAUUGUUGUUGAAGUUGUUCCUAGAAAUAAAAUUAACACCCACUUGCCCUCUCUCUUGAGAAACCAAAGAAUUUAGAGUAACAUCAUGAGAAUCAAUAGGAGCUUGCUUAGUAAGUAGAGUCAUGAUCAUGUCAACCUUAUCAUUAAGGGAGGAGAUAUCCUCACAGAGUUUACCUUCCUACCUGUUGAAGCUCUCUCGAUGUGCCAUUGAGAAUAAUUUUUCAUCAUCUCAUCCAUCGCUUUGUGGCAGCACCAAGUGUAGUCGACAUAAAGGUUCCUCCCGCGGCCGAGUCUAACAGAUUCCGCGAGGUAAAGUUCAAUCCUACAUAGAAAGUUUGGAUAACCAUCCAAGUAAUCAAACCAUGAGUAGGGCAAUUCUUAACAAGAGAUUUCAUACGUUCCCAAGCUUGAGCAACAUGUUCAUUAUCCAGUUGCCUAAAAUUCAUAAUGUUACUCCUCAACUGGAUAAUCUUAGCAGGCGGGUAAUACUUCCCAAUAAAAGCAUCUUUGCACUUAUCCCAAGAAUCUAUGCUAUUCCUAGGCAAAGAUUGAAGCCAUACUUUAGCUCCUCCUCUCAAAGAGAAAGAAAAAAAGCUUAGGUUUAACAAUAUUACCAUCUACUUCUUUAUAUUUUUGCAUAUCACAGAGCUCAACAAAAUUGUUCAAGUGCAAAGCAGCAGCAUCUCCAGCACCGAAGAAUUGAUCUUUCAUAACUAGGUUCAGCAAAGCAGGUUUAAUCUCAUAGGACGUGGCUCCAGUGGUGGGAGCAGCAAUAGGAGUGCAGAUAAAGUCAUUGUUGUUGUGACUAGUGAAGUCACACAACUUGGUGUUCUCAGUGUAACCCAUAGCAGCGGCAACGAGCAAGAGCAAAGCAACUAUUUUUUUUGUGGUUUUCAGUAUAGGCCUCUAAAGCAAAAACUAGAAAGCAAACUAACAAGACUAAAAAGCAAAGGUAAAAGAUGGUGUGCAACUCUCCUAUCUUGAAGAGUGGAGUCCCCGGCAACAGCGCCCGAAAUACGCUUGAUGACGAGAUCAUGUAUAUACUUCUCGCCCCUCGUUGGAUACCUCAAGUGAAAGGUGGAGAUGUAGCCAGCAGCAAAUUUCCCUUACACGGAGACUGUAAGGUUUAUCGAACCAGGAGGACUCCUAGGCUCAACAAGUAGGAGUCUUCCACCCGGUGCCAGCAGAAGACGUGGACCUGCACAGACAAAAAAUAACUUUUCUCCCAACGAGUACAGAGAGGUUGUCAAUCUCUCGAGCCUUGUAGUUUGCAAAGGAUCAGAACACAAGCGGGAAGGUAAUAGUGAUUGCAACGGAAAAGUAAAUGAAAGCGGUAAAUGAUGGAGGUGUAAACAAUGAUGGUGAUAUGGACCGGAGUCACAUGAUGUUCACUAGUGAUGUCUCUCCCCCCAAAAGAUGAUAAACAACUAUGAUAGGGUAAACAAAUCACAGUUGGGCAACUGACAUAAUUAUGAUCGCACCGCAAUGCUAAUUAUGCUACUUGAUAGUUAGAGGUUCAAUAGUAAUGGGCAGUACGCCAAGACAAGUAGACCGUUUAUUCAUCAGCAUCUACUUACUAAUGAUCCACCUUGAGAUAUCUAUCCAGAACAUCUCUUCGGUAUUAAGUUGUGAGCCCCAUCCAAAGUGUAAACUCAAAGCAAGGGACAACUGCAUUAACGAACUAUGCGUAAGGUAAACAAUCCUUGCAACCGUGGUCACGAUCACCGUUGUUUUCUCUGUGGUGGCAACAAGCACAUCCCCUAGUCUCAAGUUUCUGUCACUCAAGCUAGACAUCGAGGGGCCCGAACCCACAAUCAUGCAUAAUGCUCCCUCUUGGAGUUACGAUCUACUACUUGGCCAAAGCAAUAAAAAGCAACGGAGAAAAUGCAAGAAUCACUAAGGAACAAAAUAUAAAAUGAUAAUCAAAUAUAUAACUAAUAACAUCUGAACAUAAUCUCAUAAUCCAUCGGAUCCCAACAAACCGAGCAUAGCAAAAGCAAGAGGAUGACAUAGAUGCCUUGAUCAUGUAGGGCAGCUCACAAGGACUAACCUUUGAAGCACAAGAUUGGAGAGAAGACAUCACAUAGCUACUAUUCAUGGACUCAUGGUCCAAGGAGGACUACUCACGGCACGUCCGGGAAGCGUCCAUGGCGGUGGAGAAGCUCCCGGAGGUCAAUCCUCCCUCCGGCAGGGUGCCCGGAAGAGGCCUCCUGACGCUCCCGAUCUCGGAAGCGCUGCGGCGGCGGAACGAUGGAGAAAUUUUCAAGAAAGUAUGCGAGGGUUUCCUCACGGAUCUCUAAAUGUAGGCCAAAGGAGGGCACCGGAGGAGGCGAGACCCACCCAGGCGACCUCCUGGCGCUGCCUAGGGCCUGGCCCGCGCCAGCAGGCCGUCUAGGAGGCCCAUGGCCCCCGUCUGGCCCUCCUUCGGUGAUCCCGAAGCUUUUGUUUCGCUGAUUUUUAUAUAUAUAUUUUGGAUUUUUUUGGGCUUCGAAAAUUGGGUAAAAGCCCCUACAAAAUAGACAUCAGCAGAUAGACACUGGCACUGGGUGCACUGAGUUAGUAGGUUAGUCCAAAUAUGUGUAAAAUGAUAUAAAAGUGUAGCAAAACAUAUAACAAUGUCACCCAAAAGAUCAUGGAACAAGCAGAAAUUAUAGAUACGUUUGGAACGUAUCAGCUCCUUCCAUUCAAACCAAUACCAUCUAACUAUCAGCGCCUCGCAAAUUUCUUGAUGUCGAUGAUGCCCAAUCCUCCAAGAUCUGGAGGGCGGCACACCAAUCGCGAGUUGAAUUGCACUCCACACCAGAAUCUUUUUAGUGCUCGACCACAAAAAAUCCCUUUCGAUCUUGUUGAAGUUGUUUAGGGUACUUUGAGGAGAUUUGAGAGCAAUGAUGUGGUAGAUAACUUGUGAAGUUAGCACCAACUUGACGAGUACGCUUCAGCUUGAGGAAGUGAUAUUUUGACCAUCCCAUGGCACAAGUCUCUUAGAUGCCUUGUCCUCAAGAAACUGGAAAUCACUUGUCCGAAGUUGCCACACCGAUAGCAGUAGGCCCAAAUAUUUGAUGGGGAAGGAGGCACGUGUUGUUAGCAGGCUAGCAAGAAUAGCAUCCAGAUCAAGGUGUCAACACCAUAUUGGCACCAUUGAACUUUUUCCAAAAUUUAUGUGCAGGCCCAUGACGUCACCGAAGUGGUUAAGCAUUGUCGCAAGGUUGUCAAUAUCUCUCCUAAUAGGGGCCAUGAAGAGUGUCGUGUCGUCGACAUAGAGAAAAAUGCGCAGAAUUGCCCUUCAUUCUCUAAUAUUGUGAAAGAGGCCAUGAGUAGUCGCAAGGUUGAGAAUUUGUUGAAACAUAUAAAUCGCAAGGAUGAACAAAAGCGAUACGAUGGGAUCACCCAAUCGGAGACCAUAAUAGUGCGACACUUGGGGUCGGCCUCCCCAUUGAGCAUGAUCCGUUAGGAGGAAGUAUGAAGCAAAGCAGUGGUCCACUCUCGGAAUCUAGGAGGAAACCCCCUCCUUUGCACGAGCUCGAGAAUGUACUCCCACCUGAUCGAGUCGAAGGCUUUUCUAAUGUCAAGCUUGAACAAAAGCAUCGAGUUUUACUCUUGUGAAGCUUGCGGGCAAUCCUACGCACAUACAUGAAAUUGUCGUGAAUACAUCUUAUCUUGAUGGACGCGCUUUGGGCAUUGGGAAUGGGUAAAUGCAUGUGUGGCCGAAGCCGGUUGGCAAGCACCUUAGCAACUAUUUUUGGCACUCUCUUGAUGAGACUUAUAUGUCGGUAGUGAGAGAUCCCCUACACCCCCUCCUUCUUGGGUUCCUUAUUGGAUACGAGUACAAUGUUUGCCGAAUUGAGACAUGUAAAAUUGAUCGCCUGGAGGCUACCAAAACAAUGGAUGACAUGCAUGAAAUCUUCCCUGAUGAUGGAACAAUAAUUUUUGAGGAAGGCACCGGUGAAUCCAUCCGGACCGGGGGCCUUGUCACUAGGCAUUUGAUUGGUCGCCUCUUUGACCUCUUGCUUGAUAAUGUGGGAGUCAAGGUCGGAAAUCUCAUGCUCCCAAAAAUCAAGCCCAUACCAAUUAAAAUCAACACAUCUUUGACUCCCCUUUCCCAAAUCUUUGGAGAAGUGUUCGUGGAUCAAAUUUUCCUUUUGCUCAUGAUCCGUGAUCCAGCCGUUGUUGUGUCUGAUUCUACCAAUGUGGUUUUUUCUCCAUCUCGCAUUCACCCUCCAGUGUCAAAAUUUGUAUUGGUGUCACCCUAUUUAAGUGUGGAUAUUCUCUCACAUUCCUUUUUUAUUGCCCUUUCAAGCACCGACAAAAACACCACCCUUCUUUUAAACCUAGUCUGCAUGUAUUGUUCCUCAGCUUAUAGGGCAUGGUCCUCCUACGCGAUGUCAAGGCGAAGUAUCACCAAGAGAGUCGCGUAAAGGUGGCGCUUAGCUUUGGAGAACAACUUAUGACUCCAUUCAUUGAGCCGCAACCCCAUUUUUGAGCUUAUGAAGUAGUCUCUAAUAAGGCUCAACAUGGUUACAAUCCUCAUUCCAAGCAUUUAGAACCACCUCAUUAAAUCCCGGCAAGGAUAUCCAGAAAUUCUCAAAUUCGAAGCAACGAGGCCUACAUGGGACGAUGUCACCUGUUAGGAGAAGGGAGCAGUGGUCUGACAGUGAUGAGGAGAGGGCAUGCAACACAUGAGUGUUGAAGGUAGUCUUCCAGUCUGUAUUACAAAAGGAGUCAAGCUUGCACAUCGUCGGGUUGUCUCUCUCAUUACUCCACAUGAACUUCCUAUUUUAGAGGUGGAUAUCAUUUAGCUCACAAGCAUGAAGGGUGUUUAGAAAAUGGUUGAUUCGCGAUGAAUUUAUCUUUCUCUUAUUUUUGUCCCUUGCACGAUAAUUUUGAUUCUGCAAGAGAAUGAUUCAGGACAAAAGUAGAAAAUGUACAUAACAAUCUUAUGGUAGCAGACUCAACAUAGCUCCAACUAUGCACAACUCAAGCUGGUUAAGUUUCUUCUUGUUGAAUCUUUCUAGUCAGGCUCAAGUACAAGAAUUGACACAUGUGUUGAUAAUACAUCUCCAACGCAGCGAUAAUUUUUAUUGUCCCAUACAUAGCUUAUAAUUAGCAAAAUAGAUUAUAUUAUCAAUCUUGGAUGCUUUAUAUGCUAUUUGAUAUCAUUUUUGGGAACUAAACUAUUAACCAAGUGCCAAGUGCUAGUUGUUUUUUUUCUGCAUGUUUCUUGGCUUUUCGCGAAACCGCUACAAAAUGGAGUCCAAACGCUAUGGAACUUUUUGAUGAUUUUUUCUGGACCAAAAUAGGACUUGGAAGCUUCGCACGGAGUCCAGACGACACACGAGGAAACGACAAGGCAACAGAGCACACCUAGGGGGUACCCAUGCACUGAUGCCUUGUGGGCCCAUGUGGCUCCGUGUGGCCUAAUUUCACCUUCAUAAAUUAUCUAAUAUCGUGAAACCAAGAGAGAGCCACCCAAAACACGUUUUCCUCCAUCGCAAGUUUCUGUUCCGACGGGAGACCAUCUGGAGACGUUUUCUGGUGCCCUACCAGAGGGGGGAUCGAUCAGAGAGUCCACCACAGACCUACGGGUCCAUAGCUAGUACCUAGAUGGAUUCUUAUCUCUCUUUGAUCUUCAAUUCCUGCGGCGGUCUAUUCCUUGUGAUCUUCUUUUACGAUGUGUUUGUUGGGAUCCGAUGAACUGUGGGUUUAUGAUAAAAUUAUUCAUGAAUAUAUAUUGAGUCUUCUCUGAAUUAUUUUAUGCAUGAUUAUUAUAGAUUCAUAUUUCUCUAUGCUCUAUCAGUUUGGUUUGGACAACUAGAUUGAUUUAUCUUCGAUGGGAGUGCUGCAUUGUGAUGGGUUCUAUCUUGCAUUGCUCAAUCCCAGUGACAGAAAGGAACAUGACAUGUACUAUAUUGAUGCCAUUAAGGAUAAAAUGAUAGGGUCUGAACAUAUUGCUUGUCUUACUUUGUCUACAUCAUGUCAUCUUGCUCCGAGCAUUACUCCGUUUCAUACUUAAUACUGUAGAUGCAUGUUGGAUAGCAGUCGAUGAGUGGAGUAAUAGUAGUAGAUGCACGCAGGAGAUGUUCUACUUGUCUAUGGACAUGAUGCCUAUAUACAUAAUCAUUGUCGUGAAUAACAUGUCAUAAAUAUGCACUAUUCUGUCAAUUUCCCAACAGUAAUUUGUUUACCCAUCGUAUGAUAUGUUCAAAAGAGAAGCCUCAUGCUACGUUCAAGAGAGAAUCCUCUAGCGAAAAUUGUACCCCCUGGGUCUAACAUAAUAACAAAACUCCAAAAAAUAAUUUGNCUUGACAACCCUCUUGCCCGUGUGGGGGAAAGUGUUUGGUUCUGUGUGUAGGUGAUGUUAAAGAAGGUUUGAGUUGUUCUCCUAUUGGUUAGAUAACCUUGUUUCUCACUGAGGGAAAUAUUUAUCUCUACUAUGUUGCAUCUCCCCUCCUCUUCUGGGGAAAUGCCAAUGCAGUUUACAAGUAGCAGGAAGAAUUUCGGGCGCCGUUGUCGGGGAGUUAUAAUCAAAAUCUUUUCAGGUUGGUUGACACAAAUUAUCAUUCACUUGUUCUACUUUUUAUUUGUUGUUUUAUUUUCUUUCUCAAAAAAUAUUAAAAACUCAAAAAAUACUUACUUUUGCUAGUUUACUUGUUUUGCUUGUUAGUUGAUACUUGUGAUCCGCAUUGGGUUUUCCGCGAAGAAGAAUGGGUUAUCGUAGCACAAUGUGGGUAAGUAUUUCCCUCAGUUAUGAAACCAAGAUUUGUCAAACCAAUAGAAAUAUCAACCACAACCAUCUUCAGCGGAUGCACACAAAAGAACAAACAACUAGCACCCAACGCGGGCAAGAGGGUUGUCAAUCCUCUUGUCUUGUUAUUUACAAACAAGUAAGGUGUGUAGAUAAUUGUAGAUAGCAAGAUAAAAUAAAAACAAGUAAACAACAACAAGGUAAUGAAGGUUUUAUCAAUAUGUUGUGAAUAGACCCGGGGGCCAUAGCUUUCCCUAUUGGCAUCUCUCGUGAAAAAUAACAUAUAGUAGCUAAAUAAACUACUGUUGGGCAAUUGACAGAAAAGCGGACAAUUAUGCAAUAUUCACGACAAUGAUCAUGUGUAUAUAGGCAUUACGUCCAUAAACAAAUAGUUCGACUCCUGCCUGCAGCUAUUACUAUUACUACACUCGUCGACCGCUAUCGAACAUGCAUCUAGAGUAUUAAGUAAAAUAGGGUAAUGCAUGGAGAACGAUGACAUGAUGUAGACAAAGUAAACUAAAGCAAUAUAAAUAAACCCCGUCGGUUUAUCCUUAGUAGCAGCAACACAAAGGUGCACCUUGUCCCCUUCUGUCACUUGGAUAUAGAAAUUAGCCAAGUCGAACCUACAACAAUGCACCUCUCUCACCGAAGAAAUAUCGAUCUAGUUGGCCAAACUAUUUCAACAAAUCGGAGAGAAAUAGGAAGCUAUCAUAAUCAUGUACAUCAGAAUCAUAUAAGUAUUCAUAGGAGACUCAAAUUUUUAUAGUGAAUAAUCUGAACAUAAACCCAUAAUUCAUCGGAUCCCAACAAACGCACCGCACAAAAGGAUUACAUCAUAUGGAUCAAAGCGAAGAUGUGAUGAGCAUUGUAUUGAAGAUCAAAAAGAGAGAGAGAUAUUGCCAUCUAGGUACUGUCUAUUGACUCGUAGGUCUCUAGUAAACUACUGACACAUCAUCAUGAGGGCAACAAGGUUGAUGAAGAGGCCCUCCUUGAUCGAUCCCCUUCAGCAGGGUGUCGGAACGGAGCUCCAUAUGGCCUCUCGUCGGAACAGAGACUUGUGAUGGUGUAAAAAUUGUUUUGGGACUCCCUUUGGUGUUUUAGGGUAGAUGAGAAUUUAUAAGCCAAAGAACACAGUCAGGAGGGCCACGAGGGAGGCACAAGCUAUCAUCCUACCAAGCCAUGCCCUUUUGGCAUGUGGGCCCCUCGUGAGGCCUCCAGACUUCUCCCGAUGCUCGUUGGUCUUCUUUUGGUCCACAAAAAAUCACCAAAAAGUUUCAGGGCAAUUGGACUUCGUUCGGUAUGCAAAACCUGAAAAGUGAAAAACACGCAGAAAACAUCAACUGGCACUGGGCACUGGGUCAAUAGGUUAGUGCUAAAAAACAAUAUUAAAUGGUAAAUAAAUACCUCAAAAGUAUUCUAGAAUGAUAUUAUAUCAACAUGGAACAAUCAAAAAUUAUAGAUAUGUUGGAGACGUAUCAAGCAUCUCCAACCUUAAUUCAUGCUCGUCCUCAAGUAGGUAAAUGAUAAAAACAGAAUUUGUGAGGUGACAUGGUAUCCAUGAUGUAACCUUAUGCAUGUAUGCUCAUUGAGAAAUGAUGAAUUAACAAACAGUAACAUAGCAAUACUCAUAGGUAUAAGCAGGAAAUCAUUAAUUUUUCAAAGUAUACGAUCCUCAAAGAUUGUUUUACCCCCAUCCAUAUUUAUUAUAUUACCAAGGCAUGGCUCCAUCUUCUCCACAUUAAUACAAAUGUCAAGCACCACGGUGUCGAAGUUAGGCAAUUGGAUCGUACUUUUUCAAUAUGCAUCAAUUUUUAAUUCUUCAUGCAAUACAUGAGCGUGAACCAUUGGAUAUAGCAUAAAGGUGGAACAAAAUAUGGUGGUAGGUUUCGAAGGGGUAAAAGUGGAGAAGAUAGUUUCACAUCAACUAGGCGUACCAAUGAGCUAUGGAGAUUUUCGUCGAUAGAUAUCGAUGCUGUGAUAGCCCGAGACCGACGUUCCAGAAGAUCCCCCCCUUUAUUCCGUUUUCGUCGUGUGUUUAGUUUUUAUUCGUUGCACCGUCAUGUAGUUUGCAUCAUCGCAUCAUGCAUGGCAUCAUGUCAUCGGUGUUUUGUCGGUGUUGCUUGUUGCUUCGUGUUGUUGGGUGUUAGUGUUUCGUGAGUGGCGUCGUUUGUUGGCGCGAUGAGAGAGGGAGCGUGAGAGCCACCGCUAAACCCCGUUGCACCGCCGACCUAAACCUUCUUCCCUCCUCUCCCCUCCUAAGUUGUUUUGUGGUUUUCCUAAAGAUUUCUAACUUUACCCCUCUUCCAAAAUAUUCGUCUUCUUUUAAAAAGUCCUUUUAUUAAACGUAGGGGCAACCUUAGGUUUUAAUUUUACUCUCCGUUUGUUUCAUUUUAAAAACCCUCCCAUUUUAUUUUCUCUUUUAAAAGGCUUUUACUUAUUCUUUGAAUAAAGAGGUUUUAAUUAAUUCUUUCGAAAAGGGGUUAUUUUUAUCUUCUUGUUAAAAGAGCUUAUUUUAAUUCUUUUUAAAAAGGGUUGUGAUUUUAAUUCUUUUAAAAAGGGUUUUGAUUUUUUUUAAAAUUCUUUUAAGUAGGGUUUUAUUUUAAUUCGUAAAAGGGGUUUCAUUUUAUUGUUUAAAAAUGCCCAAGCUACUUUAGAGUUGGGGUAUAAUUUUCAAAAGGGGUAAAACAUUUAUUUUAUUCUUUUUUUUGUGUUAAAAGGCCUUUCUUUAUUUAAGGAGUUCUGUUUUAAAAAGUAAAAAAAAACCUUUUAGAGGAGGCNGCUGCGCUCGUGCCGAGUUGUGUCGUUGGCUGCUGGCGUUGAUGCUUGCCUGUUGCUUUAGACUGCUAGGCCGCUGUUGCGUUUUGCUAUGCUGCUACUCCUGCUGUCGGUAGUAGAUGCGCGCGUUGCUUGCUGCCCUGCUUGCCUGCAGUCGCUGAUGCUGCUUGAUGUUGCUGCUGUGUGCUGUAGCUAGCUGCAGGAGGUGGCGUUGAUGCUUGCCUGUUGCUGUUAGACUGCUAGGCCGCUGUUGCGUUUUGCUAUGCUGCUACUCCUGCUGUCGGUAGUAGAUGUGCGCGUUGCCUGCUGCCCUGCUUGCCUGCAGUCGCUGAUGCUGCUUGAUGUUGUUGCUGUGUGAUGUAGCUAGCUGCAGGAGCUGGGCCGUGUUGCUGCUACUGCUAUGCAAGCUGUCAUGCUUGUUGCUGCCGAGCUUGUGCUCCUGUGUGCCUCGCUGAUAUUGCUGCUAGGUUGUUGUUGCCCGAUGUGCUAGCUGCAGUUGAUGCUUGCUAGCUAGCUUGCUGCCGAUGCUAGUCCAAGCCUGCUGGCGCUAGAUGUAGCCGCUUUUCGUUGUGCCGUCGAUGCACGUUUGAUGUUGCUGUUGUGUCGCUUGCCGUCGCCGUGUGCACCAACCCCUCCUUCAUGGAACCGACAAGACCGACUUCCACAACGCCCUCGACGACCCCCGGAGGCGAGUUCGACUUCCUCGACGUCACUGAAGACCCGUGAUCGACUACCGACGCCGAAGACCUCGAAACCACGACGCCGAGCGAACGACUACCGUCGACGAGACCGUGUACCACUACCUCCACUACCGGCGCGUGAACGACUACUUCCACGACGACCACGACGUCCGCUUCGACUGAACCCCUCCGAUUCGCACGCGUCGAAGGUAUACCGUUGGGGCAUGUCGUGUACCGUGUGCUAGUGAUGUACGGAUGUGUGUGUUGUACAAGUUGAAUGCAUGUAUGCACCGUUUAUUUGCCGUGCACGUCGUCUUCCUUUUCGUCGAGCCCUCGACACAUGGGAACCCGAGAUACGGGAUCACCCCAUCUUUAUUUACCAUUCCCGCACGCGUUCGUAUACGUUGGCACCGGUUUCUCCUCGAGUUAUCGGGACCCGAAUGUUGCCGUGGCAUCGUUUCCGAUUUACCGCCAUGGUUUCCUCUCGCUCGCCAUGGCGACACCAUGCUUAUUUCCCUCCUUGUCGUGAUGUGUUGAACUCUCAUGCAUGACGCAUUCAUGGCAUAUGAUCGUGUGUUGCAUGUCUCUCGUGCCGUAGCUACGUUCCGUGCCCCGUUUGAUAACCGACUAGGGUGCCAGGUAGGAUCAUCGCUACACCCCUUGCCAUGUUAACAACAUUUAAUAUUGCCGUGAUAAUUAAUGGGAGUUAAUUAAAUUUUUAAACGUGGAGUUUCGUCGAUAUGCAACCCGUUGCAUAUCGAGCUUCAUUUAAUGUGUAGUGUAUGUGUGAGGUGUUUUGCCGUGCCAUCCCGUGCAUCGAUGACCUGUUCAUGCAUCAUAUUAGGGUUGCAUCAUGUCUCGCUUUGUGGUGGUGAAUACUUGUAUUGAUGUUUGUUUCCGGUUUGCCCGUCUCGAUAGAGCUCCGCAAGUGUGUCGGAAUGUGAGGACCCGUUCGACUACGUUGGUUCGCUGACUUCACCGAGUUGUUCUUCUUCCAAGCGGGAUCUCAGGCAAGAUGAUCAUUUCCCCAGAUAUCAUUACUAUCAUUGCCAUGCUAGUUAUUUCGUUGCUACCGUUUAUGUCUCGUUGCCUACCACAUGUUUCCAUAUCAGCCUCUCAACAAUGCCAUGAUUACCUUCAACCUGUUCGACCUAGCAAACCACUGAUUGGCUAUGUUACUGCUUGCUUAACCCUGUUGUUAGCGUUGCUAGUUGCAGGUGCAGAUGCUUCCAUGUGAAAACAUGGGUUCCUUGUCAUAUCACCCUAUUAAUGCUAUUUAAUUUAAUGCACCUAUAUACUUGGUAAAAGGUGGAAGGCUUGGCCUUUCUAGCCUGGUGUUUUGUUCCACCUUUGCCCCCUUAGUUUUGGCUACCGGUGUUAUGUUCCAUAAACGAGCGCUCCUAACACGAUCGGGGUUGUUAUGGGGACCCCCUUGAUAAUUCGUUUUAGAUUAAAGCUGGUCUGGCAGGGCCCAACUUUGGUACUACUUUUGCCUAAUAACUAACGAACUGCAUAGGGAGUAAUUAACCCGAGGAUAUUUAAUCAACCCCCGGGCCAGUGCUCCUCAUGAGUGUUGGCCCCACAUGAGCGAUGUCCAGCGCCCCUCUGGUCACCCGGAGGUUUAGCGAUCCCGACGUCUAGCUCAUCCGCCGUGUCCUGAGAACGAGGUACGCGACUCCUAUCGGGAUCGUCGACACGUCGGGCGGCCUUGCUGGAUUAGUUUUACCUUUGACGGAAUAUCUUGUGCAUCGGGAUUCCGGUGAUGCUUUGGGUAAUCUCAGAGUUGAGGUUUUCCACUAGGGAAUCCGACGAGAUCGCGAGCUUCGUGAUUGAGGAUUUCUAUGCGGCUUGUGGUAAUUUGUGAUGGACUAGUUGGAGCACCCCUGCAGGGUUAAAUCUUUCAGAAAGCCGUGCCCGCGGUUAUGUGGCAACGUGGAAACUUUGUUUAACACUGGUUCCAGAUAACUUGAAGUUAACUUAAUUAAAAAAACAUGCCAACUGUGUGCGUAACCGUGACUAUCUCUUUCGUGAGUUCCUUCUCCGAUCGAGGACACGGUGGGGUUAUGUCUGGUGUUCAGGAUCAUUCAUUUGAUCAUCAGUAGUCACGUCCGCUAUGCGUAGAUCUUCCCCCUCUUUUCUUGUACUCGUAAGUUAGCCACCGAAUAUAUGCUUAGCCGCUGCUGCAACCUCACCACUUAACCAUGCCUCACCUAACAAGCUUUGCUAGUCUUGAUACCUUUGGAAAUGAGUUUGCUGAGUCCCCUGUGGCUCACAGAUUACUACAACACCAGUUGCAGGUACAGGUAAAGGGUACUUGACGCGAGCGCGUUGUUUGUUCAUUUGGAGUUGCUUCUUCUUCUUCAUCAUCGAUCUAGGAUGGGUUCCAGGCCGGCAGCCUGGGAUAGCAAGGAUGGACGUCGUUCUUCUUUUGUCGUUUGUUUUCGUCCGUAGUCGGACCCUGCUCUUACUCGUGAUGAUUAUGUAAUGUACUGAUGUGACCCUGAUGUAGCUUGUGGCGAGUGUAAGCCAACUCUUUAUAUAACUCUUCUCUUCAGUACAUGUACUUGUAACGAUAUCCAUUCUUGCGACACGACGAGAUGCGCUUCUAUCCCUGACGAGGCCCUCGUGCCAAAUUGAGGAUAGGGUCACAUCUUGGGCGUGACAAGUUGGUAUCAGAGCAAGGACCGACCUAGGAGCCCCCUUGAUUGAUCGAACUUGGCCGAGUCGAGUCUAGUGAAAAACUAUUUGAGUCUUAGUUAUAUAUCGGAGAGUAGGAUUCUUUUUUCUCCUCUUCUAUGCUCUGGUGAGGAAUCUUGACGUAAUAAUUUAUUCUACUCCUCUUCUCACUCAAAAUUUUUUUAGGAUCACGCGGAUAUUUUUGAGAUCUAUAUGAUGCCGAUGUGACGGAGUUCUGUCUUGGUGCCUCAUGUCUGACUUGAUCUUCUUCCGGGAAGUUGAGCUCCAGGGGAUUCUUGAGCACAUCGUUAUCAUUCAGAUUUCUUAGUAUCUAAGAACGAAGGAUGUUCGUAAUUGCUUCAAUACUAGUAGUGGAGAGAUAACCCCGAUGUCCCCAGUACUGGUGUAGAUUGUUCGGGAGUACUGCCAUACUUUGUAUCGUUGUGAUCACGAGGGUCUGUUGUAGAUGAAGGUCCGAGAUUCUGGUCGUAUGUUGACGGAUGUGAUACAAGUGACGGGUUAGUAUAGGAGUUGUGCGAUUAUUACUCCUUGUAUCCGUGUACCAGAUUGCAUGACCAGAUAUUUCGGGAAUUCAUAGGUGGGAAUUCAAGUAGUUACUUAUAGGACAUUCUUCCAACAAAUACAUGAUGUUAGGUUGGGGUUCGACAUCUAGUGGAUUCGUUUGUUCACGGUCGACUUACAGCAGUACAUGUUGUGUCUUAAAGAGUCCUUGUAGCUUGCUAUGACUCGGGGACGCUUCGUAUGUCAGGUGCACUGCCUUGCACUUGAUGACUACUGUAAAUCGUGCCCGUGCGAUCCUGUCCACGAAAAUAUCGAACGGAAAUCUUUCUCAUGAGUUUGUUCUGGCUUGUUUCGUAAGCCUCAUCCCUUUGUUUUGUUGUAUAUGGUAAUUCGUGUUGCUUCGAUGUCAAGUGGUGAUUUCAGAUCUUUCCUAAGUGGCGCUCUCAUAUUUUUAUGUGGGAAUGCAAAUUCUUUUGUUCGUCCAAAUUUUCAGAUCAAUUCUUGUCAACCGGAGUCAUCGUAUCAAGUCUUUUCAACCGAUGUGUUUCUCUCCAAGUGGAUUCAACCCUCUCCAAUUUGCAAGAUCUUUCUCUCGUUUAUUCCGGAGUUCAUCUCUUCUAGCCCAAGUUGUCUUUGUUUUUCCCCACCCUCCCGCCCUUUUCUCAGCGAUUCAAUUUCCAUCCAAGAAUUUCUUUUCAUUGUGCUUCCGCUAUGUGUUCUUUUCUCUCUUAUCUGGUGAUUCGUUGUGAAGAUUCUCAGGAGCUUCAUGUUCAUCUUUGUUCAUUCUUGUCUUCGUUACCGGUGAAUUUAAUUCAGCUAUCCGUGUUCAUCAUAUCCUUUCAUCCUUGUAAUUCUUUCCUAUGUUGGAAAUUUUUAUCAGCCUAUCUUCUUGUUGUCGUUUCUCUCUGUUCUAUCCGGAGUGUUGAAGUUAUCUCAGUAGUUCUUGUUUCCAAUAUUUUCAAUUAUUUCGAGGUGCUAACCUUAUCUAGUCCUCUUCAUACCGGUGCAAUAUCAAUCUUUCCAGCAAUCUUCUCUAACGGUGGAUUUCUUUGAGUGGGCCCAUAACCCACAGGUUUUUCCCAGGAUCUGUUAUAGCUUUUUAAUCUUUCCGGAGAUCUUUAAUUCUUUUCAACUAUGACGUAAGUAUGAAUUUCAUCAGUCAUAUCCCUUCUUCAAGGCCUAUUUGAGUUAACUCUCAUAUUUGGCUCAACCUUUCAUUCUUCUUUAUUCCGGAGUGUCUCAGCUAUUCUUGGUGUUGCUCUCGUCAUCAUUCUCAGCUUGCAAUUCGAAGGAGUGUUUUUCUCGAAUCUUGGUUCAUUCUCUUGGAUAUUCAUCAUUUCAGCUUCGUGUUAUCAUCUUGAAUUUGUUUCCAUUCAUGAGAAUCUGUUUCUUGCUAUCCGGUGCAUUUCUGAGUUGUUUUCUUUCUCGGUCCUCCGAAGGCUAUCAUUUCAGAAGAUUCUUCGUUCUCAGCUUUCAGCUUUCAUCCUCAAUUCUUCUCAAUUGUUGUCUCUUCGUUCGUCUCUCAAUUAUUCUGGUGUCUUGUUUAAAUUUCUCUCUCAGGUGGAUCAAGAUCUCUUCAUUCUCAUGUUUAUCCAUGCUUUCUUGGUAUUCCCAUUCAAUUGGAAUUCUUACCCGUGCUUCUUUCAUUUUUGGCUUCAAGUGGUGCUUAUCUCUCUGCCUCUUCUAGAUUCAUUUUUAGAGGAAUAAGUUGUAUGCUAGAACCAUUGCUUGUCAUCAAUUAUACUUGAUGAAGGAUGAGCAUAACAUAAUUCUUAUUGUUCUUCCUUCUUCCAAGAGAUUUCAAUUCUUCUUCCGGAGUGGCUCUUGAUAUCAAUUGUUUUCUCAAGUGCUUAUCUUUCUUUUCCGAAGUUCCAAGUCUAGUAGUAUCUCUUUGUAAAGCUUCAUCUAUAUCAUUGCAAGGCCUUUAAUCUUAUUCAUUUCUACCUUGAGAUCUUUGCAUCAUUCUUUUGUAUACGGAGGUCCUUCAUGGUGGUUCAUCAAGGUUUCAAUUCAUUCUCAUGUGUUCUUCAAGAUUCUUGUUGGAGCACCUCUAGUAUCCUUUCUCUUGCAUUCAUAUGUGCAAUUGUUCUUCCUUUAUCCUUUGAGGUGGUAUUAUAGCCUUCUUGUUAGUGUAGGAGCCUCGAAGAGAUUUCCUUUCAAGAAUGAGAUAAUUAAAACCACCAAUUCUAUGAUCAUGAGUUAUUUCAACCCAUGAUUUCUUCAUUGAGUUAUCUUGGUUUGGAUUUCACCUAAAGCUUUCCUAGGGAUUGUGCUAUCUUGGUGCUUGUCAUUAAUCCAAGUUCUCGAUGUAUCCUCUUGGUGUAAGAUUGUUCAUGUCUUGUUUCUCCCAAUCUAUCCUUGUUUCUUUUAGUGGCUGGUUGUCACUUCAUUAGUUUGAAAAGGUUUCCAUAAGCCCACUAUUGUCUUGUUCUUUCGUUGUUGUUUUCCAACAACUCCGUUCAAUUCUUCUCGCAAGGGUGCUUGUCAAGUUCAUUUGUGAUGAUAGUUGUCAUUCCUUUCUUCAUUCUCUUCUUCCGCUUGAGCUAGUUCCUAUUCUAUUGUUCCGGAGGCUCUGUGGUAUUGCUCUUUUGGGUCAAUCUUGUUGUUCUAGCAAGAUCAUGGUGUUCCCUUGCUCUAUUUAGUUGUUUGUUAUGAAUAUUGUCUAUUUCUUCUACCUUUUCGAAUUUUUUGUCCCAUUUUCCUACCGAAGUGCUGCCGAAAUUUUCCGUGAAUUCUGGCUUCUUUCUCAUGUCAUUCCUCAUCGUCUUGCAACCUUCAAGGAUCGUUGGUUUCACUCGUUUGUCAAAGAAGCGACUAAUUUUUACCUCUUGUUCUUUCUCAUCCUCUCCCCCUUUCAUUCUUGGAUCUCGGGACGAGAUCUUCUUGUAGUGUGGGAGAGUUGUGACAGCCCGAGACCGACGUUCCAGAAGAUCCCCCCCUUUAUUUCGUUUUCGUCGUGUGUUUAGUUUUUAUUCGUUGCACCGUCAUGUAGUUUGCAUCAUCGCAUCAUGCAUGGCAUCAUGUCAUCGGUGUUUUGUCGGUGUUGCUUGUUGCUUCGUGUUGUUGGGUGUUAGUGUUUCGUGAGUGGCAUCGUUUGUUGGCGCGAUGAGAGAGGGAGCGUGAGAGCCACCGCUAAACCCCGUUGCACCGCCGACCUAAACCUUCUUCCCUCCUCUCCCCUCCUAAGUUGUUUUGUGGUUUUCCUAAAGAUUUCUAACUUUACCCCUCUUCCAAAAUAUUCGUCUUCUUUUAAAAAGUCCUUUUAUUAAACGUAGGGGCAACCUUAGGUUUUAAUUUUACUCUCCGUUUGNCUAAAGAUUUCUAACUUUACCCCUCUUCCAAAAUAUUCGUCUUCUUUUAAAAAGUCCAUUUAUUAAACGUAGGGGCAACCUUAGGUUUUAAUUUUACUCUCCGUUUGUUUCAUUUUAAAAACCCUCCCAUUUUAUUUUCUCUUUUAAAAGGCUUUUACUUAUUCUUUGAAUAAAGAGGUUUUAAUUAAUUCUUUCGAAAAGGGGUUAUUUUUAUCUUCUUGUUAAAAGAGCUUAUUUUAAUUCUUUUUAAAAAGGGUUGUGAUUUUAAUUCUUUUAAAAAGGGUUUUGAUUUUUUUUAAAAUUCUUUUAAGUAGGGUUUUAUUUUAAUUCGUAAAAGGGGUUUCAUUUUAUUGUUUAAAAAUGCCCAAGCUACUUUAGAGUUGGGGUAUAAUUUUCAAAAGGGGUAAAACAUUUAUUUUAUUCUUUUUUUUGUGUUAAAAGGCCUUUCUUUAUUUAAGGAGUUCUGUUUUAAAAAGUAAAAAAAAACCUUUUAGAGGAGGCCCAGCCAGCCGAAGGCCAAGCCAGGCCUCCAACCCUAGCGAGAGAGGGGGAGCCUCUCGUUCCUCUGCCUGCCAGCGCCUUCUCCCUCCCGAUCCCGAGCGUCCUCCCCAGCGCCGCCUCUUCCCGAGCGCCAUGGCCGCCGCCUCGCCUCUGUUCCCUCGCCCCACCACGCUUAGUCCCCUCUGCGCACCGCCUCUUCCACCCCUGCACGCCGUCGUCGACCUUAGCUGCAGGCGCCCCGAUCCCUNNNNNNNNNNNNNNNNNNNNNNNNNNNNNNNNNNNNNNNNNNNNNNNNNNNNNNNNNNNNNNNNNNNNNNNNNNNNNNNNNNNNNNNNNNNNNNNNNNNNNNNNNNNNNNNNNNNNNNNNNNNNNNNNNNNNNNNNNNNNNNNNNNNNNNNNNNNNNNNNNNNNNNNNNNNNNNNNNNNNNNNNNNNNNNNNNNNNNNNNNNNNNNNNNNNNNNNNNNNNNNNNNNNNNNNNNNNNNNNNNNNNNNNNNNNNNNNNNNNNNNNNNNNNNNNNNNNNNNNNNNNNNNNNNNNNNNNNNNNNNNNNNNNNNNNNNNNNNNNNNNNNNNNNNNNNNNNNNNNNNNNNNNNNNNNNNNNNNNNNNNNNNNNNNNNNNNNNNNNNNNNNNNNNNNNNNNNNNNNNNNNNNNNNNNNNNNNNNNNNNNNNNNNNNNNNNNNNNNNNNNNNNNNNNNNNNNNNNNNNNNNNNNNNNNNNNNNNNNNNNNNNNNNNNNNNNNNNNNNNNNNNNNNNNNNNNNNNNNNNNNNNNNNNNNNNNNNNNNNNNNNNNNNNNNNNNNNNNNNNNNNNNNNNNNNNNNNNNNNNNNNNNNNNNNNNNNNNNNNNNNNNNNNNNNNNNNNNNNNNNNNNNNNNNNNNNNNNNNNNNNNNNNNNNNNNNNNNNNNNNNNNNNNNNNNNNNNNNNNNNNNNNNNNNNNNNNNNNNNNNNNNNNNNNNNNNNNNNNNNNNNNNNNNNNNNNNNNNNNNNNNNNNNNNNNNNNNNNNNNNNNNNNNNNNNNNNNNNNNNNNNNNNNNNNNNNNNNNNNNNNNNNNNNNNNNNNNNNNNNNNNNNNNNNNNNNNNNNNNNNNNNNNNNNNNNNNNNNNNNNNNNNNNNNNNNNNNNNNNNNNNNNNNNNNNNNNNNNNNNNNNNNNNNNNNNNNNNNNNNNNNNNNNNNNNNNNNNNNNNNNNNNNNNNNNNNNNNNNNNNNNNNNNNNNNNNNNNNNNNNNNNNNNNNNNNNNNNNNNNNNNNNNNNNNNNNNNNNNNNNNNNNNNNNNNNNNNNNNNNNNNNNNNNNNNNNNNNNNNNNNNNNNNNNNNNNNNNNNNNNNNNNNNNNNNNNNNNNNNNNNNNNNNNNNNNNNNNNNNNNNNNNNNNNNNNNNNNNNNNNNNNNNNNNNNNNNNNNNNNNNNNNNNNNNNNNNNNNNNNNNNNNNNNNNNNNNNNNNNNNNNNNNNNNNNNNNNNNNNNNNNNNNNNNNNNNNNNNNNNNNNNNNNNNNNNNNNNNNNNNNNNNNNNNNNNNNNNNNNNNNNNNNNNNNNNNNNNNNNNNNNNNNNNNNNNNNNNNNNNNNNNNNNNNNNNNNNNNNNNNNNNNNNNNNNNNNNNNNNNNNNNNNNNNNNNNNNNNNNNNNNNNNNNNNNNNNNNNNNNNNNNNNNNNNNNNNNNNNNNNNNNNNNNNNNNNNNNNNNNNNNNNNNNNNNNNNNNNNNNNNNNNNNNNNNNNNNNNNNNNNNNNNNNNNNNNNNNNNNNNNNNNNNNNNNNNNNNNNNNNNNNNNNNNNNNNNNNNNNNNNNNNNNNNNNNNNNNNNNNNNNNNNNNNNNNNNNNNNNNNNNNNNNNNNNNNNNNNNNNNNNNNNNNNNNNNNNNNNNNNNNNNNNNNNNNNNNNNNNNNNNNNNNNNNNNNNNNNNNNNNNNNNNNNNNNNNNNNNNNNNNNNNNNNNNNNNNNNNNNNNNNNNNNNNNNNNNNNNNNNNNNNNNNNNNNNNNNNNNNNNNNNNNNNNNNNNNNNNNNNNNNNNNNNNNNNNNNNNNNNNNNNNNNNNNNNNNNNNNNNNNNNNNNNNNNNNNNNNNNNNNNNNNNNNNNNNNNNNNNNNNNNNNNNNNNNNNNNNNNNNNNNNNNNNNNNNNNNNNNNNNNNNNNNNNNNNNNNNNNNNNNNNNNNNNNNNNNNNNNNNNNNNNNNNNNNNNNNNNNNNNNNNNNNNNNNNNNNNNNNNNNNNNNNNNNNNNNNNNNNNNNNNNNNNNNNNNNNNNNNNNNNNNNNNNNNNNNNNNNNNNNNNNNNNNNNNNNNNNNNNNNNNNNNNNNNNNNNNNNNNNNNNNNNNNNNNNNNNNNNNNNNNNNNNNNNNNNNNNNNNNNNNNNNNNNNNNNNNNNNNNNNNNNNNNNNNNNNNNNNNNNNNNNNNNNNNNNNNNNNNNNNNNNNNNNNNNNNNNNNNNNNNNNNNNNNNNNNNNNNNNNNNNNNNNNNNNNNNNNNNNNNNNNNNNNNNNNNNNNNNNNNNNNNNNNNNNNNNNNNNNNNNNNNNNNNNNNNNNNNNNNNNNNNNNNNNNNNNNNNNNNNNNNNNNNNNNNNNNNNNNNNNNNNNNNNNNNNNNNNNNNNNNNNNNNNNNNNNNNNNNNNNNNNNNNNNNNNNNNNNNNNNNNNNNNNNNNNNNNNNNNNNNNNNNNNNNNNNNNNNNNNNNNNNNNNNNNNNNNNNNNNNNNNNGUGUCGGAAUGUGAGGACCCGUUCGACUACGUUGGUUCGCUGACUUCACCGAGUUGUUCUUCUUCCAAGCGGGAUCUCAGGCAAGAUGAUCAUUUCCCCAGAUACCAUUACUAUCAUUGCCAUGCUAGUUAUUUCGUUGCUACCGUUUAUGUCUCGUUGCCUACCACAUGUUUCCAUAUCAGCCUCUCAACAAUGCCAUGAUUACCUUCAACCUGUUCGACCUAGCAAACCACUGAUUGGCUAUGUUACUGCUUGCUUAACCCUGUUGUUAGCGUUGCUAGUUGCAGGUGCAGAUGCUUCCAUGUGAAAACAUGGGUUCCUUGUCAUAUCACCCUAUUAAUGCUAUUUAAUUUAAUGCACCUAUAUACUUGGUAAAAGGUGGAAGGCUCGGCCUUUCUAGCCUGGUGUUUUGUUCCACCUUUGCCCCCUUAGUUUUGGCUACCGGUGUUAUGUUCCAUAAACGAGCGCUCCUAACACGAUCGGGGUUGUUAUGGGGACCCCCUUGAUAAUUCGUUUUAGAUUAAAGCUGGUCUGGCAGGGCCCAACUUUGGUACUACUUUUGCCUAAUAACUAACGAACUGCAUAGGGAGUAAUUAACCCGAGGAUAUUUAAUCAACCCCCGGGCCAGUGCUCCUCAUGAGUGUUGGCCCCACAUGAGCGAUGUCCGGCGCCCCUCUGGUCACCCGGAGGUUUAGCGAUCCCGACGUCUAGCUCAUCCGCCGUGUCCUGAGAACGAGGUACGCGACUCCUAUCGGGAUCGUCGACACGUCGGGCGGCCUUGCUGGAUUAGUUUUACCUUUGACGGAAUAUCUUGUGCAUCGGGAUUCCGGUGAUGCUUUGGGUAAUCUCAGAGUUGAGGUUUUCCACUAGGGAAUCCGACGAGAUCGCGAGCUUCGUGAUUGAGGAUUUCUAUGCGGCUUGUGGUAAUUUGUGAUGGACUAGUUGGAGCACCCCUGCAGGCUUAAAUCUUUCAGAAAGCCGUGCCCGCGGUUAUGUGGCAACGUGGAAACUUUGUUUAACACUGGUUCCAGAUAACUUGAAGUUAACUUAAUUAAAAAAACAUGCCAACUGUGUGCGUAACCGUGACUAUCUCUUUCGUGAGUUCCUUCUCCGAUCGAGGACACGGUGGGGUUAUGUCUGGUGUUCAGGAUCAUUCAUUUGAUCAUCAGUAGUCACGUCCGCUAUGCGUAGAUCUUCCCCCUCUUUUCUUGUACUCGUAAGUUAGCCACCGAAUAUAUGCUUAGCCGCUGCUGCAACCUCACCACUUAACCAUGCCUCACCUAACAAGCUUUGCUAGUCUUGAUACCUUUGGAAAUGAGUUUGCUGAGUCCCCUGUGGCUCACAGAUUACUACAACACCAGUUGCAGGUACAGGUAAAGGGUACUUGACGCGAGCGCGUUGUUUGUUCAUUUGGAGUUGCUUCUUCUUCUUCUGUAUCAUCGAUCUAGGAUGGGUUCCAGGCCGGCAGCCUGGGAUAGCAAGGAUGGACGUCGUUCUUCUUUUGUCGUUUGUUUUCGUCCGUAGUCGGACCCUGCUCUUACUCGUGAUGAUUAUGUAAUGUACUGAUGUGACCCUGAUGUAGCUUGUGGCGAGUGUAAGCCAACUCUUUAUAUAACUCUUCUCUUCAGUACAUGUACUUGUAACGAUAUCCAUUCUUGCGACACGACGAGAUGCGCUUCUAUCCCUGACGAGGCCCUCGUGCCAAAUUGAGGAUAGGGUCGCAUCUUGGGCGUGACAGAUGCAAGGAGUAGGGAUUGUCAUGCAAAUGAUGCACAAGAGUUAUAAGUGUAUGAAAGCUCCACUGGGGCUAAGUGGGGUGUGCAUCCAACUUUCAUGCUCAUGAAGACCACAUGCAUUUUAGGAAGCCCGUCAUCGUAAUAUACAAGACAAUUUUAUGAAAAAUUGAUUCCCACUAGCAUAUGAAUAAUAUAACAUGAGAUUAUCUAUAUGAAGAACAAGAUGCCACUUUGAGGCACAAGUAUGUUAAAGGAUAGUAGCAAAGUCCCUUCUCUCUUUUUCUCUCAUUCUUUUUUUAUCAUUUUUUUAUUAUUAUGGUGGGCUCAUUUGGCCUCCCCCAUUUUUAUUUCCUCACUUUAAGAUCCAAAUCCAUCUUUAAGACAAUUGUUUUUGUAGGCCCUAACAAGAAAUGAAAAGCCCAAGCAAGACAUUCUUGGAUGGCUCUGCUUUAAAAACAUAUGAAUUGAUUUAUAUGCGGUAGUUUGAGAAUUACUUUAUGCAGAUUGUUUGCAAGCAGCUUUGUUAGCUUUUUUUAUGGUGCAGUUAAGUAAGGAAAUUGACCUAAAGUCACUUGAGGUUUGAGGAUUGUCUUCCUUUGGAUGAUAAAAGAUGCACUAAUGAACUACAAGUUAAUCAUUCCAUGAUAGAAUUCCUCAAUAAGCUCACAAAUAUACUUGACAAUAAUAUCCCAACAUGGCUUAAUAAAAGCAUAAUUAAAGCCAUAUGGUCGAGGACCCUUGUACGAAGGGAUUUUUUAUGACAUCAUUAAUCUCUUAUGUGAAAGAAGGAACCUCUAGAUCUCCAAGAUUAAUAGAUGUAUUUAGCGUACCAACAAGAAAGAAGGGUGAGCUAGUGACCUUAGUAGUGCCAAGUCUUUCUUUAAAUGAUCUCCAUAGGAUGGUAGCUUUUGCAUUAUGAUCAUUAUGGUCUUGGCCCAAGCCAUCUUGUAGUACUAAACUAUCAUGUGAUUAAAUUUAUGAGGGACCUCCUUCUUAUAGAUUAUGGGAGUAGUAGGGAAGCUCUACAAUUGGGUAUCGCAAAGAAUUUUAAUAUAUUUUGAUUCUUAUUUCUCUUGGAUUAUUCCAAAAGAUGGUACCGACAAUAAAAUGAACACAUUGGAUUCAAAGAUUAAAAUGCUAGAUAUCUUUUAAAUAAACAUCAACUAUGGAUGGUAGAUAUCUUUUAAAUAAACAUCAACUAAAAUCAUGGUUAGGAUGGUAGUUGUUAAAGUACUCCCUCCGUUUUAAUUCACUCUCCAUAUUAGCUGUGACAUGAGUCAAUCUUUAUAAAUUUGACCAAACUUAUCAAAAAUAAUCUAAACUUUCACAAUAAUAUGUAUAUAUGGUAUAAAAAUAUAUUAAGUGGCGAUUUCAAUGGUAUUUAAUUGGUAUUGUGGACAUUAAUAAUUUUUUUAUCUAAACUUGAUCAAAAUUUAAAUAAUCUGACCGGAGACAAAGCUAAUAUGCGAACAAAAUAAAAAACCAAGGGAGUACACAUUUUGCAGGACUUAUAGUUGGGUGUCUCCAAGACGGAUUUUUCUUUCUACAAUUCCAGGCCUUUCGUAUUAUUAUGAUUAUUAUAUGCUACUGAUAAAGAAGCUUUACUAAAUAAGCGAGCAUUGCACAACAUAAAUCAAUGGAUAUGCUAUCUCAAAGCGUUUGCGAUCACUAAAAACAACCGGUGACUAAUCUUUCUCUAUCCCCACGAUAAGGCGCCCCAACAGCUUCAUCAUUUGGGUCUAUAAAGUCGUGCGGAGGCCCUCACGCCAAAGCGCAGAGACCGACACAACAGUGCACACAUCACAGCACAGCAAACCGCAGCCCCUCCCACGCCUCUCAAAGCUGAUUUAUUUAUCAAAUCAUAACCCCCCUUCGCCGUUCCUGCUUGGAGUGCACAGCAUCGCCGGCCCGUCCUCCUGCACCUCCGGCAUUUCGUGGGAACUGAUGGGGUGCAAGUCGUGCCAGAAGCCCAAGGCGCAGCACCGCAAGGGGCUGUGGUCGCCGGAGGAGGACCAGAAGCUCCGCGAUUUCAUCGUCCGCCACGGCCACAGCUGCUGGAGCACCGUCCCCGUCAAGGCCGGUAAGAUCAAGAACUCCCUCCCGCUCCCAACCAAGCGCGCGCAGCAUUUCGCGCGCGAUUCCCCCGGGAAUUUCCAAGGGGAAUUGCACGGAUUUUCUUGCGAGCUCGCAUUGCGGCGAGCCUGCGAGGUUCAUGCCCAAUUUCCCCUGCUUUCCUGUUGAGGUUCUGCAAUGUACCUUGGCUCGUGGGAAGGGGGGAGGUGGGGGGUUAAUGCCGCCAGUGGAAUUUAGCAAAUUUUUGCGGUGCUUUCGGAAAAGAAUCCAGCAGAAUUUUGUCAAAUGUACCUUGGCAAGUGGGGUGGGGACUAAAGGUUUGCCGUGAAUGAAUUUGCAGGGCUUCAGCGGAACGGCAAGAGCUGCAGGCUGCGAUGGAUCAACUACCUGAGGCCGGGGCUGAAGCACGGCAUGUUCUCCCGGGAGGAAGAAGAGACCGUCAUGGGCCUCCACGCCGCCCUCGGCAACAAGUAAGCAUCCCAAGCACACACCCCAAUUCUCACCUCUUCCACCUUCAUCUUCUUCGGAGCAAGACGCCAACUGAUUACCAGCCGCGAUUGAAUCGAAUCAAUCAGAAAUUCCCAAUUAAUCAACAAUCAUCCUUAUCAGUUCAACAAGAGGAAGAGAAAAGUAUACCCGUAGUCUCGCGCAUGCCACAUAUUGCUGCCUACUGCAGCCCGAUGCCAAUUUGCUAGUGUCAGCACGGUAGUGUCGUUAAGCCGGCCAGUUGGGUUUCAGGGCAGAAAGUGAAACAAAAACGUUUUUGAUUUGGUGGCUCAAACAAGGGGAAAUGCUGAUGUCUGCCAAGGGGAAAAACAUGGAGACCGCUUUACGUGGCUGAGUUGAUGCUGACACCUGCGUUCCACAUCGAGGCACUCGAUCGCUUCUCUUCUCGAGUGCUCGUUCGGUGACAGUGAGCAAGCGCCUCGCUUUCGCUAACCUACUGCGUAGAUGGAAAGCCGGCUUGGUCACGGCUAACCUCUUUUUUGGGACAAAAAGGGACGAAAGAACAAGUGAGGAUCGCUACGCUAGGCUUGUGUUGUGUCUAAAGGGUCUUUUUUGCAGUUGCCUGUCGGUGCAAGCAAGCUGGGCUUUCUCGUUUCCAUUUCGUUUCGCAUGUCCGAUAUCAUAGCUAGUAGUACAGCACCGUGCUUAAUCUUGAUAAUGGAGAUGUUGUGUGUACAAUCAUUUCUGAACACGGCUGUAAGUACAGUCAACUGUUGAGACCAAUGAUAGUGUAACAGAUGCUUUGACAUUGACAUUCUGAUGGGAGAAGACUUGUAGGAGCAGCUACAAGUCUGCAACAAUCAUAGGUUUUAUUUAUUGGAGCGACUGUACAAUCGCAAUACCCCGAGAGACCUGGGGAUGAUUAGUUCCAAAUUACUUGACGGUUUGCUUGUCUGACAUGGAGAGAUUUUUUCUCUGGCGCAGGUGGUCUCAGAUAGCGCAGCACCUGCCGGGCCGGACGGACAACGAGGUGAAGAACUACUGGAACUCGUACCUCAAGAAGCGCGUCGAGGGCGCGCGGUCACCAGCGAAAUCCGCCGGCUCGGGCGCGCCCCGGAG
This 290526-nucleotide long non-coding RNA is filed under the name Hordeum vulgare. RNAcentral describes it as "long non-coding RNA (HVUL_LNC005254)". The stretch from base 110629 to 110763 matches the Rfam family "MIR1120/MIR1122 microRNA precursor family". Lineage: Eukaryota; Viridiplantae; Streptophyta; Magnoliopsida; Poales; Poaceae. The record is from RNAcentral.